RNAcentral lists this long non-coding RNA (179437 nucleotides) under Triticum aestivum (bread wheat). RNAcentral describes it as "long non-coding RNA (TAES_LNC007722)". The stretch from base 58456 to 58590 matches the Rfam family "MIR1120/MIR1122 microRNA precursor family". The record is from RNAcentral. Lineage: Eukaryota; Viridiplantae; Streptophyta; Magnoliopsida; Poales; Poaceae.
UACAAAAUUAGUUAUAGCGAGCAAGCGCACAGGGCACAGCUUGAUAGCAACUAUUACUACGACUCAAGAGUUAAGACAGACUCGAUCGCUGAAAAGUAGCAUAAUACACUAAUGCAUACAUAAGUUGGCUCGACAACGAUGAUGCAGCAAACUACAUAAGGAAGCCAAAUAGGAUACAUCAACAACCCUCCUUCGUCUUUGCAGCUAGCUAGGUUAAUAAUCGCAACCGAACUUCUACUGUGCUCGGCCGGUAGGUGGAUGUGAAGUGGCAGCGGCGUCGGCGAGGUCAAUGUGCUCUUGAACGAACUUCUCCAAGGUUUUCCUGUGGUCCUUGAAGGCCAUGAUGUUGUACUCCCUGAUCGUCGUAGUGUUGGCCCCGAAGACAGUCUUCUCAAAGAGGUUGAUGAAAAGGUCGAGCUGGUCAUGCACGAUGAGGCGCUGUGCAGCAAGGGCGACCUCCAGGCAGACCUCCGCAGGUGUGGCCACGGGCAGCUGCACGCCCAUCAGCGCGCGGAAGAGAUCAUCUCCAUAAAGGCCGGCGAGCUGGGCAGCGGGGGAGAUGCCGCAGCGGCGGCCUUUCGGGCUGCGCGUGGCCUGGAGGCGCGCGCUGAUGUCGUCCAUCUUCCUGGUGAACUUGCUGAAUUUGACAAGGAAGUCAUCCAUCCUCCUUGUGAGUGAAUCCGCGUCAUCGGAGAGACAAUGCAUCAUGGCGCCCAUCAGCACCGGCUGGAGGCGUCCCAGAGUGUCAGGGUGCGGGUGGGUGUCCCGAGCCGCCUUGAGAACACGAUUGUAAUUUAUACCAAGUGCCGCUAUGCCUACGCCAAGGUAGGAGUACACAUAGAGGGGUUAAUAAUCACACACAGUUCUCCAUUUAACAAACAUAAAUGUGUAGAAACAAUAUGCGAUUCACAAGAAGAUAUAGUAAGAGGCCAAAAAUUACAACUUCACAAAAGCUAUUCAGGUUGCGAAAAUUAGAUGGCUAAUAUCCAGCUCCCAAAGAUGUCCUCUGCUGUUUCAGAUUGGAAAACUAAUGAAUAACAGGUUCCACUAUGAACUGCCCCAAAAAGCAUGAACCUUUACAGGAUGAACUAGCACGAAUUGAACCCUUGAGAAUAUCCCAAAAAUGGUGUAUGAGUUAACUGCAUACUAGGAAUAAUAAUAAAUUGCCUGAAAUCUGCACAAGAACAGAGCAAUCGAAUCACAUCUGGGCUUAGGGUUCAAUGGGGAUAGGGGCGGAGGGGAUUUACCGCGCUCAGUGUCGGACAUUGUGCAGCCGGCGUUAGGGCCCGUACCGCGGAAGAAGCGGCCAGGCGGAUACAUACUGGAGGUGAGGAAAAUGCGGGCGCAGCGGGGCGGCGGGCGGCGGGCGGAACUCCGGUGACGGGACGGCGGACUGGGGACUGGAGUCUAAUUUGGGUGCGAAUCUGCAGUGCGGCGAUUUGGCGUGUCAGGGUCGAGCUUCGGUAAAUGGAGAAAACCCACGAAUACGGACGUCGCGCCAGCUCGGGCUGGGCCGUGGACCAGGACCGUAGCUUCCCCGCUAGACCGUGGACCAGGUCGUAUGUUUUUUUAUCUGGGCCAUGGAUCAGAUAAUGAUCCAUGACGGUGGUUGCUGUCUGAGCCGCCUGUCGGUCGGCGGGGGACUCUCGGUGCGUCAGUUCUAAAGAAAAAAAAAGAUAUCUCCUUUCUUUUUCGUGGUUCAUUUUAGAGGACCCUCGUCGAUUUUUGGCCAUCCCACACAUGCCUUCGCUGUUGUUGUGAGAGAUACGUAACACUUGAUGACUUAUACUUUCUCCGUUCGGAAUUAUUUGUCUCGGAAAUGGAUGUAUCUAGAACUAAAAUACGUCUAGAUACAUCCAUUUCUAUGACAAGUAAUUCCGAACGGAGGGAGUACACAAUAAGACAUCACAUUUCUCACAACGACUUUGGAGUGCACACAACCCCCACAAUGUGAGUAAGCAAGAUGACACACUUCUAUAGCCUGGUCUUGGUCGCAGUCACACUGAACAAAAACAUUUGGGUCUGGUGGUCUUCUAUAGAAAGUCUUUUAUUUUGAAACUCCUUCGCCGCCCUAAGCGCUACUGUCAGAAAACCCUAAGCAUAUCUAGGAGUAGGGAACGAGGCACUUGGUUCCCCGCCCCUUCACCACUGGAGCAACAGGUAGAGGAAGCAGGGGCAUGUGGGCCCAUCACCGAUGGUGGACGGCAUGGCACUAGCUAAGCUUGUAAACAUGAAAAUCGGAGUAGCUACAUGCUCCGAUACCAAAUUGGGUUGGACAAUAAAAACAUUUGAUUUGCAUUCACUCUCCCCUUGCAUGAGUGGAGUAGAUAAAAAGUUAGGGAGGGAAUUGUUUAUACUAAUUUGUGUCAAAAUCAAGCCCAUGUUGCAAGAGGUCACAAAAAUGGCUAUACUGGAGACAAACAUAAAAUUUGACACAUAUGCCAUAUGUUGUUGUGUGUUAGAGAUUUGGCUUUGGUCACAUCAUGGAUGCCCUAGAAGAGAGGGUUUCUAUUUCUAUCCCAACUUACUUUUAUGGGGUACUACUAUAUCUCCUUUAUUAUAAGCAGCAACGGGAGUUAUUGCUCACUAGCAUUGGCCGUAUGGGCCAGCCUCGUGAGGUGGCUUGUGCCUUCUAUUGUUUUAUUUUGUUGUCUUCUUUCAUAAUUUUUUCCUUUCCUUUAUUUCACGUUCACUAUCUAUCUACCUCUUGUUGUUACUUCCCUUUUAAUGAUUUAUUGUUGGCUUUAUUUCCUUUUGUAAAUAACAAAAGAAUCUUAAAUAGAAAAAAUGUUAGGACCGAGAGUAUAUCGACCGGAGGGGGGGGGGGUGAAUGGGAGAUUCAAAUUUUCUUUCGAAAGCUUUGAAACUUAAUCCACACAUCACAGCGGAAUGUAGUAUUGAAAGAAAUGCUUUGAAUCAGAGUUCUUCGUUAGAAGCAUAUUCAUCUAGAAAAGCAUUUAUAACAGAGCAAGCUUGAUGGAUAAUGGGUUUAAUUACGAUGAGAGUUAUACAACAAGAAAACAAGUGUAACAGAAUGAACCGAAACACAACGAACACUAAAGGAAAUGCAAUGACAGAGUUACUAGGAUUCAAACUAAUAAUGUAGGAAUAAGGACGAAGAUAAUGAAAUGAUUUGAAGCUACAACACAUGAUAAGCGGCACAUAACAGAACAAAGAUCAAAGAAUCUAGUGGCACUGAGCGCGAAUGAAAACUACUGAAUGAAUUGUAGUAGAGUAGAUAUAACCAGUGGUGCUCAAUGGUGACAAGAGAUUUGGUAGACCAGUUCACCCUUCUGCCAAAGCGCUACCUCUAGUUAGAGGGGCUGUGACUUAACACGGAAGAUAAACUCUCUUCACCAUAUUGUCCUUCAACACAGAGCUGAUCAGACUCAGGUUGAUUUCACUCGUGGUAGAUCCUUGUCGGCAAUCUCCAAACCUUCGAUCGACUUUCGCGAACCACAAUCACUCUUGGUUGCUGAAGAACAGGCUCGGUGAAGACAACAACUCUUCAACACUCAAAGCCAAACCUAUCCGUCUAGAGAGUGUGGAGCUCUCAAGAGUAACAGGUACAAGAACUCUCACUCAUAACUGCUGUGAUGCUAAACCACUGUCUAAGUUUGGGCUCUUGGUUCUCUCUCGGUGGAUCUUAAACUCAAAUCGCUCAAAGAGGGGUUGCUCAAAUCAAUCUUUUAGAAAUCUCAAGUGGAGUAUCCAACGAAUAACGUUGGAGAGGGGUGGCUAUUUAUAGCCACAGCCUUCCCAGAUGGGAAAUGACCAAAUUGUACAUCGGCCUCAGGCAAUGGCCGAAUGACACAUUUCCUACGGUUGGAUUUGAGCAUAACAGUAACAUUCCUUGCGGAGCAAGAAAUGCUAACUCCUCGGUACGAGGCAAAUCUCUCACAGCGAUGAAGAUCACAGUCUCUUGCUGACACGUAUUUACUCGGAGCACAAAGAGAUUUAUCUCGCAUCUUUUAUAGGUUGUAUCUAAGCAUCACAGCUGAUCUAAGCAACGAGAACCUAUACCCCUGUUAAUAGCACAGAGGUCCUAUGACUCAAAAGACUGAAAGAAGAAAAACUCAAUGAAUACUACGUUUUCAUUUUGUCUUCGACUUCAAUCGUUGUAGUCAAUUACUUCAGACGACAUUAUUGAAACAGAAAGCUUCUCUAUAGCAGCAAAUCGUUUGAGUGGUCUAUUUCUUCACAUCUUCUCGACUCUAUCACUUCAUCAGAUGUAGCUCGUUCUUCUCUAAGCGCAGAUAUGCUUCGGUGCAGUUCCUCGAACUCAGCAUCGGAGACAGCAUUCUCUUCGGUUGUGUAUGGACUUUUCUCUCUGUGUGCACUAGCAAACACAUUAGUCCAUACCCGUUUCUGUCAACAAUCUCCAAAACUCAAGAUAGGCAAAUAUUGCACCAACAAUCUCCCCCUUUUUGGACGAUUAUUGACAAAACAGAUCACAUCAACUGAUAGAUAAUGAAUGGAAUGUAAUGCAUAGAAUAAUGAAUUAUGAGAGAAGAUUAUGAAGAUAAUAUUUUCUCCCCCUUAAGUUAUGCUUUGGUUUGGGAAAAUUUAUUCCUCUUCAUAUGAGUGUCAUUUAUUAAAAUUUCAUACUUGAGUACUUUCAGUGCACUCCACGGUGUCUGAGGUAGUUCUCGUCACACAAACUUUGACAAGGGUUAGAUGAGAAACAUGGUGAGUUUUGUGACGUGGAUAAAUCAUGAAGGUUUUGUUAAAGCACAAUUUUAGAUCCACAUGAGGCAUAAUUUUCCUGCAAGUUAGAUGUACGAUAAGAUCAAAGAAGGAACAAAUGAUAGUUUCUUGCUCAGAGUGGAUAAGCUUCGAAGAUGUUUUACCUUGUAAUAAGAUGAAGCAUAUGAUAUCUGCUACCUCUUGAGCACUGCGUUGGUUUUCCCUUGAAGAGGAAAGGGUGAUGCAGCAAAGUAGCGUAAGUAUUUCCCUCAGUUUUUGAGAACCAAGGUAUCAAUCCAGUAGGAGGCUCCACGUAAGUCCCUCAUACCUACACAAACAAAGAAGAACCUCGCAACCAACGCGAUAAAGGGGUUGUCAAUCCCUUCACGGCCACUUGCAAAAGUGAGAUCUGAUAGAGAUAAUAAGAUAAGAUAAAUAUCUUUGGUAUUUUUAUGAUAUAGAUUGGAAAGUAAAGAUUGCAAAAUAAAGUAGAUCGGAAACUUAUAUGAUGGAAGAUAGACCCGGGGGCCAUAGGUUUCACUAGUGGCUUCUCUCAAGAUAGCAUAAGUAUUACUGUGGGGUGAACAAAUUACUGUGAGCAAUUGAUAGAAAAGUGCAUAGCUAUGAGAAUAUCUAGGCAUGAUCAUGUAUAUAGGCAUCACGUCUGCGACAAGUAGACCGACUCCUGCCUGCAUCUACUACUAUUACUCCACACAUCGACCGCUAUCCAGCAUGCAUCUAGAGUAUUAAGUUCAUAAGAACAGAGUAAGCAUUAGGCAAGAUGACAUGAUGUAGAGGGAUAAACUCAAGCAAUAUGAUAUAAACCCCAUCUUUUUAUCCUCAAUGGCAACAAUACAAUACGUGCCUUGCUGCCCCUGCUGUCACUGGGAAAGGACACCGCAAGAUUGAACCCAAAGCUAAGCACUUCUCCCAUUGCAAGAAAGAUCAAUCUAGUAGGCCAAACCAAACUGAUAAUUCGAAGAGACUUGCAAAGAUAACCAAUCAUACAUAAAAGAAUUCAGAGAAGAUUCAAAUAUUUCUCAUAGAUAAACUUGAUCAUAAACCCACAAUUCAUCGAAUCUCGACAAACACACCGCAAAAAGAGUUAUAUCGAAUAGAUCUCCAAGAAGAUCAAGGAGAACUUUGUAUUGAGAUUCAAAAAGAGAGAAGAAGCCAUCUAGAUAAUAACUAUGGACCCGAAGGUCUGUGGUAAACUACUCACAACUCAUCAGAGAGGCCUUGGCGAUGAUGUAGAAGCCCUCUGUGAUCGAUUCCCCCUUCGGUGGGGCGCCGAAAAAGGGCCCAACACUACUAGAAAAUAGGUUGUUAGUGGCGCACCAGUUUUUGCUAUUAAUGGCACACUAUAGGUGCGCCAUUAUUAACACGCCACUAGUAACAAAUAGUAAUGGCGCACCUCUGGUGCGCCAUUUAGUAUCCCAGAUGAUAGUGGCACACCACAUCAUGCGCCAUUACUAUGUCCAACAAUGCGCCAUUACUAUGCCUCAUAGGGGCCCAUAUUUACCUUCACGUAUGCCCCCAAGUGCGCCAUUACUAUGCCCCAUAAUGCGCCACUGGUAUUUAGCCUUGGUGCGCCACUAAUGCUCAAUAUGGUGCGCCACUACGGGGGGCCAUAUUUGCCACUAUGAAUAUUAGGAAUUAUUAUUUUUUGCUUUUCUGGUAUUUGCACAGGUUACAAAAUACGUUACAUCACAGAAUAUAAACAUCACACAAUAGAAUUCAUCAUAUUAGUCUUCAAAUUCGAAAUAGCAAACAAAGUUCAAACAUUAGCCAAGUUUAGGUCUCGAGACAUUAGCAAAGUUCAUCAUAUUAGCCGAGUUUGUCGUCACAUUACAAAGUCGAUAUCGAUCAUCUAAACUACCAUCACAUAGAAGAGAGCUGCGGUCACGAUGAGCAUCAUCGCGAUGAAACUGGUCUUCAUCCGGUUCCUCCUCUGCUCCCUCCUCUCUCCCGCUAGAUAGCGCGCGUAUCUAGCUUCCACCUCCGCCCUAGUGGUGUACCCUUUGUAACUGUUACCACUGAAAUGGUGAACUUGUCUCCGACACUCCUCCCAGUCGUCGUAGACUCCAGGAACCUUACCCUUGUACACGACAUAUGACGGCAUCUCUAUGCACUAGACAAACAAAACGUUAGUAGCAAUUCACAGAUAAUAUAUAAGCAAUAUAUAAGUAUGCAACAAAAGGAUCGGAAGAGAAAAGAAACACAUUAAUAGCACGAUUCAUGGUCCUACUAAUAAAUAGCAUCGAUUACAUAUAAGUUGAACAACUCUCCAAACUAAAGAGACAUACAAGUUCAUUAAAGUUUAAUUACAACAUGAGCUAAUCGGUAUUUCAGAACUGCAUGGCAUCAAUACUUUAGACUCGACUCAGGGACCGGAGCGUGGAUGAAGCCGCCGUCUAUCGUGAUGGUCAUGAAUGUGCGGUCGUUGUCAUCCUGCAUUUGUAGCGUUGUUUCUAUUUCACUGUUGGACAGUUGAUAUUUGAGGUAGAACUGCCCCGAGGUACGAAGGACAUCUUGAAAGAUGAUUUCCGCAAACUCCGGCUGGAUGCGAAAGAAUUCAAGUCCGAUGUCCGCGUCCUAGAUCGCCGACAAGCAUGCGGCCCAGUCUUUGAGAUUAUUUGGUAGCAUAAGGUGAUUAUGGUCCCGUACGAUCGCCCGCAUGUGAUGGAGGGUGUAGUAGGCAUCCUUCUGACUGCCAGGCGGCUGCUUGACGCAGGGGAACAUCGUUACGUGGGUGAACACGUGCUUGCCAUACCUACAAGUUGGCCUCCUGAAGGUGCCUCCAGAUUUGGUGUAGCCGGGGAGAGCAUCAUCAAGAACUUUCUUGAUAUUUAUGUAGUCUUUCUUCGACUGACGGUCCGAGUCGAAACUGAAGGAAAUAUGCCCUAGAGGUGAUAAUAAAGUUAUUAUUUAUUUCCUUAUUUCAUGAUAAAUGUUUAUUAUUCAUGCUAGAAUUGUGUUAAACAGAAACAUAAUACAUGUGUGAAUACAUAGACAAACAUAGUGUCACUAGUAUGCCUCUACUUGACUAGCUCGUUAAUCAAAGAUGGUUAAGUUUUCUAACCAUAGACAUGAGUUAUCAUUUGAUUAACGGGAUCACAUCAUUAGGAGAAUGAUGUGAUUGACUUGACCCAUUCUGUUAGCUUAGCACUUGAUCGUUUAGUAUGUUGCUAUUGCUUUCUUCAUGACUUAUACAUGUUCCUACAACUAUGAGAUUAUGCAACUCCCAUUUACCGGAGGAACACUUUGUGUGCUACCAAAUGUCACAACAUAACUGGGUGAUUAUAAAGGAGCUCUACAGGUCUCUCCGAAGGUACAUGUUGGGUUGGCGUAUUUCGUGAUUAGGAUUUGUCACGCCAAUUGUCGGAGAGGUAUCUCUGGGCCCUCUCGGUAAUGCACAUCACUAUAAACCUUGCAAGCAAUGUGACUAAUGAGUUAGUUGCAGGAUGAUGCAUUAUGUAACGAGUAAAGAGACUUGCUUGUAACGAGAUUGAACUAGGUUUUGAGAUACCGACAAUCGAAUCUUGGGCAAGUAACAUACCGAUGACAAAAGGAACAACGUAUGUUGUUAUGCGGUUUGACCGAUAAAGAUCUUCGUAGAAUAUGUAGGAGCCAAUAUGAGCAUCCAGUUCCGCUAUUGGUUAUUGACCGGAAACGUGUCUCGGUCAUGUCUACAUAGUUCUCGAACCCGUAGGGUCCGCACGCUUAAGGUUUCGAUGACAGUUAUAUUAUGAGUUUAUGAGUUUUGAUGUACCAAAGGAGUUCGGAGUCUCGGAUGAGAUCGGGGACAUGACGAUGAGUCUCGAAAUGGUGGAGACAUAAAGAUCGAUAUAAUGGACGACUAUAUUCGGACUUCGGAAAGGUUCCGAGUGAUUCGGGUAUUUUUCGGUGUACCGGAGAGUUACGGGAAUUCGCCGGGGAGUAUAUGGGCCUUAUUGGGCCAUACGGGAAUAGAGGAGAGAGGCCAAAAGGAAGGAGGCCUGCGCCCCCCCUCUAGUCCGAAUUGGACAAGGGGUGCAGCCCCCUUUUCCUUCUCCCUCUCCCCCUCUUUCCUUCUCUACUACUCCAACAAGGAAAGGAGGAGUCCUACUCCCGGUGGGAGUAGAACUCCCCCCUUGGCGCGCCCUCCUCCUUGGCCGGCCGCCUCCCCCCUUGCUCCUUUAUAUACGGGGGCAGGGGGCACCCCAUAGACACACCAAUUGAUCACUUGAUCUCUUAGCCGUGUGCGGUGCCCCCCUCCACCAUAGUCCCGUGUGCGGUGUCAAAACCGGCGGAUCUCGGGUAGGGGGUACCGAACUGUGCGUCUAGGCGGAUGGUAACAGGAGAUAAGGGACACGAUGUUUUACCCAGGUUCGGGCCCUCUUGAUGGAGGUAAAACCCUACGUCCUGCUUGAUUGAUAUUGAUGAUGUGGGUAUUACAAGAGUAGAUCUACCACGAGAUCAAGGAGGCUAAACCCUAGAGGCUAGCCUAUGGUAUGAUUAUUGUUGUCCUACGGACUAAAACCAUCCGGUUUAUAUAGACACCGGAGAGGGCUAGGGUUACACAGAGUCGGUUACAAUGGUAGGAGAUCUACAUAUCCGUAUCGCCAAGCUUGCCUUCCACGCCAAGGAAAGUCCCAUCCGGACACGGGACGAAGUCUUCAAUCUUGUAUCUUCAUAGUCUUGGAGUCCGGCCGAUGAUGGUAGUUUGGCUAUCCGGACACCCCCUAAUCCGGGACUCCCUCGGUAGCCCCCGAACUAGGCUUCAAUGACGACGAGUCCGGCACGCAUAUUGUCUUCGGCGUUGCAAGGCGGGUUCUCCUCUAAAUUCCAUGUGCCUGAUGAAUAGUGUCCGGCUUCCUCAUAAAUGUUGCGCUCCUUGGCUUCCACGUCCAAUAAUGGCCCUCUUCCACGUGUCGUAUGAAUGCGAAAAGCUAGGGUAUUUUUGCGUUUUACUCCCUAACCGCGCGAAUGAGCUGCCUAUAAGAGAGGCGUGGAUCUAGAUCCAAAUCCACCAUCCUCCUUUCGCAAGUACUCAUCGAAGCGCCUCUGACCAAAAUCCAUUCCAUCAUGGAUAGUCGACGCGGCUCCUCCUCUCGCGCUCCCAGCCCUCAGCCAGGAGAUUGGAGGAGAUGUUCAGUUCCGCAUAGCGAGCUGGUGAUGCUCCAAGCAGAGGGAUAUCUUCCCCCGGCCUUCAUGGUUCCGGUUCAAGCCGGACUGGCCACCUACAAGGGUGGGAAGCAGGCAGAGAGCGCCCCCAAUCCCUCUCGAGGAGAGCGGGUAUGCUUCGUCCCUUAUCUAAUAAGGGGACUCAGAUUUCCCAUACAUCCGUUUCUCCGGGGGCUCCUGGAGUUCUAUGGACUCCAGCUUCACCACCUUACACCUGCCUCCAUUUUGCACAUUGCGGGUUUUGUAGCUCUUUGCGAGCUGUUCUUGGGCAUCGAUCCCCAUUUUGCGCUGUGGAAGAGAUUGUUUUGUCUCGUACCCCCUUCUCACGAGGGGUCGAUAUAUCAAGUGGGCGGAGCCGAAAUAUGGCGCAUCGCCGGAACCGGAUAUCUAUCCGAAACCCCAAAGAAGGCGUCCGAAGACUGGCCUUCGGAAUGAUUUUAUAUGGAAGACGCCCCUCUGCCGGAUCCAGUUCGGAUCGGCCUCCCGGAGUUCAGCAACGCUCCUCUGAAGAAACGCCUGAGUUGGCGCCAGCGGAGUUCUCAACGAGAGGAUGACAGGAGUGUCCAAUAUCUGAUGGGCCGGAUAAGGUUACUGGCCCACUCCGGACUGACCAUGAUCGGAGUCAUGGCCACAUGCAUUAUGCGAGGGGUGCAACCACUCCAAUAUAGGGGCCACCCCAUGUGGGAUUUCAACGGGGAGAAUGACGCUACCUGUCACGGCCGCAAGGGGGCCGGGAUCGACCACCGAUCUGGUGAAGAUCCUGUCCUGCUUGUACAAGGGGGAGAAGGAGGACUUCCUCCGCACGAGUCCAUUGAAUGGAUUCUCCAUGAAUAACCCUCGAAGCUGGGUAAGCGGACGUUUGUCUAUCCGAUUCGUGCUUUCAAAGUUAAGUGUUUUACUUUAUGAUUUCGACGCAGGAACUGCGCCGAGAUGUGGAGGGCAUACAAAGCCCGACUCCACAACCCGAGGAUCCGGGAAGAUCCCUUGAUCCGGCCUCCGAAGAGGAUCCGGUCAUAGAGGUGGAGGUGAUUGAUGCGGUGUUCCACCAACUCAGCAUGGACAAUGCUCUAGUCGCCAUUACGGCUGUCUACCCCGGUUUAUCUCCGGCUUCCUAGGUAACUACGACCGAAGCCCUGACACCAUUAUUUCGCUCAUGCUUAUUUCUGACCACUGUAUACCAAUGGUGUUUCGCAGGAGGUGCCCUUGAGGCAGGAAGCCGAUCCUGCGGUGACUGACCGACAAGGGUCAAUACGGCCCAGCAGGCAGAAGAGGAGUGCGGCGUGAAUCGAAACGUCGCCGCAACGGUAUGGCUCACCAUUGUCUUCAAGGUAAAGACUCCUGGGAGGUCUAUUAAUGCUCAUGAUUCUUUCAGGAGAAAAAGCGCUCGCCGGACCGUGCCAGGAGAGGUUGCCAACCAAGCCUCCGCCAGCCAGGCUCCAACACCUGGUCCGGAGGGGGAGGCGAGCGCAAGGCGCGAGCCGGAUGCUCCUCCAACGGAGGAUGCCGACAGGCUGUCCGCCACCAGGUCUGAGGUGGAGAGCGCCAUGAAUCACAGGCGCCGCCGGACAGUUCUUCGUGACGCAUGUUUCUCCCCGGAGGCGUUGAAUGCCUUUAAUGCGGGAGACGCGCACCUCCGUGCCGCUCAAAAUGGUUUAACCAGAGCCACGGAGCAGUAUGUAAAGGACAUACGGGUAAGGAAUUUUAAUAGUUAUAUAUGCCAGUAGCCCCCGAGACUUAAAAUAGUUAAAAUAACUGAUUUAAGGAUCAUUUAUUAUGCAGGAUCUUACGGAGAAGAAUAUCCACCUGUCCCAGGAGCUUCAAGAGUGCAAGGCCCAACUUGAGGCCGCACUGGCCGCCACAGGGGGAGCCACAGAGACCCCCGCUGGUAAUACAUACUUCGAAAAGAUAGGUAGUUAAUAAAGUGCGGCGUGUGCGUAAGUCUGACAAUAAUAUUGCAGAGGGUGCCGGACUGGAUCCGGACAAGCAACAUCUGUUGCGCCAGCUGAAGGCCGGAGAGAAGGUGCUUAUGAGGGUGCAGCAGGAGAGGAACAAACUCCAAGAUGCCAACACCCAGCUGGGCGAAGAACUAAAAGAUGUUCGGGUCCAGCUGUCUGACUCCAUAAAGGAGAAUCGGCGGCUUCAUCGCGGCAUUUACAGUAAGUGCUUGAGCAAACUCUUUUGAAAAGAAGAGUUCGGCGAGGAAGUCGAUUGACAGAAAUGUGUCUGUAGGUGUGCUCACGGGUCGUCCGGCGGAGGAAAUGCCUGGUUCCACGGGUGACCUUCUUUUCGAACUGCUGCAACUGCACGAACGUAUUCGGCAGGCGAUGAGCGGCGCCGUCCAGGCCUUAUGGCCGUCCGUCUCCUUACCCGAGGGUCUUGAAGAGCUUGCUGAGAAGCUUCAGGGAGUACGGCAGCGCUUCCGUCUGUGGAAGAUAUCGGCCUGCCGUCAAGGUGCCAGAGAGGCCUGGGCCAUGGUGAAGACGCGGUACACAAAGGCUGAUCCAAACCACAUGGCCGAAGUCGGACCUGUGGGGUCCGAUGGGAAGGAGAUCCCUGUGAGCUUGAUGUACGGCCAAGUAGAGUUGGCCGCGAAAUAUUCCCAACGGGACUGUAAACUAGACAACCUGUUAGAUGGGAUUGAAGAGGAGUUCAAUCAGUCAAUUUGACGAUGUAAUUUUAAAAUGACAUGUAAAAUGCCUUCUAGCCGGAUUGUAGAUCGUUUGUCUUUGCGGACCUUUUCGCUUCAACCUCUGGACCCAAGAGUCCGGAAUGUGUCUGAAUACCCUAACGGUUAUAAAAACCGGGGCAUGCAUGGAGACCAGGCAUAGGGGUCAUUAGUGCUUUAUCAGACAAGUGCCCAACUAGUUAUGUUAUAUUACAUGGUUAGUAAGAGGCAUCUUCCAGGGAGAAUAGCUCCAUUAGGGGUUCCUUUCCCUGGGAGGCAUGCCCUAAGGUGCAUGUCCGUACUACGAAGAGAGCAGAAAAAACAUCCGGGGGCAGAUAAAUAAAUAAGUAAUAAAUAAUCUUUCAAGUCACCGACCGAAUAUUCCCUUAAGAACGGUAGCUUUCAGCUUCACCCAGUCUGAGGUACACAUCCAGCUGACCCGAUAGUAACAAUCGCAGAGGUGCUCCCUUUACCUCCUAGCCAAACAAUCGGGAACGUAGGGGUAAGCACAGGAGCCAGGCAACCCAGCUUGGCCAAAACUUAAGUCAUAUCGAUGCAUAUAAUGGUGAAAAGGUACAUGCGGAAGUAUGGCACAUGUGUUGGGCAUGAAGCCCGUAUAAAUAAGCUUCUGUUAAAGAAGCCCCCAGGUAUAAUGAGUGCGAGUAGCUCCUCAAGUGUGUGCGAACAAUGCGCAGAUCAGCCCUCAAAGGCUUUUACUAAAAAAAGGGGGGAAGAAGGAGGGGAACAAAAGACAGCAAAAAUAUAAAAGGUGGACGAAGGGAGGAGACGAACUUUGAGUCCGGCGCUAGGCGUAAAAUCUUCGGAGACGGGCUGCGUUCCAUGGGUUCGGCUCGAGUCGGUUGUCAGAUGCGUUACGUAGACGGUAUGCUCCGCCAGUCAGGACUUGGUCGAUGAUGAAGGGACCUCCCCAUUUGGGGUUAAGUUUGUCCUUUUUCUUGUCCGGCAGGCGUAGAACUAGCUCGCCAACAUUGUAAGUUUUGGCCCGUACUUCUCUGCUUUGAUAUCUUCGAGCCUGCUGCUGAUAGAAUGCGGAACGAGCUUUUGCCACGUCCCGCUCCUCCUCUAAGGCGUCCAAGCUGUCCUGCCGAUCCAACUCGGCUUCUCUUUCUUCGUACAUGCGCACGCGAGGUGAGUCAUGAAUUAUAUCGCAGGGCAAAACUGCCUCUGCGCCGUACACCAUAAAAAAUGGUGUGAAUCUGGUAGUGCGCUUCGGCAUGGUCCACAGCCCCCAGAGUACGGAGUCGAGCUCCUCUACCCAGUGCAUGUUAGAUUCCGUGAGGGGUCGCACUAAUCUGGGUUUGAUGCCGCUCAUGAUUAGACCGUUUGCUCGUUCGACUUGACCGUUAGUUUGGGGGUGAUAGACUGAAGCGUAGUCGAGCCUGAUGCCCAUGUUUUUGCACCAGAGUUUAACCUCGUCGGCCGUGAAAUUCGUGCCGUUAUCAGUGAUGAUGCUGUGGGGGACACCAUAACGGUGUACUACCCCGGAUAUGAAGUCUAUCACCGGUCCGGAUUUGGCCGUUUUAACUGGCUUGGCCUCUAUCCAUUUGGUGAAUUUUUCCACCAUGACCAAUAGGUAUUUUUGCUUGUGGGUUCCCCCUUUAAGGGGUCCAACCAUGUCAAGCCCCCAGACCGCGAACGGCCAGGUGAUGGGUAUAGUUUUGAGGGCGGUGGGUGGCAUGUGGCUUUGAUUAGCAAAGAGCUGGCAACCGACGCAUCGUUGGACUAAGUCCUGAGCAUCCGCCCGGGCUGUCGGCCAAUAAAAUCUUGUACGGAAGGCCUUGCCUACAAGGGCCCGAGCUGCAGCGUGGUGCCCGCCCAGUCCGGCGUGAAUUUCAGCCAGGAGAUUUCGCCCUUCCUCUUUGGAGAUGCACCUUUGAAGGACUCCGGUUGUGCUUUUCUUAUAGAGUUCUCCCUCAUGGACCUUGUAGGCUUUAGAUCGCCGAACUAUGCAGCAGGCCUCAUUUUGGUCUUCGGGAAGUUCCUGCCUAGUUAAGUAGGCUAGGAAUUGGUCCACGGGGCAAUUACUGCCAUUAUUUCGUGGGCUGAGGGUGUUAUUUCAUUGGCUGAGCCACUGACUGUGUCAGAAUGUUCCGUGUUGGGUGGCGCUGUUGUUUCCGGGUUGUUGUUUUCGGACUCCUCUUCCCAUAAUACGGAUGGCUUAAAGUGCCGCUCCAGGAAGAUGUUUGGAGGGACGGCGUCGCGUUUUGCGCCGAUGCGCGCCAACACGUCGGUUGCCUGGUUAUUGUCCCGGGCUACAUGGUGGAAUUCGAGUCCUUCGAACCGAGCUGACAUUUUUAAGACGACGCUACGAUAGGCUGCCAUUUUCGGAUCCUUGGCGUCAAAGUCUCCAUUUACUUGGGAUAUUGCGAGGUUUGAAUCCCCGCGCACCUCUAGGCGUUGAAUACCCAUGGAGAUUGCCAUCCGGAGACCAUGUAGAAGGGCCUCGUAUUCGGCUGCGUUGUUGGAGUCCGUGUACAUUAUCUGAAGUACAUAUUGGACUGUGUCACCGGUUGGGGACGUCAAUACGACGCCAGCCCCUAGGCCGGCCAACAUUUUGGAGCCGUCAAAAUGCAUGAUUCAAUUGGAGUAUGCGCCGUACUCUUUAGGCAGUUCGGCUUCGGUCCAUUCGGCGAUGAAGUCGGCCAACACUUGCGACUUUAUAGCUCGCCUUGGUUUGUCGGUUAUGUCAAAUGAUAAGAGCUCAAUGGCCCAUUUUGCAAUCCUGCCCAUCGCGUCGCCGUUGUUUAUAAUGUCGUUGAGAGGAACUUCGGAAGCCACUGUUAUCGAGCACUCUUGAAAGUAGUGUCGCAGCUUCCGGGAUGCCAUGAACACCGCAUACGCUAUCUUUUGGUAAUGUGGAUACCGGGACUUGCAUGGAGUUAAGACAGUGGAUACAUAGUACACUGGUUUUUGAAGAGGGAAUUUAUGUCCUUCUGUUUCUCGUUCGACGACGAGCGCUGCGCUGACAACUUGAUGUGUUGCCGCGAUAUAUAAUAACAUUGGUUCGCCUAGGUUGGGCGCGGCUAGGACCGGGUUUGUUGCUAAUAUGGCCUUUAUUUCUUUGAGUCCGGCCGUGGCAGCAUCCGUCCACUCGAAGUGUUCGGUGCGACGGAGGAGGCGGUAGAGAGGCAAUGCCUUUUCUCCCAGACGGGAGAUGAAGCGGCUUAGCACCGCCAUGCAUCCAGUCAAUUUUUGUAUUUGUUUGAGGUCUUUUGGGAUAUCCAAUUGUGACAGAUCUCGGAUCUUGGCUGGGUUUGAUUCAAUUCCUCUACCGGAUACAAUGAAGCCCAAGAGCUUUCUGACUGGUACGCCGAAAACGCAUUUGUCCGGGUUGAGCUUAAUCUCAUAUGCUCGUAGGUUGUCAAAUGUGAGCCUCAAAUCAUCUACUAGACUUUCGACGUGUUCGGUCUUAACGACCACAUCGUCUACAUAUGCCUCCACUGUUUUGCCGAUCUGGGUAGCCAGACAUGUCUGAAUCAUGCGCUGAUAUGUUGCGCCGGCGUUUUUAAGUCCGAAGGGCAUUGUGUUGAAGCAGAAUGGUCCGUAUGGAUUAAUGAAUGCCAUUGCGGCCUGGUCUGUUUCCGCCAUCUUGAUUUGAUGGUAUCCAGAGUAUGCGUCGAGGAAACACAAUGAAUCGUGCCCCGCGGUAGCAUCGAUGAUUUGGUCGAUGCGGGGGAGGGGGAAAGGAUCCUUUGGACAGGCCUUAUUAAGGUCUUUAAAAUCCAUGCAGAGGCGCCAGGAUUUGUCCUUUUUUGGUACCAUUACCAGGUUGGCUAGCCAGUCCGGAUGUUUUAUGUCUCUAAUGAAUCCGGCUUCUAGUAGUUUGGCUAGCUCCUCUCCCAUUGCCUGUCUUUUGAGUUCGGAAAAUCGUCGAAGGGCCUGUUUGACUGGCUUGAAUCCUUUUAGGAUAUUUAGGCUGUGCUCUGCCAGCCUGCGUGGGAUUCCUGGCAUAUCUGAAGGGUUCCAGGCAAAAAUGUCCCAAUUUUCCCGAAGGAAUUCUCGUAGUGCGGCUUCUACAUCAGGGUUUAAUUGUGCCCUAAUGGAGGCCGUCUUUGAGGGGUCCGUUGGAUGGACCUGGAAUUUGACUAUUUCGUCUGCUGGUUUAAAAGAGGUGGACUUAGAUCUCUUAUUGAGUAUCACAUCGUCCCUAUUCACCGUGGAGCAUAGUGCGGUUAGUUCCUCUACCGCUAGGGCUUCGGAUAGUGCCUCUAGGGCUAGUGCGGCUGUCUUAUUUUCAGCGCGGAGUGCUAUGUCCGGAUCACUGACCAGAGUGAUGAUUCCAUUGGGCCCGGGCAUUUUGAGCUUCAUGUACCCGUAAUGGGGUACAACUUGGAAAAUUGUGAAUGCCUCUCGCCCUAAUAGAGCGUGAUAUCCGCUGCUGAACGGGGCCACUUGGAACGUGACUUCCUCGGACCUGUAGUUGUCCGGCGAGCCGAACACCACAUCUAAUGUGAUUUUUCCUGUGCAGCAUACUUCCCGACUAGGGAUUAUUCCUCUAAAGGUUGUGCUGCUUCGCUCAAUGCGGCUCCAGUCUAUUUCCAUUUUCUGGAGGGUUUCCUUGUAGAUGAGGUUUAAUCCGCUGCCGCCAUCCAUGAGUACCUUGGUAAGACGAAAGCCAUCCACUAUUGGACUGAGGACCAAUGCGGCUGGUGCUCGGGCUAUUCGGAAUUUAGGUUCGUCGCUGGCAUUGAAGGUGAUAGCCGUGUCGCUCCAUGGAUUUGUUGUUGCUACUUGGUAGACUUCGGCGAGGCUGCGGAUUGUUCGUUUCCGCAUAUUAUUUGAUGCGAAAGUCUCGAAGACUGUUAAUACCAUACUGGUACUGUUGGGGUGGUUCUCCGGGGCUAGAAGACCUUCGCCGCUUUUGGCCACCUGCUGUAGUAUCCAACAUGCUCUAAGGCUAUGAGUUGGAGUGGCGCCCUCUGUGCUAUGAAUUUUUCAGGGUCCAUUGAGUCAUCCCUCCAGUACGGUUCCAUGCCCUAUGAAGGGUUUUUGCUUUUUGGUAUUUAACCCAGGUGCCUGUUGAUGAUGCACCCUUUUAUUUCGGACUGGGUCUGUGUUCAGGGCCGGAUUAUCCCAAAAAUUGAUUUCGGCUUUCCAGGCGCUUUCCAUCUCAAAGUACUUUCAUACUAUGGACGCCAAAUCAGCGAAGCGUGUAAUUUCACGAUGACUUAUGGCGUUGAGGAUUCCCUUGUCCGUGCAAUUGUUGCAGAAAACUAAGAUUGCGCUUUCCUCACGGCAGUCCUUUAUCCUGUCCAUAACCAAGAGGAAUCUGGCCCAGCAAUGAUGUACUGUUUCAUCGGGCUCUUGCCGUAUUUGAGAUAGAUCACUUAUGUUUGGGUGGGCGGGUGGAAUUAAAUUCAGAACCCCGCCCAAUCUGGGGCUCAAAGGCCGAGGAGCUUCCGGACUUGGAAGCUCGGGUUGCUAGAUGCUGUCCAACGAAUCUAGUCCGCUGCCUGACUUUAGGUUCAGUACUCGAUUGCCGUCCGUCCCUCCGCGGGAAUCCGGCAUGGGGGGAUCGGGAAUCCAGACAUAACUGGUUUUUAACAUAGAAGAAGAGUCGUCGCGUUGUUCUUCUACCACAGCGGCAUGGUGGGUAGCCUGGGGAGAGUUAAUUUCUCUCAGAUCGGUUUUAAGCCCAAUCUGAUCGUAGUCUGUAGCGACUCCCAGGGCGGUGAUGUGAUCCAAGAGCUCAUUUACGGAAGAGAGCUCCAUCGUAUCCAGCUGCUCGGCUAAUUCCGAGUUAACACGAAGAUCGCUUUUGAUGACCCGAGAGGUCAUCGUCGAAGCGUUGGCCGAACAGGCGGUCAUAAGAAAACCACCUAACCGGAUAGCUUGACCGGCGGCCAAAGCUCCUUUGACAAUGGUACCGUCUUUAAAGACGGGAAGAGGCAUCCUUCUUGAUUGCGACGGCAUAGAGGAACUCUCAAUGAAAGCACCAAUGUCGGUGUCAAAACCAGCGGAUCUCGGGUAGGGGGUCCCGAACUUUGCGUCUAGGCGGAUGGUAACAGGAGACAAGGGACACGAUGUUUUACCUAGGUUCGGGCCCUCUUGAUGGAGGUAAAACCCUACGUCCUACUUGAUUGAUAUUGAUGAUGUGGGUAUUACAAGAGUAGAUCUACCACGAGAUCAAGGAGGAUAAACCCUAGAGGCUAGCCUAUGGUAUGAUUGUUGUUGUCCUACGGACUAAAACCAUCCGGUUUAUAUAGACACCGGAGAGGGCUAGGGUUACACAGAGUCGGUUACAAUGGUAGGAGAUCUACAUAUCCGUAUCGCCAAGCUUGCCUUCCACGCCAAGGAAAGUCCCAUCCGGACAUGGGACGAAGUCUUCAAUCUUGUAUCUUCAUAGUCUUGGAGUCCGGCCGAUGAUGGUAGUUCGGCUAUCCGGACACCCCCUAAUCCGGGACUCCCUCAAGGAGUCCUACUCCCGGUGGGAGUAGGACUCCCCCCUUGGUGCGCCCUCCUCCUUGGUCGGCCGCCUCCCCCCUUGCUCCUUUAUAUACGGGGGCAGGGGGCACCCCAUAGACACAACAAUUGAUCUCUUGAUCUCUUAGCCGUGUGCGGUGCUCCCCUCCACCAUAGUCCUCGAUAAUAUUGUAGCGGUGCUUAGGCGAAUCCCUGCGACGGUAGAACAUCAAGAUCGUCACCACGCCGUCGUGCUGACGGAACUCUUCCCCGACAUUCUGCUGGAUCGGAGUCUGGGGAUCGUCAUCGAGCUGAACGUGUGCUAGAACUCGGAGGUGCCGUAGUUUCGGUGCUUGAUUGGUUGGGCCGUGAAGACGUACGACUACAUCAACCGCGUUGUUCUAACGCUUCCGCUUUCGUUCUACAAGGGUACGUGGACAACACUCUCCCCUCUCGUUGCUAUGCAUCACCAUGAUCUUGCGUGUGCAUAGGAAUUUUUUUGAAAUUACUACGUUCCCCUACAGUGGUAUCCGAGCCAGGUUUUAUGCGUAGAUGUUAUAUGCACGAGUAGAACACAAGUGAGUUGUGGGCGAUACAAGUCAUACUGCUUAUCAGCAUUUCAUACUUUGGUUCGGCGGUAUUGUUGGAUGAAGCGGCCCGGACCGACAUCACGCGUACGCUUACGCGAGACCGGUUCUACCGACGUGCUUUGCACACAGGUGACUGGCGGGUGACUGUUUCUCCAACUUUAGUUUAACCGAGUGUGGCUACGCCCGGUCCUUGCGAAGGUUAAAACAACACUAACUUGACGAACUAUCGUUGUGGUUUUGAUGCGUAGGUAAGAACGGUUCUUGCUCAGCCCGUAGCAGCCAUGUAAAAUUUGCAACAACAAAGUAGAGGACGUCUAACUUGUUUUUGCAGGGCAUGUUGUGAUGUGAUAUGGUCAAUACGUGAUGCUAUAUUUUAUUGUAUGAGAUGAUCAUGUUUUGUAACCGAAGUUAUCGACAACUCGCAGGAGCCAUAUGGUUGUCGCUUUAUUGUAUGAAAUGCAAACGCCCUGUAAUUGCUUUACUUUAUCACUAAGCAGUAGCCAUAGUCGUAGAAGCAAUAGAUGGCGUAAACGACAACGAUGCUACGAUGGAGAUCAAUGUGUCGCGCCGGUGACGUUGGUGAUCACGACAGUGCUUCGGAGAUGGAGAUCACAAGCACAAGAUGUUGAUGGCCAUAUCAUAUCACUUAUAUUGAUUGCAUGUGAUGUUUAUCAUUUAUGCAUCUUAUCUUGCUUUGAUUGACGGUAGCAUUUUAAGAUGAUCUCUCACUAAUUAUCAAGAAGUGUUCUCCCUGAGUAUGCACCGUUGCGAAAGUUCUUCGUGCUGAGACACCACGUGAUGAUCGGGUGUGAUAGGCUCUACGUUCAAAUACAACGGGUGCAAAACAGUUGCACACGCGGAAUACUCAGGUUAAACUUGACGAGCCUAUCAUAUACAGAUAUGGCCUCGGAACACGGAGACCGAAAGGUUGAACGUGAAUCAUAUAGUAGAUAUGAUCAACAUAGUGAUGUUCACCAUUGAAAACUACUCCAUCUCACGUGAUGAUCGGACAUGGUUUAGUUGAUUUGGACCAGGUGAUCACUUAGAUGACUAGAGAGAUGUCUGUCUAAGUGGGAGUUCUUAAGUAAUAUGAUUAAUUGAACUUAAAUUUAUCAUGAACUUAGUCCUGGUAGUAUUUUGCAAAUUAUGUUGUAGAUCAAUAGCUCGCGUUGUUGCUUUCAUAUGUUUAUUUUGAUUUGUUCCUAGAGAAAACUGUGUUGAAAGAUGUUAGUAGCAAUGAUGCAGAUUGGAUUCGUGAUCUGAGGUUUAUCCUCAUUGCUGCACAGAAGAAUUAUGUCCUUGAUGCACCGCUAGGUGACAAACCUAUUGCAGGAGCAGAUGCAGACAUUAUGACUGUUUGGCUAGCUCAAAAUGAUGACUACUUGAUAGUUUAGUGCACUAUGCUUAAAUGGCUUAGAAUCAGGAUUUCAAAUACGUUUUGAACGUCAUGGACCAUAUGAGAUGUUCCAAGAGUUGAAGUUAAUAUUUCAAGCAAAUACCCGAGUUGAGAGAUAUGAAGUCUCCAACAAGUUCUAUAGCUAAAAGAUGGAGGAGAAUUGCUCAACUAGUGAGCAUGUGCUCAGAUUGUCUAGGUACUACAAUCGCUUAAAUCAAGUGGGAGUUAAUCUUCCAAAUAAGAUAGUGAUUGAAAGAGUUCUCUAGUCACCAUCACCAAGUUACUAGAACUUCGUAAUGAACUAUAGUAUGCAAGGGAUGACGAAAACGAUUCCCGAGCUCUUCGUGAUGUUGAAAUCGACGAAGGUAGAAAUCAAGAAAGAGCAUCAAGUGUUGAUGAUUGACAAGACCACUAGUUUCAAGAAAAGGGCAAAGGGAAAGAAAGGGAAACUUCAAGUAGAAUGGCAAACAAGUUGUCACUCCCGUGAAGAAGACCAAAGCCUGAAACUGAGUGCUUACACUUCAAAGGAAAUGGACACUGGAAGCGGAAAUGCCCUGAAUAUUUGGUGGAUAAGAAGGAUGGCAAAGUGAACAAGGGUAUAUUUGAUAUACAGGUUAUUGAUGUGUGCCUUACUAGUGUUUAUAGUAGACCAUGAGUAUUUGAUACUUGUUCGGUUGCUAAGAUUAGUAACUCGAAACAGGAGUUACAGAAUAAACAGACUAGUUGAAGGGGAAGUGACAAUGAGUGUUGGAAGUAGUUCCAAGAUUGAUAUGAGUUACGAGUUUGGUCUUCAUUUGAAACAAUGUGAAAUAGUUUCGCAAGUCAUGCCACCUGGAACACCACAAUCUAAUGGUGUGUCCAAACAUCGUAAUCGUACUUUACUAGAUAUGGUGCGAUCUAUGAUGUCUCUUAUCGGUUUACCACUAUUUUUUUGGGGUUAUGCAUUAGAGACAGCUGCAUUCACGUUUAAUAGGGCACCAUCUAAAUACGUUGAGACGACACCGUAUGAACUAUGGUUUAGCAGUAAACCUAAGCUAUCAUUUCUUAAAGUUUGGAGUUGCGAUGCUUAUAUGAAAAAGGUUUUCAACCUGAUAAGCUUGAAGCCAAAUCGGAGAAGUGCGUCUUCAUAGAAUACCCAAAGGAAACUGUUGGGUACACCUUCUAUCACAGAUCUGAAGGCAAAACAUUCGUUGCUAAGAAUGGAUCCUUUCUAGAGAAGGAUUUUCUCUCGAAAGAAGUGAGUGGGAGGAAAGUAGAGCUUGAUAAGGUAAUUUGUACCUUCUCCUGAAUUGGAAAGUAGUUCAUCACAGAAAUCAGUUACAGUGAUUCCUACACCAAUUAGUGAGGAAGCUAAUGAUGAUGAUCAUGAAACUUUAGAUCAAGUUACUACAAAACCUCGUAGGUCUUCCAAAGUACAGCCUGCACCAGAGUGGUACGGUAAUCCUGUUUUGGAAGUCAUGUUACUAGACCAUGAUGAACCUACGAACUAUGAGGAAGCGAUGAUGAGCCCAGAUUCCACGAAAUGGCUUGAGGCCAUGAAAUCUGAGAUGGGAUCCAUGUAUGAGAACAAAGUGUGGACUUUGGUGAAGUUGCCCGAUGGAUCUUCAAGAGGAAGACAGAUGCUGAUAGUAGUGUUACUAUCUACAAAGCUCAACUUGUCGCAAAAAGGUUUUCAACAAGUUUAAGGUGUUGAUUACAAUGAGAUUUUCUCAACUAUAGCGAUGCUUAAGUCUGUACGAAUCAUGUUAGGAAUUGCCACAUUUUAUGAAAUCUGGCAAAUGGAUGUCAAAAUUGCAUUCCUUAAUGGUUUUCUUAAAGAAGAGUUGUAUAUGAUGCAACCAGAAGGUUUUGUCAAUCCUAAAGGUUCUAACAAAAUGUGCAAGCUCCAACGAUCCAUCUAUGGGCUGGUGCUAGCAUCUCAGAGUUGGAAUAUACACUUUGAUAAGUUGAUCAAAGCAUAUAGUUUUAUACAGACUUGCGGUGAAGCCUGUAUUUACAAUAAAGUGAGUGGGAGCACUACCGCCUUUCUGAUAAAUAUAUGUGAGUAACAUAUUGUUGAUUAGAAAUGAUGUAGAAUUUUUCUGGAAAGCAUAAAGGAGUAUUUGAAAGGAGUUCUUUAAAAGAAAGACCUCAGUAAAGCUACUUACAUAUUGAGCAUCAAAAUCUAUUGAGAUAGAUUAAGACGCUUGAUAAGUUUUUCAAUAAGUACAUACCUUGUCAAGAUUUUGAAGUAGUUCAAAAUGGAACAGUCAAGAAAGAGUUCUUGCCUGUGUUGCAAAGGUGUGAGAUUGAGUAAGACUCAAAUCCCGACCAUGACAGGAAAUAGAAAAGAGAAUGAAAAUCAUUCCCUAUGCCUCAGUCAUAGGUUCUAUAAAGUAUGCUAUGCUAUGUACCAGACCUAUUGUAUACCUUGUUCUGAAUUUGGUAAGGGAAUACAAUAGUGAUCUAGGAGUAGAUCACUGGACAUUGGUCAAGAAUAUCCUUUGUGAGGACUAAGGAAAUAUUUCUCGAUUACGGAGGUGAUAAAAGAGCCCAUCGUAAAGAGUUACAUCGAUGCAAGCUUUUACACCGAUCCAGAUGACCCUAAGUCUCAAUAUGGAUACAUAUUGAAAGUGGGAGCAAUUAGCUAGAGUAGCUCCGUGCAGAGCAUUGCAUACAUAGAAUAUUUGCAAAAUACAUACGGCUCUGAAUGUGAUAGACCCGUUGACUAAGCUUCUCUCACGAGCAAAACAUGAUCACACCUUAGUACUCUUUGGGUGUUAAUCACAUAGCGAUGUGAACUAGAUUAUUGACUCUAGUAAACCCUUUGGGUGUUGGUCACAUGAUGAUGUGAACUAUGGGUGUUAAUCAUAUACAGAUAUGAAUAUUGGUGUUAAAUCACAUGGCGAUGUGAACUAGAUUAUUGACUCUAGUGCAAGUGGGAGACUGAAGGAAAUAUGCCCUAGAGGCAAUAAUAAAGUUAUUAUUUAUUUCCUUAUUUCAUGAUAAAUGUUUAUUAUUCAUGCUAGAAUUGUAUUAACCGGAAACAUAAUACAUGUGUGAAUACAUAGGCAAACAUAGUGUCACUAGUAUGCCUCUACUUGACUAGCUCGUUAAUCAAAGAUGGUUAAGUUUCCUAACCAUAGACAUGAGUUAUCAUUUGAUUAAUGGGAUCACAUCAUUAGGAGAAUGAUGUGAUUGACUUGACCCAUUCUGUUAGCUUAGCACUUGAUCGUUUAGUAUGUUGCUAUUGCUUUCUUCAUGACUUAUACAUGUUCCUACAACUAUGAGAUUAUGCAACUCCCGUUUACCGGAAGAACACUUUGUGUGCUACCAAAUGUCACAACAUAACUGGGUGAUUAUAAAGGAGCUCUACAGGUGUCUCCGAAGGUACAUGUUGGGUUGGCGUAUUUCGUGAUUAGGAUUUGUCACUCCGAUUGUCGGAGAGGUAUCUCUGGGCCCUCUCGGUAAUGCACAUCACUAUAAGCCUUGCAAGCAAUGUGACUAAUGAGUUAGUUGCGGGAUGAUGCAUUACGUAACGAGUAAAGAGACUUGCUGGUAAUGAGAUUGAACUAGGUAUUGAGAUACCGACGAUCGAAUCUCGGGCAAGUAACAUACCGAUGACAAAAGGAACAACGUAUGUUGUUAUGCGGUUUGACCGAUAAAGAUCUUCGUACAAUAUGUAGGAGCCAAUAUGAGCAUCCAGGUUCCGCUAUUGGUUAUUGACCGGAAACGUGUCUCGGUCAUGUCUACAUAGUUCUCGAACCCGUAGGGUCCGCACGCUUAAGGUUUCGAUGACAGUUAUAUUAUGAGUUUAUGAGUUUUGAUGUACCGAAGGAGUUCGGAGUCCCAGAUGAGAUCGGGGACAUGACGAUGAGUCCUGAAAUGGUUGAGACAUAAAGAUCGAUAUAUUGGACGACUAUAUUCGGACUUCGGAAAGGUUCCGAGUGAUUCGGGUAUUUUUCGGAGUACCGGAGAGUUACGGGAAUUCGCCGGGGAGUAUAUGGGCCUUAUUGGGCCAUACGGGAAUAGAGGAGAGAGGCCAAAAGGAAGGAGGCCUGCGCCCCCCCUCUAGUCCGAAUUGGACAAGGGGUGCAGCCCCCUUUUCCUUGGGAGCUCCUGUCUGACGCUCGUUAGCGUCAAGCAGAGGAGCGUUCGCUGAAGGUAGACGCUGAUGGGCCGGCCCAUUUGAAGGUCUCGAGCGCCUGAGAAAAAAGGCUAAAAAUAUAACGGACCAGAAGGUCUCGAUCGCCUGAGAAAAAAGGCUAAAAAGGCAGCGCGAGGUUUUUAAGUACCAAACAAUUUUUGAAAUUUUUCGAACAAUUCAAGAAAAUUAAGAAUAAAAAUAAAAAGUUUUGAACAAAUUUUGAAAAACGUAAAACCCUUUUUAAAACCAUGAACAAUUUUUAAAAUUCGAAAACACUUUUCAAACGUGAACAAUUACUGAAAAGUUGAACACAAAUUUCGAAAUUCCAAUAAGAAGAGUUUUUUAAAUAUACAUUGAACAUUUUUGUAACAUAUGCUAAACAAUUUUGAAAUACAUACUGAACAAUUUUCUGAUAUAUCCCAAACAAAUUUAAAUAUAGAUUGAACAUUUCUGUAAUGUACGCUGAACAAUUUUAAAAUACACACUAAACGUUUUUGUGAUAUAUCCCGAACAAAUUUAAAAUAUACAUCGAACAUUUCUGUAAUGUACGCUGAACAAAUUUUGUAUUGUGAACAAAUUUAAAAACUAUGUGUUUUUAUGAAAUCAUGAAGAAAAUAAGGAAUUUUAAAACAUUUUUUAAAACAAAUGAUGAAAAUAAAUACGAAAAAAAGAGAAAGAAAAAGAAACAGAAACAGAAUUUGAAAAACAAAAACAAAAAAGAAUAAAGAAACAGGAAAAAUUAGAAAACCGGGAAAGAGUACAAAAAAAAGAAACCGGUUUAGGGAACCUUCUAGUAGGUUCCCAAAACCGGUUUGCCUGGCAGCGCUUGAAUUUGCCAGGUGGGCCGGCCUGUCGAGCGCAGCUCCUCCCGCGCCUUCAGCGAAGCCACGUUUCCUGGACGCUAACGGGCGUCAUAUAUGAAUCACCCUUUUCCUUCUCUCUCUCCCCCUCUUUCCUUCUCUCCUACUCCAACAAGGAAAGGAGGAGUCCUACUCCCGGUGGGAGUAGGACUCCCCCCUUGGCGCGUCCUCCUCCUUGGCCGGCCGCCUCCCCCCUUGCUCCUUUAUAUACGGGGGCAGGGGGCACCCCAUAGACACAACAAUUGAUCUCUUGAUCUCUUAGCCAUGUGCGGUGCCCCCCUCCACCAUAGUCCUCGAUAAUAUUGUAGCGGUGCUUAGGCGAAGCCCUGCGAUGGUAGAACAUCAAGAUCGUCACCACGCCGUCGUGCUGACGGAACUCUUCUCCGACAUUCUGCUGGAUCGGAGUCCGGGGAUCGUCAUCGAGCUGAACGUGUGCUAGAACUCGGAGGUGUCGUAGUUUCGGUGUUUGAUCGGUCAGGCCGUGAAGACAUACGACUACAUCAACCACGUUGUUCUAACGCUUCCGCUUUCGGUCUACGAGGGUACAUGGACAACACUCUCCCCUCUCGUUGCUAUGCAUCACCAUGAUCUUGCGUGUGUGUAGGAAUUUUUUUGAAAUUACUACGUUCCCCAACAGAAAUAUGUGGCCAUGGAAUAUUUCGGGCUUAAGAGGAUGAGUGUGCAAUGUGUGUCACUGCACAAAACACGAAAUGUUAGAAAAAAAAAGAAUGAUCAAAAUCUAAGAAAUCAUAUGUUACGGGGCGGUGAGGGGAUGACUUACUCGGAAAAGUAAGGCACGAGGAAGUUAUCCUUAUCCGGGUUUGCCAGAAUGACGCCUUUGAGGUAUGAACUCGCGACUUGCCGGUCCCCAGUGCUGCCCAAGAUCUUGGCACACAUGUAGAAGGGGUCGACUAUCACGAUGUCCGUGGUCUUGUCUCUAAUGAUCCGCAUCUCCAUACUGAGCGAAAAUAGCCGAAUGAAGGUGUAGUGCAGCGGAUGAAGGUUAAACAUAGCAAAGAUGUCAUCAAACUGCAAGACAAUCAUACGCCCGAUAGUGCUAUAUAUCGACAAAGCCCUUGCCCUCUAGCACCGUGGCCACGAAAACCGGGUAUGCCACAUCAUUCUCGGAGAGACGCCGCUUCUCCAUAGAAAGAACACAGUCAUGCAGACUCCACAUAGCACCGGUUGCAGCAUUGAGAAGAUUAGUCGGUAGCAUCGGCCUACCCGCCACAUGCACCCUCAUCGAGAUAUCCUUAGAUAUUGGUGGCCCGUCCUGAGCACGGAUCGUACUCGAUGCCGGCUGGCUCGCACCCUUGUUAUUUUUUUCUUUUCCGUCCCUUCUGCUUCUUCUGCUAUAAUGGGAUCGAGUUCUGCUCAGAGACCACCUUCUUGAGUGUGUUGGGGCUGAUAAUAUUUCGCACCUCGGCUAUUUGAGUCUCGGUGAAGGCGGUAGCUGGAGGCGUCUCCUGAGAACUGAAUGCCAGAUGAUGCCUGUUGCAAUUGGGUUUCUCCGCGGUACCAGCUAGAUCGCGCUCGUCUUUUGCAGUGUUGGGUUCUUGAGAAGGAGGCCCCAAGAAUCGUCGCCGUACCCAUGUUCGUUGAAGUACUUAUCGACGUUGGAAAAUGUACCAUUGCCGUCGUCCGGAUCUUGUGCCAUAUGCAUGUCCGGAUCAGCUGACGGCGGUAGCGUUGCGGCGGUCUUGCCAUGGCUUGGCACCGACACGACUGGCGGUGUUGUCUGUGGGGUGGUGUCCCCCGCCCCCAAAUGAAUCUGGCUCUUCGGCCAAAGCAGGGACCAGCUUAAGAGGGUGCUGAGGGUCAUCACAUCAUCUUCGUCGGCCCCCGGGGGUCGAAAUGGAGGUAACAAGUCGUCGCAGCCCCGCGGCACCCGAACCAGUUGAACCCUAUACACGGUGGGUGGUAUCGUAUUACCGUGGAACACACGGUUGCCAGGUUGAACGAUUUUGGCCUUGGCGACAUCGAUCAACUCGCCGUCCAUGAAGUGUAGGAGAGUGCAUGGAACAUCAGCGGCGCCCUCCGAAAACAUGUAGGGCGUCAGGGAUGCCCAGUCAAAGGCAAGGAGAUGAAGUCAUCGGCCGAGGCUUAGUUACCGUGAUGGCGUCGAGCUCUGCUAAUGUCGAGGCACCGCCAACGGCGGGCGUGCAAGUGACGGAGGGGCCGCUUGCUACCGAGGUGCCGGCUGACGUAUUCUUCCCACACCCGCUGGGUGCAUUAAGCUCCAAUGUCGGCACCGGCGCUGGAGACACCAAUGCCGGCGCAUUGUGCGAGUUGCUACCCGUGAAGCUGGGAAUCGGGGCGACCCCUGUUGGCCGCCCGCAAUCCACGCCUGCAGCCCCUCAAGCAAGAUAGGAAUAAUGGCAGUGAUCGUCCCUCCCAGUUGGUCUCGCACUUGCUCUUGGACUAUCUCCGGAAUCCACGCCACUUGUGCCUUGAGUUCUUUAACCUCGCGCUCCUGGCUUUCCGAGCUGGUCUUUCUCUCCUUUCGCCCAACCUUAUAGUAUUCCGACCGUUUUGUGGACAAGCCUUUGCCGGCCACACGAUCAGCUGACGACGGCUUACUGAACUUAUCCUUGUGUUUCACUAUGUUCAACGCCCUAUUUAAAGUGGUGUCCCAAGGGGCACACGGGGAGCUCUGAGACCCCGUGCUACUGCUUUCAGUUUCCUGCGGAAGGAACGUGAACCAUUUAGAAAUUUGGCUUCAUUAAUUAGAAUGCAACCAUAUGGAGCUAAUUACGCGGGGGUGUAUUCCUUACAAGAACAAGCUCAAGCGUCUUGGUCUUCGGAUCCGUGGUAAGUUCCUUUGUUACCGGGUCCACCUUGUAUCGGGCCCUGACAUAGUUCCUGGUCUGCUUGUCACGGUAUUUAUCGAAGAGGGACGGUAGGCCUUGCUCGGCACGCUCCGCAUCCUCCGUGUCCCAUAUAGGUUCCGCCACUCUGUAACCGCCAGGACCGAGUGUGUGGUGUCCUAAGUUCAAGUCCCGCAUAUCUUUCCCCCACUGACUUGAUUCUGCGGAUGCGUUGCUCUCGCACUUGAUCUUGAACUCCAGGUAGUCAGCUUCCUGAUUGAAGGAUUUGUCUCCUUGAUCUUCUCAUAACUAUCACCACUUAGAAUCCUUCUCUUCACCGCGGCUCUCCAAGUACCCAGGGCCGUGCUCAUCUUCGUGAGGGCGGCACUGUUCACUUUAUUCCCCGAGAGGCGUGUGUUUGCGAAGUCACUGGGGAACUUGUAUCAUUCGUGCAACUUCAUGAAGAGGAGGUUGCGCAAAUUCCCUCGGUCACGAUGCCUUAGGUUCUCGGUGUUGAUCGAGACGGUGCUCCGGAGAAUGCACCCGAGUUGUCCCGCAUACCCACUGACUAAUUAUUUGGGCGCCAUUGGAUGCCCACUGGAGGACACUUCAAUAAAUUCUUCCUUGACGGUGCCGAGCAUGUUCGGGCGCCGGUCCUUCCGUUGCCUCUUCGGUUGGCUGCCAUCUGUGCAUGUGCUGCCAUCAUCAGUGGUGGCAUCCCCGGCGGCACCAUCAGUGGUGUCAUCCCCGACGCCACUAGGGGUUGUGUAGUCGGGAUCGGUGUCUUCCGUGGCGUCCUCAUAGCGGUGAGGUUCUUCCUCCAUCUCCUAGGACAGCUCCCAGAAUGACUUUCCCGAACCACCGACCUCAUCGUUGUCGGCCAUGUUCGCUCUAAAUAGGAAAAAAGGCUACUAGAGUUAUUGGGUGAGAUCAGGGUAGUAUCUAUUCUUCUCAGAUUUAGAGGAAUAUUUCCGUUUUGAUUUAGAAUCGGGCACCUUCUAGGUCAAGAAAAUUGGGCAUGACCUUUGCUAAUUUUUUUGACCUAGGAGUGCCCCAUUCUCAACCGAAAAGGAAAUUAAUCAACAUUUCAGGAGAAAGGGGUCAUUUCACAUCAGAAGAUCAUGCCAGGCAAUCAACCAAACCAAAUAUGUAUAGGAAAGGCUCAUCAUGUUCAAAUUAGAUUUAGGAGAGGGAAUUGGCAAGGAAAGAUAUAGUCCAUAACCAGAAAUAGGACAUUGAUAGCACACAUACUAAACAUCUGCUGUAAGCAGAACACAUACACCCACCUACACAUGGGUACUAUUAUGUAUAUAGGUACACAAGCAUAAGACAUGCACCUGCUAUAGGUAGGAGUAUAAGCAUGCAUCUAAACCAUCUGAAAUAGCUAAAGCAAAGAAAGAGUUAUCACUACAUGCAACAAUGAGGACUAUGACCUGUACAAUAUACAACUAAACCACCAGUAGAUGAUGUACUAAACCAUACAAGAAAUGCCAAUACAUGGUAUUUACAUAAAGACAACACAGAUACCAAAAACUGAUGAGUACUCCAAAAACUGAUUGCUUUUCAUGAAACACUUACUUUCUUGAAACAGAUGAAACUAAUUACUUGGCUAUGGCUCUAACUGAAUUUUCAAAAGAAUGAUGGUAAUUUCUGAUUCUAUACAUGACAUGCAAAACAAAUAAUUCUCAGGUUAUAAUAUCUUCAUCAGCAGGACGACAAGAAAUUUGGUACCCCAUUCUUAGUAACAGUUGUACUGGAUGUACAGUGAUCAUCACAAGCAGCAACUGUUGUACAACAGCAGUUCUACUAAUUUACAAUGAUCAUCAUCAUGACUGGCAGCAUGACAUAUUGUUCUGAAAAUUUCUGUAACCUAGACAACUGUAUAUACAAUCUUGACCCAAGUAGUGCCAACAAUUAUAUCCAUAGUGCCAGCAACAGAAGAAACAACCUAGAACCACUUGAACUACAUACAGUAGGCAGCAACAAGCAAAGCAGCGGCAGCGGCUCAAGUAGCAACAGCGGCGGCGGUAACAGGUAGUUGAGACGUGCACGAGGGGCAGCGGCCGAAGGGCGUGGGCGCUGGCCGCGGCUAGGCAGGAGCAGGCAAGCGGGAAGCGCGGUGGCGCAGCCAGGCGAGGCACAGCAAUAACAACACAUAGCAGCAGGAGAACCGAAGGGGAAAAGGAGGGGAUCGACAGAGGAGCUCACCGUGACCUGCAGGUGAGCAAAGCGGGCUCGGGGGAGAGCUCACCGAAGCGAAUUGUCGACGAAGUCCGCCGGGUCAAGGAGGAAGCCGGUGGCAGGGAAGGCAUCAUGGGGGCGUCCGGCGUCCUGCGGCUUGUCCGAGGAGACGUAGUCGAGGGAGGUGGAGUUCUUGGGCACGUCGGUGUGGCACGAGGUCAACGGUUGCCAUGGCGGUGCGAGGUGGCCGGCGACGGGCGCGUCGCGCGCGGGUUGCCGACACGGAUCUGGGGGAGAGGAGAAGGCGGAGAGGGCGAGAGGAAGCACAAGGGGGAAGUGCGGAGGGGGCCCGAGGAGGCAGGGCGGCAGCGCAGGUAGGGGCGGAGGCGCAGUGGUUCGGGGCGGCGGUGCAGGUCGGGGCAGCAGGUCGAGGGCUGAGAGAGGUGUGAGAUUGGGGAUUGGGGAUUUGGAUCUUUUAGUGGGGGGAAGGGUUAGCAAUGGCGCACCAUUUAGGGGUGCGCCAUAAAAAUUGGUAUACCAAUGGCGCACCUUCUAGGGGUGCGCCAUAAACACCGUGGUAGCAAUGGCACACCUUCUCCUGAUGCGCCAUUACUAACUUUUUUUAUUGGAUUUUUAGUUGCAUGUAAUAAUUUUCUAGAAAAUGACCCUAAAUUUCAAAAUGUUACGAUAUAAGUAGUUAUUACUAAUUUUCAAAUACUUGCGUUGUAAAACACUUGUGAAUUGGUAAAACAUUUAUGAGUAUGAAAAAAUAUCAUCAGAUUUGAAAAAAUAUUCAUGAAUUCAAAAAGUACCCAUGAAAUUUAAAAAUAUUCAUGAGUUCAAAAAAUAUUAACAAAUUCAAUACGUUUUGUGAGUUAGAAAAAUGUUUGCAUUUUCAAAAAAUGUUUGCAAAUUUAAGCAGGAAAAGGAACACUGAAAAAUAAAAUACCAGAAUAAACAUAAAUAAAAAUUGGUAUAUCAAUGGCGCACCUUCUAGGGGUGCGCCAUAAACACCGUGAUAGCAAUGGAGCACCUUCUCCUAGUGCGCCAUUACUAACUUUUUUUUUAUUUUACCAGAAUAAACAUAAAUAAAAACAAUUAAAAUACCAGAAGAAAACACAAAGAAGCCCAAGGUGCCUGUAAAUGAUGAUUUGCAACAAAACAAGAGGGAGAAGAACAAAAAUUCCAAAUCCAAGAAGAAGGUGGUCGAUACUUCAACUUGGUGAUGGAGAAGUUACAAAAGGAAGGUAAGUACAGACAACAUUAAUCCCCACUGUUUUGAACAAAAGAGGUUACUGGAUAGAGGACUAGAAUAUAAGAAAUGCCAUUUCCAUACUUCAACUUAUUUCCAUGUAAUAAUUGAGCUUGCCACUGACACACACACACACACACGGCCGACACGCCGUGAUUCGAUCUUAGCUAUCUUUUCACAAUCUUCUUGCCCUUAUUUUUCGCAAAUGGAGUUCUUCUCUUGAACGGAUGUCCUUUAAGUAGGGUGGUCCUGCUUCUUCUUGUAGUGUAUGGUACUUCAUCGUUGUCGUCAUCUUCCAUCUUUGGGUCGCCAUACUUGUCGAAGUCUUGCUCAUUGGCCACUUCAUCCAUUCCUAUGAUGUUCCUUUUGCCUCUCCUCACGACAACACGACUGGGCUUUGACGGGUCGGUAAUGAAGAAGCAUUGGUCCACUUGGGAAGCCAGUACCCAUGGCUCAUUUUUCGUGGUGACAUUUGCGCCCACGGUCUUGGAUUUGGCUUCGGGUAUAACCAUGGUGGUGAAAUACCGGUCUUCUUUUAGGACGCUCUUGGCUCAUCUGACAUGGAACAUCGGGACCUUCUCUCCAGCGUAGCUCAGCUCCCGGAUCUCCUUGAUCCUUCCAUAGUAUCUGUCCUUGUCAUUACCGGUGUAGGAUUCCAUCGUUACCCUGGAGUUCUGAUAAUCGCUCUUGAUGUCCUUUUCCUCGGUGUAGAAUGUGUAGCUAUUGAUAUCGUACGCCUCAUAGGUCAUCAGGUUGUGCUCGGCGCCCUGUGACAAGGCGAAUAUGAGUUUUUCUUCCACGGAAGAAUCCUCAUGUAAAGGGUAUGAUAGAAGCUUGUCCUUGAACCAAUGCGUGAAACAUGAGUUGUGCUCUUUGAUUAUAUCUCCGUCCGUCCUCUGUUGGCCUCGGUCAUUAUACGUCUUCUCAAUAAAGGUUUUGUGCUCUACCACCCAAGGAUCGACCACGUCUAUGUGUUGUAGCACCACUAGGUUUGCUCUUUCAAAGUCGGCGAGUCGACCCUUGAAGUCUACAUGCAUUUUGCGGCGACCCUCACGGUGACCCCAUCCAGCGAGCCUACCGAGGUGCCUGUUGACGGGUAGACCAACGGGGUUCUUGAUACGUCCAUUUUGCAUCAUGCUUUUAUAUCAAUAUUUAUUGCAUUAUGGGCUGUUAUUACACAUUAUAUCUCAAUACUUAUGGCUAUUCUCUCUUAUUUUACAAGGUUUACCAUGAAGAGGGGGAAUGCCGGCAGCUGGAAUUCUGGCUGGAAAAGGAGCAAACGUUGGAAACCUAUUCUGCACAGCUCCAAAAGUCCUAAGACUCCACGAAACAACCUUUUGGAUUUAUUAAGAAUUUAUGAGCGAAAGAAAUAGGCCAGGGGGCCCACACCCUGUCCAGGAGACAGGGGGGCACGCCCCCCUAUAGGGUGCACCCCCUAUCUCCUGGGCCCCUUGGUGGGCCUUCGGCGUCCAUCUUUUGCUAUAUCAUCACUUUUACCCUGAAAAAAAUCAUGGGCAAGCUUACGGGACGAAACUCCACCGCCACGAGGCGGAACCUUGGCGGAAUCAAUCUAGGGCUCUGGCAUAGCUGUUCUGCCAGGGACACUUCCCUCCGGGAGGGGGAAAUCAUCACCACCGUCAUCACCAAUGAUCCUCUCAUCCGGAUGGGGUCAAUCUCCAUCAACAUCUUCACCAGCAUCGUCUCCUCUCAAAACCCUAGUUCAUCUCUUGUAUCCAAUCUUGUAUCAAAACCACAAAUUGGUACAUGUGGGUUGCUAGUAGUGUUGAUUACUCCUUGUAGUUGAUGCUAAUUGGUUUACUUGGUGGAAGAUCAUAUGUUCAGAUCCUUUAUGCAUAUUAUUACUCCUCUAAUUAUGAACAUGAAUAUGCUUUGUGGGUAGUUACAUUUGUUCCUGAGGACAUGGGUGAAGUCUUGCUAUUAGUAGUCAUGUGAAUUUGGUAUUCGUUCGAUAUUUUGAUGAGAUGUUUGUUGUCUUUUCCUCUAGUGGUGUUAUGUGAACGUCGACUACAUGAUACUUCACCAUUAUUUGGGCCUAGAGGAAGGCAUGGAGAAGUAGAUGAUGGGUUGCUAGAGUGACAGAAGCUUAAACCCUAGUUUAUGCGUUGCUUCGUUAGGGGGUGAUAUGGAUCCAUAUGUUUAAUGCUGUGGUUAGGUUUACCUUAAUACUUCUUAUUGUAGUUGCGGAUGCUUGCAACAGAGGUUAAUCAUAAGUGGGAUGCUUGUCCAAGUUAGGGAAGUACCCAAGUACCGGUCCACCCACAUAUCAAAUUAUCAAAGUACCGAACGCGAAUCAUAUGAACGUGAUGAAAACUAGCUUGACGAUAAUUCCCAAUGUGUCCUCGGGAGCUCCUUCUUCAUUAUUAGAAAUUGUACAGGCUUAUCCUUUGCUACAUAAAGGAUUGGGCCACCUUGCUGCACUUUACUUACUUUAUUUACUUGUUGCUCGUUACUAUUUAUCUCACCACAAAACUAUCUAUUACCUACAAUUUCAGUGCUUGCAGAGAAAACCUUACUGAAAACCACUUAUCAUUUCCUUCUGCUCCUCAUUGGGUUCGACACUCUUACUUAUCGAAAGGACUACGAGAGAUCCCCUACACUUGUGGGUCAUCAAGACUCUUUUUUGGCGUCGUUGCCGGGGAGUGUAGCGCUUUUGGUGAGUGGAACUUGGUAAGGAAACAUUUAUAUAGUGUGCUGAAUUUUUUUUGUUACUUGUCACUAUGGAAACUAAUCCUUUGAGGGGCUUGUUUGGGGUAUAUUCACCCGAACCAUAAGAGCAAAGAGUUGCUCCUCAACCUACUGAACUUUAUGAAAACAUUCACUUUGUGAUUCCUUCGGGUAUGAUAGAAAAACUGCUAGCUAAUCCAUUUGCAGGAGAUGGAACAUUGCAUCCCGGUUUACACCUUAUCUUUGUGGAUGAAGUUUGUGGAUUAUUUAAGCUUGCAUGUAUUCCCGACGUUGUUGUCAAAAGGAAGGUCUUCCCUUUAUCUUUGAAGGGAGACGCAUUGACAUGGUAUAGGCUAUGUGAUGAUACGAGAUCUUGGAAUUAUAAGCAAUUGAAAUUGGAAUUUCACUAGAAGUUCUAUCCUAUGCAUCUUGUUCAUCGUGAUCAUAAUUACAUAUAUAAUUUCUGGCCUCGCGAAGGAGAAAGCAUCGCUCAAGCUUGGGGGAGGCUUAAGUCAAUGUUAUAUUCAUGCCCCAAUCAUGAGCUCUCUCGGGAAAUGAUUAUUCAGAAUUUUUAUGCUCGGCUUUCUCUUGAUAAUCGCAACCUGCUCAAUACUUCCUGUGCUGGUUCUUAUAUGCUGAAGACUAUUGAUUUCAAAUGGGACUUAUUGGAAAGAAUUAAACGCAACUCUGAAGAUUGGGGUUCUGACGAUGGUAAGGAGUCAGGUAUGACACCUAAGUUCGAUUGUGUUAAAUCUUUUAUGGAUACCGAUGCUUUCCAUGGAUUUAGCGCUAAGUAUGGACUUGACUCUGAGAUAGUGGCUACUUUUUGUGAAACUUUUGCUACUCACGUUGAUCUCCCUAAAGAUAAGUGGUUUAAAUAUAAUCCUCCUGUUGAAGUAAAAGUAGUUGCACCUAUUACAGUCGAAGAAAAGACUAUUACCUAUAGUGAUCCUAUUGUUCCUACUUCUUAUGUUGAAAAACCUCCUUUUCCUGUUAGGAUAAAAGAUAAUACUAAAGCUUCGACUGUUGUUCGUAAGAGUAAUACUAGGACCUAUACACCUCCUGAGCAAAUUAAUGUUGAACCUGGUAUUGCUAUGAUUCAAGAUCUCUUGGAUGAGGACUUAGAUGGGCAUGUUAUUUCUUUCUUGGGUGAAACUGCUAAUAUUGCUAGACCUGAUACUAAGACACGUAGACCUGUUGUAGGCAUGCCUGUUAUUUCUGUCAAAAUAGGAGAUCAUUGUUAUCAUGGCUUAUGUGAUAUGGGUGCGAGUGCUAGUGCGAUACCUUAUGAUCUUUAUAAAGUAAUUAUGCAUGACAUUGCACCCGUUGAAUUAGAAGACAUUGAUGUUACUAUUAAGCUUGCUAAUAGGGAUACCAUUAAACCUAUUGGGAUUGUUAGAGAUGUUGAAGUUUUUUGUGGGAAGGUUAAAUACCCUACUGAUUUUCUUGUUCUUGGUUCCCCACAAGAUGAUUUUUGUCCCAUUAUUUUUGGUAGACCCUUCUUGAAUACUGGUAGUGCUAGGAUUAACUGUGAAAACAAUAUUGUUACUGUUGGCAUAGAUGGUAUGUCUCAUGAGUUUAAUUUUGCUAAGUUUAGUAGACAACCUCGUGAAAGGGAACCACCUAGUAAGGAUGAGAUUAUUGGUCUUGCUUCCAUUGCUGUUCCUCCAGCUGAUCCGUUAGAACAAUAUUUGCUAGACCAUGAAAACAAUAUGUUUAUGAAGGAAAGGGAGGAAAUAGAUGAAGUGUUCCUUAAACAGGAACCUAUGCUGAAACAUAACCUUCCCAUUGAAAUUCUUGGGGAUCCCCCUCCACCCAAGGGUGAUCCCGUGUUUGAACUCAAACCAUUACUUGAUAAUCUUAAGUAUGCUUAUCUUGAUGAAAAAGAAAUAUAUCCUGUUAUUAUUAGUGCUAACCUUUCAGAGAAAGAAGAAGAAAGAUUAUUGAAACUCUGAAGAAGCACCGAGAUGCUAUUAGAUAUACUCUGGAUGAUCUUAAGGGCAUUAGUCCCACAUUAUGUCAACACAAAAUUUCAUUGGAAAAAGAUGCCAAACCAGUUAGAGAUCCUCAAAGACGAUUAAAUCCCAAGAUGAAGGAAGUGGUAAGAAAGGAGAUACUAAAGCUCCUUGAGCCGGUAUUAUUUAUCCCGUUGCUGAUAGUGAAUUGGUAAGCCCUGUCCAUUGUGUCCCUAAAAAGGGAGGUAUUACCGUUGUUCCUAAUGAUAAAGAUGAAUUGAUCCCGUAAAGAAUUAUUACAGGUUAUAGGAUGGUAAUUGAUUUCUGUAAGUUAAAUAAAGCUACUAAGAAAGAUCAUUACCCCUUACCUUUUAUUGAUCAAAUGCUAGAAAUACUAUCCAAACACACACAUUUUUGCUUUCUAGAUGGUUAUUCCGGUUUCUCUCAGAUACCUGUAUCAGCGAAAGAUCAAUCUAAAACUACUUUUACUUGCCCUUUUGGUACUUUUGCUUAUAGACGUAUGCCUUUUGGUUUAUGUAAUGCACCUGCUACCUUUCAAAGAUGCAUGAUGGCUAUAUUCUCUGAUUUUUGUGAAAAUAGUUGUGAGGUAUUCAUGGAUGACUUCUCCGUCUAUGGAUCCUCCUUUGAUGAUUGUUUGAGCAACCUUGAUCGAGUUUUGCAGAGGUGCGAAGACACUAGUCUUGUCCUGAAUUGGGAAAAGUGUCACUUUAUGGUUAAUGAAGGCAUUGUCUUGGGGCACAAGAUUUCCGAGAGAGGUAUUGAAGUUGAUAAAGCCAAAGUUGAUGCUAUUGAAAAGAUGCCAUGUCCCAAGGACAUAAAAGGUAUAAGAAGUUUCCUUGGUCACGCCGGUUUUUAUAGGAGGUUCAUUAAGGACUUUUCUAAAAUCUCUAGGCUUCUGACUAAUUUAUUGCAAAAAGAUAUUCCUUUUGUCUUUGACGAUGAUUGUGUAGAAGCUUUUGAAACACUUAAGAAAGCUUUGAUCACUGCACCUAUUGUUCAGCCACCUGAUUGGAAUUUACCUUUUGAAAUUAUGUGCGAUGCUAGUGAUUAUGCUGUAGGUGUUGUUUUAGGGCAAAGAGUCGAUAAGAAAUUGAAUGUUAUCCAGUAUGCUAGUAAGACUCUUGAUACUGCCCAGAGAAAUUAUGCUACUACUGAAAACUAGUUCUUAGCAGUUGUGUUUGCAUGUGAUAAGUUUAGACCUUAUAUUGUUGAUUCCAAAGUUACUAUUCACACUGAUCAUGCUUCUAUUAAAUAUCUUAUGGAAAAGAAAGAUGCUAAGCCUAGACUCAUUAGAUGGGUUCUCUUGCUCCAAGAAUUUGACUUGCAUAUUAUUGAUAGAAAGGGAGCUAAGAACCCCGUUGCAGAUAACUUGUCUAGGUUAGAGAAUGUUCUUGAUGACCCACUGCCUAUUAAUGAUAGCUUUCCUGAUGAACAAUUAGUGGUUGUCCAUGCUUCUCGUACUGCUCCUUGGUAUGCUAAUUAUGCGAAUUACAUUGUUGCUAAAUAUAUAUCGCCUAGUUUCACAUACCAGCAAAAGAAAAAGUUCUUUUAUGAUUUAAGACAUUACUUUUGGGAUGAUCCACACCUUUAUAAAGAAGGAGUAGAUGGUGUUAUUAGACGUUGUGUGCCUGAGCAUGAACAGGAACAGAUCCUACGCAAGUGUCACUCUGAAUCCUAUGGAGGACACCACGCUGGAGAUAGAACUGCACACAAGGUACUACAAUCUAGUUUUUAUUGGCCUACUCUCUUCAAAGAUGCUUGUAAGUUUGUUUUAUCUUGUGAUGAAUGUCAAAGAAUAGGUAACAUUAGUAGACGUCAAGAAAUGCCUAUGAAUUAUUCUCUUGUUAUUGAACCGUUUGAUGUUUGGGGCUUUGAUUAUAUGGGACCUUUUCCUGCCUCUAAUGGUUAUACACAUAUUCUAGUUGCUGUUGAUUACGUUACUAAGUGGGUAGAAGCUAUUCCAACUAGUAGUGCUGAUCAUAACACUUCUAUUAAAAUGCUUAAAGAAGUUAUUUUUCCGAGGUUUGGAGUCCCUAGAUAUCUUAUGACUGAUGGUGGUUCACAUUUUAUUUAUGGUGCUUUCUGUAAGAUGCUUGCUAAGUAUGAUGUCAAUCAUAGAAUAGCAUCUCCUUAGCAUCCACAGUCUAGUGGUCAAGUAGAGUUGAGCAAUAGAGAGUUCAAAUUAAUUUUGCAAAAGACUGUGAAUAGAUCUAGAAAGAAUUGGUCCAGAAAAACUUGACGAUGCAUUAUGGGCCUAUAGAACUACAUACAAAAAUCCUAUGGGUAUGUCUCCUUAUAAGAUGGUUUAUGGAAAAGCAUGUCAUUUACCUCUUGAACUUGAACAUAAAGCAUAUUGGGCUAUUAAAGAGCUCAAUUAUGACUUCAAACUUGCCGGUGAGAAGAGGUUGUUUGAUAUUAGCUCACUUGAUGAAUGGAGAACCCAAGCCUAUGAGAAUGCCAAGCUUUUCAAAGAAAAAGUCAAACGCUGGCAUGAUAAGAGGAUACAAAAGCGUGAGUUUAACGUAGGAGAUUCGUGUUAUUAUUCAACUCUCGUUUAAGAUUUUUUGCAGAAAAACUUCUCUCAAAAUGGGAAGGUCCCUACGUUAUCGAGGAGGUCUAUCGUUCUGGUGCUAUAAAAAUCAACAACUUCGAAGGCACAAAUCCAAGGGUGAUAAACGGUCAAAGAAUUAAACACUAUAUUUCAGGUAAUCCUAUCAGUGUUGAAACUAAUAUUAUUGAAACUGUAACCCCUGAGGAAUACAUAAGGGACACUUUCCAGAACGUUCCAGACUCCGAAAAGGCAUAGGUAUGUGGUACGGUAAGUAAACCGACUCCAAAACAACUCUAAUGGCAAUUUUUAUCAGUUUUGGAUUAUUUAAGAAUUUUAGGAAGAAAGAAGUAGUCCAAAAGGGACACGAGGCCCCCACGAGAGUGGAGGGCGCCCCCCUGUAGGGCGCGCCCCCUAUCUCGUGGGCACCUCGUGUGCCUCCCGGACUCCGUUUUCCAGUAUGUUACGUAUUUUGGUCGGUAAAAAUUCAUUAUAUAUACUCCCGAAGGUUUUGACCAACGUAACAUGCAAAUAUCCUUUGUUUUUGUUUUGAGUUGUUCCUGUUGCAGAAUAAAGCAAGAUGUCAUCCCAAGAUUCGAAGGGGGAGAGCUACAAGGCUGAUUAUAUCGCAAACCCAAAAGUAUAUGGGGAUGUGGAACAUUAUGGCUGGACCACGGAGGACGAAGAAGACUAUGAUCCAAAGGGGAAGGAUGAGACAAGCUCUGCUGAAGAGGACGAUCCACUACCCCAACCUGGUGAUAUGCAUGUGGAGUUCAAGAAGUCAAGCCUCCCUAAGGUCCAGUCUAUCCCUCCACGUUUUUUGCAGGACAGCAAGGCAACAGUAUGCGAAAAGAUAAUGAAACUUGAGCUCGAGAAUGAGGAUCCGAGGGAGGAAAAUUUUAGCCUCAGACGCAAGCUAGAGAAGAAAAAUGCAACAACUCCACCGUCAUCAUCUCCACCAUCACCACCUCCGAGGACAUAAUCACAUGGGUAUGGGCACUCCCCUUGGCAACUACCAAGCUUGGGGGAGGUGCCCCGGUAUCGUAUCACCAUCACACUCCUAUCUUUACCGCUUUAUUUAGUUCGAUCCUUUUAGUAGUAUCUUGAUCUAGUAGAUUGAAGUUUUGAUAUCAAGUAGUUUUGAGUUUUGCAUUGUGAUCUCUUUUUGUAUUCGAGUCCAUGUGCUAUCUAUAAUAAAGAUUAGUGUUGAGUCAAGGGCUUUGCUAUGUUGCUAUAAUCUUGAGAAAGUAGAAAGAAUAAAAGAGUUCAUAUUGAUCUUAUGGAUAGUGAUAACUUCACACAUAGAAAGUAUGAGGCAUAAAAAAUGUUGAGAGUUGAUGAACGUAGCCUUGGUCAUCGUUGCAAUUAAUAGGGAGUGAUAAGGAAAGAGGGGUUCACAUAUAAAUAUAUUAUCUUCAAUACUAGAGAAAAGCUUACCAGUAGCGCUGGUUUUUUUGCUACCAGUAGCGCGGGAACCAGCACUACUGCUACGGCGCUACAGCUAUUUUGUAGCAGUAGCACGCUUCUAGACCAGCGCUACUGGUAAGUUCAAGUACUAGUAGCGCGUUUUUAGGACAGCGCUACUGCUAACAUUUAUGCCUUUUUUUAAUAUUUUGGCGCUGUACAUGUUUAAACAGAUAUAUCUUUUAUACAAUAACAACUCAUCAUGAACUAGUCUGUUUAAAUAGCAUAUUCAUUACCACUAGUCAUCACCACCAAACAAUGUUCGUCAAUGAGACAUCAUAUAUAUAACAAGUUGGUCACUAGUCAUAAUCACAACUCCUCAUCCUCCUCAUCAACUCUAACACAUUAUAGCACAUAAUAACACAUUCUACCUAGGACCUACUCCUCUCAUAGGACCUACUCUACCAUCUCUUAGGUAAAAUAUCAUAAAACAAGAUAGGCAUUGACUCCUCAUUAAGGGAACUGAACUCUCCAUAAUGAAGAACGGAGAUCAUCCUGUCUCCAAGUCUUGGCCUACGCACAAUGUUUCUUCCAAGUAGCUCUCUACGAUGGUUGAAACAUUUUUUCCAAUCUUUUAUUAUCAUGGCUUCCUAGCUUUUAGAAAUCCGGUAUGGACAUGAGUGAUGUGGAUACUGUGGUUGACCUGGCCGUGGUGGCCGUAAGCUCAUAACAUCAAUGCGACCUCUUGGCAACAUCAUAUGAGGCACACAAUCCAUCGGGAUUUUCUGUUCAAAAACAUAGUAAUAACUUUGUAGUUAGCAAUGUAGUUUACUUUUAGAAAAAUUUAUGCAAAAGAUGCACGGAUGUCGUAAUAGUACAAAAUCUUACCAUGAUAUCUCCAUUGAUGUUACCGUAGCACACCGCGUGCACUAGUGGCACAUAUGGACCAUAAUUUUCAGGAAUUCGGUAAUAGCUAUUGUAAUUCUCAAGAUCAGUAAAAAAUGUGAUCAGACCAUCUUUCUCCUUAUAAGUUAAUUGUGCUUCAUCAUUGUAGUAGUAGGUUCUGUCUACCAUCUUCCGUACAUUUUUUGAAGAAUGAAAAUAAGCUGUCAAUGGAAAUAAGCUGUCAAAUAUUUUGAAAUAAACAAUAUAAAUUACUUAGUAAAUAUGUUUAAGAAACUCACACAGCGGUAGAACUGGAAGGGUGUCAACAAGGACCCACAUGGUCAUAUCAUUUUCGUCGAUGUCAGGAUUGCCAAGAUCGAAGGUGAGAAGCAUACCCUCAUGAAAAUCAUACGCCUUGGAAAGGGCUUCCCAAUUCGGGUAACCAAAAUUGGAUGAGUUCACAUAAUUGUAUAAUUUUACCGCAAAAUCAUAACCAUGAUGGGUCCUUAGUUGAAUUAUCUUUGUCUCCGUGAUUUCAUGAUCUUCAAACCCCAUCUUCUCCAAGACAUAGCGUCUUGCAUGGCAUGUGAUAAACAAUGUCGAAUUGUAAAAGACGGAAAUUACACAUUGAAGAAGCAGAGAAGUCGUGCAAAAAUAACAAAAAACACUUGUCAUCGUUGCGUACCGUAUCAACAUCGAAGGUCUCUUGGAGCUUGAUGCUGAAGCGCCGACCUUCUACCAGGUGAGGCCUGUCGCACAUACCGCGCUUAUCUUCGUAGUAAACGCACAUAGCGAAUUCCCUUUCGUCGUAAGACAUUUCCUAAUAGGUAACUAAUAAUCCAUCUCGAAUACAUAUAUAGUAGUUUGUAGCAAAGAUCAUCAUAUAACAACUAAAACACCUAAAAUUUGUAGUUUGUAGUAGUUUGUAGCAAAGAUCAUCAUAUAACAACUAAAACACCUAAAAUUUGUAGUUUGUAGUAGUUUGUAGCAAAGCUCAUCAUAUAGUCCAUCAUGAAUACAUAUAUAGUAGUUUGUAGCACAAACCGCGCCCAUCUUUUGCAUUCAAUAAGCAAAUAACUAAUAGGUAAUUAAUAAGCCAACAUUGAAUACAUAUAUAGUAGUUUGUAGCAAAGAUCAUCAUAUAAUAUCACUAAUAUAUCUCGAAUAAUAGCUCCUCUAGGUUCAGUGUGCCGUGGUGGACACCCAAAGAGAAGGAACCAUCACCGGAUCAUAGCUCCGGUGAGAUCCCCAAAGAAACUGCUAGGUAUUGGAGAACCGGCCGUUCGCCAACUCAACCAAGUAGCGCUAGACGUGCGCGUUCUCCUCCAUGACACGGUGUUGCACCACCUGCGCGGGGGACUCAAGCCUCUCCACCGAUGCAGGCCCACGUGACCGCCACCAAAGAAGCUCCGGGUCGACGACGGGCUGGCUCCUCACUAAGCUGCGCUCACCAGAAGGUAGCACAACCCAGUACGAGCCCGGCGGAGCCCAGUCCCAGACAUGGCCCCUCGGCUCAACCAGGAGUCCUCCGCCGAGUCAACGACGAGGAUGCGGGAUAGGCACCGUCGACGUCGAGAACAAAAUGCUUAAUUAUGAAAACAAAAUUAAUAAACACUUAGCAAAAUUUGGCAUGACCUUUGCUAAAAACAGGACAUAUCGAGGGCCUAAAAUUUGCCAGAACAUAAACGAAUUGACAUUUCUGGCAAAACAUAGGCCACUCGGAAAAAUAUGACAUGUCCAAAAUGUGACAUGUUCAAAACAUGACAUGUCCACUGCAAGUUUGCAUAUAACAGGAAAAAUUGCUUUAACUAAAAAAAUAACAACAAUUGCUUUAACUAAAAAAAUACCUAGAAUUCUGUUAACUACACCUAAAACGACUAAAACACCUAAAAUUCUGUUAACUACACCUAAAACAACUAAAACACCUAAAAUUCUUUUAAAUACAGUUAAAACACCUAAAUUCUAUUAACUACACCUAAUUAAAAACCUAGCUGAAUUUUUGUCCUAACUUUAAAACCUAGCUAAAUUUAAAAACCUAGGGUUCAUACGAAUUAACUAGGGGUCAUACCUAAUCUGUCCUAGCAAGGGUUCAAUCAUAACCUACAUUACUCUUAUAACCUACAUUUUUUCAACUACAAAGGAUUCAAAAUAACUACUCUAAUAACUAUAACUAGGGAGGGAGCGAGGAGGAGGAAGGAGGGAGGAGUACCUAUCGGUGGAGGAGGGCCGGCGCGGGGGCCGGGGCAGCGGGCGGAGGAGGAGGCCGACGCAGGGGAGCUGGGCGGCUGGCGAGGAGGUGGGCCGGUGUGGGGGAGCUGGGCAGCCGGCGGGGAGGAGGGCCGGUGCGGGCGAGGGCGGCCGACGCAGGGAGGAGGGCCGGCGCGGGGGACGGCAGUGUGCGGGGGUUGACGGCGGCCGCGCGCGGGGGGGAUGAGGGAGGAGUGCGGAGUGUGAGUGAGAGAUGAGGCCGGGCCGGGGGGCACGCGGGCCGGGGGAGGUAGUGGGCUUAACAACAGCGUGGGCAACGGGCCAGCGCUACUGCUAAGCCCACUAGCUGUAGCGCUGGUUGGGCGAAAAGCGCUGCUAAUAUUUACUGAUCAGGGGGUGUGGUGUUUUAGACUUAGCAGUAGCGUGGGGCUAGAUAACAGGCGCUGCUGCUAACAGUUACCAGUAGCGUUCUUUCUAGGCAGCGCUACUACUAACUUCUAGUAGCGUGGGGUCAUAAACAAACGCUACUGGUAAACUUCUAUCUAUAAGCGUUUUCCUAGUAGUGCUUGGACAUCUUUUAUGAUUGUGAAGCACUCAUUAAGUAUGACAUGCUAAAAGAGUUGAUGUUGGACAAGGAAGACAACGUAAUCGGUUAUGUUUUCCGACAUCUUAGUUAAAGUAUAUUGUCAUUGACCUUCCAAACAUGUUGAGCUUGCCUUUCCCCCUCAUGCUAGCCAAAUUACUCGCACCAAGUAGAGAUACUACUUGUGCUUCCAAAUACCCUUAAACCCUGUUUUGCCAUGAGAGUCCACCAUACCUACCUAUGGAUUGAGUAAGAUCCUUCAAGUAAGUUGUCAUCGGUGCAAGCAAUAAAAAUAGCUCUCUAAAUAUGUAUGACUUAUUAGUGCAGAGAAAAUAAGCUUUGUACGAACUUGUUGUGGAAGUAAUAAAAGCGACGGACUACAUAAUAAAGGUCCACAUACAAGGGGUAAUAUGAAGUGACGUUCUUUUGCAUUAAGAUUUCAUGCAUCAACCCUAAACGUGCAUGACAACCUCUGCUUCCCUCUGCGAAGGGUCUAUCUUUUACUUUAUGCUUGAGUCAAGGUGAUCUUCACCUUUCCCUUUUUCAUUUUAUCCUUUGGCAAGCUCCUCGUGUUUGAAAGAUCAUGAUAUAUAUAUCCAACUGGAUGUAAGUUGGCAUAGGCUAUUAUUGUUGACAUCACCUAAAGGUGAAUAUGUUGGGAGGCAACACAAUAAGCCACUAUCUUUCUCAGUGUCCGGCUGAAACUCUAUAACCACAAGUAUUGCGUGUGUGUUAGCAAUUAUAGGAGACUACAAGAUAGUUGAGUAUGUGAGCUUGCUGAAAAGCUCAAUUAUAGCCUCUUUCUGAUGUUGCGAUAAAUUUCAAUUGCUUCAAUGACUGAGAUUAUAGUUUGUUAGUUCCCAAUGAAGUUUUUGAACCAUAUUUGACAUUGUGAAUUGCUUGUUACUUGAGCAUAGGAAAUCAUAUGACAAAAUCUAUAUAUGUUGCUGUUAUUAGAAUGAUCAUGAUGCCCUCAUGUCCGUAUUUUAUUUUUAUCGACACCUCUAUCUCUAAAUAUGUGGACAUAUUUUUCGAUUUCGGCUUCCGCUUGAGAACAAGCGUGGUCUAAGCUUGGGGGAGUUGAUACGUCCAUUUUGCAUCAUGCUUUUAUAUCAAUAUUUAUUGCAUUAUGGGCUGUUAUUACACAUUUUAUCUAAAUACUUAUGGCUAUUCUCUCUUAUUUUACAAGGUUUACCAUGAAGAGGGGGAAUGCCAGCAGCUGGAAUUCUGUCUGGAAAAGGAGCAAACAUUGGAAACCUAUUCUGCAUAACUCCAAAAGUCCCGAGACACCACGAAACAACCUUUUGGAUUUAUUAAGAAUUUAUGAGCGAAGGAAAUAGGCCAGAGGGCCCACACCCUGUCCAGGAGACAGGGGGGCGCGCCCCUAUCUCCUGGGCCCCCUGGUGGGCCUCCGGCGUCCAUCUUCUGCUAUAUCAUCACUUUUACCCUGGAAAAAAUCAUGGGCAAGCUUAUGGUACGAAACUCCGCCGCCACGAGGCGGAACCUUGGCGGAAUCAAUCUAGGGCUCUGGCGGAGCUGUUCUGCCGGGAACACUUCCCUCCCGGAGGGGGAAAUCAUCACCAACGUCAUCACCAACGAUCCUCUCAUCGGGAGGGGGUCAAUCUCCAUCAAUAUCUUCACUAGCACUGUCUCCUCUCAAAACCCUAGUUCAUCUCUUGUAUCCAAUCUUGUAUCAAAACCACAAAUUGGUACAUGUGGGUUGCUAGUAGUGUUGAUUACUCCUUGUAGUUGAUGCUAAUUGGUUUACUUGGUGGAAGAUCAUAUGUUCAGAUCCUUUAUGCAUAUUAUUACUCCUCUGAUUAGGAACAUGAAUAUUCUUUGUGAGUAGUUACAUUUGUUCCUGAGGACAUGGGUGAUGUCUUGCUAUUAGUGGUCAUGUGAAUUUGGUAUUCGUUCGAUAUUUUGAUGAGAUGUAUGUUGUAUUUUCCUCUAGUGGUGUGAUGGGAACGUCGACUACAUGACACUUCACCAUUAUUUGGGCCUAGAGGAAGGCAUGGGGAAGUAAUAAGAAGAUGAUGGGUUGCUAGAGUGACAGAAGCUUAAACCCUAGUUUAUGCGUUGCUUCGUUAGGGGCUGAUAUGGAUCCAUAUGUUUAAUGCUGUGGUUAGGUUUACCUUAAUACUUCUUAUUGUAGUUGUGGAUGCUUGCAAUAGAGGUUAAUCAUAAGUGGGAUGCUUGUCCAAGUUAGGGCAGUACCCAAGUACCGGUCCACCCACAUAUCAAAUUAUCAAAGUACCGAACGCGAAUCAUAUGAACGUGAUGAAAACUAGCUUGACGAUAAUUCCCAAUGUGUCCUCGGGAGCUCCUUCUUCAUUAUUAGAAAUUGUCCAGGCUUAUCCUUUGCUACAUAAAGGAUUGUGCCACCUUGUUGCACUUUACUUACUUUAUUUACUUGUUGCUCGUUACUAUUUAUCUUAUCAUAAAACUAUGUAUUACCUACAAUUUCAGUGCUUGCAGAGAAAACCUUAGUGAAACCGCUUAUCAUUUCCUUCUGCUCCUCGUUGGGUUCGACACUCUUACUUAUCGAAAGGACUACGAUAGAUCCCCUACACUUGUGGGUCAUCAGUUCUCGAUGCCUAGAUAAUUCAUGCAGUAGGAGAUGCACUCUUCGGUCAGAAAGCCCUUAGCUAUGCUUCCAUCUAGACGUGCCCUGUUGCGAACGUAUCCUUUGAUGACACCAUUCAUCCUUUCGAACGACAUCAUGUUGUGCAGGAACAUCGUCCCGAGUUGGAUGAUAUCCUCCACGAUAUGGACCAGCAGAUGCACCAUAACGUCGAAGAAUGCGGGCGGGAAGUACAUCUCAAGCUCGCAUAGUAUCACCACGAUCUCUUACUGUAGCCUUCUGAGUUGCCUCACGUCAACCGACUUCCGAGAGAUGACGUCAAAAAAGUUGCAUAGGCCAAAUAGCAUUUCACGGACGUGCGCGUCCAUGAUCCCACGGAUUGCAACUGGAAGUAUCUGCGUCAUCAGCACGUGACAGUCAUGAGACUUCAUCCCGCUGAACUUCUGCUUCCCAGAGUCUAGGUAUCGGCUUAUCUUCCCCGCGUAACCGUAAGGAAGUUUUACUCCUACGAGGCAGGUGAAAAACUGCUCGGUCUCCUCCUAACUUAGAGUAAAGCACGCGGGAGGGCAGUCAUAUUCGAUCUUCUUGGCCUUUUUGCCUUUGCGACGACUUUCGUGUCCUUCGCCUCAUCAUCAUCAUCAUCAUUAGGGCAUUUUGCGUGAAGCUCCUCCCUGAUGCCCAUUGAUUGCAAGUCUGCCCUUACUUUCAGCCCAUCUUUGGUUCUCUCUGGCAUGUUGAGUAGGGUACCAAGCAGACUCUCGCACACAUUCUUCGUGAUAUGCAUGACAUCAAGGCUGUGAGGCACACGGAGGAUCUUCCAGUACGGCAAGUCCCAGAAAACAGACCUCCUUUUUCCAUACCUUCAGCAGCGGCUCUGGUGCCUUUCGCUUCUUUCCCGGCGGUGGGCACUCUUUCCAAUUUUUCAACAGCUCAUCUAUUUGCUCGCCGCUCCUCGUACGCGGGCGUCUUCGGGGUUCGGUUUCACCAUCGAACAGAUCCUUGCGUUUUCUCCAUGCGUCAUCGUCGCGAAGCCACCUUCGAUGUCCCAUGAACACGGUUUUCGUAGACCCGGGAACUUUAUCUGGUUGGCGAUACGUUGUGUCAUCCAUGCACCUGAUGCAUGCACAAAAUCCGUGGACCACCUGCCCCGCGACAUAUCCGUAACCGAGAUAGUCGUGCACCGUCGUGAGCAGUGUGGCUCUCAUAGGGAAAUAUUCUUUCGCUGUGGCAUCCCACGUAUUGGCUGGCGUUUUCCACAUCGUGUCUAGCUCCUCUUUCAGCAGCCCUAGAUACAGAUUGAUGUUGUUCCCUGGUUGUUUCGGCCCUUCAAUUAGCAUACUCAUGUGAAUGUACUUCCUCUUCAUGCACAUCCAGGGGGAAGGUUGUACAUCCACACAAACACAGGCCAGGUGCUAUGUGUGCUUCUCUGGCUGCCAAACGGAUUGACUCGAUCAGUGCUCAUGCCCAGCAUGGUGUUCCUUGGAUCAUCCCCAAAUUCUGGGUGUUCGAAGUUCAACGCUUGCCACUGGCUCGCAUCCUUAGGGUGACUUAGCAUCUUGUCUUUUUUAUUUAUCUCCGGAUCAUUUCCGUCAUCUUCUCGCUUCUUCUCCUCCCUAUCCAUGUGCCAGCGCAUGAGCUUUGCUAGCUUAGGGUCCGCGAAAUACCGCUGUAGACGAGGAGUGAUUAGAAAGUACCACACCACUUUUCGAGGAGCUUUCUUCCUCUUCUUGUAUCGAGUGACGCCGCACACCGGACAUAUGGUAGACUCCGCGUGCUCGUCCCGAUAAAUGAUGCAAUCGUUCAUGCACACAUGGUAUUUCACGUGAGGUAAAUCCAGAGGACACACAAUUUUCUUCGCCUCCUCGAAACUGGUCGAAUACUUGUUCCCCUUGGGAAGACGUUCGUGCCAGAAUGACAUGUUCUCGUCGAAGCAUGCGUCGGUCAUUUUGUGUUUUACCUUCAUCUCCAGAGCCAUGAGCAUUACUUUUAGGUGGGUAUCCUCGGGCCUGCAUCCUUCAUACAAUGGAGUAACCGUGUCUAUCUCCAGUUGAUCCAGUUUGUCUUUCUCUCGGGCGGCAACUCUUGCGUUACCUGUCUUCUUGAGAAGUAGCUCUUGAAUAUGAGGGUCCUGCACCUAGCCCAUCGAUGGUCCAUCGUCGUUUGCUCUGGCAUCUUCAUCUUCAUCAUCAUGCCCUUCGUCUUGAUCUUCCUCAUCAUCAUGUCCGUCAUCUUCUACAUGAUGACUAUGUACUGCAUCUACCUCGUGAUCAUGUCCUGGAGAUUCUUCGUCUUCUCGCCCGCCCUUGCUGCUAUUGUCUUGCUUCCCUUCCUUAUUUCUUGCCCGGCCCCCAUGGAUGACUUCAUAAUCAUCUUCAUCACCUUGCCACUGAUAGCCAUCCAUGAAAUCAUGCACGAGCAGGUGGUCCCACACCUGUCUGGAAUCCGGGUCCAUAAGGCUCCUCAGCUUGCAUCUUCGACACAGACAUCUUAUCUCCGUCUUGUUCUUUUGAAGCAUCUCGGCCUUCGCGGAGCUCAAAAACCUAUUCACAAUCACUACAAAAAAAUACACUUCCGUGAUGAUAUGUGUUUGUCACAGUAGGUCGCGUUUUUUGUCAUGCAUGUACAUCCAUGACAAAUUUAUGAAAGAAUCGAGAUAGUCAUACCUGUGCUGUCGUAGAAGUGUUCGAUGACAUUACCAAAAUUAUCAUCAUGGAAGUGUCCACUUCCAUGACAAUAAAUCAUGUGUCACAGAAGUGCUUUCGUCAAGGGUGGCCGACACGUGGCAUCCACCGUAACAGAACACCGUUAAGCUAUCGGGUCGGGUUUUGGAUCCGAUAACCCGUUAACAGCCUCGACCAAUGGGGAUUUUCCACAUGUAAAAUCAUCAUUGGCUGGAGGAAACACAUGUCGGCUCAUUGUUGGGACAGAUGUCAUCCACUCAUUGGACAGAAGGCGCCUAUGAUACGUCGACACGUGGCACGGCCCAACAGAGGCCCAUUCCUGUGAAAAGGCCGGCCCGUUUGACUUGGUCAAAAGGUGACGGGCCGGCCCAUGGAAAGCCUGUUAACGGCCUAUUCGCAUAUAGCCCAUUUACAGCACGCUAACCCAAGGCCCGUUACGCCCUAUCUGAAUUAGGCCCAGUAGCGUCAUCUAGGCCAUCCAAUAUGAUUCCAGCCCGUUUUCACUUCUGGCCCAUGUAUGGCCCAUGACGUCUUUCGGCCCAUAUGAGGCCCUAUGUAACUCUUGGCCUAUUAACGGCCCGUGGUGAAACUGGCCCGCAAUGAACAGUGUAUUACUUUAGACCCAUUAACGACCCGUGGUGAAACUGGCCCGUAAUGAACAGUGUAUCACUUUAUACCCAUUAAGGGCCCGUUAUUCAGUUGGGCCGUUUCCAGCCCAUGUUAUCUUUCGGCCUUCUCAGAGCCCAUUUAUUCUUGGGCUCAUUUGCAGCAUUCGGUUACUUACGGCCCGUUACCAUCAUUUUCUGCUUGUGGGCCAAAUUCAGCCCGUCGUUACAGUCGGCCCGUUUGUGGUCUGUUAGUCUGUUGUGCCAUUUUCAUAGCAUCACCAAAUAUGUCCUAUUAACGGCCUGUUAUGGUCAGCCAAUAAAAUGUACGAUUUCCAUUAUAGGCCCGUCUACGGCCCAUUAAAGGCCAGUACAAGACCCAUAAAUGAGUCGGCAGCCCAUGGAUCCUACGUGACGUAGAAGGCCCAUGGACACUGCGAGACGUAGAAGGCCCAUGGAUCCUACGAGACGUAGAAGGCCUGUGGAUCCUACGAGACGUAGAAGGCCCAUGGAUCCUACGAGACGUAGAAGUCCCAUGGUCGGGUGAGUUGGCCCCCAUUUGAACGAUAUAGCAUAUUCAAAGAAUUAUCCUACUCAAUACUAUCACCUCUAAAAAGCAUACACUAUACAACAAAGAAAUCAAGGCAUAGAAAGGUAGAAUAAUCCUACACUAUACAAUAAAUAAAUUACAGCCGAUUAUACCCACUUGGCAUUAUGGUACGGCACAGGUGAUAAUAAAGCAUACACAAACAGCAAAUUACAUACACUGGGCAAAUACGGCUCAUACAUCAUGGACGCGCAUCAACUUAACUCCAUUUGAACUAUAAUCUCUUCAGAAAAUAGGAUUGGCCGGAUUCAGAUAGCACAGAUUUCAGUCUGCAAAAUCUCCAAUUCCUUCAUGGUUACCUCGGUGUCUUGUUUCAUUUUUUUGACUCCUGCAUCUAAUACCUGCAUGUCCAGUCUCAACUUGUUGAUUAUACGUUGACAAUCAUGUACACGUUGUCUUGCCACCUCUAGUUGAUGCUCGAGAACAUCAGCACAUUCCAAUUCCAAUCCAUAAUCAUUCGGUAACGGCCAUGCCUCACUGCUCGCAUAUUUUUGUGUUGAUGUCACUUCAUCCUAAAAUGUUUCUGUAAGUACACAUGACUAGGGCAAAAAUAUAGUUACAACAGUGAAGCGAACAAGACACUAUUUUGUACUACAUGGCAAAACAGGACUAACAAUAAUGUUACACGUCACUUUCACAAAAAAAAUGUUACACGUCAUGAAGCAUAAGCAGGUGAUAUUUUAAAAAUUAUAAAAAAGAAGUCUGUGCAGCCUGCAUACAGAAAUCCCUCUUAGCUCACCAAAGGAGCAUGAUGUUGGGGCCCAAUCAAAAACACAGACAAGUUACAAAUUUAGAUAGCACGUUGCGUAUAAGUAAGCAAGCAGUUGGCCAUUCUGUACCUCAAUUAAAGUCUUAGGGAGCAUAAUGAAUAGCAGAGGGUUUCAUACAAACAUACUACAGCAGGCAAAACUAUGCAAUCAUUAGCAUAGUAUAAACUAGAUUGUGAGCCUCAUGCAAUAAUAGUUGGUUAACAGGCUUCAAAGCUUCAGGCACACUUCGGCAGAGUAAUUAAAUGGUAAGGCCUUUAAUUAUGUCAACUAAUAGUGAUACAAGUACCGAACAUCAGGCAUAAUUAUUUGGGCAUCUCAUUAAGUGAGGACAAAUAAAGCAAUUGAAAAGAGAAAAUUAACUAUGCCUGAAACAAACAAGGAAUUGAACUGUUGAGUUGCAUACAGUGACUUACCUUAGCAGGUUGAAGAGGCUCAACGCAGCUCCUACUUCUCUUGCAAGGCUCCUUCCUAACAUCUUGUACAUGGAAAUCCUCAAUCUUAUCUUCAUUGCACCCCCUCUGCAAGGUGACACAAACUAGUUACUCGUCUCCUUGGAAGAUAAAUAUGCAUACUUUCCAGUCUGUGAACACAAAAGGAUGAGAUUAUAACAAAACAACACCACAUAAUGAAACAUGCCGCAUCUCUUGCACUUGCACACAAUGAAAUGAGCAUUUACUAUGUCUACACUAUGUAAAAACUAGGCAUACCUUUGAACUGGAUCUCCAGGUACUCUUGGAGAGCCUACUGUAGUGUACAGCCAAACCUUUAUUCACCUAUGAGUUAGACAAGGCCCCACUACAGCAGCCCUUAGUGUUUAAAUCGUUGACAAGCUCUGUUAGAGUGUUAGGUCAAGAACAGCAAGUAAUCAAAGCAAACAGUCCUAGUGUGGAUGGCUGAUGCAAACAAGCAAUUGAACAGAUGUGUGAGAAAAUCUUACAUAUCAAGAAAAGAAGCAAAGAAGGAGGUUUAAAGACCAUCACUUGACUGACCAAAUUUAAGGGGCAUUUAAACAUCAUGUGCAAUGUAUGAACUAACAUAAACAUUGCAUAUUCCAGAUUCUACAAUGGAAUGCACAUGUAUUAGGUUAUGCCAUGUAUGAUGAUGCCUAAAUGUACAGAUAGCAGGCAGGAGUGAUUCAUCAUUGCACGCACAAUUGAAUUGCAGGUUAAGGGCCAGUUCGAUUCCGCCUUUUCAGGGUAUAUUGUCAAAAUAAGCCAUAAAAGAUGUAAAGAAGUCAUUUUUGAGUUAUGGGCUUGGGCUUAACUAAUUUCGCUUUGGAGGGGGUGUUUCGGGUAGAACCUCACUAAAAAUUGAAGGGAAGGGGAAUAGUGAAAUGACUCUAUUGUCUGCCUAUAUUACACAUAAAAUGCAGCUGCUGACACUUGUGUCACACCUGACCCUCAAGUAAAAACAAACACACAAGCAUUCAUUGCCCUGCCCGCUUGCAUCUACUCUCCCCUUUCCCUCUACCUCGAUCCCCUGCCUGCAGCACUAGGGUUCCUCCAGCGAGCCAUCGCCACUGGUCCCAUCUGUCCUGGUCCUCGACGAUGUUAUGUCCAGCUAGGCUACAUGGCCGGCGGGUAGGGGCAAAUCUCCAUGGCUGCUCCUCCCUCUGGCGCCGCCCCUCAUUCUCAUGGUCUCCAGCAGCUGCUCCAUUGUGGUUCGUCCAACGCACUACUCCAGCGGUCGCUGCACAACUAUGGCUGAUGCCACACUACGGCAGAAGGAACCUUGUUCUCCCUCCCCUCCUCCCAGGCCAUGGCCUUGAGGUGCUGUUGAAGGAUGAGCUCAUCCAGCAAGGUGAGGAUCUCCUCUGAUUUUUUGCCAAAUUUUCAUUCUGAUCCACUAUACGAUGAAUUGCUAUGAGCUGCUUCUGCUGCUGCUAUAUGAUGCAUUGCUAUGAGCUGCUCCUCCUGCUGCUAUAUGAUGAAUUGCUAUGAGCUGUUGCUGCUGUAUGAUGAGUUGCUAUGAGCUGCUACUACUGCUAUAUGAUGAAUUGCUAUGAGCUGCUGCUGCUAUAUGAUGAGUUGCUACAAGCUGCUCCUGCUACUGCUAUAUGAUGAAUUGCUAUGAGCUGCUCCUGCUGCUGCUAUAUGAUGAAUUGCUAUGCGAUGCUGCUGGUAUAUGAUGAAUUGCAGACUGCUGCUGCUGUAUGAUGAGUUGCUAUGAGCUGCUGCUGCUAUAUGAUGCUUUCAGGUGGUGCUUCUAUAUGAUAAUAACCAGCCACUUGGACCAUCGAAUUUCAACAAAUAAUUGUUCUUCAUUUAAAUGUGGGUCAUGCGUUCUUCGUUUAAAUUAGGCAAUGGGAUCUCUAUGGAAAACAUUGACCAAAGUAGAUUGUGCCAAGUAGAUGGUAUCUUUGUAUUUGCAUUUUGAGCAAAUAGUGAUGGUCUGUUUUUGCUAUCAUAUUAAUUACUGCACUGGGUUCAAUUUGUGAUGUUUGCAAGUCAAAUUAAUUUCCAUAUGUGCAGCAAAAUGAAAAAUGUAUAUAAUGCAAUCUAGACUUUCCACUGAUCAUACCAAAGAUAAGCUGAAAAUGCAAUGAAAAGAACUGGUUGGCGUAUUACAUGGAGCUUAUAUUAACAGGUGCUUAUUUUCUUAGGAUAACUCGUAAUAACUGUCCCUAAGAAACUUGGCUAAUAGAACUGGCAUACAAAUAACAUGUCAUGAUGAUUGCAAUGGAGGAGUGACGUACCAUAGCACACUGUAUAGGCUCACCGCUGCCUCUCCUUUUUUUGCGAUGUUCCAUGAAAUUGCCACAUACAUCUUGUACUUUUUCAUUGUGUAACCCUAUCUGCAAGUUACGGCUAAUUUCAGACAUCUCUACAUGAUACUACAUUGCAUAUCCCUUGCGCAUAUUCAAACCACCAAUUAACGAUUGUGUGCGUACCAUAAACUAGCCAUGACUCUGUAUGCUGGACUGGCAGGCACUCUAAGGGAGCCUAAUGUAGUGCACUGGAAUUCCUACAUGCCACCUACGAUUUUGUGUAAUGUACUGCCCCUGUUCCUAAAUAUAUGUCUUUGUAGAGAUUCCAGUAUGGACCACAUACAGAUGUAUAUAGAUGAAUUUUCAAGUGUAGAUUCAUUCAUUUUGCUCCGUAUGUAGCCUAUAGUGGAAUCUCUAGAAAGACUUAUAUUUAGGAAUGGAGGUACGAGGUAGUAUCAUGUAUGACAUCUACAUAUCUAAUUUAGCAGCCAGUAGUAGAAAUCAUUGUCUGCACAAAGGGAUUACUGGUCGAAAAUCCUAGCAAAGCACGCUGGCAGGCACAGAACAAUACAAGAAAGAGAGAGAGACGUGCUUACAAGAUCAUAGCAAUGCCUCAGUCCAGGAUCUUGGUUGGCCAAGCUGUUAGAUCCAGAAGAAACAUCGUCCUUGUAGUUUUUGCCAGCUGCAUAACAGAUAAUAGCGACCGGUUAGUAUAUUUGAAGUACAUCGGGCAGGUGAUGCUGGACGGGUUUAAAGGUGACAAGUACCUAGGCCAUGGCAGGUGCUUGGCAUCUCUCCAGACGGUGGGAAUCAGGUUAGAAACAUCGAGGGUGAUGACGCUGCGCUGGCUGUUGGGGUCCGGUUAGGAGAUCUAGAAUUGUCGAGUAGGGUGUUUGUGGAGCUGCCCCAGUAGGGUGGACUACAGUGUGGGCGAAGCGGAUCUGUGGUCGUGGACGAGGGCAUAGGUGAAGCUGCUCCGGUGGUUGGGUUAAGGAUGGUGUCGGUGACGCGGAUCUGUGUUCAUGGACGGGGCGUCAGAAGCUGCUCCGGUGGUUGGGUUAAGGAUGGUGUCGACGAUGCAGAUCUGUGGCCGUGGACGGGGCGUCAGAAGCUGCUACGGUGGUUGGGUUAAGGGUGGUGUUGACGAUGCGGAUUUGCGGCCGUGGACGGGGCGUCAGAAGCUGCUCCAGUAGGUUGGAUGAGGGUGCGAGGAAGCGGAUCUGAGGCCGUCGACUUGUGAGUUGGCAAAGCAGCCCCGAUAGGGUUGAGAAUGGUAUAGGCGAAGCUACUCCGGUAGGGUUGACGCUGCUGUCGGCGAAGCGGCUCCGAUAGGGUUGAGGAAGGUGUCGGCGAAGCGCCUCCAGUAGGGUUGAGGAAGGUGUCGGCGAAGAGGAUCAGAGGACGUCGACGGGGGCAUCGAUGGGGCGGCUCCGGGGGGUGUGGAUGAAGCGUCUCCUGUGGGGAGUACGAAUGAGCCGCUGCAGAUGCGCGGCGGUUGACGAGAGUACCGGCGAAGUAGAUCUGGCGCCGUGGACAAGGCCGGCACUGAAUGGGCUGUGGUACAGUGGUGGAUGAGCAGUCUACUUGUUUCUAGGGGAGGUGGGAGGGGUAGAUGCGGCCGCAGAAGCAGAUCCGGCGAGGUGGACGCCGCUGGUAGUGAAUGGGCUAUGGUACGCCGGUGGAUGAGCAGUCUAGGGUUUCGAGAGGGGAGGGGNNNNNNNNNNGGAGAAAGGGCGAUGAAGUACGGACGGCGUGAUGUAAGAUGCUCUGGUGCUAUGGAGUUAGUCGUUUUUGCGGGAGGGGGGGAGAGGAAAUGGGGGUGCCGUGUAGUGGGGGGAACCGGAAGUUACCAAAGCAGCUCCGACCUAUCAUGUAGAUGAGGGCGGUAUUGUAACUGUUGGUCUCCGUGCACCAAGGACAAAAGGGGGAUUUCGCAUGCUAAAGACUAAGGUGGCGAAAAUUUUAGAAGGAGGCGGGAGAUUUUCCCGCCCGCGGGAUAGUUCGUAUCCAGUUUCAACUGAUUUUGGACCGUGCUAGCGGGAAGGUCAUGCUAGACUGUGUACACGGGGCACGCGUCAGCGGUUAAUAACUGGUGUGAAGUCCACCCCAAAAAAAAAGACAAUAACUCGGGACGAUGCGCCGAUAACUUGGACGUUCACACGGCCGCGGCCAAUCGUACGGGUGUAGUGGCGCGUUCACACAAAAGGGAUCGAAUGCUCAGCCUAUGUAUUUCUCGUGUAAAUAGAUAAUUUAGUGCCAUUGGUUAUUUACUUUAAACAUAAUGCAUUGACGUGUUAGUGUAGAGGCGCACAAAAAGAAAUGGAUAUUGUAGUUAGCUACUUAAAAGUAACAAUGGUGCAUGUGCAUGAUAACUACAUUGGUUGUUUGAAGAAACAUCACUGUAACUUUGGCAUGCACAACUGAAAAAGGUUUAUUUAAAUAGAAAAAAAUAUGAUAUGUGACUGUCCAAUCUUUAUAGCAUUGAAUCGAUAUUGUACCUUUGGCCACGAUACGAAGUAGAUAUUGACUUAUGUUCAAGCGAUGCACGUCCACGGUCGCUAGAUAGUGAUACGUGAAUGAAUUGUGCAAUCUCUCUCACACGCAUACAUAUCUCAUUUCCCUGUGGGCAUCGAAAUCACACACGCUCACUUCGUGUAUUUCUCUCCCUCCGUCAGGGUUAAAUUCGUCUUUCUACCCUGUCCUACAAGUCUCUCACACAGAAACACACACGCUCUCUAUGUCUAACACGCCCACCCCUUUAAUUCCGCCCACCCACACCCACUAAUGUCUCAAAGUAUAAUAAUGUCUCUCACACAUAUGCUAUCUACCUAUCCCUUAAUAUAGCUAGAUAUGUGUCACACAAACUCCUCCCUACUAGCAAGAUGCCCAUGUGCGUUGCACGGAACAUCAAGAUGCAUUUGUAUGAGAAGUUUAUCUUGUGGGAGAAAAGGAUGAACGAGGGAAUGCCUUAUUUGCAAAUGCGGAGAGGGGUGCGGGUAUCUUUUUGCAAAAUUGCCAUAUUUUCCUUCAUGUCCGUCGGGUAUAAAUCGGAUGGCCUAUAUUGCAGGAUGGCAGGAACACCAUCAUCACCAACUCUGGUUUUUUAUAAGAGUAGAGAUAUGUGAGUGUCACUGCCCCCCCCCCCCACACCGACACUUCCCAACACCGAAGGAGUAGGGUGACACCUCGAUCUUGAUACUAAUCUAUCGACUGGCUUCUCUCUCAAACAUACACACACACACACACACUAACCGGCACCGAAGGAGUAGGGUGACACCUCGAUCUUGAUACUAAUCUAUCGACUGGAUUCUCUCUCAAACAUACACACACACAUACACACACACACACUACCCGGCACUGAAGGAGUACGGUGGCACAUCGAUCUUGAUAAUAAUCUAUCAACUACUCUUUCAAACACACACACACACAGACACACACACACACACACACACACUCGCUAGUUGUGCCUCUGUGCCUACCGCGCACACUCUCGAUACGUCUUUCUCUCCCUCCCCCCAACAAUGACAGCAGAAGGGUGACGACUCGAUCUGAUCAUAAUCUGUCAAUUGGUUUCUCUCUCAAACAUUGUGUCUCGGUGCCUCGCUCGGUAGCCCCCUCGAUAUGUAGACUUCUCGCGCGUGCACAACUGUAGUGACGAUGACGCUGAACCCAGUGUGCCUUUUUUUUACCGGUGUGAUGUGAUAGUUUUCACCCUGUUUUCUGUUAAUUAACAAGGCAACCUUUUCUUUGUUACUACUAGUGAAUCUGAAAUCAUUCGGGGCAGACAUAAAACAUAUCACUUCAACCCAAUUAUCGCAGCAACUACUUUAAAAGAAAUUAGCUAGCUGCCCGUGCGUUGCACGGAACAUCAAGAUGCAUUUGUAUGAGUACUUUAUCUUGUGAGAGAAAAGGCUGAACGAGGGAAGGCCUUAUUUGCGAACGUGGAGAGACGUGUGGGUAUAUUUUUGCAAAAUUGCCAUAGUUUCUUUCCUAUCUGUUAGAUAUAAAUCCGACGGCCUAUAUUGCAGGAUGGCACACACACCAUCAUCACCAACUCUGUUUUCUACUCCCUCUGUCCGAAAAUACUUGUCAUCAAAAUGGAUAAAAAUAGAUGUAUCUAAAACUAAAAUACGUCUAGAUACAUUUCCUUUUAUCCAUUUUGAUGACAAUUAUUUCCGGACGGAGGGAGUAUUUGUCUUUUUAGAGAUUUCAACAAGUGACUAUGACCGGACCUUAUCAACAUACUCAAAAAAGUAGUCCAUAAUUUUGAUGUUACCCUCUUUUCUUGGCGGUGCAGUGCCAUCUGGAUACCUCAUAAAUAAAUCAAGGACAAAUCUGGCCCCUUCCUGAAAAGAUAUACGUAACAAAAUGAGUGAAUCUACACUCUAAAAUAUGUGUACAUACACAUCCGUAUGUGGUAGUCCAUUUGAAAUCUGAAAAAGACAAAUAUUUAGGAACGAAUGGAGUAUAUAUAAGAGUAGACAUGGAGAUAUAUCUCCAGCAUGGUCUACAACAAAAAUGUGCUGGGCUGGUUAGCGUCGGAUGCUCGCAACGCGAUGACAUGAGUUCGAAUUCUGUCUUUUAACUUUAGAUUUGUAUAUUAUAUAUUACUCUACUUAUUUAAUAUAUACUUCUUUCGCUACUGUACUGACAGUGGAACCCACAGAGUACUUAGAAUAUUAAGGAUGGACUUGUUUCUUUUUAACUUUCUGUACGAAGCUGUAGCCACCCUGCAAGUCACAUGUACAUUGUACAUGCAAUUAACUUUUUAUAGAGGGACAAUCAUACAUGCAAUUAACUCAAAUGGAUUGGAUGUGACUCUAUUAUUUCCAGCAUAAAGAGCAUCUCCAACGGCAGCCGGCAAAUUUCCUCCCGCUUUCUUCCGCGGAGGACGACAUAAAACGCCAGCGGCAUACAUUUUUACAACUCUAACCAACCAGAUGAAAUUCGUGCAAACACGGACUGAUUUCAUAUAAGCAUGAAGGAUUUCGUAUAAAAAGCCAGAUGUUCAUAUAAACAUGAUGGAUUUCAUUACAUUUACAUGAACUAAGAGGUGCCAAUCCGGCUCUCUUGUAUAAUUAAUACUCCCUCCGUCCGGAAAUACUUGUCCUAGAAAUGGAUAUAUCUAGACUUAUUUUAGUUCUAAAUGGCCGCCCGUGGAUCCCUUUGUCUUCCUCAUGUCCGUCAGACACUUGCGGGGUCGACGAAGGUCCUCGGAAGAGACGAAGCAGCAAAGAAACCACUUGAAUCCGCGGUCGUCGCCUCGGCGGUAGCCUUCAUGGGUCCCAAGUGGCGGCAGCCUCCCGUGUUCUACUUAUCCUCGAUGAUGGCAGCGGACAAGGAGAAGCUGGCCACCGACUGGUCGCUCUCCACGCACCCGGCUUCUGUCUCUGCCUGCAUGGCGCUGCCGUAGGCAUGGGAGGCGCGCCCACAGACACGGGAGGCGCGGCCACCGCAGACACUGGUGGCGCGGUACGACGUGGCAGCGACAGCGCCCGUACCGGCGUGCUCGCCGCCGUGCCGGCGUGGAGCAACUCGCCACUCCUCAUCGAGCUGAACUGGAGCGGCGAGUUGCCGAACCACGCGCCUGCUUGGGGCGGUAACUGGUUCCGUCGGGCCAAGCGAGUUUGGUGAAGCACCGAGCAGCCUCGCCCGUAUCCGGAGGGCUCGGCGGGCCACCGAGCCGGGUAAUAUGCCGGAGAACGGCUCAUCGGAAGCCAUCGGAAGGGUGGAGAAAAUGGUGAAGAUGGAGAUGGGGGAGCGGCGGAGGGGUGCGAUUCUUGCCCGCUGUCUGUCUGGCCUCGUGUAAAUAGAGGGCGGACAGUAGGAGCUUGGCCGGCGUCUGGCCUCGUUUAAACUGAGGGCGGAUGGGAGGAGCUCGACCGGUGUUGCGUUUAAUUCCGGCCCGCUCAUGAACGGACGUGUGGCCGGAGUAGGAUUCUAGGUUUGCAUGCGGGUUUAACGGAGCGGUUUAAUGGAGGCGCCGGGCGUGCAGCGGGCGGCACAGUACUAUUCGAUUUGAUAGCAUUAAUGAGCCGUCAAAUCACAAAGGCCCCCGCCUCUCGUGAAACUGACCGAGCUAGACUGCCCCGCCCUCUAGCCUUUUAAAAAAUGUAUAUACUCCACUUUUGUACAGUAGUAGUAUCGAUGGAUUGCGUCGUGGAGCAAAACUUGAAAUUAAAAAAAGGUGGUACAUAUAGAGAGCGCUCGUGAACUAUGUGUCAUACAUGGCAAUAAAUAAAGUACUACAUGCUACUUAUAUGAUACAUGGCGCAUGAGUAAUAAGUAUUAUUAAUACAGUUUUGCUAGAACUCAUCUAGAUGAGAUAUAAUUUGGUCUCAUUCAUCUUUUAUAUAUAGCCAUUGGAUGUGAUGCUAUAAGAUGCGUGUGUGCUGACGUGGGUUGUAUUUGUUCUUGUGCAACGAACUGACCACUGCAUGUCAUGUUUUAUAGUCUCAAGUCAUUAAAAGCAUACAAGCCCCACAUCUCUUCUUGGUUGAUUCCUCUAUUUAUGUCAAAAAAUAAGAAACAACAUGAGAGUUAAUGCACCACACCUAUGUGUUAGACUAGCCACAAUGGUGAGUAACAUACACUAGUAACAUACACAUAUCCCUAAACUAUGUUACUACCUUCAUAGUGGGUACUACCUUCGUCCUGGUUUAUAGGUCCCUUUUAUAGUUUGUGCCAAAUUUUGACUAAAGAUUUAACUAACAAAAUGUUAAUGCAUGUCAAGAAAAAUUAUCUCAUUGGAUUCGUAUUUGAACAUAGUUUUGAAAAAUAUAAUGUUUGGUGACAUGCGUGAACAUUUUCUUAGUUUAAUCUAUGGUCAAAAUUUGGCACGAAAUACAAUGGGGACCAAUAAACCCUGACAGAGGUAGUAGUAACAUAAGUGUGGUAACAUGCAAAGCUUCAUUUAUUAGGUUAUAGACUCAUAUUGCAUUGGGACAUGUGAUGUUACAGUAACUAGCUAGUAAGUUAUUAUAACUACCUCUCUCCUCAUUAACUCACUGCCACAUAAGCAAAUUUGCUGAGUUGGACUCGAUGUUACUGCUGAAGUUACUCCCACGGUGGCUAGUCUUACUAGUAUUUGGUUUUUGUAAGAUGACUUAUAAUACUCACCUAGACGGAGGGAGUAUUCGAUUUGACAGCGGGUGGCGCAGUUCCCGAUAUGCCUUUAAUGCAGACGAGGGAGGGAGUAGCGGUUCCCGAUAUGUUGAAUGGCCAAUUCAUCCUCCUUCAAUUAAUGCAUGAGGGAAGUAAUGGGAGGAGGUCCGGGAAAAGAGGCUGCACGAUGUGAAUGCAACACAGUUUGCCCUCAUUGCCCUCAUUGCCCUCAUAUAAAGGUGCCCCUCCUCCAUUCCAAUGCAUCUACCACAUCGUACGCACCUAAGCACUUGCCUAAGCACCUACACUAAGUGCAAAAGAGCUCACUCCAGACCCAUGGCGGCAAUGCGCGUGAGCGGCCAGCGGCUGCGCCAGAUGGUCCACGACACCGGCCUGCGGCAUGGCACCGAUGAUCGUCUCCAGACGGUGUUGGAGACCUGCUGGUUAAUGGCCGCCGUCGAUGCCAACUAUGACUCUCAGUUGGACUAGAUGAUCGUUGCCACCAGCAACAAGUUCACCGUCCUCAAGAAGCUCGCGGACGACAUCGCCGUACUCCUCCAGCCCGCGCGCCCGGGCUCCUCAUUGCCUACCACCCUAAUCGGCCUCCAUGGCUGAAACCUCUUUCAAGCACUGGUGGCCCUGUGACUGCCCGCCGACGCCACGAAGAAUGUCCACCUGGAGGUCGCGCUCGCCGCGAGGCGCCUCGCCCUGCAAGAAUUCGUCGACCUACACAUCCACGCGUACGAGCAAAUCGUGUACAUAGGUAUCUACAAGGCCAGUGAGGACACUAUGAUGUUGGCCUUCCUCAACCGGCUGGAAGCCUUGGGUGCCUUUGUUGAGAAGCACCUCAACCUCGCCACAAAAUCCGCCGCUCCUUAGCCGCCGGUCGGUGGCCCGACUCACUAAGUUGAGGAGGAGGAGGUCGUACGUUCAUGGAUCCAUCUUUCUUCUUGCCUUCUGUAACCACCACUGUGAUCAAUCAUCGUGGCCUUAAUUCUUAUUGUGCUGUUGCAUUCUCGUUCCAGUCAAUACCGACAUGUGCGAUCCCUUUGCUUAAUUAUAUGCAUCACUGUAACUAGUACUCCAUCCAUCAAUUUAUAAGUUGUGCUUACCUUUUCCAUCAACUUCGUGCAACGCGCGGGCAUCUUGCUAGAAACACUAGAAUAUGUCUAUAUAAUCCGUAUGUGAUAGUCCAUUUGAAAUCUCAAAAAAGACAAAUAUUUAGAUACGGAGGGAGUAAUAUAUUAGGAGUAUAUCAAAACAAUAGUCAUUUCUUUCAAGUUUGUGAAUAAAUACUACUAUUCUACUACUUUGGAUCGGUCGCAACGCACGGGCACAUUGCUAGUAAAAGGAAAAGGCCUGCCACAUUCGCGUCACACCCCCACACGCCCGGGAAUCGGGAGUACAACACGGCCCGUCCGGCACGACACAUAGCUUAGGGAAGGAGUGUUGCCUAGCAGUGGUGGAGCUUGAAGCAAAACGUUGGGCGUGCCAGUCUAGCCAGGCUAUAGAAAUUACCCUUGCAUUGAUGUUCCAUGCCUCAAAAUUGGAUGUACAACUACGAAAAUCCUGCUAGGUUUGGCGGGCCAAGGCACGUGUUGGCCCACGUAGCUCCGCCCCUGUGCCUAGCAUUUUCACUUUCAUGUGAGACCGCCCGUUGAGCAAACAGACACCCCGCUCGCUGCCGGGUUGGAAAACAGAAACAAGGGGAAGAUCUAGCUAUAGCACGGAAGCCAAGAAAUUUUGUGUCAGACGGGGCUCGUUGAUAGAGUAGGAGCAUUCCGUACUAGUAUUACUCCUACCAAGUUUGUACUCCUAAUACUAUUAUAUUACUAGUACUACCACUAUACAACUAGUAGAUAUGUGCACGACACAACAUCGUAGGAACAAAAAACGGGAAGAUCUUGUUUUGGGUGAUUUAUCUUUUUUUUAAUCAACGUAGUAUGAAUAAUAUGAUGUGGGGGGCACCCAUGAAGCUUAUGUGGCUUGGUUGCAUGGCUACGGAAGGUUAGAGAAAAAUAAAUAGAUAAUGUGUUUAGUGUGCACUCCACUAAAUAGAUAUACUUUGGAUCCAUUGCAACGGACCGGCACAUCUAUAUCUAUACCCCCUAUAUAGUGUGUGAAAAACUUUGAAAGUUGGUCGUUGGAUGAAGCCAAUCCGACGGUACAAAGAUGGCAAAUCCGAGCACUACUGGCCAUUGGAUAUCAUCCACCAGAUUCUGCCACAUGUAUAAUCUAGAAGACUCCAUGGUUGAACUUAAUUCAUGACUAACUUUGCCACCACUAAGCUCUGGCAAAGUUAUUAAUAAGUUCUUCAAAAUGAGAGCCACAAGUUGGCAAGCCUAAGGGAAUCUUGCCACAUUUUUUGUGUGUAUGUCAUGUGGGGCCAGUGUGGCUUGCCUAAGGUGUGGAGUUAAUCAAACUUGCCUAACCUUACAUUCCACCAAAUUUUGCCACAAGUUGGCAAGCCUAAGGGAAUCUUGCCACAUUUUUUGUGUGUAUGUCAUGUGGGGCCAAUGUGGCUUGCCUAAGGUGUGGCUUGAACCAAACACUUACCUAAGUUAAUCAAACUUGCCUAACGUUACAUUCCACCAAAUUUUGCCACAUGUUAGAAUCCAGAAAACUCCACAUAUAGAAGCAUAAUGCACAAACCACCAGAAUCUCAUGCGUGCAAUGCACGUGUACCUUACUACUAGUACUACUAGUAGUAAGAAACAAAUUCCAGUUUUGGCACGAGCUCGUACUGCGGGAGCACCACAAGGCCUACCGCAGGAGUUACAUUUUCCUCUCAGGGCCCACGGGACCGAACUUCAGUGGCUUAGUGCCCGGCCUAUGAGUCAAUGACAUGUGGGCCUUAAAUGCAGCUGGCCCACAUGUCAUUCUCAUGGUGGUGGCGUGGUUCGCGAAUCACUCAUUCGAGAUGAACCGACCGGUGGUGGCGUGGCCGUGGCGAGGGUACCACAGCUGGGCGUCGGGGCAUUACGAGGCGUAGAUGGCCACACCGGCGGGUACUACCUGUAGUACAUAAGUACUCCAGCUGAGGAUUGAUGCACGGGACGAAAUGUGUGAUAGCCGCUGGAUGAAAAUUCGAUGGUGCGGGAGUACGGAUCGGAGCACAGCACAUGAGCAGGCAAACCGCGUCCAAUCGGGUGUGUCUGUGGUAGAAAGUUGAUGGUCGCCGUAGUUCAGCUGGCCCGCAUGUCAUGCACACAAAGGCAGAGGAGCGGUGGGGCCAAGAGGGAUGAGGGGCACGAACAAUCCUACCAUUCUGUCACUGACAUGUGGGACCCAUAUGCAUGGGUCCCACCUGUCAGCGAAGGAAAGGCAGGGCAAGGCAGUGAUAGCCACGUCAGAGGAUCCAUGUCCACGUCGAGGGACGUCGUGUCGUGGGUUGGAGCGGCGUCGUGGGAAUCGCGUGUUGGUGUGGCAGUGGUAGAAACAAGAAACGUGAUGGUCACCGUGGUUCGACUUCCAUGGACAAGUUGUCGUGUCUGCUGACACAUGUAUAUCAAAACUAGAGUGUUUAUAUUUCAAGCACGUGAACAAGUAUUAUUCUACUAGUUUGGAUCCAUUGCAACACACGGGCCAGCACAUUGGUAGUAGUAGUGUCCAUCUCUAUCUCUAGAGGCCUUCCCCCGUUCAUCCUUUUCUCUCACAAGAUAAACUACUCAUACAAAUGCAUCUUGAUGUUCCAUGGAACGCACGAGGAUGUUUCCUUGGGGGUCUCUCCAGCGCAGCAUGGCCGUAGUUGCAAGUUGACGCCCCUUGAGAUGCCGAUGUUGAGGGGCACUCGGAUUUCCUCUGAUGAGCAGGUAAGAUGAGUUUGAUCACGUAGUAAAUGCAUUCUAAAGACUACUUCCGUGUCCAUUUCCUAAUUCUCCCCCUGCCCACUGUUUCACAGGCUAGGCUCGGUGCGAGUGGAGAUUGGCUUCCAUAUGUACGGGAGGGUACCAACAUCAAUUUGCACAACAUUUACAAUGGUGACACCAUUCCCGUAGAACCUUUGUCCAACAUUGGGAUCAGCCAUGCAAUGGGCCACCGCAUGAAUUGGUACGAUGGAACCACUGUGAGAUUGAAUAAAAGAUAGCACGAACCUUGCACAUGGCGGUCAAAGGCGGACCAUGCUAUCUGCGGCCGAUUUGUUGCUGUACGAGUAGGAAGACGUUGUGCUCCUUUCUAACCGCGUCUUCAUGGUAACAAACCAGGGGACUCAUUUUGUAUGGGACACAUCCUAUGAUAUACUCCCUCUCUCCCAGUUUAUUUGUUUUGAAUCCUUUUGUUUUAUAAGUUUCAAAUUCAAAUUUAGAGCUCCCCAUCACAUGUUGAGAUUACAAUGUCCAUUAAAUCGUUGCGUGCAUGUGUAGUAAAGAAACAAAUCUCGAGUUUGGCACGAAUUCGUGCUGCGGGAGCACCACAAGCCCUGGCGCAGGAGUUACAUUUCCCUCUCAGGGCCGUCGGGACUGAGCUUCAGCGCCUUACUACACCUACCUUUGAGUCAAUAACAUGUGAACCCGAUAGGUGACUGGUCCACAUGUAAUGCUCCCGAAGGCAGAGGGGCGGUGGGGCCAAGAGGGGUGAGCCGCAGGUCGAGGGACGUGUGGUUUCAUGGGUUCGAGCGGCGUCGUGGGAAUCGCGGGUGGCUGUGGUAGAAACUUGAUGCUCGCCGCAUUUUAGGUGGCCCACAUGUCAUGCACAGAAAGGCAGAGGGGCGGUGCGGCCGAGAGGGGUGAGGCGCACGUCGGGGGGCGUGGUGCCAUGGGUUGGAGAGGCGUCGUGGGAAUCGCGAGAUGAAACGUGAUGGUCGCCGCCAUGGACAAGAUGUCAUGUCUACGGACACAUGCACUGUAUACCAAUCACUGGAAGGAGUAGCAGAGAAAGCUAUAUAUGCGGAUAAAUAGUUCCUUAUAGUCAAGCGGACCCAUGCUACUACUCUGUUCCAAAGACAUGCACACCAUCGAAAUAGUCCAUCUAUAUCAAUAUACACCGAGAGGGAAUAAAUUUUUUUACAAGAGAGGAAAUAGUUCAUCCAUCCAUAAUGCCCUCCUGCUGGUGCAGCGUUUUCUUAUUCUUCUUCUUCUUCUUCUUCUUCUUCUUCUUCUUAUUCUUCUUCUUCUUCUUCUUCUUCUUCUUCUUCUUCUUAUUCUUCUUCUUCUUCUUGUUCUCAUUAUCUAUGGGAGACGGCUUCGCAACAAGCUCUUUGGACCUUGCAGCUAUCUCGAAACUCACACGGGCAUCGAGGGCAGCAUAUUUUAUCCGCUCGUACGUCAAGGGAUAAUUCUCCCAUCCAGACGAACUUAAUGCCACCAUCUCGUCACCCUUCUGAAGAUUUGUACCGAGCACAAAAUUUGCUACGUCGAAUAGGGAUGGUGUCUUUUUAGCACAAUCUUCUACAGGAAUUUUGAUUCUGGUUUGUAGGUCAGCGAUGCUUUUCAAAUCAAGGUUGUACGGCUCCAGCUUCUGUUUGUCCCCUUCAAUGGCUGCCCCAUAGAAGUAUACGUCCUCCUGAGACAAGAAAUCGUGAAGCUCACCUGGUAUGGAGGGCGAGUGUAUGAUGUGGUACACCAAAACAUCAUCUUCGAGGCACAGCUGAAGGACGGCGGCGCGCUGGAUCUUCCCAGGGGCAUGCUCCGUGUACUCUACGCCGAGACCGAUGACCCUCGUCUCUACCUUUUUGAGGGAGUUGGAUACAUUGUUGAUCCACUGCCGAACAACCCUUGCGUGGACGGUGACGGUGGCAACUAUGCGCAUCGAGCCUUCGACGAGGACAUGUUGGACGCUAAAAACCUACAUCUCGAUCUCUUUCGCCAUUUGGAACCGCUGGAACGGAGGGCUAUGGUUUGGAGAAUUAGGAUUAGAUGGCUAGUCUAACUGAAGUAGUAGAUGAUUAUUUAAAGAGGUUAAAACAAUGUGAACGCAGUGGGGUGUGGAUGCAAAUGAAGACGAAGGGGAGGUGAAGAAGCCGAGGCGAAUCGGUUCCCGAUGGAGAAGUAAAUGGGAGAAGUGGUGUGCAGGCAGUUGAUUAGACGGCUAGGUAGACUAAACGGAAAGGCUAUGCGGGUAGACUGAGGAGUCGUACCUAUUCGUGUACGUGCCCAUCCUUCCUGAUAGGUGGGACCUAUGCAAACAGAUAAAAAAAUGUGUCGUAGCUUUUUUUUUGAGCCCAUAAGUGGGAGACACAACAUUCUCUGAUUAAGGAAUACUCCCUCCGUUUAGGUGAGUAUAAGUCACCUUAUGAAAAUCAGGUUUUCCCAGAACCCUUAGGCGUGGAGCAUUAACUUCCUGCUCGAUCCCCUCCCAGCCUCGUUAGCCAGCGUUCUCUUCCUCUCCUGCCGCGUUCUACCUUUCCAUUUUCCUCUUCUCAAGUGUGGAACGAUCUGCAUGCCGUCCUUGAUGCACCAGAACGACCACUGCAUGCAUCACGACAGGGCAUUGAUUGGGCAUGCACGAGAAUUUGGUUCUGCUCGCAAUAUGGAUGAUACCUGAAUGAUGAAGUGAACAGGCAUGCUAGCACGAGAGACCUAUUUCCGCUAUACAAUACUGGAGUACUCAUGUUCCUACUAGUAGUAGUAGUAGUAGUACAACUGUGGUACACUUGAUGGUCAAAAUACUAUUCAUUCGGUCCUCACAGUGAAUUGACAACACCCUGCGCCUGACACUAGUCCAGGCGAGGCGGCGUGUUCAGGUUACCAAAGUCAGCCUCACCCUAUGCACUGUGCAGUCUGUCACUGCCGCUGUACAGCACAUUGGCGCCUUGCCUCGUCUCCCUCUCCGCUCCCAUAGCACCACUCCAUCUCCAUCUCCUUCUCCGUCUCCAUCUCACUGUGCCCCCCGUGUACCGUCGCCUCACUCGCCUCCCCCAGUACCACUAUUCCCUCGCUAGCCGCUCUAGCACUGACAUCAUUCUCCCCCGUAAAUCAAACCCCUUCCAAACUCCACCAUGGCUGAACACGAACCGUGUAGCAUCCAUAUGAGCCGCGAUUGGAGCAAUCUCCCCAGUGACAUCCUCGACCUCUGUUGUUCGUGUAUGUAUAUGUUGACCGCCCUGCGGCUGGCUGCAUGCUCGAGGGACAUGCACACGGCCAUCGUCAAAGCGAGGCCUAAGCUUUUCAAGACUCCCUGCUUGCUUCUAUCUGGUCUUGCGAGAUUGGCUCACCAUGAUACAGAGGUGUGCAUGAUGCCCCUUGACUUCAAUCUGAUCUCCAUUAGCCGAAACUUCUUUGCAGGAAUGUUACGUGUGUACUGUGUCACUGUACAUCAUUUCCCUCGACAUCGAUCCGAUCAUCAUCGCCCGAAACUUCUUGGCGGGUAUGUACUGGGUCGGCAUGAACUCCCACUGGACGGCUGCCUUCAGAGAAGAUGGUAAAAAGUUGGUGCUCGUGAACUUCCAAACCUCCCAUGAGAUUAUCCUUCCUCCGUUGGAUUAUAUAGAGUAUUACCAUCGCGGUCCAAGUCAUCUAGAUUACUACGUCAGUUGGACGGACCUUGUUUUGCAGAAGAUUGUAAUCUGCCAAGUACCCACACGACAUGCGAAUUACGCAGACUUCAAGCUAAUUGCCUUGUUCGACCGCGAACUCGCCUAUCUUUAAUCCGGUGACUUUUUUAGCUGGAGACAACUCGGCUCGUAGUGGAUCAUCGUCAAAGCUGAUACACACUUCUGUAAUGCUAUUGAACACAAUGGCAUCAUCUACGCGAUCGACAAAGCAGAUGGCACCAUGUAUUGCUGGGAUGGUGCGUGUAAGUUGUUUCCGUCUCAUGUUAAUGAUGACGCCAUGACACUGUUUGAACUUUUUUUGAUGAUUGGCAUAUCCCUGUUUGAGCAGAAUUUGAGUAGAACUAUGGCAAUAUAUUAGAGACACCAUAAAUCAGCUAUAUUUGGAAUGAGUUAAUUCAUGUGAUUGUGACCAUGUCAUUACAGCCAAUUUGUACCCUGAAUAAUCAAACGGUUAGGAAUAUAUGGAUAUUAUCCUUAUUUUUCAGUAAUCUAUAUACUACUACUAAAUAUGAGUGUGUAUCAAUGGCCAUGUUAGUUUCCUCAUUUUCAUGAUGUAGAAACAUGCACCACACUAUUGGUUUCAUCUAACCAUACAUUAGGGAAGUAAAUGUGCAUAUGGAGAACUCUAUAUUUGGAAGUAGUGAAAUCCUGCAAUGCUUACCAUGUGUACAUACCUAUAUUCGCCCUUCAGCAAUCAAUGACUAGAAUAAUAUCCUCACAAAAUUUUUGCCCACAGAACACGAGUAUAUAACAAUGCAUGGUCUGUUAGUUACCUUGAAGAAUUUGUUUGUGAGGACAGAACAUGAUUACAUAACAUGCAUGACAUGGUAGUUUCCUGUGAAGAAUCGAUUGUGAGAUAACAUGAGUAUAACCAUGCAUGGCACUUCUAUAUUUUCGAACCCAGUAUACAUUUCCCUGUAUUUUCCUCCCAGUUCAAAUAGGGACAUAUCAGUGCUGUUUCUUGCAUUAUCCUACUCAUACUCUGAACAAUGCUGAUCUUACAUUAACAAUGCAUGUCCUUUUUGAUAUGAUGCAGUGUCCCUACAGUUAUUGCCCUUUGUAAUUACACCACCUUUGCCAAAAACAGGGAAGCACAACUGGUUCCUCACUCGAUCAGACAACGGCAAAAGACUGAUGAUCAUUCGGACACAUGCGACGAAAAAGUUAUAUUGCAAAAACCCCACUGUAUACAAGCACCGUGCAAUACGUGAGUAUCCGGACAGUGGUUGUUACGUCUAUGAGCAGGAUACCAGCUUGUUGGGGCCUUUAGGAUUUUUUAGUUGGAGGCGGGCAAACAGCCUUGGUUCACACUCUCUGUUUCUCGGACUCAAUUAUCCGAUUCUCCAGGAGAUCACCGUUGGCAAGGACCUUGAUGGCAGAGAGGCUCUGUUUCCUAUGGAAAACUGUGUCUACACGGCGAGCCCUAGGAGUUCGGGAUCAUACUCCCCUGAUUGUCAACGAUACAGCCUCCAGCCAAAAGAAGGUGAGAAUGACAAAGGCAUCCAGAUUAACUUUGAUCCUUGGAUGUCUCAAUUACGACAGACAGUGAUGUGGUUCAAGCCUUCAGGUUGAUAGGUAAUUGGGCUGUUGCAUCGAAAGGGUGGAGUACUAGUGUCUCCGGAUCACUGGUCGCUGAAGCGGGGCUGCAAAUUAUGAUGGUGUUGGAUCAUCUCUUCGAAUGACUUUGUUGUCUUUGCUGCUGGUUCUGGAUGGGUAGUUCUUUCUUUUGUUAUGCAUAUUCCUUGUCAUUUGGUCAUCCUCGUCUAUGUCACUCUUUCUGUGUAAUAGUUGCUUCUGUUUAGAAUGUCAUUCUCGUCUGGAUCACGAGAGUCUGAGCGCUGCAGAUGGGUACGUUUUGGUGGUGUAGCAAGACUUCUUAUGAACUAUCAUGUCUUGUUGUUUAUGUCAGUAGUAGUCACUAGUCAGUGUUUGAAUGUUGUAUAUAUCGUUGUUUCGAACUGUUUAUUGUCUCGAACUACUGGUGGGCUAAAUGAGGGCAUCACCAUUCUCCAGUGUUCAGAGUAUAUCUCCUUUUUUCAAGUUAUAUAAUUUGAGCUCACUGUCUUUUUGAUGAUGUACACUUGUUUGGGCCAGUGAGGUGUCGUUGAAUAUGGGCCGAGUAGUAACGCAAUGCCAAACAGGUCAAUUAUGACUCUCGGGCCGGGCUCUCAAAAGAUCCUGAAAAAAAGGCCGGGCUCUCCAAAAAAGACAGAAUAAGGACUCUUAGGCCGACAUGUGGGCGCCACCGGUGUUUUCGCGCGCUUCCGCACCGAGAGCAUAUUGGCGCGUGCUCGAAAUUCAUGCUACCUUUUCAUCCCCAGUCUCCCGCCCCUCCGCCACCUCUGGAAUCUCGAUUCCUACUCCAGUUCCGCCAAAUCCCCCUCCUGUACUCCCUGUACUCAAGUGCACUAUCAUGUCGCAGGUCAACGCGGAUAUCCGAGCCGGAGAUCCUGAGGUCCGUCCUGCCUUCGGUCGCUGCGUGUUGUCGCUCAACAGUGGCAUGGCGGCGCUUGACGACCAGUUUGCUGGCAAAGUGCUGAUGGUAACCAUCAACGGCGACCGGCCUCCCGUCUCGCCGGACGAGCUUGUCAAAGCUCUUGGCAUUGCUUACGGCAUCCAAAUAAGUGACUUGCUCAUUGAAGUCUGUCCGCCACCGGCUGAUUUCUUCGUCAGGUUCCGAACAACUUUCGACUGCAGUCAUGUGUUUGAAUCUUCCCGGCGUUUGUUCUGCAAUGGCGCGCUAGUGACCUUUGAUCGGUGGCACCCAGGAUUGGGCUCGGUGCCCUCUGAGCUUGAGUUUUUAACAAAGCUUACCUUCCACGGCAUGCCUCGAUGUGCUUGGAACAGCGAGUCCAUGAACGAGGUUAUCAACGACCUUGGAGGUGAGCUCGUAAGUAUGUUUGUUCCUCCAGACAGUUGGGCUCUGACGGUUAUGGCAUGGAUGAAGAAGCCGUCCACCGUACCGAAGGUGAUUGGUGUUGAGAUACCGGUGCAGGAACCGGGGUUGUACUAUUCGUCACCACCAAGGCCGUCGCGGACCACGUUAGGGAUGUACCUAUAUCGAGUGUUCGUGUAUGUCGAAGAAGUGGUCAAUCCAUCAAUCGAAGUCCUGCCUCCCCCGCUGGUGCCAGGGUCCGUCGACGAUGUCCAUUACAGGAGUCAAUGUCAGACUUUCCCCGUGUUGCUCGGAACGAUGUAUGGCACAGGGCCUACUCCAUUGCGCGGCGGAGGCCACUGCUUCUUUGGGAGAAGAGGCAGGGCUGGCUGCCUGGAUGUGCUCUAAUUUGAGGUAACAACUGAAUCUUGUCAGAUAGUACUAGUUAAAUCCGAGCUAUGGGUCUGAAGCACUGAUAUGCCAGUACAUUUGAUUGUGACCUGUUCUAAUUUUGUACCUGAACUUAUUUUAGAAAGGGUUGUACGUCAACUUAAUGUGCUAGCAGAACUUAUUGUGUUGUCUGUCUGUUUUCUUUGCACAACAUUCAAGACAUUUCCCCGUCAUUUAUAAAGACGAUGAACCGUUAUGUACGACUUCGUUGGUUUCAACAUAGCCCUUCCCGUAGCGAUCCACUGCUUCCAUCUUGAUUGUGCCGCCUGCAUGAAAUUUUUGUAUGCAAGUUCAAUGUGCUAUGAUGUUCUAUAUGAUUGUGUCAACUAUAUAAGUUUUUACUGAGCAUCAGCAAUGCAUAUGGCUGAAAGAUGUAUUUAUGAGCAUCGACCGAUGGGUCUCUCUCUAUCUCUCUCUCUCUCUCUCUCUCACACACACACACACACGUGCGCGCGCGCACACGCACAAGUGGGACCCAUUGAAUUAUUUAUUUGCUCGUGACAUCUUUUAAUUAGGUUCCACUGUAAUCUAACUUUUUUCUUAAGUUAUUAAUUGAGCUCAAUGACUUCCAAAAGUUGUACAGAAGCCUUGUUUGGGCCUUUCCGGCGUCCCUGAAUGUGGGCUGAGUAACCAUGUUAGGUUGUACUGUACUACACAGGCCUUUUUUUUCAACAUCAGCAAUGCAACUGGGCCAACAGUUGUACACAAUAUCCGGGUCAACUUGUUAUCCACCCCACUGGGCUGCAAAGUUUCCUAGGAGGUAUGCAUUAGGCUUAACAAGAAAAUGGACUUUAAGAAAUAAUAAAUGGGAUGUAAUUAUAAUAACGGGGCAAUUACUAUGCACCAAACACGUAAUUAGUUUGAAAAAUAUAUUAUUUUUGGAAUUUGGAAAUUUUAAGUUCAUUACUUGUUGCGCGCGCAAUAUUUCGUUGGAUUUUAACGUGAUACAACUUUAUUUUGAAAUUAUAUUUAACCUGACUAGAAAUUUCGGAUAAAAAUAUUUCGGAUCCCAUCAAAAUGUGGGAUUUUUUUUGAAUUCUGUUUUGAGCGGUUGUUUGAAAUUAUUAAUCGUUGUCCUACCUAGAAGUUGGGUUGUACUUUUAACAAACCCGUAAAUGGGCUGUAGUAAAUUCCAUUAGAAUUGACAAAUGGGAUGUACAUUUUUACAAAUCGCAAAUGGGCUAUUUGUUCUCUGCCAGAUCCGAGCUGUGGGCCUACUAAGUUGACGCGUACCAAGGGCUUUGUCAACUUAGUCAAUAUAAACGAUUCUAGCUGCAGUGAUCGUACGAUGUCCAUCCAAUGGCCGUAGUGCUUCUUUAACCUCUGGUCUUCUUGCUCCAGCCGCCCAAAGCAGCGCCGGUCGUGUCGCGUGCUCCUGCCUCCCGUGGCCGGCUGUGAUGCCGCGGAGGCCUCACCGCCUUGUACUACUCCCACCGGUGGCCAAGCCAUCCCUCUACUCACCCACACCCCCUGUUAUUCUGCGGCAACGGCAACCUCACACUGCAGCCGAACCAGUGAACCCUCGUACUCCUCUCCACGCGGGCUACCACUGUUGCGUCUUCCCCGGCUCCACAUCGUCCCCUCCUAGGCCUCGCCGUCGUGCAGACCACCGCCCUGGUGCUCUCGGCGUGGCGUGGUCAACGUGGUCAAUGACUGAUGUCCACUACACAACCUUCUUCUUGUAGACAUUGUUGGGCCUGCAAGUGCACAGGUUUGUAGGACAGUAGCAAAUUUCCCUCAAGUGGAUGACCUAAGGUUUAUCAAUCCGUAGGAGGCGUAGGAUGAAGAUGGUCUCUCUCAAACAACCCUGCAACCAAAUAACAAAGAGUCUCUUGUGUCCCCAACACACCCAAUACAAUGGUAAAUUGUAUAGGUGCACUAGUUCGGCGAAGAGAUGGUGAUACAAGUGCAAAAUAGAUAGUAAAUAUAGGAUUUUGUAAUCUGAAAUAAUAAAAACAGCAAGGUAACGAGCAGUAAAAGUGAGCGUAAACGGUAUUGCAAUGGUAGGAAACAAGGCAUAGGGUUCAUACUUUCACUAGUGUAAGUUCUCUCAACAAUAAUAACAUAGAUAAAACAUAUGACGAGCCCUCAACAUGCAACAAAGAGUCACUCCAAAGCCACUAAUAGUGGAGAACAAACAUAGAGAUUAUGGUCGGGUACGAAACCACCACAAAGCUAUUCUUUCGGAUCGAUCUAUAAAAGAGUUCGUACUAGAAUAACACCUUAAGAUACAAAUCAACCAAAACCCUAAUGUCACCUAGAUACUCCAUUGUCACCUCAAGUAUCCAUGGGCAUGAUUAUACGAUAUGCAUCACACAAUCUCAGAUUCAUCCAAUCAACAUAAAAGUACUUUAAAGAGUGCCCCAAAAGCUACUACCAGAGAGUCAAAAACGUGUGCCAACCCCUAUGCAUAGGUUCCCAAGUGUCAUGAAACCCGCAAGUUGAUCACCAAAACAUACAUCAAGUGGAUCAAUAGAAUAACCCAUUGUCACCACGGUUAUCCCACGCAAGACAUACAUCAAGUGUUCUCAUAAAGACUCAAUCCGAUAAUAUAACUUCAAAAGGGGAAACUCAAUUCAUCACAAGAGAGUAGAUGGGGAGAAACAUCAUAAGAUCCAGCUACAAUAGUAAAGCUCAGGAUACAUGAAGAUCGUGCCAUAGAUGGGACACGAGAGAGAACACGAGAGAGAGAGAGAGAGAUAGAGAUCAAACACAUAGCUACUGGUACAUACCCUCAGCCCCGAGGGUGAACUACUCCCUCCUCGUCAUGGAUAGCACCGGGAUGAUGAAGAUGGCCUCUGGUGAUGGAAUCCCCCUCCGGCAGGGUGCCAGAACAGGGUCCCAAUUGGUUUUUGGUGGCUACAGAGGCUUGCGGCGGCGGAACUCCCGAUCUAUCUUCUGUUCUGGAAGUUUUAGGGUACGUAGGUAUAUAUGGGUGCAGGGGGUACGUCGGUGGACCUCCAGGCUGCUCACGAGGUAGGGGGGCGUGCCCUCCACCCUCGUGGGCAGCCCGGGACUUCCCUGGCAUGCACUCCAAGCCCAUCAGGUUGGUUUCCUUCCAAAAUUUACUUCUCCAGUUGAUUUCGUUCCGUUUUGACUCUGUAUGAUAUUCCUUUUCCUCGAAACACUGAAAUAGGCAUAAAACAGCAAAUCUGGGCUGGGCCUCCAGUUAUUAGGUUAGUCCCAAAAAUAAUAUAAAAGUGGAUAAUAAAGCCCAAUAUUGCCUAAAACAGUAGAUAAAGUAGCAUGGAGCAAUCAAAAAUUAUAGAUACGUUGGAGACGUAUCAAGCAUCCCCAAGCUUAAUUCCUGCUCGUCCUCGAGUAGGUAAAUGAUAAAAAAGAAUUUUUGAUGCGGAGUGAUACUUUGGCAUAAUUUCAAUGUAAAUCUUCUUAAUUGUAGUUCAUACUUUGGCAUAAUUUCAAUGUGAAUAUUCAGAUCCGAAAGAUUCAAGACAAAAGUUCAUAUUGACACAAAAAUAAUAAUACUUCAAGCAUACUAAUCAAAGCAAUCAUGUCUUCUCAAAAUAUCAUUGCAAAAGAAAGUUCAUCCCUGCAAAAUCAUAUAGUCUGGCUGUUGCUCUAUCUUCAUCACACAAAGUAUUUAAUCAUGCACAACCCCGAUGACAAGCCAAGCAAUUGUUUCAUACUUUAAUAAUCUCAAACUCUUUCAACUUUCACGCAAUACAUGAGUGUGAGCCAUGGACAUAGCACUAUAUGUGGAAUAGAAUGGUGGUUGUGGAGAAGACAAAAAAGGAGAAGAUAGUCUCACAUCAACUAGGCGUAUCAACGAGCUAUGGAGAUGCCCAUUAAUAGAUAUCAAUGUGAGUGAGUAGGGAUUGCCAUGCAACGGAUGCACUAGAGCUAUAAGUAUAUGAAAGCUCAACAAAAGAAACUAAGUGGGUGUGCAUCCAACUUGCUUGCUCACGAAGACCUAGGGCAUUGGAAUAUACAAGUCAAGUUCUAUAAUGAAAAAUGCCCACUAGUAUAUGAAAGUGACUACAUAUGAGACUCUCUAUCAUGAAGAUCACGGUGCUACUUUGAAGCACAAGUGUGGUAAAAGGAUAGUAGCAUUGCCCCUUCUCUCUUUUUCUCUCAUUUUUUUAUUUGGGCCUUUUCUCUUUUUUUAUGGCCUCUUUUUUUUGUAAAGUCCGAAGUCUCAUCCCGACUUAUGGGGGAAUCAUAGUCUCCAUCAUCCUUUCCUCACUGGGACAAUGCUCUAAUAAUGAUGAUCAUCACACUUUUAUUUUUCUUACAACUCAAUAAUUACAACUCGAUACUUAGAACAAAGUAUGACUCUAUAUGAAUGCCUCCGGCGGUGUACCGGAAUAUGCAAUGAAUCAUGAGUGACAUGUAUGAAAGAAUUAUGAACGGUGGCUUUGCCACAAAUACGAUGUCAACUACAUGAUCAUGCUAGCAAUAUGACAAUGAUGGAGCGUGUCAUAAUAAACGGAACAGUGGAAAGUUGCAUGGCAAUAUAUCUCGGAAUGGCUAUCGAAAUGCCAUAAUAGGUAGGUAUGGUGGCUGUUUUGAGGAAGGUAUAUGGUGGGUGUAUGAUACCGGCGAAAAGGGCGCGGUAUUAGAGAGGCUAGCAAAGGUGGAAGGAUGGGAAAGGGUGCGUAUAAUCCAUGGACUCAACAUUAAUCAAAAGAACUCAUGCACUUGUUGCAAAAAUUUAGAAGUCAUCAAAAACCAAAGCACUACGUGCAUGCUCCUAGGGGGAUAGAUGGGUAGGAAAAGACCAUCGCUCGUCCCCAACCGCCACUCAUAAGGAAGACAAUCAAUAAAUAAAAUUGUGCUCCAACUUCAUCACAAAGUGGUUCACCAUACGUGCAUGCUACGGGAAUCACAAACUUCAACACAAGCAUUCUUUAAAUUCAUAAUCACCCAACUAGCAUAACUUUAAUAUCACUACCGCCAUAUCUCAAAACAAUUAUCAAGCAUCAAACUUAUCUUAGUAUUCAACACACUCAAAAGAAAGUUUCACAUAUCUUGAAUACCAAGUAUAUUAAUAUUAAGAAAGUUACCAUGCUAUUAAUGACUCUCAAAAUAAUAUAAGUGAAGCAUGAGAGUUCAUCUCUUUCUUCAAAAUAAAACUACCACCACGCUCUAAAAGAUAUAAGUGAAGCACUAGAGCAAAAACUAUCAAGCUCAAAAGAUAUAAGUGAAGUACAUAGAGUAUUCUAGCAAAUUCCAAUUCAUGUAAGGCUCUCUCUCAUUAAAGAAUUUCAGAUCUUGAUACUUUAUUCAAACAUCAAGCAAAGCUAAAGAAAACUACAAUGCAAGGAUAGCACAACUCAUGUGAAGAAGCAAAAACUUAGGCUCAACCGAUACUAACCGAUAGUUGUUGAAGAAGAAAGGUGGGAUGCCUACCGGGGCAUCCCCAAGCUUAGAUGCUUGAGACUUCUUGAAAUAUUAUCUUGGGGUGCCUUGGGCAUCCCCAAGCUUGAGCUUUUGUGUCUUCUUAAUUCCUCUCAUAUCAUGGUUUCUCUUUUUUAUCAAAAGCUUCAUUCACAACAAACUCAACAAGAACUCGUGAGAUAGGUUAGUAUAAACCAAUGCAAAACCUUAUCAUAUUAUACUGUAAAAAAUCACUGACAUUAUUAUUCAACAUUUCAUACUAAAUGCCUCUGCAUAUUUAAUACUCCUAUCAUCAAAUAGAAUCAUUAAACAAGCAAACAUAUGCAAACAAUGCAACCAUAACAGCAAUCUGUCAAAAUAGUACAGUCUGUAACAAGAGUCAUCAUACUUCCCUAACUCCAAAAAUUAUGAAAUAAAAUUCCCACUGUAAUAAAUUUAUCAGAGCUCAAUAUGCAAAAAGAUUCAACGUUAGACCAUGCUCUGACUUUUCUAGAGAAUUUUUGCAACAGCGGUAAACUUUCUGUUUUCAAACAGCAACAUGCAAACUAGCAAAAUAAGCAUGGAAAGGCUAUCCUUGACUUUUUUAUUGAAACUAAAGAGGCAAAACACUAUUCUAACUAACAGAAAGCAAAAAAUAACAACAUAAAAUGAUGCUCCAAGCAAAACACAUAUCAUGUGGUGAAUAAAAAUAUAGCUCCAAGUAAAGUUACCGAUGAACGAAGACGAAAGAGGGGAUGCCUUCCGGGGCAUCCCCAAGCUUAGGCUCUUGGUUGUCCUUGAAUAUUACCUUGGGGUGCCUUGGGAAUCCCCAAGAUUAGGCUCUUGCCACUCCUUAUUCCAUAGUCCAUCGAAUCUUUACCCAAAACUUGAAAACUUCAACCACACAAAACUUCAACACAAAACUCGUAAGCUCCGUUAGUAUAAGAAAAUAAAACCACCACUUAGGUACUGUAAUGAACUCAUUCUAAAUUCAUAUUGGUGUAAUAUCUACUGUAUUCUAACUUCUCUAUGGUUCAAACCACUUAAUACUAGCCAUAGAUUCAUCAAAAUAAGCAAACAACACAUAGAAAACAGAAUCUGUCAAAAACAGAACAGUCUGUAGUAUUCUGCAUAAAACGUAUACUUCUGGAACCCCAAAAAUUAUUAAAUAAAUUUCUGGACCUGAGAAAUUUUUCUAUUAAUCAUCUGAAAAAAGAAUCAACCUAAAAUCACUCUCCUGUAACAAAUGGCAGCUAAUCUCGUGAGCGCUAAAGUUUCUGUUUUUCACAGCAAGAUCACAUAAACUUCACCCAAGUCUUCCCAAAGGUUCUACUUGGCACUUUAUUGAAACAAAAGAUAUAAAACAUGAUUACUACAGUAUCAUAAUCAUGUGGACACACAAAAACAGUAAGGAUAAAUAUUGGGUUGUCUCCCAACAAGUGCUUUUCUUUAAUGCCUUUUAGCUAGGCAUGAUGAUGGCAAUGAUGCUCACAUAAAAGAUAAGAAUUCCAACAUAAUGGGAGCAUCAUGAAGCAUAUGACUAGCACAUUUAAGCCUAACCCACUUCCUAUGAAUAGGGAUUUUGUGAGCAAACAACUUACGGGAACGAUAAUCAACUAGCAUAGGGAGGUAAAACAAGCAUAACUUCAAGAAUUUAAGCACAUAGAGAGGAAACUUGACAUUAUUGCAAUUCCUACAAGCAUAUGUUCCUCCCUCAUAAAGUUUUUUAGUAGCAUCAUGAAUGAAUUCAACAAUAUAACCAGCACCUAAAGCAUUCUUUUCAUGAUCUACAAGCAUAGAAUUUUCACUACUCUCCACAUAAGCAAACUUCUUCUUUAUAGCAUACGUAUCAUCACAAUAAUCAUCAUAAAUAGGAGGCAUGCUUUCAUCAUAGUAAAUUUGCUCAUCAAAGCUUGGGGGACAAAAAAUAUCAUCUCCAUCAAACAUAGCUUCCCCAAGCUUGUGGCUUUGCAUAUCAUUAGCAUCAUGGAUAUUCAAGGAAUUCAUACUAACAACAUUGCAAUCACGCUCAUCAUAUAAAAACAUUCUGUAGAUUUCAACUUCUAGCACUUGAGCACAAUUUUCCUUUCCAUCAUACUCAUGAAAGAUAUUAAAAAGGUGAAGCGUAUGAGACAAACUCAACUCCAUUUUUUUGUAGUUUUCUAAACUAGUGAUAAAAACAAGAAACAAAAAGAUUCGAUUGCAAGAUCUAAAGAUAUACCUUCAAGCACUCACCUCCCCAGCAACGGCGCCAGAAAAGAGCUUGAUGUCUACUACACAACCUUCUUUUUGUAGACGUUGUUGGGCCUGCAAGUGCACAGGUUUGUAGGACAGUAGCAAAUUUCCCUCAAGGGGAUGACCUAAGGUUUAUCAAUCCGUAGGAGGCGUAGGAUGAAGAUGGUCUCUCUCAAACAACCCUGCAACCAAAUAACAAAGAGUCUCUUGUGUCCCCAACACAUCCAAUACAAUGGUAAAUUGUAUAGGUGCACUAGUUCAGCGAAGAGAUGGUGAUACAAGUGCAAAAUAGAUAGUAGAUAUAGGUUUUUGUAAUCUGAAAUAAUAAAAACAGCAAGGUAACGAGCGUAAACGGUAUUGCAACGGUAGGAAACAAGGCCUAGGGUUCAUACUUUCACUAGUGUAAGUUCUCUCAACAAUAAUAACAUAGAUAGAACAUAUGACAAGCCCUAAACAUGCAACAAAGAGUCACUCCAAAGCCACUAAUAGCGGAGAACAAACGUAGAGAUUAUGGUCGGGUACGAAACCACCACAAAGCUAUUCUUUCGGAUCGAUCUAUAAAAGAGUUCAUACUAGAAUAACACCUUAAGAUACAAAUCAACCAAAACCCUAAUGUCACCUAGAUACUCCAUUGUCACCUCAAGUAUCCGUGGGCAUGAUUAUACGAUAUGCAUCACACAAUCUCAGAUUCAUCCAACCAACAUAAAAGUACUUCAAAGAGUGCCCCAAAAGCUACUACCGGAGAGUCAAGAACGUGUGCCAACCCCUAUGCAUAGGUUCCCAAGUGUCACGGAACCCGCAAGUUGAUCACCAAAACAUACAUCAAGUGGAUCAAUAGAAUAACCCAUUGUCACCACGGUUAUCCCACGCAAGACAUACAUCAAGUGUUCUCAUAAAGACUCAAUCCGAUAAGAUAACUUCAAAAGGGGAAACUCAAUUCAUCACAAGAGAGUAGAGGGGGAGAAACAUCAUAAGAUCCAACUACAAUAGCAAAGCUCGGGAUACAUCAAGAUCGUGGCAUAGAUGGGACACGAGAGAGAACACGAGAGAGAGAGAGAGAGAGAGAGAUCAAACACAUAGCUACUGGUACAUACCCUCAGCCCCGAGGGUGAACUACUCCCUCCUCGUCAUGGAUAGUGCUGGGAUGAUGAAGGUGGCCUCCGGUGAUGGGAUCCCCCUCCGGCAGGAUGCCAGAACAGGGUCCCGAUUGGUUUUUGGUGGCUACAGAGGCUUGCGGCGGCGGAACUCUAGAUCUAUCUUCCGUUCUGGAAGUUUUAGGGUACGUAGGUAUAUAUGGGUGCAGGGGGUACAUCGGUGGACCUCCGGGGUGCUCACAAGGUAGGGGGCGCGCCCAGGGGGCACGCCCUCCACCCUCAUGGGCAGCAUGGGACUCCCCUGGCGUGCACUCCAAGCCCAUCAGGUUGGUUUCCUUCCAAAAUUAACUUCUCCAGUUGAUUUCGUUCCAUUUUGACUCCGUCUAAUAUUCCUUUUCCUCGAAACACUGAAAUAGGCAUAAAACAACAAAUUUGGGCUGGGCCUCCGGUUAAUAGGUUAGUCCCAAAAAUAAUAUAAAAGUGGAUAAUAAAGCCCAGUAUAUCCUAAAACAGUAGAUAAAGUAGCAUGGAGCAAUCAAAAAUUAUAGAUACGUUGGAGACAUAUCAACGACCGACUUCCAUCGGAAGAGUACUGUAUGUGGAGAGGCUGACAGCUGGGUCCAGGUGGCCGCAAGGAAGUGCCUCCUUAUUACGCGCAAAAUAAUUAUUCCUCCACCUGACAGUAGGGACCCACCGGACGGGCCACCUUAUUUCGCGAAAAAACGUUUCCCCCCUGACUGCUGGGACCCAUCGGACGGGCCAGCGUAUUUCACGAAAAAAACGUUCCCCGUGCUGUCAGCUCAGACCCACCGGAAGUGCCUCCUUAUUACGCACAAAAAAUGAAUACUCCCCCUGCUAGCUGGGACCCACCAUGGUGGGAGGCUGACUUGUGGACGUACUAAGUUGACUGGGACGGGGGCCUUUGUCAACUUUAGUCAAUAUGAACGAUUCUAGCUUUAGUGACCGUACGAUGGCCAUCCAACAGCGGUAGUGCUUCUUCAACCUCUGGUGUUCUUGCUCCAGCCGCCCAAAGCAGCGCCGGUCGUGUCGCAUGCUCCUGCCUCCCAUGGCCGGUUGUGCUGUCGCGGAGGCCUCAUCGCUCCCUACUAUUCCCACCGCUGGCCAGGCCCUGCGGCGACGGCAGCCUCACACCGCAGCCGAACCAGUGAAGCCUCGUACUCCUCUCCGUGCGGGCUUCCACUGCCGCGUCUUCCCCGGCUCCCCGUCGUCCCCUUCCUAGGCCUCACCGCCAUCCACCACCGUGGUGCUCUCGGCGCGGCGUGGUCAAUGUGGUCAACGACCGACUUCCAUCGGAAGAGUACUGUACGUGGAGAGGCUGACAACUAGGUCCACGGCAGCCGCAAGGAAGUGCCUCCUUAUUACGCGGAAAAUAAUUAUUCCUCCACCUGACAGCAGGGACCCACCGGACGGGUCACCAGUAUUUUGCGAAAAAAACGUUUCCACAUGAGUGCUGGGACCCACAGGACGGGCCACCGUAUUUCGUGAAAAAAAUGCCCCCCCCCCCCGCUGUCAGCUCGUACCCACCGGAGGUGCCUCCUUAUUACGCACAAAAAAAUGAGUACCCCCUGCUAGCUGGGACCAACCUUGGUGGGAGGCUGACUUGUGGGCCUACUAAGUUGACUGGGACGGAGGCCUUUGUCAACUUUAGUCAAUAUAUGAACGAUUCUAGCUCCAGUGACCAUACGAUGUCCAUCCAACGGCCGUAGUGCUUCUUCAACCUCUGGUCUUCUCGCUCCAGCCGCCCAAAGCAGCGCCGGUCGUGCCGCCUGCUCCUGCCGCCCGUGGCCGGCUGUGAUGCCGCGGAGGCCUCACCACCCCCUACUACUCACACCGCUGGCCAGGCCAUCCCUCUACGCACCCACACCCCUUGUUAUUCUGCGGCGAUGGCAGCCUCACACCGCAACCGAACGAGUGAACCCUCAUACUCCUCUACGCGUGGGCGUCCACUGCCGCGUCUUCCCCGGCUCCGUGUUGUCCCCUUCCUAGGCCUCGCCGUCGUCCACCACCCUGGUGCUCUCGGUGCGGCGUGGUCAACGUGGUCAAGGAAUGGCUUCCAUCGGACGUGGACUGUACGUGGAGAGGCUGACAUCGGGGUCCACGACCGCAGCAAGGAAGUGCCUCCUUAUUACGCGCAAAAUAAUUAUUCCUCCACCUGACAACAGGGACCUACCGGACGGGCCACCGUAUUUAGCGGAAAAAAUGUUUCCCCCUGUCUCCUGGGACCCACCAAUUACAUCUUCGCACGCAAGGAAGUGCGUCGAAAAAAAAUGAUUCGCCCCCCUAACUGCUGGGACCCACCAGCUACAUCUUCGCACGCAAGGAAGUGCCUGACAGUCGGGACCCACCUGGUCGAAGCGUACGUAGCGUUGUCAUUCUGGUCGCGAACGUGUACGUACAUAUAUACUGGUGGAUGUAGAGGCGUGCACGUGUCGUAGUAGAGGCGUGCACGUAGCAUGUACACGUACGUACAACGGCGAGGGUGCAAGAAAGAAAAUAUGGCCACGUACGUACAUACGGGCAGGGUCUCUAACGCCUAUCGCGCAUACGUACAUGGCUGGGUCGCAACGGAGAAACAACGUCAUCGUCGUGUUCAUGGGGAGACAACCGGGUGGGUCAGAACGGAAUGCCUGGUCGUGUUCAUCGGGAGGGCUUGGACGAAACAGGCGAUGGAAACGAGGCCUGGCGUACCGCACAACGGAGGAAACGGCCUUGUGUUCGACCGGCCACGUUCGAAACGGGGUCCGGUUGAUCGGGAGGGGCCUGGCAUACCGCAAAACGGAGGAAACGGACCUCCUACGGCCGAAACGGGGGUCCUGUUGAUCGGGAGGGGUGUGGCGUACCGCAAAACGGACAAAACGGACUUGUGUUGGAGUGCUACGGUCGAAACGGGGGGGGGGAGGGGUGUGGCGUACCGCAAAAUGGGACUCCACGGGAUACUGUUCAUCUCCACCAUUGACGUCCUCCAGCCUCCACGGGGUACCGUCGACCUCCUCUAGCCUCCACGGGCUCCUGUUCAUCCAGCCUCCACCACGGGCUACUCCACCGGCUACUGUUCAACCACCCCUCCACGGGCACCCCUCCACCGUCUACUGUUCAUCCAGCCCUCCACACCACGGGGUCCUGUNNNNNNNNNNNNNNNNNNNNNNNNNNNNNNNNNNNNNNNNNNNNNNNNNNNNNNNNNNNNNNNNNNNNNNNNNNNNNNNNNNNNNNNNNNNNNNNNNNNNNNNNNNNNNNNNNNNNNNNNNNNNNNNNNNNNNNNNNNNNNNNNNNNNNNNNNNNNNNNNNNNNNNNNNNNNNNNNNNNNNNNNNNNNNNNNNNNNNNNNNNNNNNNNNNNNNNNNNNNNNNNNNNNNNNNNNNNNNNNNNNNNNNCUUCAGUUAGCAGCAGUAGCGAAGGAAUCGCUCCAUCGGGUUCAGUUAACAGCCAUCGAUCGAUCGCUCGGGUUCAGUAACGUGUAGCCUGCAGUGCAAUCUCUCGGGUUCAGUUAGAGCCAACACCUCGCACACACGCGCGUAACUGUAUGAGAGAAAUGCGCGUCACUCCACCCCCGACCUCCCACCGUAACUGGCAACUCCCCGAAAUUUUCCUCCCCAUCGCUUCUACCACGGUUUUUUCUGUCAUGGACGGCCCAAAGAAUGUCAUGCAGCUACGUCUCCGGCCCGCCCAGGACGAAAAGCCCAUUUUCUGUCAUGAUUUUUUGUCAUAGAAGUAGGAGCCCACCACAUCUAUGAUGAUACCGGGUUUUGUCACAAUUAUCUUCAUAGAAGUGUCAUAUGUAUGACAGAAAAUAAAUUCGUUCGGCCCAAAAUGUCACGGAUGUGUCUUUUUUUGUAGUGGAUGCCUUUGGUCAUCGUGCGGACCAUAGUCGCCUGCAGGGUAGAGCAAAACGAUAUUUUAGAACCCAAAAAAAUUUGGCAUGACUUUGCCUGAAAAUAGGGCCAAAAAGAAUGCAUAGUGCCAAAUUCUCACCGAAAUGGAAAUGAAUCAACAUUCCGGCAAAAUAUUGGCAACUAUCGCAUUUCAAAUACCGGUACCUGCAAACACAAACAUAUGCAACACCACGAACAUAUGUAGAUCUAGGCCAUAAAAAGUGUGUACGUUGUUGGAGGGAGAAAAAAGUAGAUCUAGAACAUAAAAAAGCCUUCCCCUUACUUAAUUACCUAUCAAAAAAAGGAAAUUUAACCACUUAAUUUGGGUGAAUCUAUGGUGCAAAUGAGGUGAGGAGGAGGAGGCAGCCGAGACCAAGCUUGAUAGAGGUGGAGAGAAUGAAGUGGGGAAAGUGAGUGUGGUAGGUGGCUAUCAAAAAUAUCUAGCUGCUCUCAGGUUACCAAUGGCACAUCUCCUAAGAAUGCGCCAUUGGUAACCAGGGUUACUAAUGGCGCACCUGACAUGUGGUGCGCCAUUACUAGUUUUGAAAAAAAAAAUGUUAGUAGUGGCGCACCGCGGGUGUGGUGCGCCAUUACUAAUUAAAACUAGUAAUGGGCACUACCCCUGGUGCGCCACUGCUAAGUCUGGGUGAGGGUGUGGGGCCAGGACAAAACUAGUAAUGGCGCACCAAACACCAGGUGCGCCAUUAGUAAUAUGGCCACUAAUGGCGCACUUAUAUCUGGUGUGCCACUGCCAUAUAGCAGUGGCGCACCACAUACAUGGUGCGCCAUUAAUGUCCAUAUUAGCUAUAGCCAUUUUCUAGUAGUGCAAGAUGGGAUCUUGCGGAUACAGAAGGUUGCGGCGGUAGAAAUAGGGUUUCAUGGUGCUCCUGGAUGUGUUCAGGGUACGUAGAUAUAUAUAGGCGAAGGAAGUCGGUCAGGGGAGCCACGAGGGGCCCAUGAGGGUGGGGGCGUGCCUACCCCCCUAGGGCGCGCCUUGCACCCUCGUGGCCGCCUCAGCUACUUCAUGACGUCCACUCCAAGUCUCAUGGAUUGCGUUUGUUCCAAAAAGAUCGCUCCCGAAGGUUUCAUUCCGUUUGGACUCCGUUUGAUAUUCCUUUUCUUCGAAACACUGAAAUAGGCAAAAAAAGCAGCAAUUUGGGCUGGGCCUUCGGUUAGUAGGUUAGUCCCAAAAAUGAUAUAAAAGUGUAAAGUAAAUCCCAUAAACAUCCAAAACGGGUAAUAUAAUAGCAUGGAACAAUCCAAAAUUAUAGAUACGUUGGAGACGUAUCAAUAUCCGAGAGGAAAAACAUUUUUUUAGUCGUAGAUAGCCUUCAUAAGGCAUUUGUGCAUCAACUAACUAUAUCUUCAUGCAAGGUUAGAUAUUGACAGAUAGCAAUAAGAGCAUAUCCAACCAUUAGUUAUGAAUCAUACAAUACUCCAAUAUAAUAUCAUUGAUAGUUCUCUAUUCGUCGAGGAGGAUUUUUGUGUCCCUGUAAGAUGAAUAAUCGUCUGUGAUAACAUUCACAUCAACAACAUAUUUAAUGGUACCUCCAGAAAAAUAAUGCGAAGCAAAUAGCAUUGCAGGCGGGGGUUAUUAACAUUACAUCAUCACCAAAGUUUUAACACCACAUGUGGUGCAAUAAGGUUCUGAAGAAAAUUGUUCAAAGAGAACCAAAUGAAAGUUCGAAGCAAAACACCCUACAAACCCCGAUAGACUAUCACUCGAUGUUAUCCUCCCCCUUUUUGUCAACAAGUGUCAAAAAGGAUAGAGAGUACACACAAGGAAUUACUCUGAUGGAGUAUCUUCUCAGUCGGAACUGAAACCACUUGAAGAACUAGAAUCAGAAGAAUGUGGAAUGGUCGAGGCAGAAGUAGGUGUAGCAGUCUUGGCUUUGAGGGGCUUCAAAGGAUGUGCAUCUGGCUUGUAGAUACGUGUGCUUGCUGUGUCCUUGAUUUCAUCAUCAUGGUUGACAAACAAUAGAUCCGUUGAAGCAGAAUGUUGUGGGAGCUCUAGAGUUUGUCUUCAAACACGCGGGACUGCAAGCAAGUCCAGAUAAUCAUAAUCCUUGAAGAGGCCCUUCUUGGCUAGAUCCUUGCGAGAGAAAUGCCUCCUCGGCAAGGUCCAAGAUCUCUUCCUCGCAUCCUUCUCAUGCAGAAGGAUUUGCCUAGUGUGAUUAUGAAGUAGAUUCAGCUCAGCUAGCAAUUCCAUAUUUUCCUUCCUAUCCAUCCUGAUAGGCCUUUCCAAAGUCUGCAGUGUGCGAAUGCAAAUUUCAUAUAGGGAUGGAUUAUCCUCUCGAGGAACUUCAACUUUGGCUUCUUUGACCUUUGGUACAUUCUCAGAUGCUGAAGCAUUUGCAUCCAUAUCAACAGGUUUCUUCCCCUUUUUGUAUUCCUUCAUGAUGCGCAGAGAGUGUCAUGGACAGGUGGCAUGAAUACUUUCGGUGCAUAGGCCCAGAAGAAUUUUUCAUUUGUAAGCUCCUCAAUGGCAUACAUAAUCCAGGGAGCAUAGGGCUUGAGCGACUAGGGGUCAUCUGCAGCACAUGCCAGAUUCCAAAUGAAUAGGUCAGAAAUGUCGAAUUUGAUUCCCUGAGAUAUUGACACCAGAGAAUUUCCCACGAUGCCUUUGAUGGAAUUCGUACAGUUGGUUGGCAUAACGGUAUUACACAGAAUGUUGAAUAGCACUUUCUUGUUAUAGGCAAACUUCUUCGGGUCAACAUCGAUGCAUUCAGCACCCACCAAAGUGGGAUCCAUCAGGAUAUGGAGUUGUGCAGCAGACACUUCCCAGAAAUGCAGUAUGUGUUCUUAGUCAUUUUCAAAUUCACAUUGAGGCAGAUUGAUUAGGGCCAAAAAAUGAUCUGCUAAGCAUUUUAUUCUCUCAUUGAGGCAGAUUGAUUAGGGCCAGAAAAUGAUCUGCUAAGCAUUUGAUUCUCUCUCUGCAUGUCAUCCAUUCGAGCGUCUAGGUUGAAGUGUUUUGCAUCUGCCCUGUGAUGUACAACGUGGCAUAGAACUAAAGAAUAAUCUCUUUAUUCCAUCCAUGACUGAAGUGCAUGAAACCCUUCAGAAGAGCAUGUUCAAUAUGGUCAAGGGAGUUGUGGAAGCAAGGCAUUUCUUCGAGCUUGGCGCAGUUUAAUAUCUUGUGGUUGAAAAUACUGUGCUUGCCAAACAAGAUCCGAGCAUAAUAUAUUGCCUGCUCCUCUAGAACCUCGGUGUCAGAGACAUUCUUUCUCCUUCGUAGGGGCUCAUUUAAAGCUGGGCCAUAGGGGCCAUACUCAGCUGAAAAUAGCGGGAAAGAUUCCCGAGGAUUUUUCCGAUAAACUUCUUCGCUAAUUUCCAUCGGCUGAACAUCACUAGCUGCAGAAGCGUUCUCAUCGAAGGGCUACACUAGAACAUGAGGUACAAUAUCCUUGUCUGAAGCAAAAGGUAUGUGAUCAUCUGACUGUUCAUCAUUUUUCUUUGUUGGAACUCCUUCAACGGCUUUUUCAGACUCAGGCUCAAGGGCCUUUUCUUUAGGUGACUCAGCGAUGGGUGCUGGUGGAACAAAAACAUCUUCAGCCUGCUAUGGCAGUACUGGUGGUAAGACCUGGUGGGACUGAACAGGUGGUGGAACUUCUUCAUGUUUCUCCUCGUGAGCCGUGGGCUCUUCUAACUUCUUUUCUUCAUGUUCUGGCUGUGAAGCCAGAGAACCAGGAGCAGGGUCAACCUCCAUCGGGGCAGGAGCACUAGAUGAGGAGGCCGUAGAGGCAGUGCUUUGGGGAGCAAUUUGCUCCCCCUCAACCUUUUCUGCCUCCUCAGUGAGUCCGGAGGAUCCUGCUUGAAUAUCCUUCAUAGGUGAUGAGACUAGAUUCUCCAUUUCAAUUUCUUCUCAAUAUUUUCUUCGGGAACAUUUUGCUCUGGCACUAAUUUUACUUCAUCAGUGUUGAAAAGACAUAUGGCAACAACAUCCGAUUCUUGUUCGACUGAAGUAGGAACUACCACAGCCUCAACUUGUUGUUCGGUUAUUUCCUCGUGACGAGGGGAUGGUGGAAUCUGCUGAAGUGGUGCACUUGUGUCAAUAGGAGCAUUAGCCAAAGCAGAUUUGACAUGGCUGUCCUCGACCUCUUUUGGCUUAUUUUCUCUAGCCUGAGCUUUCUGACGCUUUUCUUAUUUCUCCCUGCGUUGAGUGAUACGUCCAUUUUGCAUCAUGCUUUUAUAUCGAUAUUUAUUGCAUUAUGGGCUGUUAUUUCACGUUAUGUGACAAAACUUAUGGCUAUUCUCUCUUAUUUUACAAGGUUUACAAGAAGAGGGAGAAUGCCGACAGCUGGGAUUCUGGGCUGGAAAAGGAGCAAAUAUUGAAGACCUAUUCUGCAUAGCUCCUGAAACUCCACGAAAGUCAUUUUGGGAAUUAAUAAAAAAUAUCCAGGGGAAGAAAUACCUAAGGGGAGCCACCUAUCGUCCACGAUGGUGGGGGGCGCGCCCCCUGCCUCGUGGGCCACCUGACAGCCCUCCGGUGCCCAUCUUCUGCUAUAUGAAGUCUUUUACCCUGGAAAAAAAUCAUAAGCAAGCUUACGGGACGAAACUCCACCUUCACGAGGCGAAACCUUGGCGGAACCAAUCUAGGGCUCCGGCGGAGCUGUUCUGCCGGGGAAACUUCCCUCCAGGAGGGGGAAAUCAUCACCAUCGUCAUCACCAAUGAUCCUCUCAUCGGGAGGGGGUCAAUAUCCGUCAACAUCUUCACCAGCACCAUCUCCUCUCAAACCCUAGUUUAUCUCUUGUAUCCAAUCUUUGUACCAAAACCUCAGAUUGGUACCUGUGGGUUGCUAGUAGUGUUGAUUACUCCUUGUAGUUGAUGCUAGUUGGUUUACUUGGUGGAAGAUCAUAUGUUCAGAUCCUUACUGCAUAUUAAUACCCCUCUGAUUAUGAACAUGAAUAUGCUUGCUAUUAGUAGUCAUGUGAAUUUGGUAUUCGUUCGAUAUUUUGAUGAGAUGUAUGUUGUCUCUCCUCUAGUGGUGUUAUGUGAACGUCGACUACAUGACACUUCACCAUUAUUUGGGCCUAGAGGAAGGCAUUGGGAAGUAAUAAGUAGAUGAUGGGUUGCUAGAGUGACAGAAGCUUAAACCCUAGUUUAUGCGUUGCUUCAUAAGGGGCUAAUUUGGAUCUACUUGUUUCAUGCUAUGGUUAGGUUUACCUUAAUAUUUCUUUUGUAGUUGCGGAUGCUUGCAAUAGGGGUUAAUCAUAAGUGGGACGCUUGUCCUAGAAAGGGCAGUACCCAAGCACCGGCCCACCCACAUAUCAAAUUAUCAAAGUAACGAACGUGAGUCAAAUGAGCGUGAUGAAAACUAGCUUGACGAUAAUUCCCAUAUGUCCUCGGGAGUGCUUUUCCCAUUAUAAGAACUUGUCCAGGCUUGUCCCUUGCUACAAAAAGGAUUGGGCCACCUUGCUGCAUCUUAUUUACUUUCAUUGCUUGUUACCCAUUACAAAUUAUCUUAUCACAAAACUAUCUGUUACCUACAAUUUCAGUGCUUGCAGAGAAUACCUUACUAAAAACCACUUGUCAUUUCCUUUUGCUCCUCGUUGGGUUCGACACUCUUACUUAUCGAAAGGACUACGAUAGAUACCCUACACUUGUGGGUCAUCAAGACUCUUUUCUUGCGCUGUUGCCGGGGAGUGAAGCGCCUUUGGUAAGUGGAACUUGGUAAGGAAACAUUUAUAUAGUGUGCUGAAAUUUACUGUCACUUGUUACUAUGGAAAUUGAUCCUUUGAGGGGCUUGUUUGGGGUAUCUUCACCCCGACCAGUAGAGAAAAGAGUUGCUCCUCAACCUACUGAAAAUGUUUACUUUGAAAUUCCUUCGAGUAUGGUAGAGAAACUGCUAGCUAAUGCCUUUACAGGAGAUGGAACAUUGCAUCCCGAUUUACACCUUAUCUAUGUGGAUGAAGUUUGUGGAUUAUUUAAGCUUGUAGGUAUGCCCGAUGAUGUUAUUAAGACGAAGGUCUUCCCUUUAUCUUUGAAGGGAGACGCAUUAACAUGGUAUAGGCUAUGUGAUGAUACGCGAUCCUGGGACUAUAAAUGAUUGAAAUUGGAAUUUCACCAGAAGUUUUAUCCUAUGCAUCUUGUUCAUCAUGAUCGCAAUUAUAUGUAUAAUUUUUGGCCUCGCGAAGGAGAAAGCAUCGCUCAAGCUUGGGGGAGGCUUAAGUCAAUGUUAUAUUCAUGCCCCAAUCAUGAGCUCUCAAGAGAAAUGAUUAUUCAAAACUUUUAUGCUCGGCUUUCUCUCAACAAUCGUACCAUGCUUGAUACUUCUUGUGUUGGGUCUUUUAUGAUGAAGACUAUUGCAUUCAAAUGGGAUUUACUGGAAAGAAUUAAAUGCAACUCUGAAGAUUGGGAUUACAACGAUGGUAAGGAGUCGGGUAUGACAUCUAAGUUAUAUUGUCUUAAAUCUUUUAUGGAUACCGAUGCUUUCCGUGGAUUUAGCACUAAAUAUGGACUUGACUCCGAGAUAGUAGCUUCUUUUUGUGAAUCAUUUUCUACUCAUGUUGAUCUCCCUAAGGAGAAGUGGUUUAAAUAUAAUCCUCCCACUAAAUUAAAAGUAGUUGCGCCUAUUACAGUUGAAGAAAAGACUAUCACUUAUAAUGAUCCUAUUGUUCCUACUACUUAUAUUGAGAAACCACCUUUCCCUGUUAGGAUAAAGGAUCAUGCUAUAGCUUCAACUGUUGUUCGUAAGAGUAAUACUAGAACUUAUACACCACCUGAGAAAAUUAAAGUUGAACCUAGUAUUGCUAUGGUUAAAGUUCUCUUAGCAGAUAAUAUUGAUGGGCAUGUUAUUUAUUUCUGUGAUGAAGCUGCUAGAAUUGGUAGACCAGAUACUAAGAAGAAACAUAGACCUGUUAUAGGCAUGCCUAUUAUUUCUGCUAAAAUAGGAGAUCAUUGUUAUCAUGGCUUAUGUGAUAUGGGUGCUAGCGCUAGUGCAAUACGUCAUUCCUUAUACAAAGAAAUUAUGCAUGAUAUCGCACCUGCUGAGAUAGAAGAAAUUGAUGUUACCAUUAAGCUUGCCAAUAGAGAUACAAUUUCACCAGUUGGGAUUGUUAGAGAUGUUGAAGUCUUGUGUGGGAAAGUUAAAUAUCCUGCUGAUUUUCUUGUUCUUGGUUCAGAUGACUUUUGUCCCAUAAUUUUGGUACACCCUUCUUGAAUACUGUUAAUGAUAAGAUUGAUUGUGAAAAGGAUGUUGUUACUAUUGGUUUGGGGGAUAUGUCUCAUGAGUUUAAUUUUGCUAAAUUUCGUAGACAACCCCAUGAUAAAGAAUUUCCUAGUAAGGAUGAAAUUAUUGGUCUUGCUUCUAUUAUCGUGCCUCCUACUGAUCCGUUAGAACAAUAUUUGCUACACCAUGAAGAUGAUAUGUUUAUGAAUGAAAGAAGGGAAAUAGAUGAAGUAUUAUUUAAACAUGGUCCUAUUUUGAAACACAACUUGCCUAUUGAAAUCCUACGGGAUCCUCCUCCACCCAAGGGUGAUCCCGUGUUUGAGCUUAAACCAUUAACUGAUACUCUUAAAUAUGAUUCUAGAGAGGAGGCUAAGCUGGAGCAACUAGUGGUAGACUCGAACACUCCAUUGUAUGAUGGUUGCAAUCCUGAGGUGACCCGCUUGAGUUUCACGCUCCAACUCCUGAAGACGAAGGCUAAAAACAAAUGGAACGACACUAGCCUCGAUGAGCGUCUCAAGUACCUAAAGGAUGUUCUUCCCGCGGGUAAUCUAUGUCCUACUAGUGUUGAUGAGGCCAAGAAGAUCGUGUGCCCUCUUGAUCUGCCACACGUUAGAUACCAUGCAUGCAUCAACGAUUGCAUAAUUUAUCGGAAGGAGCACGCGGAAAAAACAAGUUAUCCGGUGUGCAAUGCUUCUCGAUACAAGAAGGCCGGGAAGAAAUGUCCCCAGAAAGUUGUAUGGUACUUACCGAUCACUCCUCGUCUCCAGAGGUAUUUUGUAGAUCCCAAGGAAGCAAAGCUAAUGCGCUGGCACGCGGAGAGGAAGAAGCCCGACGAUGGAGAUGAUCCGAAGCUGAGACACGUGAAGGAUGGAAGCCAGUGGAGAGCGUUGAACAGCUUCUAUUGGUAUUUUGAAUGUGAUGCAAGGAACAUCGUGCUCGGCGCAUGUACCGAUGGCAUGAAUCCGUUUGGCAACCAGAACACCAACCAUAGCACAUGGCCCCUGUUUGUAUGGAUGUACAACCUCCCCCCUGGUUGUGCAUGAAAUCAAAGUACAUUCACAUGAGCAUGCUUAUUCAAGGGCCAAAACAACUAGGAAAUAAUAUUAAUUUGUAUCUGGGGCUACUUCAAGAGGAGUUAGACACGUUAUGGAAAACACGGGCCAAGACAUGGGACGCCAGCAAAGGCAAGUAUAUCAACAUGAGAGUCGCGCUGAUCACGACAGUGCAGGACUAUCUCGGUUACGGAUAUGUGGCAGGCCAGGUGUGCCAUGGAUAUUGUGGAUGCACACGGUGCAUGGAUGAUACGACGUCUCAGCAGCUAACGUCAAGGAAAGAUGGUGGGUCUGGGAAAAUCUUGUACAUGGGGCAUCAAAGAUGGCUUGAACAGGACGACCCGUGGAGAAACCGUGGAGAUCUAUUCAAUGGUCACGCAGAGCAUCGAGGACCUCCACGUAAGCGGAGCGGUGCCGAAAUCGAUGAGCUGUUGAAAAACUGGAAGGAGUGCCCCGCACCGGGAAAGACGAUGAGAAAGGCGCCGGAGCCGCUGCUGAAGGUAUGGAAGACGAGGUCUGUGUUAUGGGACUUGGAGUACUGGCACAAACUCGAUACACCUCAUUGCCUUGAUCAAAUGCAUAUCUAUGAGAAUGUCCUUGAGAGCUUGCUCGCAACACUGAUGAACAUGCCGGAUAAGACCAAGGAUGGGCCGAAGGCAAGAAAAGACUUGCAAGAUUUGAAAAUCCGGGAAGAUCUGCACAUGCCGCCCCGUAAAAUGUCAGACGAGACAGAGACGGAGACAGAGGCACGGGAGAAGAAGGGCAAGAAAAUAAAGAAAGAGGAUUAUUGCCCCCCUUCUUGCUUCACCUUAAGUCAGGCUGAGAUCAAUCAAUUCUUUAAGUGCCUUACCGGAGUAAAAGUUAGUCCCGGUUACUGUGGCAAGAUAAGCAGAUAUCUAGAUACGGACAAGAAAAGGUUCAGCGGGAUGAAGUCUCAUGACUGUCAUGUGAUGAUGACGCAGAUACUACCUGUUGCCCUUAGAGGGAUAAUGGACAAGCACAUCCGUGACACGCUUAUUGGUCUCUGCAUCUUUUUCGACGUCAUCUCUCGAAAGUCGAUCAGUGUGAAGCAGCUCUGAAGGCUACAGGAAGAGAUCGUUGUGAUACUGAAUGAGCUUGAGAUGUACUUCCCGCCCGCGUUCUUUGACAUGAUGGUGCAUCUGUGUGUCCAUAUUGUGGAUGACAUAAUAGACCUGGGGCCGUCAUUCCUGCACAACAUGAUGCCGUUUGAGAGGAUGAAUGGGAUCAUCAAAGGAUUCGUUCGUAAGAUGUGCCAUCCGGAUGGAAGCAUCUUCCAGGGCUAUUUGGCACAAGUGUGCAUCUCUUUCUGUGAGAAUUUUCUAUAUGGCGCAGACCAGCCACCUGGUGUUAGUGUUGGUUUGCUCGUUAACAAGCAUGAUGGGAGGCUCGAAGGAGAUGGUCACUGCAACGGUCGCAGGGAACUGCACAUGGCAUACUCAGAUCGACGCAGUGACUUUGACAGAGCAAACUUGGUAGUGCUACAACACCUAGACGAGGUAGAUCCUUUCGUGGAACUGCACAAAGAAAUUAUCGCAAAGAAGUAUCGUGACCUGGGGGUACGCAGGAUGAACGCCGAAGUUACUAGAGAGCACAACUCCACUUUCCUGCAUUGGUUCAAAGAGCAUAUUAUUGCUAAUCCCCCGGAGGAGGGCUCUAAGGACGGAUUGCUCAUAUACGCCUUAGCACAUGGCCCCUCGCCCAACCUCGUAACCUAUCAGGCAUAUGGUAUCAACGGAUACACAUUCUACACGGAGGCCAAAGAUAUGGAUAGUGAUGAUCAGAACUCAGGGGUGACGAUGGAAUGCAUGACCGGCAGCAACAACGGCACAACUGAACGAUUUUAUGGAAGGGUCGAGGAGAUCUGGGAGCUUGACUACUCUGGACUGCACAACACGAUGAUGUUCCAUGUCAGAUGGGCAAAGAAUGUCGAAAGAGAAAACCGGAUUUUCACUACCAUGAGUAUACCCGACGCCAAGAGCACUACCGUGAAUGCUAUCGCAAAAAACGAGCCAUGGGUACACGCUAAGCACGUGACACAAUGCUUCUUCAUAACCGACCCAUGCAAUCCCAGUCGUGUUGUCGUGAGGAGAGGCAAAAGGAACAUCAUUGGAAUGGAUGGAGUCGCCAACGAGGAAGACUAGCAGUAGCGAGCUUCCACUAACCGCGUUGCUGCUACACUUUUGUAGCAGUAGCGUCGGUGAGCACGCGCUACUGCUAUGUGUUAGCUGUAGCGCCUUAUUAGUAGCGCCACUCCCCGCGCUAAUAAUACACCUAAAACCUGUGCUGCUGCUAGCCUUUUCCCUAGUAGUGGGUCUAUCGUUCCGAUGCCAUAAUAAUCAACAACUUAGAAGGCACAAAUCCGAGGGUGGUGAACGGUCAAAGAAUCAAACAUUAUAUCUUAGGUAAUCCUAUAAAUGUUGAAACUAAUGUCAUUGACACUGUAACCCCGGAGGAAUACAUAAGGGACACUUUCCAGAAUGUUUCAGACUCUGAAAAGGAAUAGGUAUGUGGUAUGGUAAGUAAACCGACCCCAAAACAGUUCUAAUAGCAAUUUUUCUCCGUUUUGGAAUAUUUAAGAAAAUAGGAAAAUAAGAAGUAGUCCAGGAAGGACACGAAGCAUCCACGAGGGUGGAGGGCGCGCCCUACCCCCCUGGGCACGCCCCCUGCCUCAUGGGCACCUUGUGUGCUGCCCGGACUCCUUUUUCUUGCACGAUACUUCUUUUGAUCGGUAAAAAUUCAUUAUAUAAUCUCCCAAAGGUUUUGACCACCGUAUCACGCAAAUAUCCUCUGCCUUUGUUUCGAGCUAUUUUUCUGACAGAUCUAGAGCACCAUGGCGUCUUCAAGCGCUCCCAAGGACAAGUUUUUCGAGAGGGUCAUCAACCCCUACCUUGCGGAAGUGCUUCAUCACCCUCAAACCAUUGAGAUGCAUGAGGGGGUGCUGCACAUCCGCGAUGUGGAGGGACCAAGGAGUACCGGAAGCAUGGAGACAAAGCUCGAAGCGAUGGAACAACAAGUUUUCAAGUGCCAAGGGAUGGUGGAACACGGACUCAACGCCAACCAGAUGAUGAUCGCGGAGUUCACCAACAACCACAAGUUGGACGCCAAGAACAUUGAGGAGACCAUCUUCAAGCUUCAUGAGAAAAUCGAGCACCUCCAAGCCUAGAUCUAUGACCUGCAAAACCAAAACUGUGAGUAUGAAUACAGAUUCAAGAGGAUGAGUUUGGCUGCAGAUUUGAGGAUCCCGGAGACUCGAUCAUCCUUCUAUGAUGGUGAGCCUAUGCCUUGGAACACAGAUGACAAGCCUACAUCAUCAACAACUCCUUCUUCACCAUCUCCGAGGACAUAAUCACAUGGGUAUGGGCACUCCCCUUGGCAACUGCCAAGCUUGGGGGAGGUGCCCCGGUAUUGUAUCACCAUCACACUCCUAUCUUUACCGUUUUUCUUAGUUCGAUCCUUUUGGUAAUAUCUUGAUCUAGUAGAAUAAAGUUUUGGUAUGAAUUAGUUUUGAGUUUUGCUUUGUGAUCCCUCUAUGUAAUCGAGUCCGUGAGCUAUAUAUAAUAAAGAUUAUUGUUGAGUCAAGGGCUUUGCUAUCUUGCUAUGAUCAUUAAGUGCAUAAAAGAGUAAAAAGAAAUAGAAGAGAUCAUAUUGAUCUAGUGGAUAGUAAUGACUUCACAUAUAGAGAGUAUGAUGCUUAAAAGUUGUUGAGAGUUGGCAAACAUAGUUUUGGUCAUCGUUGCAAUUAAUAGGAAGUAAUAAAGAAAGAGAGGUUCUCACAUAUAAAUAUACUAUCUUGGACAUCUUUUAUGAUUGUGAGCACUCAUUAAAGUAUGCCAUGCUAAAGAGUUGAUGUUGGAUAAGGAAGGCAACGUAAUGGCUUAUGUUUUCUCACAUCUCAGUUAAAGUAUAUUGUCAUGGAUCAUUCAAACAUGUUGAGCUUGCCUUUCCCCCUCAUGCUAGCCAAAUUCCUUGCACGAAGUAGAGAUACUACUUGUGCUUCCAAACAUCCUUAAAUCCAGUUUUUCCAUCAGAGUCCACCAUAUCGACCUAUGGAUUGAAUAAGAUCCUUCAGGUAAGUUGUCAUGUUGCAUGCAAUAAAAAUUGCUCUCUAAAUAUGUAUGACUUAUUAGUGUGGAGAAAAUAAGCUUUAUAUGAUCUUGUGAUAUGUUAGUAAUAAAAGCGAUGGACUGCAUAAUAAAGGUUCAUAUCACAAGUGGCAAUAUAAAGUGAUGUUCUUUUGCAUUAAGAUUUCGUGCAUCCAACCAUAAAAGCACAUUACAGCCUCUGCUUCCCUCUGCGAAGGGCCUCUCUUUUACUUUAUGUCUUAUACUUUACGCAAGAGUCAAGGUGAUCUUCACCUUUCCUUUUUAUAUUUUAUCCUUUGGCAAGCACCUCAUGUUGGAAAGAUCCUGAUAUAUAUAUAUAUAUAUAUAUAUAUAUAUAUAUAUAUAUAUAUAUAUAUAUAUAUCCAAUUGGAUGUAAGUUAGCAUGAACUAUUAUUGUUGACAUUACCCUUGAGGUAAAAGGUUGGGAGGCAACACUAUAAGCCCCUAUCUUUCUCUUGCCCGAUUAAAACUCCAUAACCAUAAGUAUUGCGUGAGUGUUAGCAAUUGUGAAAGACUAAAUGAUAGUUGAGUAUGUGGACUUGCUGAAAAGCUCUUAUGUUGACUCUUUCCUAUGUUAUGAUAAAUUGCAAUUGCUUCAAUGACCAAGAUUAUAGUUUGUUAGCUCUCAAUGUAGUUUCUGAUUCAUACUUGACAUUGUGAAUAGAUUGUUACUUGAUCAUAAGGAAUCAUAUGACAAAAUAUAUAUGUGUUGUUGUUAUAAGAAUGAUCAUGAUGCCUUCAUGUCCGUAUUUCAUUCUUAUCGACACCUCUAUCUCUAAACAUGUGGACAUAUUCUUCGAUAUCGGUUUCCGCUUGAGGACAAGCGAGGUCUAAGCUUGGGGGAGUUCAUACAUCUAUUUUGCAUCAUGCUUUUAUAUCGAUAUUUAUUGCAUUAUGGGAUGUUAUUUCACGUUAUGUCACAAAACUUAUGGCUAUUCUCUCUUAUUUUACAAGGUUUACAUGAAGAGGGAGAAUGCCAGCAGCUGGGAUUCUGGGCUGGAAAAGGAGCAAAUAUUGAAGACCUAUUCUGCACAGCUCCAAAAGUCCUGAAACUCCACGAAAAUCAUUUUGGGAAUUAAUAAAAAAUAUUCAGCGGAAGAAAUACCUGAGGGGGGCCACCCACCGUCCACAAGGGUGGGGGGCGCCCUAUCCCCCCUGGGUGCGCCCCCUGCCUCGUGGGCCACCUGGCAGCCCUCCGGUGCCCAUAUUAUGCUAUAUAAUGUCUUUUACCCUGGAAAAAACCAUAAGCAAGCUUACGGGACGAAACUCCGCCGCCACGAGGCGGAACCUUGGCGGAACCAAUCUAGGGCUCCGGCAGAGCUGUUCUGCAGGGGAAACUUCCCUCUGGGAGGGGGAAAUCAUCACCGUCGUCAUCACGAAUGAUCCUCUCAUCGGGAGAGGGUCAAUCUCCCUGAACAUCUUCACUAGCACCAUCUCCUCUCAAACCCUAGUUCAUCUCCUGUAUCCAAUCUUUGUACCAAAACUUCAGAUUGGUACCUGUGGGUUGCUAGUAGUGUUGAUUACUCCUUGUAGUUGAUGCUAGUUGGUUUAUUUGGUGGAAGAUUGUCAUAUGUUCAGAUCCUUAAUGCAUAUUAAUACCCCUCUAAUUAUGAACAUGAAUAUGCUUUGUGAGUAGUUACCUUUGUUCCUGAGGACAUGGGUGAAGUCUUGCUAUUAGUAGUCAUGUGAAUUUGGUAUUCGUUCGAUAUUUUUAUGAGAUGUAUGUUAUCUCUCCUCUAGUGGUGUUAUCUGAACGUCGACUACAUGACACUUCACCAUUAUUUGGGCCUAGAGGAAGGCACUGGAAAGUAAUAAGUAGAUGAUGGGUUGCUAGAGUGACAGAAGCUUAAACCCUAGUUUAUGCGUUGCUUCGUAAGGGGCUGAUUUGGAUCCACUUAUUUCAUGCUAUGGUUAGGUUUACCUUAAUACUUCUUUUGUAGUUGCGGAUGCUUGCAAUAGGGGUUAAUCAUAAGUGGGAUGUUUGUCCAAGAAAGGGCAGUACCCAAGCACCGGUCCACCCACAUAUCAAAUUAUCAAAGUAACAAACACGAAUCAUAUGAGCGUGAUGAAAACUAGCUUGACGAUAAUUCCCAUAUGUCCUCGGGAGCACUUUUCUCAUUAUAAGAACUUCUCCAGGCUUGUCCUUUGUUACAAAAAGGAUUGGGCCACCUUUUGGCACCUUAUUUACUUUCAUUGCUUAUUACCCGUUACAAAUUAUCUUAUCACAAAACUAUCUGUUACCUACAAUUUCAGUGCUUGAAGAGAAUACCUUACUGAAAACCGCUUGUCAUUUCCUUCUGCUCCUCGUUGGGUUCGACACUCCUACUUAUCGAAAGGACUAUGAUAGAUCCCCUAAACUUGUGGGUCAUCAUCGAGCAAGAUUUUCCUAACACUGAAUUUCUUCAAUUCUACGAUCAUAAAGCUGAGAGACAACCAUCUUCAUUCUAAAGUGCCACUAAAUCUUGUUGUUCCUCAUGGUAGUGAGGGCUUUGGUAGUUUCAAGAAUGGCCUUGUUCACAUCCUUUCUUUCAACUUCAGACUUGGCUUCUCUUCUCAUUUUCUCCAGAAGCUUCUUAUCAUCGACAGCCUGAUUUAGAUCUUUGGUGAUUUCCUUCAGAUCAGUAAAGUGCUAUGCUACCAUUUUGGUAACUUCUUCUGGCAGACCCAAAUCACCCAAGUCUGCUGGAUUGGCAUCAUAGGAAGCACCUUCAAUGAUGUCGAAUAUCAUCUAAAAAUCAUAUUCCUCUAUGGAAGCAGGAAUGAUUUUCUUUGCAUUCUUGGCGGAAACAACAGCUUUUUCAUCAGUGACCAGCUUUGUCUUGGCAGCUGGGGUAGCAGAACCCGAAGGUUUACCAGAACAGAACUGGUGCAAGCCUUGGUGAAGGUGUCAUAGGCGAUGAUUUCUUGGCAGGUCAUGGAGUGUGAUAUGGCUUGUCUAGCAGCGCUCGCUGAUCAUAUAUGGGAAUUUCUUCGCCUGCAUUAUCAUGAGAAGAUUCCACAUCAGACGAGGCAGAUGCAACCUUUAUGGACUUACUCGCAACUGAAUUUUUCUUCGGAGCUCGAGGAGAAACUGACUUCCUAUUCUUCUUCUCUUUUCGGGCAGAUGCCCUUUCCUUCUUCUCAAUCACAUCCUGUUGAAUCAGCUCAACAUUCUGCUACUCAACUUGGUUCUUCUUCGCAAGUCUAGCCUCAUGCUUAGCCUUUGCCUUUUCCCUUUUUGCAACUUUUUUGGAAAAUUAGCUAUGGUUUUCAAAGAAUCAACAUGAGCGUUGGGAGGAGAUACUGGCCUUACUUUCUCAUCUUCUUGUCCAAGGCAACCUUCUGCAAUGCCAUCAUUUCAAGGUGGAGUGAAAGCAAACAAAAUCUGAUAUUUCCGUCAAACGUUCUCAUAGUUGAACCAUUUCUUCGCCCAGUGCCGGCGAAUCUUUUGCAACCUAUUGUUCCUGUCUUGAGCUGUUUCCACCCCUGGUGGAGUCCUAUAUGUUUCCUGAUCAGACAUCUCAGUUGCAGGAUUUCUUUCUCUUCCUCUUCCACCCUUCUUGGGAUUUCCAUCUGAGAACAUGGUCCUGGAAUCUAUGACUAGCUCAUCUUCUGGCUGACUGUGAGCAGAGGGAAUAUCAUCAUCAACGUCAUCAGCAGAUUCUGAUUCGGCCUUUUUCUUCGGCGCUCUCGAUGGCUUGGCUGAUUUUCAUUCGACCACCUUUGCUUUGUCGGCCACCCUUUGUUGCCGAGGGAUUUCUUCCUCUGAAACAGAAUGCUCAUCCGAACUAUUUCCAUGACCACUCUUGAAGAAAAACACAAGAGUGGAAGAAAUCACAGAGGAGGUCACAAGUAUGCACAGAGAAAUUUUUUAACAAAAAGAAGUUUUAUGGAAGAACCAAUGAAUUCAAGUCAUGCACUUGCAAGAUAUCAUCGAGUAAAUUUCAUUAUGCCUAAGACGACAUAACCUAUCCUCUAAUCUUUCGAAGAGCAUGCACAGUGAACCAUAGAUCCAAAGGAUAGGUAUGAGGAACAACUACAAACCGUACAAGUCAAAAGUAACAGAUCCUAGAAGAUCUACCACACAAAAAAUAACAUGGAAUAGAUUGCGCCGGGAGGAACUGCUCUAAAACAGGAGUUGAGUAGAGCCAGAACCGGAUCUGAAUGCCCUAACUUGGCAAGACAGAUCAACUACGGCAGUGUGGUAAGAGAGGUUACCACACUGGCGCGAUAAAUGGUGACGGAGCUUCACCGGAGUUGCACGGCGAUGCUUGACAUCGAUGCUGCUUUGAGCUCGAGCUUGGGCGGAGAGCAAAGUAGGGUUUGAGGCCAAACAAAGAGGAGCUAAGCAAGAGGAGACCCAGCGCGUGGGGUUUAUAUAGCCUGAAGGACAAACCGCCCACUCCGAAAUCUACGGACGAAAAAACCGAGACGUUCCACAUUCAACGGACGAGAUCACGAAGAACAGAUCGUGAGCACAUGUCAGCCAUUACCUGCGAAAUUCUCGGUAACUGAAUUGAAUGCCAAAGGGUUUGAGGAAGGGAAAGCGCCAAAACACAUGAAAUAAUUGAAGAUGAUUUAAAUCAGGUUAUCAUUUGUCUUGUUUUAUGAUUAUGAAAUUUGGCAAAUGGAUGUCAAAACUGCAUUCCUUAAUAGAUUUCUUAAAGAAGAGUUGUAUAUGAUGCAACCAGAAGGUUUUGUCGAUCCAAAAGGUGCUAACAAAGUGUGCAAGCUCUAGCGAUCCAUUUAUGGACUGGGGCAAGCCUCUCGGAGUUGGAAUAUACGCUUUGAUAAUGUGAUCAAAGCUUAUGGUUUUAUACAAAUUUUUGGAGAAGCCUGUAUUUACAAGAAAGUGAGUGGGAGAUCUGUAGCAUUUCUAAUAUUAUAUGUGAAUGACAUAUUGUUGAUUGGAAAUAAUACAUAAUUUUUGGAUAGUGUAAAAGGAUACUUGAAUAAGAAUUUUUCAAUGAAAGACCUCGUGAAGCUGCUUAUAUAUUGGGCAUCAAGAUCUAUAGAGAUAGAUCAAGACGCUUAAUUGGACUUUCACAAAGCACAUACGUUGAUAAAGUUUUGAAGAAAUUUAAAAAUGGAUCAGUCAAAGAAAGGGUUCUUGCCUGUGUUACAAGGUGUGAAGUCGAGUCAGACACAAUGCCCGACCACUGCAAAAGAUAGAGAGAAAGUGAAAGUCAUUCCCUAUGCCUUAGACAUAGGUUCUAUCAUGUAUGCAAUGCUGCGCACCAGACAUGAUGUGUGCCUUGCUAUAAGUCUAGCAAGGAGGUACCAAAGUAAUUCAGGAGUGGAUCACUGGACAACGUCAAGAACAUCCUGAAAUACCUAAAAAGGACUAAGGAUAUGUUUCUCGUUUAUGGAGGUGACAAUGAGCUUGUCGUAAAUGGUUACGUCGAUGCAAGAUUUGACACUGAUCCGGAUGACUCUAAGUCGCAAACCGGAUAUGUCUUUAUAUUGAAUGGUGGAGCUGUCAGUUGGUGCAGUUCCAAGCAGAGCAUCAUGGCGGGAUCUGCGUGAGAAGCGAAGUACAUAGUUGAUUCGGAAGCAGCAAAUGAAGGAGUCUGGAUGAAGGAGUUCAUAUCCGAUCUAGGUGUAAUACCUAGUGCAUCGGAUCCAAUGAAAAUCUUUUGUGACAUACUGGAGCAAUUGCCUUGGCGAUGGAAUCCAGAUUUCACAAAAGAACCAAAAACAUCAAGAGACGCUUCAACUCCAUCCGCGAUCAAGUCAAGGAGGGAGACAUAGAGAUUUGCAAGAUACAUACAGAUCUGAAUGUUGCAGACCCCUUGACUAAGCCUCUUCCACAAGCAAAACAUGAUCAGCACCAAGACUCCAUGGGUGUUAGAAUCGUUACUGUGUAAUCUAGAUUAUUAACUCUAGUGCAAGUGGGAGACUAAAGGAAAUAUGCCCUAGAGGCAAUAAUAAAGUUGUUAUUUAUAUUUCCUUAUAUCAUGAUAAAUGUUUAUUAUUCAUGCUAGAAUUGUAUUAACCGGAAACUUAGUACAUGUGUGAAUACAUAGACAAAACAAAGUGUCCCUAGUAUGCCUCUACUUGACUAGCUCGUUAAUCAAAGAUGGUUAUGUUUCCUGACCAUAGACAUGUGUUGUGAUUUGACAAAUGGGGUCACAUCAUUAGAGAAUGAUGUGAUGGAGAAGACCCAUCCAUUAGCUUAGAAUAAUGAUCAUUAAGUUUUAUUGCUAUUGCUUUCUUCAUGACUUAUACAUGUUCCUCUGACUAUGAGAUUAUGCAAAUCCCGAAUACCGGAGGAACACCUUGUGUGCUAUCAAACGUCACAACGUAACUGGGUGAUUAUAAAGAUGCUCUACAAGUGUCUCCGAAGGUGUUUGUUGGGUUGGCAUAGAUCGAGAUUAGGAUUUGUCACUCCAUGUAUCGGAGAGGUAUCUCUAGGCCCUCUCAGUAAUGCUCAUCACUAUAAGCCUUGCAAGCAAUGUGACUAAUGAGUUAGUUACAAGAUGAUGCACUACGGAACGAGUAAAAAGACUUGCCGGUAACGAGAUUGAACUAGGUAUGAAGAUACCAACGAUCGAAUCUCGGGCAAGUAACAUACCGAUGACAAAGGAACAAUGUAUGUUGUUAUGCCGUUUGACCGAUAAAGAUCUUCGUAGAAUAUGUAGGAACCAAUAUGAGCAUCCAGGUUCCACUAUUGGUUAUUGAUUGGAGAUGUGUCUCGAUCAUGUCUACAUAGUUCUCGAACCCGUAGGGUCCGCACGCUUAACAUUCGAUGACGAUUUGUAUUAUGAGUUAUGUGUUUUGGUGACCGAAGUUUGUUCAGAGUUCCGGAUGAGAACACCGACAUGAUGAGGAUUCUCGAAAUUGUCGAGAGGUAAAGAUUGAUAUAUUGGAAGGUUACAUUCGGACACCAGAAUGGUUUCAGGAAGUUUCGGAUAUGUUUCGGAGUACCGGGAGGUUNNNNNNNNNNNNNNNNNNNNNNNNNNNNNNNNNNNNNNNNNNNNNNNNNNNNNNNNNNNNNNNNNNNNNNNNNNNNNNNNNNNNNNNNNNNNNNNNNNNNNNNNNNNNNNNNNNNNNNNNNNNNNNNNNNNNNNNNNNNNNNNNNNNNNNNNNNNNNNNNNNNNNNNNNNNNNNNNNNNNNNNNNNNNNNNNNNNNNNNNNNNNNNNNNNNNNNNNNNNNNNNNNNNNNNNNNNNNNNNNNNNNNNNNNNNNNNNNNNNNNNNNNNNNNNNNNNNNNNNNNNNNNNNNNNNNNNNNNNNNNNNNNNNNNNNNNNNNNNNNNNNNNNNNNNNNNNNNNNNNNNNNNNNNNNNNNNNNNNNNNNNNNNNNNNNNCCCUUUCCCUUACCCACUCCCUCUCUCUUUCCCCCUUUGCUACCCCAGAAAAAAGGAAAAAGGUGGGGGGCGAAUCCUACUAGGAUUGCAGUCCUAGUAGGACUCCCCCCCAUGGCGCACCCCUCCUGGCCGCCGGCCUCCUCCCCCCUCCUUUAUAUAUGGGGGCAGGGGGCACCAUAAAGGCACAACAUUGUCUUAGCCGUGUGCGGUGCCCCCCUCCACCGUUUACUCCUCCGGUAGUAUCAUCGUAGUGCUUAGGCAAAGCCCUGCGUGGAUCACAUCACCAACACCGUCAUCACAUCGUCGUGCUGACGGAACUCAUUGACUCCAUCGACACUCUGCUGGAUCAAGAGUUCGAGGGAUGUCAUCGAGCUGAACGUGUGCAGAAUUUGGAGGUGUCGUACGUUCGAUACUAGAUCAGUUGGAUCGUGAAGACAUUAGACUACAUCAACCAUGUUAACCUAACGCUUCCGCUUUCGGUCUAUGAGGGUACGUGGACACACUCUCCCCCUCUCGUUGCUAUGCAUCUACUAGAUAGAUCUUGCGUGAUCGUAGAAAUUUUUUGAAAUUGCAUGCUACGUUCCCCAACAGUAGCUGGCAGGACCUUCAUACUGCUUUGGAGGCAUGCCAUCUUUUUCAUGCACAUGUUGCUGGUCCUCCCGUGCCUCCGGUGUAUAUUUUGUCUUCCCAUACACGCCCAAGAAGCCUAGCAGGUUCAUGCAAAGAUUCUUCGUCACAUGCAUCACGUCGAUUAAAGAGCGGACCUUGAUAACCCGCAAGUAUACGAGAUAGUUGUAGCCUCUUUCAAUAAGUAAGAGUGUCGAACCCAACGAGGAGCUAAAGGUAGAACAAAUACUCUCCCAAGUCCUAUCGGCCACUGAUACGACUCUACGCAUGCUUGACGUUCGCUUUACCUAGAACAAGUAUGAAACUAGAAGUACUUUGUAGUAGUUGUUGGAUAGGUUUGCAAGAAAGUAAAGAACAUGUAAAUAGAAAAUAGGGGCUGUUUAGAUAAAGAUGCAAUAAAGUAAAUAUAGCGAGUGUGGAAAAGUGGUGGUAGGAGUUGCGGAAUUGUCCCUAAGCAAUUGACUACUUUACUAAACCAAUAGCAAGUUUCAUGUGGGAGAGGCCACUCCUAGCAUGUCAUCCCUGACUUGGAAUUCUAUGCACUUAUGAUUGGAACUAUUAGCAAGCAUCCGCAACUACUAACGUUCAUUAAGGUAAAAUCCAACCAUAGCAUUAAGAUAUAUUGGUCCCGCUUCAAUCCCGUAUGCAUCAAUUUCUAUGCUAGGUUGAAGCUUCUGUCACUCUAGCCCUCCAAUACACAGUCCUAUCAACAUACAACUAACCCUAUGGUGUGAUCCACGUGCGUGCUCAUAUGAUGGACACCAAAGGACAUCAACAUAACCACAAGCAAAUUAAAUCAAUCAUAGCAAUUCAUCAACCACCAAUAGGACAACAAAAAUCUACUCAGACAUCAUAGGAUGGCAACACAUCAUUGGAUAAUAAUAUGAAGCAUAAAGCAACAUGUUCAAGUAGAGGGUACAGCGGGUUGCGGGAGAGUGGACCGCUGUAGAUAGAAGGGGGAAGGUGAUGGAAACGUUGGUGAAGAUGAUGGAGGUGUUGGUGAAGAUCGCGGUGAUGAUGAUGGCCCCCGGCAGCGCUCCGGCGCCACCGAAAGCAAGGGGGAGAGGCCCCCCUUCUUCUUCUUCUUCUUCUUUGACCUCCUCCCUAGAUGGGAGAAGGGUUUCCCCUCUGGUCCUUGGCUCCCAUGGCUUGGGAGGGGCGAGAGCCCCUCCGAGAUUGGAUCUAUCUCUCUGUUUCUACCUUCCGGAAUUCUGCCCUGGCACCGUUUCUUUUAUAUCUGGAGAUUCGUAACUCUGAUUGGAUUGAAACCUUCGCCCAGAUCGUUUUCCAAAAAUUAGCUUUCUUGCGGCCAAAGAAGGGCAUCAACCGCCUUACGAGUGGCCCAGGAAAGUGGGGGGCGCGCCCACCUGGAGUGGGUGUGGGCCCCUAUCUCCUGGCCACCUCGGGCACCGUCUCGCAUUGAUUUUACUUCCCAAAAAUAACAAAUAUUCCAAAAUAAUUCUCCGUCCAUUUUUAUCCCGUUUGGACUUCGUUUGAUAUGGGGUUUCUGCGAAACAUAAAACAUGCAACAGACAGGAACUGGCACUGGGCACUGGAUCAAUAUGUUAGUCCCAAAAAUAAUAUAAAAAGUUGCCAAAAGUAUAUGAAAGUUGAAUAAUAUUGGCAUGGAACAAUCAAAAAUUAUAGAUACGACGGAGACGUAUCAGCAUCCCCAAGCUUAAUUACUGCUCGUCCUCGAGUAGGUAAAUGAUAAAAAGGAUAAUUUUUGAUGUGGAAUGCUACCUAGCAUAAUCUUGAUCAUAUGUCUAAUCAUGGCAUGAAUAUUAAGAUACGAGUGAUUCAAAGCAAUAGUCUAUCAUUUGACAUAAAAAUAAUAAUACUUCGAGCGUACCAAUAAAGCAAUCAUGUCUUUUCAAAACAACAAGGCCAAAGCAAGCUUAACCCUACAAAAUCAUAUAGUUUGGCCAUGCUUCAUUUUUGUCACACAAAAUGCCCCCUUCAUGCACAACCCCGAUGACAAGCUGAGAAAUUGGUUCAUACUUUUUAACGUGCUUCGGCUUUUUCAACCCUCACGCAAUACAUGAGCGCAAACCAUGGAUAUAGCACUAUAGGUGGAAUAGAAUAUGAUGGUGGGGGUUAUGUGGAGAAGACAAAAAAGGAGAAAAUCUCACAUCGACGCGGCUAAUCAACGGGCUAUGGAGAUGCCCAUCAAUUGAUGUCAAUGCGAGGAGUAGGGAUUGCCAUGCAACGGAUCCACUAGACCUAUAAGUGUAUGAAAGCUCAACAAAAGAAACUAAGUGGGUGUGCAUCCAACUUGCUUGCUCAUGAAGACCUAGGGCAUUUGAGGAAGCCCAUCGUUGGAAUAUACAAGCCAAGUUCUAUAAUGAAAAUUCCCACUAGUAUAUGAAAGUGAUAACAUAGGAGACCCUCUAUAUGAAGAACAUGGUGCUAAUCUGAAGCACAAGUGUGGAAAAAGGAUAGUAACAUUGCCCCUUUUCUUUUUUCUUUUUUUUCUUUUUUCGGUGGGCUUCUUUGGCCCCCUUUUUUAUUUAGGCUUCUUUGGCCUUUCCUUUUUUUCUUUUUUUUCUUUUUUUCAUGGGGCAAUGCUCUAUAAUGAUGAUCAUCACACUUUUAUUUACUUACAACCCAAUAUUACAACUCGAUAAUAGAACAAAAAUAUGACUCUAUAUGAAUGCUUCCGGCAAUGUACCGGGAUGUGCAAUGAUCUAGUGUAGCAAUGACAUCAAAAAACGGACAAGCCAUGAAAACAUCAUGCUAGCUAUCUUACGAUCAUGCAAAGCAAUAUGACAAUGAAUGCUCAAGUCAUGUAUAUGAUGAUGAAAGUUGCAUGGCAAUAUAUCUCGGGAUGGCUAUGGAAAUGCCAUGAUAGGUAGGUAUGGUGGCUGUUUUGAGGAAGAUAUAAGGAGGCUUAUGUGUGAUAAAGCGUAUCGUAUCACGGGGUUUGGAUGCACUGGCGAAGUUUGCACCAACUCUCGAGGUGAGAAAGGGCAAUGCAUGGUACCGAAGAGGCUAGCAAUGAUGGAAAGGUGAAAGUGCGUAUAAUCCAUGGACUCAACAUUAGUCAUAAAGAACUCACAUACUUAUUGCUUGAAUUUAUUAGCCCUCGAAGCAAAGUACUACUACGCAUGCCCCUAGGGAGAUAGAUUGGUAGGAAAAUACCAUCGCUCGUCCCCAACCGCCACUCAUAAGGAAGACAAUCAAAGAAACACCCCAUGCUUCAAAUUUUUCACACAACGGUUACCAUACGGGCAUGCUAUGGGACUUGCAAACCUCAACACAAGUGUCUCUACAAUCCACAACCACCCACUAGCAUGACUCUAAUAUCACCAUCUUUAUAUUGAAAAACUAUUGCAAGGAAUCAAACAUAUCAUAUUCAGCAAUCUACAAGUUUACGUAGGAUUUUAUGACUAACCAUGUGAAUGACAAAUUCCUGUCACCUCUCUAAAUAGAUAUAAGUGAAGCAAGAGAGUUUAAUUCUUUCUACAAAAGAUAUGCCCAUGCUCUAAAAAAUAUAAGUGAAGCAAAAGAGCAUUCUACAAAUGGCGGUUUUCUAUGUGAAGAGAAACAGGCAACCCAAACUUCAAAUGAUCUAAGUGAAGCACAUGAAGCAUUCUAUAAAGCCAUACUCAAAGAUUUAAGUGAAGUGCAAUGAGCAUUUUAUAAAUCAACCAAGGACUAUCUCAUACCAGCAUGAUGCAUAAAAGAAAAAUGAAAACUAAAUGCAAAAGACGCUCCAAGACUUGCACAUAUUGCAUGAACGAAACGAAUACGAAAACAUACCGAUACUUGUUGAAGAAAGAGGGGAUGCCUUCCGGGGCAUCCCCAAGCUUAGAUGCUUGAGUAUCCUUGAAUAUUUACUUGGGGUGCCUCGGGCAUCCCCAAGCUUGAGCUCUUGCCUCUCUUCCUUUUCCUCAUAUCGAGACCUCCUCGGUUAGACACUUCAUCCACACAAAACUUCAACAGAAAACUCGGUAAGAUCUGUUAGUAUAAUAAAGCAAAUCACUACUAUAGGUACUGUUGCAAACCAAUUCAUAUUUUUUUUGCAUUGUGUCUACUGUAAUAUAGCUUUUCCAUGGCUCAAUCCACUGAUAUAAAUUGAUAGAUUCAACAAAACAAGCAAACUAUGCAUCAAAAACGGAAUCUGUCAAAAACAGAACAGUCUGUAGCAAUCUGAACAUCCACCAUACUUAUGGUACCCCAAAAAUUCUACCAAAAUUAGAAAAAAUAAAAAAGUUGUAUAGAAAGAUAGUGCAAAAGGAAUCAGAACCAAUUGACGUCCCAGUUAAAACAGUAAAAUCGCGCACUACAGCCAAAGUUUCUGUCCUGUACCGUACAAACCAACAAGCAUUGUAAACAUCCUAAAGGCAAACCUGUUGGAAAUAUGCCCUAGAGGCAAUAAUAAAUUAGUUAUUAUUAUAUUUCCUUGUUCAUGAUAAUCGUUUAUUAUCCAUGCUAUAAUUGUAUUGAUAGGAAACUUAGAUACAUGUGUGGAUACAUAGACAACACCAUGUCCCUAGUAAGCCUCUAGUUGACUGGCUCGUUGAUCAAUAGAUGGUUACGGUUUCCUGACCAUGGACAUUGGAUGUCAUUGAUAACGGGAUCACAUCAUUAGGAGAAUGAUGUGAUGGACAAGACCCAAUCCUAAGCAUAGCACAAGAUCGUGUAGUUCGUAUGCUAAAGCUUUUCUAAUGUCAAGUAUCAUUUCCUUAGACCAUGAGAUUGUGCAACUCCCGGAUACCGUAGGAGUGCUUUGGGUGUGCCAAACGUCACAACGUAACUGGGUGGCUAUAAAGGUACAUUACAGGUAUCUUCGAAAGUGUCUGUUGGGUUGGCACGAAUCGAGACUGGGAUUUGUCACUCUGUGUAAACGAAGAGGUAUCUCUGGGCCCACUCGGUAGGACAUCAUCAUAAUGUGCACAAUGUGAUCAAGGAGUUGAUCACAGGAUGAUGUUUUACGGAACGAGUAAAGAGACUUGCCGGUAACGAGAUUGAACAAGGUAUCGGGAUAACGACGAUUGAAUCUCGGGCAAGUGUCGUACCGAUAGACAAAGGGAAUUGUAUACGGGAUUGAUUAAGUCCUUGACAUCGUGGUUCAUCCGAUGAGAUCAUCGUGGAACAUGUGGGAGCCAACAUGGGUAUCCAGAUCCCGCUGUUGGUUAUUGACCGGAGAGUCAUCUCGGUCAUGUCUGCAUGUCUCCCGAACCCGUAGGGUCUACACACUUAAGGUUCGAUGACGCUAGGGUUAUAAAGGAAGUUUGUAUGUGGUUACCGAAUGUUGUUCGGAGUCCCGAAUGAGAUCCCGGACGUCACGUGGAGUUCUGGAAUGGUCCGGAGGUAAAGAUUUAUAUAUGGGAAGUCCUAUUUCGGCCAUCGGGACAAGUUUCGGGGUCACCGGUAUUGUACCGGGACCACCGGAAGGGUCCCGGGGGUCCACCGGGUGGGGCCACCUGCCCCGGGGGGCCACAUGGGCUGUAGGGGUGUGCACCUUGGCCUAUAUGGGCCAAGGGCACCAGCCCCAAGAGGCCCAUGCGCCAAAGGAUAAGGAAAGGAAGAGUCCUAAAGGGGGAAGGCACCUCCGAGGUGCCUUAGGGAGGAGGGACUCCUCCUAGCCGCACCCUUCCUUGGAGGAAGGGCCAAGGCUGCGCCUCCCCCCCCUCUCCCUUGCCCCUAUAUAUAUGUGGGGGUGGGAGGGCAGCCAUACCAAUGUUCUGGUGCAGCCCUCUCCCCUCUCCCAAGUACUUCUCCUCUCCCGUGGUGCUUGGCGAAGCCCUGCAGGAUUGCCACGCUCCUCCAUCACCACCACGCCGUUGUGCUGCUGCUGGAUGGAGUCUUCCUCAACCUCUCCCUCUCUCCUUGCUGGAUCAAGGCAUGGGAGACAUCGUCGGGCUAUACGUGUGUUGAACGCGGAGGUGCCGUCCGUUCGGCACUAGGAUCAUCGGUGAUUUGAAUCACGACGAGUACGACUCCAUCAACCCCGUUCUCUUGAACGCUUCCGCUUAGCGAUCUACAAGGGUAUGUAGAUGCACUCUCCUUCCCCUCGUUGCUAGUCUCUCCAUAGAUAGAUCUUGGUGACACAUAGGAAAAUUUUGAAUUUCUGCUACAUUCCCCAACAAAACCUUGGCACAUUAUUUUUAUAAUACAAUGGAAUUUUAUAAGGGGAUAAUUAUUUUUGUUGAAAAUUUUCUGUAAUCAAGAUUCACAAAGUUUCCGUGAGCAUGAACAAAGUUCAAGGAGCUCUCCCACUUCAACAAUGCUUGUCUCUCUCACUUUCACUUUCCUUUUUGAAAAGUUUUUAGGUUACCCUCUUUAAUUUUUUUGUUUUAAAAUUAUAUAAAAGCACUCAAUAGAAAUAUAUGACUCUCUAAAACUUCUAGGUUGUCUCCCUGGCAGCGGUUUCUUUAAAGCCAUUAAGCUAGGCAUAUAGUGCUCAAGUAAUGAAUCCACCUGGAUCCCAAGGUAUAUCAAAGCCAAUUUUAAUUAACAAUGAUUUGUAAUUUAGUAGUGAGCACAAAGUAACAUAUAUCAUGUAAUGACGAAGUCUAACCCUCUUCCGAUGCAUCGGCAUGUCAUAAAAGAACAAUUCAUGCACACCAAGUAAAGGCCAAUGCAUAGUAUAAGUAGUUUCUUGCAAUUCUAUCAUAUUGGAAACAUAGAGAGGUGGAGAUAUAGUUCCUCUCUCAUAAUAAUUGCAAGUAGGAGCAGCAAGCACAUGCAUAUUACAUUCAUCAAAAUCAUCAUGUGCAAUGGUAAAAGGCAACCAAUGAAUGCAAUCCUUAAUAAGCACAAACUUCUCUGAUAUAGUGUAGUUGGGAGAAUUCAAAAAGAUAAUAGGAAUAUCAUACAUGGGUGCAAUAGCAACAAUUUCAUGUUUAACAUAAGGAACUAUAGCAAGUUCAUCUCCAUAAGCAUAAUUCAUAUUGGCAUCUUGGCCACAAGCAUAGCAAGCAUCAUCAAAAAGGGAUAUUUCAAACAAAUUCAAGGGAUCAUAGCAAUCAUUCGGUAAGCACGAAGGGGGAUUAAACAAUGUAUGAGUUGAAGAGUUACUCUCAUUAGAAGGUGGGCACAGGUGAUCAAUCCGCUCUUCCUCCUUUUGUUCUUCGCUCCCCUCAUCAUCUUUUUCAUCCAAUGAGCUCACAGUUUCAUCAAUUUCUUCUUCCAUAGCUUCCUGCAAAAUAUUAAUCUCUUCUUGGACAGUGGAGACUUUCUCAAUAAAUGCAUUAAUAUUGUAAUUGUAUUCAUAAUUGUCAUAGCAAUAUUUCAAUAUAGCAAAAAUUUCAGGCCUAUAAACAUCAUCAUCUAAAGUUUCAUACUUUUCAAACAAAGAUUCAAUUUCAUAAGCAGCCUUAAAAGCAACAAAUUCUUCAAUUCGUUCAACAUCAUAGUAAUCAUAUAUACCAUUAGCAUAAGAAGCUAAGGUUUUAUUAUCAUUAAAUUUUCAUGAAAAGGGAAGGUGUGGAGCCUUCAUCCUAGAGCAACAAGUAAUAUCAUAUCUCAAGCAUAGAUCCCGAGCAUACCAACGCAACAUAUUAAUUUGAUCCCAUAAUAGUUUCCCUUUUUGUGUCAAGCGAUAAUCCUUAAAGUAUUCACGUUGAUCCAACGUUACUCCCAUAACAUAGAUGAAUGGGGUUUUCUCAGGAUUAUUAAAGUAGUACAUAAUAUCUUUCACAUAACGAUCAUCAAGGGUUUUAGGAGGUUCCCCAUCUCCAUGAGUAGCAAGUACAACUAUUUUUUUUGGUAUUUUGUGUUCCAUAUCCAUAACUAAAGAUAGAGAACAACUAAGAACAGCAAAUAAAAAUUACUUAGUGAUAAAGCAAACAAGCACACACGACAAUAUUCAUCCCAUGCUAUGACUCCCCGGCAACGGCGCCAGAAAAAGGUCUUGAUAACACGCAAGUAUACGGGAUAGUUGUAGCCUCUUUCGAUAAGUAAGAGUGUCGAACCCAACGAGGAGCUAAAGGUAGAACAAAUACUCUCUCAAGUCCUAUCGGCUACUGAUAUGACUCUACGCAUGCUUGAUGUUCUCUUUACCUAGAACAAGUAUGAAACUAGAAGUACUUUGUAGUAGUUGUUGGAUAGGUUUGCAGGAAAGUAAAGAACGCGUAAAUAGAAAAUAGGGGCUGUUUAGAUAAAGAUGCAAUAAAGUAAAUAUAGCGAGUGUGGAAAAGUGGUGGUAGGAGUUGCGGAAUUGUCCCUAAGCAAUUGACUACUUUACUAAACCGAUAGCAAGUUUUAUGUGGGAGAGGCCACUUCUAGCAUGUCAUCCCUGACUUAGGAUUCUAUGCACUUAUGAUUGGAACUAUUAGUGAUACGUCUCCAACGUAUCUACUUUUCCAAACACUUUUGCCCUUGUUUUGGACUCUAACUUGCAUGAUUUGAAUGAAAUUAACCCAGACUGACGCUGUUUUCAGCAGAACUGCCAUGAUGUUGUUUUAUGUGUAGAAAGCAAAAGUUCUCGGAAUGUCCUAAAAAUCCACGGAGGCACUUUUUGGAAAAAAUAAAAAAUACUGGCGAAAGAAUCAAGAUCAAGGGGCCCACACCCUGUCCACGAGGGUGGGGGCGCGCCCUCCCCGCUGGGCGCGCCCCCCUGUCUCGUGGGCCCCAUGAGGCUCCGCCGACCUCAACUCCAACUCCAUAUAUUCCGUCUCGCGGAGAAAAAAAUCAGAAAGAAAGUUUCAUCGCGUUUUACGAUAUGGAGCUGCCGCCAAGCCCUAAUCCCUCUCGGGAGGGCUGAUCUGGAGUCCGUUCGGGACUCCAGAGAGGGGGAUUCGUCGCCGUCGUCAUCAUCAACCAUCCUCCAUCACCAAUUUCAUGAUGCCCACUGCCGUGCGCGAGUAAUUCCAUCGUAGGCUUGCUGGACGGUGAUGGGUUGGAUGAGAUUUACCAUGUAAUCAAGGUAGAUUUGUUAGGGUUUGAUCCCUAGUAUCCACUAUGUUCUGAGAUUGAUGUUGCUAUGACUUUGCUAUGCUUAAUGCUUGUCACUAGGGCCCGAGUGCCAUGAUUUCAGAUCUGAACCUAUUAUGUUUUCAUGAAUAUAUGUGUGUUCUUGAUCCUAUCUUGCAAGUCUAUAGUCACCUAUUAUGUGUUAUGAUCCGACAACCCCAAAGUGACAAUAAUCGGGAUACUUCUCGGUGAUGACCAUAGUUUGAGGAGUUCAUGUAUUCACUAUGUGCUAAUGCUUUGUUCCGGUUCUCUAUUAAGGAGGCCUUAAUAUCCCUUAGUUUCCGCUAGGACCCCGCUGCCACGGGAGGGUAGGACAAAAGAUGUCAUGCAAGUUCUUUUCCAUAAGCACGUAUGACUAUUUAUGGAAUACAUGCCUACAUUACAUUGAUGAAUUGGAGCUAGUUCUGCGUCACCCUAUGUUAUAGCUAUUACAUGAGGAAUCGCAUCCGACAUGAUUAUCCAUCACUGAUCCAUUGCCUACAAGCUUUUCACAUCUUCUGUUUUGUUUAUUUACUUUUCCGUUGCUACUGUUAUAAUCACUACAAAACCCAAAAACAUUACUUUUGCUACCGUUACCUUUAUUAUCAUACUACUUUGCUACUAAGUACUUUGCUGCAGAUACUAAGUUAUCCAGGUGUGGUUGAAUUGACAACUCAACUGCUAAUACUCAAGAAUAUUCUUUGGCUCCCCUUGUGUCGAAUCAAUAAAUUUGGGUUGAAUACUUUACCCUCGAAAGUUGUUGCGAUCCCCUGCACUUGUGGGUUAUCAAUUAGCAAGCAUCCGCAACUACUAAUGUUCAUUAAGGUAAAAUCCAACCAUAGCAUUAAGAUAUAUUGGUCCCCCUUCAAUCCCGUAUGCAUCAAUUUCUAUGCUAGGUUGAAGCUUCUGUCACUCUAGCCCUCCAAUACAUAGUCAUAUCAACAUACAACUAACCCUAUGGUGUGAUCCACGCGCGCGCUCAUAUGAUGGGCACCAAAGGACAGCAACAUAACCACAAGCAAAUUAAAUCAAUCAUAGCAAUUCAUCAACCACCAAUAGGACAACAAAAAUCUACUCAGACAUCAUAGGAUGGCAACACAUCAUUGGAUAAUAAUAUGAAGCAUAAAGCAACAUGUUCAAGUAGAGGGUACAGCGGGUUGCGGGAGAGUGGACCGCUAUAGAUAGAAGGGGGAAGGUGAUGGAAACGUUGGUGAAGAUGAUGGAGGUGUUGGUGAAGAUCGCGGUGAUGAUGAUGGCCCCCGGCAGCGCUCCGGCGCCAUCGGAAGCAAGGGGGAGAGGCCCCCCUUCUUCUUCUUCCUUGACCUCCUCCCUAGAUGGGAGAAGGGUUUCCCCUCUGGUCCUUGGCUCUCAUGGCUUGGGAGGGGCGAGAGCCCCUCCGAGAUUGGAUCUAUCUCUCUGUUUCUACCUUCCGGAAUUCUGCCCUGGCACCGUUUCUUUUAUAUCUGGAGAUCUGUAACUCUGUUUGGAUUGAAACCUUCGCCCAGAUCGUUUUCCAAAAAUUAGCUUUCUUGCAGCCAAAGAAGGGCAUCAACCGCCUUACGGGUGGCCCAGGAGGGUGGGGGGCGCGCCCACCUGGAGUGGGUGUGGGCCCCUAUCUCCUGGCCACCUCGGGCACCGUCUCGCGUUGAUUUUACUUCCCAAAAAUCACAAAUAUUCCAAAAUAAUUCUCCGUACGUUUUUAUCCCGUUUGGACUUCGUUUGAUAUGGGUUUCUGUGAAACAUAAAACAUGCAAUAGAAAGGAACUAGCACUGGGCACUGGAUCAAUAUGUUAGUCCCAAAAAUAAUAUAAAAAGUUGCCAAAAGUAUAUGAAAGUUGAAUAAUAUUGGCAUGGAACAAUCAAAAAUUAUAGAUACGACGGAGACGUAUCAGACCUCUAGGUCUUUCUAGUAGGCUAGGUCCCAAAAUAUAGAUUUCUUCUUCCACAUGGGUGCGCUUCCCAAAGCGUCAUUCAGAACAGAUAGUCCACCAGGACUGAGGGAGUCCUGGAUUAGGGGAUAUCCGGAUAGCCGGACUAUAUACAUCGUCCGGACUAUUGAAGCGUGAAGAUACAAGAAUCAAGACUUCAGCCCGUGUCCGGGUGGGACUCUCCUUUGCGUGGAAGGCAAGCUUGGCGAUCCGGAUAUUGUGUUUCCUUCCUUGUAACUGACUCCAUGUAAACCCUAGCCCUCUCAGGUGUCUAUAUAAACUGGAGAGGUUGGUCCUUAGAAGGCCGAUCACAAUUACAAUCAUACCAUCAUAGGCUAGCUCUUAGGGUUUAGCCUCUAUGAUCUCGUGGUAGAUCUACUCUUGUACUGCCCAUAUCAUCAAUAUUAAUCAAGCAGGAAGUAGGGUUUUACCUCCAUCGAGAGGGCCCGAACCUGGGUAAACAUCUGUGUCCCUUGCUUCCUGUUACCAUCAGCCUAGAUGCACAGAUCGGGACCCCCUACCCGAGAUCCGCCGGUUUUGACACCGACAUUGGUGCUUUCAUUGAGAGUUCCUCUGUGUCGUCGCCGCAAGGCUCGAUGGCUUGUCUCAUCAUAACAACAUUACCUCGGAUGGAGCUCUGGCUGUAGGCCAAACUCUCCGACUUGGCGGCUUUAUCAUGGCUGCCCCAUCGGCGGUUGCGCCAAUGAUGGCCUCUCUGGUCAUCAAGCAUAACCUUCGCGUCAGUUCGGAAUUGCCGAAUAGAUGGGUCUGAUGGAGCUCUCCUCCCUUAAUGAGCUCUUGGAUUGCAUCGCUGCUCUGGGAGUCGCUACAGACUAUGACCGGAUCGGGCUUAAACCCGACCGAAGGGACAUUAGAUCCCCGCCGGCCACCCAUGAAAUGGCAGUAGUGGAGGAACCACACAUGGAUCGCCCCUCGACUUUGAGGACGAACUAUGUCCGGAUCACCGAACUCCUUGAGCCAAAUACCUGCUCAAAGGAAGACAUGACCCAAGUCCCGGACUUAGAACCGGGCAUUGGGCCGAAGAAAUUGGGCGGCACUCCGGAUCCCAAGUUGUCAGUCUCGGAACCUCCCACGCCCCUAGGUGUUAGAUCGGAUCAGAAUCUGGAUUCAGCUAAGAACACCCACCAGGACUUAAACCGUCUCUCCCGCAUCAGGCAAGAGCCCCAGGAGACUGUACAUCUCUACUGGGCCAGAUUCCUCUUGCGCUUACCAAGGUCAAGGACUGCCGCGAGGAGGACGUAGUCUUACUCUUCUGCAAAAACUGCACGGACAAAGGACUCCUCAAUGCUAUAAGCCGCUGUGACAUAGUACACUUCGCGGAUUUGGCAAGCAUAGUACAGAAGUACUGUGCGAUGGAAAGCGCCUGGAAAACCCAAACAGAAUUUUGGGACAGUACGGCUCUCACCAAGACUUUUGUCCGAACUAAACGGGCGAACUCUCGUAAGUCGGCCAAUCCUGUCCCCAAGAAACCAAAGCACACCCCAGGGCGCGGAACCGUAUUCGAAGAAUGGCCCAAUGGACCAUGUAAACUCCACAGCACUCCGGACACGACACCAACUCAUAGCCUCAGAGCAUGUUGGAUACUCCGGCAGGUUGCGAAAACUGGCGAGGAUCUUCUUGCAAGCCAUAAAGCAGAAUAGCAUCCCGCCAACGAACACAAUGCGGUAUUAACAGUCUUCGAGACUUUUGCCUCAAACAAUAGGUGCAACCGAGCUCAUCUAAGCUCCGCUGAAAUUUGCCAUGUGGCAAAGAUAAACCCCUUGAACAACACUGCUAUAACUUUCAAUGCUAGUGAUGAACCUCGAUUCCAGACUGUCCAGGCACUGGCCGCUCUGGUCCUUAGCCCGAUCAUGGACGGAUUCCGGCUCACUAAAGUACUCAUGGAAGGCGGAAGCGGAUUAAACUUGAUCUAUGAAGAAACGCUCAACAAGAUGGAAAUUCAUAAAGGCUGCAUUGAGAAAAAAUCACACUCGAUGUGGUAUUCGGCACCCCGGAAAAUUACAGGUCCGAAGAAAUCACAUUCCAAGUGGAUCCUUUUAGCAAUGGAUACCACGCCCUUUUACGGCGGGACGCGUUUACGAGCUUUCAAGCCAUACCCCAUUACGGGUACAUGAAGCUUAAAAUGCCCGGGCCCAAUGGAAUCAUCACUCUAGACAGUGAUCCGGACGUCGCACUUCGCACCUAAAACAAAACCGCAGCAUUGGCCCUGGAAGCAUUAUCCGAAGCCCUAGCAGCCGAAGAAUUAACAACGCUACGGGCCACCAUGGACAGGGACGACGUGAUACUCGACAAGCGACCCAUGUCCACCUCAUUUAAACCCGCAGAUGAGAUAGUCAAAUUCCAAGUCCAUCCAACGGACCCCACGAAGACAGCUUCCAUCUGGACAUAGUUGAGCCCCGUAAUGGACGCUGCAGUACGAGACUUUUUACGCGAGAAUUGGGACAUUUUCACUGGCACCCAUCGGACAUGUCGGGCAUCCCGCGUGGAUUGGCCAAGCAUAGCCUUAACAUACUAAAGGGAUAUAAACCUGUCAAACAUACCCGAAGGCGAUUCUCAGAGCCCAAACGACAAGCAAUGGGGGAAGAGCUAGCCAAGCUACUUGAGGCCGAUUCAUCAGAGAUAUUAAACAUCCGGAUUGGCUGGCAAAUUUGGUAAUGGUACCAAAGAAGGACAAAUCCUGGCGCCUAUGUGUCGACUUCAAAGACCUCAACAAGGCUUCGCGGUCUGGGGGCUGGAUAUGGUCGGACCUCUUAAAGGGGGAAGCCAUAAGAAAAAAUACUUGUUGGUCAUGGUGGACAAGUUCACCAAAUGGAUAGAAGCCAAACCCGUCAAAACGGUCAAAUCCGGACCAGUAAUAGACUUCAUAUCCGGGGUCGUACACCGAUACGGUGUCCCCCAUAGCUCAUCACUGAUAAUGGCUCAAAUUUCACAGCCGAUGAAGUGAAAACUUGGUGCAGCAAAAUGGGCAUUAAGCUCGACUACGCUUCCGUCUACCAUCUCCAAACAAACGGCCAGGUCGAACGGGCAAACGGUCUCAUCAUGAGUGGCAUCAAACCCAGACUAGUGCGAUCUUUGACAGAAUCGGAUACGCACUGGGUGGAGGAGCUCGACUCCGUACUCUGGGGGCUGCGGACCACACCGAAUUGUACCACCGAAUAUACACCAUUUUUAUGGUGUACGGCGCGGAAGCAGUACUACCCAGUGAUAUAAUUAAUGAUUCGCCACGCGUACGCAUGUAUGAAGAGAAGGAAGCCGAGUUAGAUCGGCAGGAUAACUUGGAUGCCCUGGAGGAGGAGCGCGAUGUCGCAAAAGCCCGUUCCGCAUUUUAUCAGCAGCAGGCUCGACGAUAUCAAAUCAGAGAAGUGCGGGCCAAAACUUACAAUAUUGGCAAGAUCGUUCUAUGCCUACCAGAGAAGAAGAAGGACAAACUCAAACCCAAGUGGGAAGGUCCCUUCGUCAUUGACAAAGUUCUCAUCGGAGGAGCGUACCGCUUACGUAAUGCAUCCGAUGACAGACUCAAGCCGAACCCAUGGAACGCGGCCAGACUCCGGAGAUUCUACGCCUAACGCCGAACUCAGUGUUCGUCUCCUUACUCCCCCCCUUUUAUUUAUGCUCCACCCCGCUUUUCCUUUCUCGCCCCUUUUUCUCUUCACACAAAGUACUUAAUACAGUGUGGACUCCGGAUUACUCCGGCUGUACUAUGUGUGUAAGCAAUACCUGGGGGCUUCCUAUACGGAAGCUCAAAAUAAUUACUCAAUGGCUUUUUGCCCAUCACAUAUGAGUUUCUUUUUUCAUAUGUGCCUUUUCUUCACCAUUAUAUGCAUCGAUAUGACUUAAUAUGUGGCCAAGCUGAGUUGUCUGGCUCUUGUGUUUAUGCCCUACAUUCCCGUUAAUUCGGCUAGGGCAUAAGGGAAGCACCUCUGCGAAUGUUACUGCCGGUUCAGCCGGACACUACAAGAAAUAUGUCAACUAGUGACCUUUUGUCAGUGACCCUGGAAGAAUUGGUCAUAGAUCUAUGACCAUUUCAGACCAAUUGGUCAAAAGUUGUUCGAGGGGCUCCAAACCCUAAACCAUUGCGACCAUUUUGGUCAGAAAGGUCGUAAUUUCCUUACACGAAAAGGUCACAAGGAAAACAGUGCUAGUCCGCUGCCUUAUUUCUAGUUGUUAAUGACCAAUAUAGAUGGUCAUAACCUUGUAGAUUGUGGUGGGUUGUGAUGACUAGGCGCCAUCUCAUCAGUUUUGCCUAUGUGUCAUGUCCAUGUGGCGGUUUUUGCCCUAGGUUGUGAAGCAACCUAUAUUUUUGUUAUUCCCAAAAUUCCCAAAAAAAUCUCAUAAAUUCUUUGGGUCAUAUCUUCGUCAAAUAUGUAAAAACCUUCCUUGCCUAGUUCAAAAAUAUUUCAAAAAUAUUCAUUUUCCUAUUCUGAUUAGAGCAGCACUUUGUGAAGGAAGUACCACUUUGGCAUGUCCAAAUGGUAUCCAUUUUCUACAGUGCUUUCCUAUGCCCAAAUAACCAUCCUCCACCAAAUGCUAGCUCAAUCCAUUCAUUAUUUUGAGCCCAGCUUCAACAUUCGUAUUUAUGUCCAGUGUGGUACUUUGUAAUGCAAGUACCACCUAGGCUCCUCCUUUUGAGGUGAAAAUUUGUGAAGACGGUCUUCUUAGUAACUGAUCAUCCUCAGCCAAAACUCACGCCCAUUAGCCAUGUGCAUUUCCCGUACCGCAAAUCAAACACUUGGCUGCUUAUUCAUCUUUGAGCAUCGAUCGGUCUCCUCGUGAGAAUCUUAUGUUGUGAUUUUCUUCCUAGCACCUACCUGGGGAGUGCCCAACCAACUAUACAUGCCUAGGCCGCCCAGAACACAUGGCAACGCCACGGUCACGCGGUGACCACGCGGCAGGCAUGCGAGCUUACGUGCUCUAGAGUUGGGGCCCUCGUCUACCGUCCAAACGUCGAUGUCUCGCCAUAAAACCAUGUAUUUCUGAUUAAAUAGUUACUUAUUUAACUAGAAAUUAUUUUUGUAAAAAAUAAAUAGCAAACUAUGAGGCAGCUGCAGUUCAAAUUUGACCCGCUUCCAGCUGAAUCGGCGACAAUUUGUCUUUUUCACCAGAGGUGGAUCAAAACUUUUUACACCCAACUAUUUUGUCAAUUGUGCAUUAAACAUGGCCUAGUAUUUUAUAAAAUUGAUUUGGUCCAUUUCUGCAACAAUUAUUUGGUAGUUCCUUCACAAAAAAACAUCAUUUCGGGCACUCGGAAAAUGGAAAAUGAAUUUUCCGUGCAAAGAAAAUGAAAACUUCCUCAGGAAACAUUGUUUGGAAUUCCAAGAUGCACCCUUGUGCACAAUAUGAGAUCAUUUGAACAAACUAUGCCAUGAAUGUGGCCAUAAGAUUGGUCAUUUGGCUUGAAAGCCAUGAAUCUUCACGCAUGAUACCUCAUUUCUGAGAACACCUUUCUAAAAUAAUUACAGUAUUACAAGUUUAUUAUUUUUCCUGGAAACUUGGUCACAUAUAAUGACACAAUGCGAAGGUUCUCCAAUUUUUUGAUUUUUUUUGAAUUUUUUAUGCCCAUUUCAAAAUGCGGUCAAAACGCCGGGCUUGACCGUUCCUAGCUAGUGGUUGAAUCUUGGAAAACUUUUGGUGUUUCUAUGAUUAAAUAGAUACUUAUGUACCUAGAAAUGAUUUUUGGAAAAAAAAUAAAUAGCAAACUAUGAGGCAGCUGCAGUUCAAAUUUGACCCGCUUCCAACCGAAUCGGCGGGAAUUUGUCUUUUUCACCAGAGGUGGAUCAAAACUUUUGACACCCAACCAUUUUGUCAAUCGUGCAUUAAAUAUGUCGUAGUAUUUUAUAAAAAUGAUUUGGUACAAUUUUGCAACAAAUAUAUGGUAGGUCCUUCACAAAAAAACCUCAUUUCGGGCACUCAGAAAAUGGAAAAUGAAUUUUCCGUGCAAAGAAAAUGAAAACUCCCUUUGGCAACAUUGUUUGGAAUUCCAAGAUGCAUCCUCGUAGACAUAUAGUCACACAAUGCGAAGGUUUUUCAUUUUUUUGUGAAUUUCCUAUGCCGAUUUCAAAUUUCGAUCAAAUUUCCCCGCAUGACCCUUCUUAGUUAGGUGGUUAAUAAUGCAAAACUAUUUGUUUGUCUAUGAUGAAAUAGCUACUUUUGUAUCUAAAAAUGAUUUUUUUAAAAAAUAAAUAGCAAACUAUAAGAUACAUGUAGUUCAAAUUUGACUCGUUUCUUGCCGAAUUGGCUGUUUCUCAAAAUACCUAGAAAGAUCGGAAAUGCAAUCAAAUUGAUGAUCAUCCAUGAAAGGUGGACUAACUUAAGUGGAAAUUUUAGUGAUGCCAUUUUGCAAAAUAUUUUUGGUAGCUGCCUCACAAACCUCCCUUGUUUUUAACACUAAGAAGAGUAAUUUUUAAUAGCUCAUUUUAGAACCAAUCAGGACGCAGCACAUGGAUCACCCCACUGUAUUCGAUCUGAGCCAUCCGCCUCCUACUGAUCCAGCAUCUCCCCCUUACUCCCUCGAGCCCUCCUUCCCGAGAAACCCUAGGUCCACCCUCACCGUCGCCGCCUCCCUCUCCCCGAUUCAGCGUCUCCCCGAUUCCUCCUCCGCGGCCGCCGCUCCACCCUCACUAUCGACGACCCAUGCCGCCACCCACCCCACCGCGGCCCUCACUCUCCCCUCGCCCCCUAGUCGUCGACCAACCUCGCCGCCCGCCCAAACCCUAACAGCCACCACUCCCCCGAUUCAGAUCGAAUCGAUGGUGACGCCGCACUCCUUCCACAACCGCCUCCCUUCUGCGCCGCCACUCUGCUCUCGAUCCAGAUCCCCCUCGUCGCUGCCUUCCUCUCCACCCACCUCUCCUCUCGCCGCCGUUCUGCCACAUCCGACAACAUCGAGGCCAGUGGGCGCUGGAUCCGGCACCGGCCUGGCCCCUCCAUCAGCAACUCGAACAGGGGGGAGGCGGCGCCAUGGCUUCCCCCAACCCCAUGGUGUGGGCCUGAGCCACCCACUGGCCUCGGCUGGGUCUCGGACAAGCAGCCGCGCAGGAUGAUGCUGAUGGCACUGUGUCCACGCCCCCCGACCAUCCCGCCGGCGCUGCGGCCCGCGGAGGCGGCCGCCCGCGAGGUGCUGCUGCAACUACACCCAACGGAGGAGGCGGAGCGGCGCCAGCACAGGGUCCAGAUCGAGGCGGUGUCCUUCUUCCUGCGUCUGCUUCUGCUCGGACGCCAUGGGAGUGCUAGAGACGCCACAGCGCAACUGCUCCCACGUCAAGGUAGCCACUAUCUCGCCCAUCUUCUCCCCAUCUCUUCCAUUCCCUUCGCUGACGCGUUUGGUUUCCAAGGGAGUAGCUCGUGCGCUGGGGCAUGUGUUUGUCGUCGCCGUGGGCAUGCUCCCGCUGCCGCUGGAUUUGGGGGGUGGGGAGAGACCAGAGAGGGAGAGGCCACCUUCGCCGCGCUCACGGGCCUCGUCUUCAAAGUAGGUACUUCAAUAGCUGUCUCUGCUUAUGGCUGAACUAUCCAACCGAGAGUGGUUCGUUUUAGAUUGACUAUAGUGAAUGUGUGAGCUGAUUUCAUCGAUAGCAGAGAUCUUGGUAGUGUUCACUGGAUGCAUUCUGAUUGAUUAGUUCAUAGGCUGAAUGCUUGCACUGAAUGACUGAAAAUAGUUCAAUUUUGUACAAAUGCACUCCCACAGGUCUCUGCUACAUCUGGUAAAUUAGAUUUCUGAGAUUUAGCACUACAAUCUGUUAAUGGUUGAUCUCAGAUAUGCUCAUCUUGCUCCCUAUUAAGAGAGGGGAGGGGGGACACCAGUUGCAUCCAUCUUUUCAUACACUUGUUUUCUGCACAUGUAUGCAGUCUGAUUUGAUGGACGACGGGACAAAAAUGAGCCUCUUAGGAGUGUGGAGGAACAACAGUUGCAUCCCAGUCACUUGUUCUUGCUAGCAUCCCGGACGAAUGAUGGCUUGUUAAGCAUGAAACUGGGAUUUCUAAUAAUGUUUGCCAUGAACAUAUAUGAAUUGAUUGCAUGCCCUCUUGGAUUCUAGUAGUACAUUAUCGUUGGCCCAUUAUUGCUAGAUUUUGAUCCUGGUGAUGCUCUGUACUUGUUUCUACUUGCAAUCAGCAUACAAUUUUGCUCAAAUAGUCAAAUGUUUCCUUGAUUCUGUAGGAUUAGUGUGUCCUGUUGCUUGUUGCUAGCUGUAGGAUCUGACUUUUGGUUGUUGUUUUGGUGAUGUAGGCCAAGGGAAAUGACUACCGUUCCAGGAUCUCUGGUCUGGGAGCUCGUGAAGAAGAACAACUGCUUCUUGAUAAAACAGUUCUGCAACAGCAACGCCAAGGUGCGGUUCAGCAAGGAGCCCAACAACCUCUACAAUGUCCACUCCUGCAAGUUCUCGAGUCUGUAGCUCUUUGCAGUAUUUUUAACCCUUUGGUUUGCAAGUGUCUCUGCAAGGAGCUAACUUGCUGUGGGGCUGAUGUGGUUUCAGGCUUGGCGAACAGCAAGACUGUGGCGGUCCAGCCAUCAGCGGGAGAGGACAAGGCAGUUGUCCUGUCCACGACCAAGACCAAGAAGUAGAACACCCCUGCCAAGCUCCAGCACAAGACUCUGAUGCGCAAGGAGUUCCGCAAGAUGGCCAAGUGUGUCAAGAAUCAGGUAUUAACUCCAGAGUCUUUAUAUAACUGAGUUGUAUUAGGAUCUGGUUGAGUCUCUAUGGUCUGAAUAGCCUUUAUAUUAGGAGUUCCGCAAGAUGGCCAAAUUAGCUAUGGUCUGAAUAGCCUUUAUAUUAGGAUCUGGUUGAGUCUCUAUGAUGUUCUCUCUUAGUGUCAUGUCAUGUCAUGAGUUUUGAGUCGUGAAUAUAUAACUGAGUUGUAUAAUCCUUUCCAGGUGAGGACUUUGACCAAAGAAGUACAACCAGGACAACCGUGCUGUUGGUGGUAGCUCCCAAGGUCCAAGGAUGACUAUAUACUUUGACAGCAAAGAGUCAAGCAAGGGUGUGAACCAUAGUUUCGGUUGAUAUUUGCCACCAUGUUUUGGAUUGCAUGUACACUUCUUGGAUAUAAACUGUAAUUAGGCUUGUUCAAGCUAUGUUACCGCGGACGUGCAGUCUUGUAUGGUUUUGUGAAUGUUGAUCAUAUGAGUUCUGGAUUUGAUCAUUUAAUAAGAGAAUUACUGAUUGUUUGAUUUUUAAAUGUGUAUAAAUUGGAAUCUGUGAAUUAAAAAGACCAAAUAUUCUACUGGACCAAACAAUAUUUGGGCUCUAAGAAGGCUAUGGCCCAAACAAAUCACAUCGUGCAUUUCUUAGAAGCCAGAACAAAAAGGAUAAAUGAAAUGGACAUAAAAAUGUUGGGCUUGGCCCAUGAAGCCGUUCAAAAAUUGAUAAAAAAAUAUAGUAAAAAUGCUGAAUUGUUGGGCUAGGCCCAUGUAGAAAACCGAAUUGGACCGGGCUGAAUCUUGUGCCACAUCAGCUUGCCACGCUGGAUGCCUACGUGGCUUGGGGAGGUUGCUAGUGACCAAAACGCCACAGUAGGAAUAUUUUGGUCGUAAACGUCCACGACCUUCUCACAGAGAAGGUCGCUAUAGUCAGUUAACGACCCUCAGCUUUUGACCUUAUGUUUUUGGUCACAAAAAGGUCACAAAUUGAAAACAGUGACCUUUCAGUGACCAAUAGUGGUGGUCACAAGUUGACAUAUUUCUUGUAGUGGGAUGUGUACCUCAGACUGGGUGAAGCCGAAAGCUAGUUUCCUUAAGAGAAUAUUCGAUCGGUGAACAAAAGAUGUAUUCGUUUAUUACAACGUAAAUCCCCAGAAGUCUUGUAUCCUGCGCCAUUGUUCGCAGUGCAUACAUGUGCAUUGCCGCAUGCGUACCCAGGGAAAGGAACCCCUAACGGAACUAUUCUCCCUGGAAGAUGUUUCUUACUAUCCAUGUAAUAUAACAUAACUAGUUGGGUACUUGUCUGUUCAAGCACUUAUGACCCAUACGCCUUGUUUCCGCGCAUACCCUGGUUUUGAAUAACUGAGUGGGUAUUCGGACACACCCCGGACUGUAGAAUCCGGGGGCUGAAGCGAAAAGGUCCGCCAUGACAAAUGAUUUUAAUCCGGCUAGGGACUAGUUAUGUCCAUUGAAUAACACAGUCACUUGGGUUGACUAUAUUCCUCCUCUAUACCAUCCAACAGGCUAUCUAGCCUACAAUCCUGUUGAAAAUACUUAGCGGCUAAUGCUACCUGGUCAUAUAACAGACUUACGGGAAUUUCUUGCCCAUCGGGCCCCGCCGGUCCUACUUCGGCCAUAUGGUUCGGGUCCAACUUGGUGUAGCGCAUCUUCACCAUAGCCCAGGCUUCUCUUGCGCCUUGCCGGCAAGCGGACAUCUUCCACAGUCGAAAGCGACGUCGUGCUCCUUGAAGCAUAUCCACAAGCUCCCCCAUGCCAUUCGGUAGCAAGCUUGAUGGCCACAAAGCCUGAUCAACACCCUGCAUCACUUGCCGAGCUCGCUCGUGCAGUUGCGAAAGGUCCUGCAGUAAAUCACUUGCAGAUAAGGGCAUCUCCUCCUCAGGGAGACCCGUUAACAUUCCUGCAAGCAAAAUUCUUUCAAUAUACUUCCUCGCCGAACUAUCAUACAGUUCGUCUGGGCACUCACCAUAAAUGUCGCGUCGAAGCUUUCUGUUCUCCUGCACGGAGUCCUCCAGUUGAGCAGGGACGUCUUUUAAUUCCAUGUCCAGCCGAAUAUUAGCGUCUUGAAGAUUGGUCUUCUCUUGCUUAACUUGUGUAAGGAUGCGCUCGCCAGCCUUUAGCUGCCUUUUAAUAUGCGAGUCAUUAUCUGUUACGCACUCCGGAUUCACCCCGGGAUUGUUUGCAGAAUUUUCUGUUAGACUAGUCAUACCAGCCAUUUACAAACUGCUGGAUCUUCCUACAAUUGAGACAAAUGUUACCAGUUCAGGCCUUCUGGGAUUCCUCUAGUUUGGCAACCGUGUCCCUCAUAUAGGCCUUGCAUUCCUCCAGCUCCCGAGCUAAUUGUUCAUUCUUCUCUACAAGGACCUAUGCAUAAAUUGAUCCUUCAAACAGUUGUUCCAACUAUUUCAAGUCUCAAGGGCUACUACUAUACAUACUUAUCAAAGCUUCUUACACGUAUAUCUUUGGUAUAUUGGUUCGUCGCUCAGGAAAGCCCGCCUUGAGCAGCUCGGAUGUAUGCGUCUGUCGAAUUGAAGGCAUUAAAUGCCUCUUCGGAAAAGAUGUUGUUCCGAAGCAAGGCCCUCUGGCGCCAGUGAUUCAUGGCGCUCUCCACUUUGGAGUUUGUGGCCGAAAGCAUAUCCACAUCCUUUGUCGGAGAACUAUGCGGAACUGGCCCCGUGUCCGCCUCCGCCCUCGAAGCUGGUUCUGGAACCCGGCUAGUGGAGGCGUGAUUGGCGGGAUCCUCGGAUAUAGUCCGGCUGCUCCUCUUCCUACCAGACACAAAGGGCGCUAUUAUAUUUCAAAUACUAUAAUCGCAGGACAGGUUAUCACUUUACCUCUGCAGCGGUGUGUCGACCCUAACCGCCUUCCUCUUGAGCCUGCCCGAUCCGGACGCCCGUGGUUGACGAGUCCCUAGGGGCUCGGCCCCGUGCUCUGACCGUCGUCUCUGCAAACAGCACGACGCCUCAAAGGUAAAGCACAAUGCCUGAGGGGAGUCCUCUUCGGAGGAUAGGGUUUUUUAGUUUGGCUUACACGCGACACAAGGAGCAGUUCGGGAUAGUCGGACGUAAUGGCCACUGAGGCACCAUCCCAGCUCGCUUGAUAAAAUACCCCGUUGACAAGCUCCACGGUAAUAUCCGGAUCUUCUUUGAGUCCUGCAUCUAGGGCCCUUCCGGGGUCCUCUGGCUGCGGGGAGGGGUUGAAGAUUCCUUCUACGACCCUCCUCAGUUCCUGCUCGGAAACAUCGAUACAGGUAAUCUUAGCAGAAGAACGCCAAAUUAAGUAAAACAUGGAAGGGAAUAACGACUUACCCAUUCUGGGGGGUUGUACAUGGAGAAUCCAUCCCACGGUUUAAUGCGAAGGAAUUCCUCCUCUUCCCCUUUGUAUAAAUCGGACAAUAUCCUUGCCAGAGCAGUUGCAGAGUCCGGACCCCUACGGCCGCAACAGGUGGCGUCGUAUUCCUCGUUGAAGUGCCACAUGGGCUUCCCCCGAUAUUGAAGCGGUUGCACUCCCCGCAUUAUGCAUAUUGCCAUGACCUCGACUAUCAUCAGUCCGGAUUUGGCCAGCAACUUUAUCCUUCUCAUCAGGAAGUGUAUUUCCCUCGUAUCCUCUUCUUGAGGGCCCCGGGGGCGCCAGCUUAGGCGUGCCCUUGGCGGGGCGUUACUGAACUUGGGGAGACCUGUCCGGACUAGAUCCGGAAGGGGAACGUCAUCAAUGUAAAACCACUCUGAAGGCCAGUUUUCUGGUGCCUUCUUAGGAGUGCCGGACAAGUAUCCGGUCUCGACAAUGCACCAUACUUCGGCCCCGCCCACUUGACAUAGGGAUUCUCCCUGGGUGCGGGGGACAAGGCAGAACAGCUUCCUCCAUAAUCCAAAGUGAGGUUCACAGCCUAAAAACAGCUCGCAAAGGGCGUCAUACCCCGCUAUAUGCAGAAUGGAGGCAGGGGUAAGGUUGUGCAACUAGAGGUCGUAGAACUCCAGGAGCCCGUGAAGAAACGGGUGGAUGGGAAACCCGACGCCCCUUAGUAGAUGCGGGAUGAGGCAUACACGCUCCUCUGGAGAUGGAUUUGGAAAUCCCUCCGCUUGUUCCCCUCCGUCACAAGUGGCUAUUCCGGCUCGGACAGGGACAAUGAACGCCGGUGGGAGAAACCCUUGGGUUUAUAAAUCUAUCAAAUGGCUAUGAGGAACUGAACACUCUCCCCAAUCCCUCGACUUGGAACGAGGAGGGCGAGCAGAAGAGCUGCGACGGCCGGCCAUGUUGGAAUGGUUUUUCGCGGAGCGCUCUGUUGGAUGCUAGCUCAGGGAGGGAGAGUGAGGUUUGGAUCUGAGAAUCCCCGUCCCUUCAAAUAGACGGUCAGCCCGGAGGAUUGAGGGUGGCAAAUGCAAAAAUGCCUCGGCUCCUCGCAUUCGCUCGACACGUGGAGAUGGUUAUUAUUGAGACACUGAAGCCGAGGAGUGCAACAUUGAUGGGAAGCUGGACACUAUUUGUCGUAACAGAUACUUUGGAGUAUUCGGAGAUGGAACCCGCCUUGCAAUGCCGAAGACAAGACUGCGCGCUGGACUCAUUGUCAUUGAAGCCUGGUUCAGGGGCUACUGAGGGAGUCCUGGAUUAGUGAAAGGAUCGAUAUGGUUGACUAGAGGGGGGUGAAUAGGCAACUAACAAUUUUUAAGCUUUUCUUAGUCAAAUUAAACUUUGCAACAAAGUAGGUUAUCUAGAUGUGCAACUAAGUGAGCAACCUAUAUGAUGCAAUGACAACUAGCACACAAGCAAGUAAAGGAUGUAAACAAGUAAACUAGCUAAAGUAAAAGGCACGAGAUAACCAAUAGUGGAGCCGGUGGAGACGAGGAUGUGUUACCGGAGUUCCUUCCUUUUAAGGGGAAGUACGUCUCCGUUGGAGCGGUGUGGAGGCACAAUGCUCCCCAAGAAGCCACUAGGGCCACCGUAUUCUCCUCACGCCCUCACACAAUGCGAGAUGUCGUGAUUCCACUAUUGGUGCCCUUGAAGGCGGCGACCGAACCUUUACAAGCAAGGUUGGGGCAAUCUCCACAACAAACGGAGGCUCCCAACAACAACAACAACAACAACAACACGAAGCUUCACCACAAUGGAGUAUGGCUUCGAGGUGACCUCAACCGUCUAGGGUGCUCAACACCCAAGAGUAACAAGAUCCGCAAGGGAUAAGUGGGGGAAAUCAAAUAUCCUAUGGUGGAAGUGUAGAUCGGGCCCUUGUCACCCAAUCCCGAGCAAAUCAACAAGUUUGAUUGGCUAGGGAGAGAGAUCGGGCGAAAAUGGAGCUUAGAGCAACAAUGGAGCUUAGAGGUGGAAGAGGUAACCUACUAGAGGUAGAAGACACCCCUUAUAUAGUCGUGGACAAAUCCAACCGUUAUCCAACAAGUUCAGCCCGCGACCCACGGUACUACCGCUCCAGGGGUGCGGUACUACCGUGAGGCUGCGUGGUACUACCGUGGACGACCAUGGUACUACCGCGGUAGCAACACAGGCCGGAACUGGCCUGACUAAGGGGCAGUACUACCGUUGGUGCGGUACUACCGCUCCCCCUUGCGGUACUACCGCAAGACAGGAGAGUCACGGCCUGGGAAGGGCGCGGAUGAAAUAAAUUACAUCCGUGCCUAGUUCCGCUGAAACUGGGGUGGUGCAAAAACCCGACGCGGUACUACCGCACGCAAGGUGCGGUACUACCGUGGCGGGCGCGGAUGUAAAAAAUUACAUCCACGCCUACUACCGUGGCUCAGCGGUACUAGGUAGGAGGGCCACGGUACUACGGCUCCUAGGGAGCGGUACUACCAUGGGCCCCCGCGGUACUACCGCGCUGGACGAGCGGUACUACCGUGGUGGGCGCGGAUGUAAAAAAUUACAUCCGCCCCUACUACCACACCGGAGCGGCACAAGGCCUGGGUGCCGCGGUACUACCGCUCAAGAGGAGCGGUACUACCGUGACACCCAGCGGUACUACCGCUUGUACCUGCGGUACUACCGCAAGUACAGCAGUAGUUGCCAGGUUUCCGCACAACCAAGAUAGCGAAGGGCAGCUCCAAAGUGCAGGGAAAGGGGAGACAAGUGUACGUGUUGAUUUCACCCAAACCUUUCCGACGCGGACCCCCUCUCAAUAGUACGGCUCUCCUACGACUCAAAUCCACCAAAGAGAAAUGUAGGACGACACCGACUUCAAUGGUCUCCGAGGGGCACUGAAUCGUCUCAUGCCUAGUGAUGAAGUAUCUGACAGGCUCAAGGCACACGAUUAGUCCGCAAAAGCAUUGUCAUCAAUCACCAAAACACCUCAGGGAUAAACAUGCCCUUACAAUCUCCCCCUUUUUGGUGGAUUGAUGACAACACGGGAUUUGCACAUAGAUAAGAUAAUUGAGAGUAGGGGCAAACCCCACCUCUCUAAAAUAUAGACGGGCUCCCCCUAGAUGUGUGCACUUUAGAUGAAUGCUUUGGACUGCGAGACACACAAACUAGGAUCAACACUCCCCCUAUAUUUUAGAGACCAAGGCAUGAUAAUGAGCAUAGCAUAGCAUAAAGAUAGCACAAUAUAACACAAGAUUGCUAGGAUAGAUAGAGUGCAUAUGUCCUACACCAUACGAAGUAAGGUAACCAAGGUUCAAGCGAGAAAGCAGCAAAUAGUUCAACUGAGAAAGCGGCAAACACACGACUCGCAAACGCGCAAAUCCCUACACUCUCCCCCUUUGGCAUCGAGACGCCAAAAAGGCAGAGAGGACACCUACACACACAAGAGGUGGCUCAAGCAGAGAAAUCAUCCCAAUCCUCUUCGUCAGACGCCUCUGCAGCUGGAAUGGACUCCUCAACCUCCUCCUCAGAAUCAGUCCACCUGUAGCCUUACUUCUCCAUCCACUCGGCUUCAGGAGUGAUGCGCUCCUCUGACCCGUCAGACACAUUCUCACCAUAGAGCUGCAAGAUCUUGUUGUGCCGGCGACGACUCUCCUUGGACUCCACGUGAGUCCUGUACUGCCCCUUGGCUUGCAUGCAGAAAAGAGACUUCAUCUUAUCCUUCAACUUCGUGGCCCACGAUGGCCUAGAAGCACUCUGGGAGGGCCUAGCAUCAUGGCCCUCAGCAACAUUCUCGGCGCCAGCAGCCUCCUCAUCAACAGUAGUCCUAGCAGCAGUCGCCUCGGCGUGAGUAGAGGUGUUGUCCCAGUUGGGUUUGAUACGCAGGCAGAUGGGCUCAUGGCGAACCCAGUCAGGAGCCAGAAACUCAUCCUCAGGAUACAUCUUCUCCCAAGUCUUCGAAAGUAGCAGAAACAGAUAGGGCCCAUAGAUAGGGACCUUGCGGGUAAACACUGCAGGUAAACUCCUUCCAGGUAGCAGUCAGCUUACGGCCGUUGGUCAUCCAGGUCAUCCUCCGUUCCUCAUCGGAGUGAAAGUAGACUGAGGCAAAGAAUUGACAGAUAAGCUCAGGGUCAUAGUCGAGGUGGAAGGUAAUCACAUGCUCAAUGCCAAACUGCUCCACCAAGCACAGAGCCUCUCCAAAGUAGUCACGAAACUUGUCCUUCCUCAUGUGAUGCAUGUCAAUCCAUUUCACCUCCACAUAGGUGUUCUGCUUGUUCUUGAUGACAUCCAGAUAGAUGUUGACCUGUUGCUUAUUCCAGAACAGCUCACAGCCUCGGAAGUUGGCACGCGGGUGCAUGGAUGAGAUCUCCAUAUGGGCGGUACCGUGCGAGCGGUAGUACCGCGCCAUACGGGCGGUAGUACCGCGUCGCGUCAGAUCUAACACGUGAUUUGAAUAUGAAAACAACCGCAAAACCAUGACGGUGCUACGGUGAUCCGAUCUAGCGUAAGACAACAAUACAAGUAUAAAUCCUAUGCAAUACCACCCUCCUUCAUCCUAUUCUUGCAGAGAUUAAGCCUAUGAAUCUCAAGAACACACAAGCCUCCCCCAAAACCUAAAAGCACCAAACACAAUCAAAAGGAGAGGGAGUUGGGGAAAAACCUUGGUCCAUAGCAAGAGCACAUGGUGGGGAACGAUCCCACCGGUCGGAAUCACGGGAGGGCAGCCGGUGGAGGAGAUCUGGCGACGAACGCCGGCUCCGUUCUUGAGCACGGGAGAGGAAGAGACAACGUGGAGAGAGAGGACACGAAUGGGUAUGGGGAGUUAGAACUCCCCCUGCCUGUCCUUAUCCCCACGCCCUCGAACCGACACGGUAGUACCGCGUAUCAUCGUAGUAGUACCGCUCGGGCGGAAGUACCACGCCGAGGCGGUAGUACCGCUCAACCAGGCGGCAGUAAAAAAUUACUGCCGCGUGGGUACGGUAGUACCGUGCUCCUACCAGCGGUAGUACCGUGACUGGCCGCGGUAGUACCGUGGCCUGUCGCGGUAGUACCGUGAGCUCAAGACACCGCAGGUUUCAAACGCGGGAGAAAAAUGCCUUUGCACGGGAACUUUCACACACAAGAGACCACAAGGAGAACAGAAGAAAACCACCAAGCGACACAGUCUCUCGAGAAGGGAGGGCGGUGGCCGAAGCCACCUAUGUUUGAGUUGGAUGGUAUGGCACCGCGAAGAAUUAUCCUUGGGCCCAUGACCAAAACUCGUCUUUGAAGCACAAGUACCAUCAAAUAUGGCUAAUGUGAAAGAUAUGAUCUAUUUAUGCAUAACGGGGGGAGGGAGAGUUCAUUGAGAGAACAACACUCCCCCUAUGUCCAUGCCUACACCUAAACGAGACAACAAGUUGAGUGUGGUGGGGGGUGCACGGUUUCAAGUCACAUUGCUCAAAUCAAUGAUAUUUAGCUCAUGCCUUAACUCGCGAAAUCUUGCUUCAUCCAAGGGCUUCGUGAAAAUAUCGGCAAGGUUAUCAUGAGUGUUGACAUAAUUGAUCUCGAUCUCCCCUCGCCUAAUGUGAUCCCGGAUGAAGUGGUACCGAAUCUCAAUGUGCUUCGUCUUGAAGUGUUGCACCGGGUUGAGAGAAAUCUGGAUGGCACUUUCAUUGUCACACCAAAGAGGCACUUCGUCACAAAUGACACCGUAUUCCUUUAAAGUUUGCCUCAUCCAUAGGAGUUGAGCACAACAACUACCGGCCGCCACAUACUCCGCUUCGGUGGACGAGAGAGACACACAACUUUGCUUCUUGGAAGACCAACUUACCAAAGAGCAACCAAGAAAUUGGCACCCUCCGGAAGUGGACUUCCUAUCCACUUUGUCUCCCGCCCAAUCAGAAUCCCUGAACCCUUCAAGCUUGAAGUUUUCUCCUCUUGGGUACCAUAAGCCAAAGUUUGGGGUAUGAGCCAAAUAUCGAAAGAUUCGCUUGACCGCCACAUGGUGACUUUCCUUUGGUGCGGCUUGGAAACGUGCACAUAUCCCCACACUCAACAUGAUAUCCGGUCUAGAUGCACAAAGGUAAAGCAAGGAGCCAAUCAUGGAGCGAUAUACCUUUUGAUCCACCGCUUUACCAUUGGGAUCGAUGUCAAGUUGGCACUUGGUAGGCAUUGGUGUAGUAGCCGGCUUGACAUCACUUAGCUUGAAUCUUUUAAGCAUGUCUUGAGUGUAUUUGGCUUGGUUGAUGAAGGUUCCUUCUCUUCUUUGUUUGAUGUCGAAACCAAGGAAGAACUUCAACUCUCCCAUCGAGGACAUCUUAAACUUGGAGGUCAUGAGAGCGGCAAAUUCUUCAUUGAAAGUUUUGUUAGGAGAACCAAAGAUAAUAUCAUCAACAUAUAGUUGGCAUACAAACAACUCCCCGUUAACCUUCUUAGUAAAAAGAGUGGGGUCGAUUUGUCCUACUUCAAAUCCACGAUCUUGUAGCAACUCGGUAAGGUGAUCAUACCACGCACGUGGGGCUUGUUUAAGGCCAUAGAGUGCCUUAUCAAGUUGAUACACAUGAUCCGGAAAGUAGGGGUCCUCGAACCCGGGGGGUUGCUUGACAUAGACCAGCUCAUUAAUGGGACCAUUAAGAAAAGCACUUUUCACAUCCAUUUGUUGCAACUUAAAGUUGUGAUGGGAAGCAUAUGCAAUCAACAAAUGAAUGGAUUCAAGACGAGCAACGGGAGCAAAGGUUUCACCGUAGUCGAUACCCUCGACUUGGGAGUAGCCUUGUGCUACCAAUCUCGCCUUGUUGCGAAUGAUGUUCCCAUGAGCAUCUUGUUUGUUCUUGAAGAUCCACUUGGUUCCAAUGACGUUGUGGUUCCCCAAUGGCCUUGGCACCAAUCUCCACACUUUGUUCUACUCGAAGUUGUUGAGUUCUUCAUGCAUGGCAUUGAGCCGAUCCGAGUCUUCGAGCGCCUCAUAGACCUUUUGGGGUUCAACACAAGAGACAAACGCGUGAUGUUCACAAUACUUUGCUAAUUGUCUACGAGUGCUUACCCCCUUUCUUAGACUUCCAACCACAUUUUCCAUGAGAUGGCCUUGGGUGGUGAGCUUGGAAGCAAUCUUCGCGGCACGACGCUCUAAUUCCUCCUCGAAUGUGGAAGGAGGAGGGUUGACUUGAUCAUCUUGAGCGCCGUCUUGAGCUUGUUCUUGAUCUUGAGGUUGCUCUUGAUCUUGAACUUGCUCGAGGGGGAGAACUUGACCUUGGGCAUCUUUUAGAGGUUCACCACCAUCUUGAGGUUGAUCUUGCCCUUGGUCUUGUUCAUGAGGUUGAGGGCCUUCACUUUGUUCUUCGGAAGCGUGUGGGUCUUGAUGAGGUGAUGGAUCUACUUGAGUAGAGCAUUGUCCUUCUCCUUCGGCCACAAGGGUUUCCUCAAUGGGUAGAAUUUGACCAAUACCCAUUCUUCUUAUGGCUUGGGGAGGAAUUUCAUCACCUACAUCACAAGUACCACUUUGCUCCACUUGGGAGCCGUUAUUUUCGUCAAACUCCACGUUACACGUCUCCUCAAUGAGUCUGGUGGACUUGUUGAGGACACGGUAAGCAUGAGAGUUUGUAGCAUAACCAACAAAUAUGCCCUCAUGAGCUCUAGCCUCAAAUUUAGACAAACGAACACCUUUCUUGAGAAUGAAACACUUACAACCGAACACCCGGAAGUACUUGAGGUUGGGCUUGUUGCCGGUGAGUAUCUCAUAAGGAGUCUUGUUCAAGCCUUUGCGGAGAUAGAGCCGAUUGGAUGCAUGACAUGCGGUGUUGAUGGCUUCGGCCCAAAAGUUGUAUGGAGACUUGAACUCCGCCAUCAUGGUCCUUGCCGCAUCCAUCAACGUCCGGUUCUUCCUUUCUGCUACACCAUUUUGUUGAGGGGUAUAAGGAGCAGCAUAUUGAUGCUUGAUCCCCUCAUCACUGAGAAACUCAUCCAAGGUGUAGUUCUUGAACUCGCUGCCGUUGUCACUUCUUAUUGUCAAGAUCUUUGCAUCAUGUUGACGUUGAGCUUCAUUUGCAAAGUUGAUGACGGUUUGUUGAGUCUCACUCUUCUUCUUGAAGAAGUAUACCCAAGUGUAUCUUGAGUAGUCAUCCACAAUCACCAAGCAAUACUUUCUUCCUUCAAUACUAUCAAAGGAUGGAGGCCCAAAGAGAUCCAUGUGAAGGAGCUCCAAGGGUCUCUUCGAGUAGAUGAUGGUUGAAGGAGGGUGAGCCUUUUCAUGAAGCUUCCCUUCGAUACAAGCACUGCAAGCACGAUCUUUGGCAAAGCUAACGUUUGUUAGUCCACGGACAUGGUCCCCCUUGAGAAGACUUUGCAAAGAUCUCAUAUUGACGUGGGCUAAACGGCGAUGCUAAAGCCAUCCCAUGUCAACUUUAGCCAUUAGGCAUGUCGCGGUCUUAGUGGGUCGCUCCGAAAAGUUAAUCACAUAAAGACCGUUCUCGACAUGCCCAACAAAGGCCACUUUAAGAGUCUUGCUCCACAAGAGGGCCACGGUAUCAAUGUCAAAGAAUGUAUCAAAGCCCAUGAGUGCAAGUUGACGAACGGAAAGAAAAUUUUAUGCAAGGGACUCAACAAUCAUGACUUUCUCGAUCGUUAGAUCAUGAGAAAUGACAACCUUGCCUAGACCCAAUACCUUAGAAUGUGAUGCAUCACCCCACUCGACAUUGGUGGGCAUAGAUGGAAUCUCUUGCACGUCCACCACCAAGUCCUUGCUUCCGGUCAUAUGAUUUGUUGCUCCACUAUCGAGCAACCAUGAUCCCCCACCGGAAGCAAACACCUACACGAGAUCAAUGCUUGGUUUUAGGUACCCUUUAGUAAUGGGUCCUUUGAUGUUAGUAACAAGGGUCUUGGGAACCCAAAUAGACCAUUCAAUGUACUCAUAAGAAGAACCAACAAAUCGAGCAUAAACAUGUCCAUCACUAGCACGGCACAACACAUAUGAUGGGUUAAAGUCGGCGGCUUUGUUUGAGGAAAUGCUUUUGCCCUUUUGGACAUCACCUCCCUUCACUUUCUCCUUCUUCUUCUCAGGAGCACCCUCUCCCUCUUUCACAAACGUUUUUUUGAGAGGAGGAGGACGAUUGGUCUUAUUGUUCUUCUUCUUCUUGCUCUUGGACUUGGGUGCAAACCCAAUUCCUUCCUUGGACACAACUUCCUUUUGAUUGCUCAAAAGGUCGUUGAGGUUUUUCUCACCUUGAAUGCAAGACACAAGGCCUUUCUCAAGUUGAUCCUUAAGCUUGGCAUUUUCCUCCACAAGAUGCACAUGCUCACAACAUGGGUUAGUAGCACAUGCAUUAUCAAUUAAUACCAUAUGAGGAAAGGUGGCCUUUUCCUUGAUUAGCUUAACUUGGAGUUGAGCAUGAGACUCUUUGAGGCUAGCAUGAGUACCCUUCAAGACCUUGUGGGCCUUAUCAAGUAUCUCAAACUCCUCUUUGAGUCUAGCAUGAUCAACCCCAAGUUUAGCCUUCUCGGAAGUUAGCACACGAGACAUGACAAGAGCAUGAUCAAGAUCUUUCUUUAACUUAGCAUGGUCAUCAUUGUGUGACUCCUCAAGAGUCAAACGAUGCACACGCUCUUCUUCAAGAGCAUUAGAGAGAUCCGAUAUCUCAUCGACAUAAUCACGACUAUGACCUUCCAUCUUAGAGAUGGUUUCUUCGUGAGCCUCGAUCAUGUCAUUGGCCUCACCAAGUUGUUCCAAGAGAGCAACAAAGUGCUUCUUGGACUUGCCCUUAAGCUUACUCAUAAACGACUCAAACUCAUUCACUUCUUCAUUAGACCCACAAUGUUCAUCAAUGCAAUCCUCCACGGAGGGAUUAGGAAUGAUGGUGGUUCUAAUGUUGGGGGUUACCUUGUUUGAAGCUUUAGCCAUGAGGCAUUUGGCGGUGAUGUUUUCGUUGGGUGAAUCAAAGAGAGACACUCGGGGAGUAGUGGCAAUGGCAACGGAUGCCAUGGCCAUUGCUUCUUCAUUUUCAUCAUCAUCGUCAUCCUCUUGGUAUUCUUCUUGAACCACCAACCCACGAGUGGGAGUCCUUUUGGCGAAGUUGUUCUUGUUGGGGAAGGACUUGGCUUUGUCUUUUCGGAUGAACUUGCCACCAUUGUCUUCCCGCUUCUCGUAAGGACAAUCCGCAACAAAAUGGCUCACAUUGCCACAGUUGAAACAAGUUCUAACUCGUUGCUUGCCCUUGACGCCACUGGAGUUGUUCUUGUUGAAGUUGGGUCUUGAAUUCUUCUUGUUCCAAAAUUGUCUUGAAGCAAGGGCCAUGUGCUCAUGAUAAUCAAACUUGGUGUCCUCGGGGUUGCUUUCCUCAUCUUCUACUUCUUCCUCUUCUUCCAUAAUAACCUUGGCCUUCAGAGAAAGGUUGGGCUUCUUGGCCCUUUGGGAACGAAGCACCGCAUUGUCGGCGGUCUUAUCCAAGAUGUUCAUUGCAAUAAACUCAUCCAACACUUCACUAGAGGUCAUGGAGUGGAAGUCCGGUCUUUGGCGGAUGACUGAGGACAUGGCCUACUUGUAGGGCAUCAUGGCCUUGAGGAACUUGCGCUUGAUCCAGUUGUCAUCUGUGUCCUUACUCCCAUGAUCUCGGAGUGCGACCGCAAGUUUGGUCACUCUUCGAAAGAGUUCACGAGGUUCUUCAUCCUCUUUCAUUGCAAACUCAUCGGCUUCAUCUUGCACCACUUCAUAGUUGGAGCGUUGAAUGCUAGCACUUCCUCUGUACAUACGCUCGACACACUUCCACGCUUCUUUAGCCAUGGCAUGAGGUCGAAGAUGAGGAAGAUCUUCGGGAAGGAUAGCAUCUUGGAUGAUGAAGAGAGCACUCUCAUUGAAUUGAUUGUCCACUUCUUCUCGAGGGGUGAAGUUGCUUGGGUCAUGAGGAUAGAAACCUUCUUCAAUGACUCUCCAAAGGUUAGUGUUCACAUGUUUUAAAUGUCGCUUGAAGCGAUAAACCCAAGAAUCAAAAUCUUCAUUUUUUACAUAUUUAGGAGGAGGACCGGCAUGAUUCAAAUGAGUGGAGGGAAUUGGUCCUUUAUAGAUAGGACGUUCCACAUGGGCAAAGAUGCCGGUGCCAUGUCUACCACUAGUAGAAGGACUCUUUUCAUUGUUAGCUUCCCCCUUAUCGGAGUUAGCAUCCGUCACCUUGUUAGUGGGAUCACCCACUUUCAUAGGCGAGGUAGAUAGUUUAAGUCCCUCUAGAAAUUCAGUAAACAUGCUUUUAACCUCGGCCGUCAUGGAGGUUUUCAAUGUUUCUAAAGCCACAUUGAAUUCCUCACGUGAGACCGAGGUUCCCCCUUCGGCCGAAGAUGAGAUGGGAUUCACACCGGAGUGUUCCUCCGCACCAUCGUUGGUGUCAACCAUACUCUUCGGACGGCAAAGUCCUUAAUAAAGAGAUGAGACUCUGAUACCAAUUGAAAGGAUCGAUAUGGUUGACUAGAGGGGGGUGAAUAGACAACUAACAAUUUUUAAGCUUUUCUUAGUCAAAUUAAACUUUGCAACAAAGUAGGUUGUCUAGAUGUGCAACUAAGUGAGCAACCUAUAUGAUGCAAUGACAACUAGCACACAAGCAAGUAAAGGAUGUAAACAAGUAAACUAGCUAAAGUAAAAGGCAUGAGAUAACCAAUAGUGGAGCCGGUGGAGACGAGGAUGUGUUACCGGAGUUCCUUCCUUUUAAGGGGAAGUACGUCUCCGUUGGAGCGGUGUGGAGGCACAAUGCUCCCCAAGAAGCCACUAGGGCCACCGUAUUCUCCUCACGCCCUCACACAAUGUGAGAUGUUGUGAUUCCACUAUUGGUGCCCUUGAAGGCGGCGACCGAACCUUUACAAGCAAGGUUGGGGCAAUCUCCACAACAAACGGAGGCUCCCAACAACAACAACAACACGUCGAAGCUUCACCACAAUGGAGUACGGCUUCGAGGUGACCUCAACCGUCUAGGGUGCUCAACACCCAAGAGUAACAAGAUCCGCAAGGGAUAAGUGGGGGAAAUCAAAUAUCCUGUGGUGGAAGUGUAGAUCGGGCCCUUGUCACCCAAUCCCGAGCAAAUCAACAAGUUUGAUUGGCUAGGGAGAGAGAUCGGGCGAAAAUGGAGCUUAGAGCAACAAUGGAGCUUAGAGGUGGAAGAGGUAACCUACUAGAGGUAGAAGACACCCCUUAUAUAGUCGUGGACAAAUCCAACCGUUAUCCAACAAGUUCAGCCCGCGACCCGCGGUACUACCGCUCCAGGGGCGCGGUACUACCGUGAGGCUGCGCGGUACUACCGUGGACGACCACGGUACUACCGCGGUAGCAACACAGGCCGGAACUGGCCUGACUAAGGGGCAGUACUACCGCUGGCGCGGUACUACCGCUCCCCCUUGCGGUACUACCGCAAGGCAGGAGAGUCACGGCCUGGGAAGGGCGCGGAUGAAAUAAAUUACAUCCGUGCCUACUUCCGCUGAAACUGGGGUGGUGCAAAAACCCGACGCGGUACUACCGCACGCAAGGUGCGGUACUACCGUGGCGGGCGCGGAUGUAAAAAAUUACAUCCGCGCCUACUACCGUGGGUCAGCGAUACUAGGUAGGAGGGCCACGGUACUACGGCUCCUAGGGAGCGGUACUACCGUGGGCCCCCGCGGUACUACCGCGCUGGACGAGCGGUACUACCGUGGUGGGCGCGGAUGUAAAAAAUUACAUCCACCCCUACUACCGCACCGGAGCGGCACAAGGCCUGGGUGCCGCGGUACUACCGCUCAAGAGGAGCGGUACUACCGUGACACCUAGCGGUACUACCGCUUGUACCUGCGGUACUACCGCAAGUACAGCAGUAGUUGCCAGGUUUCCGCACAACCAAGAUAACGAAGGGCAGCUCCAAAGUGCAGGGAAAGGGAAGACAAGUGUACGUGUUGAUUUCACCCAAACCUUUCCGACGCGGACCCCCUCUUAAUAGUACGGCUCUCCUACGACUCAAAUCCACCAAAGAGAAACGUAGGACGACGCCGACUUCAAUGGUCUCCGAGGGGCACCGAAUCGUCUCGUGCCCAGUGAUGAAGUAUCUGAGAGACUCAACGCACACGAUUAGUCCGCAAAAGCAUUGUCAUCAAUCACCAAAACACCUCAGGGAUAAACAUGCCCUUACAAUUAGGGGAUAUCCGGACAGCCGGACUAUAUACAUCGUCCGGACUAUUGAAGUGUGAAGAUACAAGAAUCAAGACUUCAGCCCGUGUCCGGAUGGGACUCUCCUUUGCAUGGAAGGCAAGCUUGGCGAUCCGGAUAUUGUGUUUCCUUCCUUGUAACCGACUCCAUGUAAACCCUAGCCCUCUUCCAUGUCUAUAUAAACCGGAGAGGUUGGUCCUUAGAAGGCCGAGCACAAUUACAAUCAUACCAUCAUAGGCUAGCUCUUAGGGUUUAGCCUCUACGAUCUCGUGGUAGAUCUACUCUUGUACUACCCAUAUCAUCAAUAUUAAUGAAGCAGGAAGUAGGGUUUUACCUCCAUCGAGAGGGCCCAAACCUGGGUAAACAUCUGUGUCCCUUGCUUCCUGUUACCAUCAGCCUAGACACACAGGUCGGGACCCCCUACCCGAGAUCUGCCGGUUUUGACACCGAUAGGGACCCUUUUCAAAGAUUACUUGUAAAUAAUUGACCAUGGCAAGUAUGUGAUCACCGGUACAGAUGGUGGGCUUCUUCCGGUGAUCUCCCUCGCCUUUGAAAUGCUUGCCUUUCUUUCGACAUUGAUGGUUGGUCGGAAGAAAUCGACGAUGCCCCAAGUGCACAUUCUUCCUGCAUUUGUCCAGGUAUAUACUUUCGGUGUCAUCUAAACAGUGUGUGCACGUGUGGUAUCUCUUGUUUGUCUGUCCUGAAAGGUUACUGAGAACAGGCCAAUCAUUGAUGGUUACAAACAGCAACGCAUGUAGGUUAAAUUCAUGUUGUUUGUGCUCAUCCCACACACGUACACCAUUUCCAUUCCACAGCUGUAAAAGUUCUUCAACUAAUGGCCUUAGGUACGCAUCAAUGUCAUUGCUGGGUUGCUUAGGGCCUUGGAUAAGAAUCGACAUCAUAAUGAACUUUCACUUCAUGCACAGCCAAGGAGAAAGGUUAUAGAUACAUAGAGUCAUAGGCCAGGUGUUGUGGUUGCUGCUCUGCUCCCCAAAAGGAUUAAUGCAAUCCGCGUUUAAACAAACCAUACGUUCCUUGCGUCACCUGCAAAGUCCUCCCAGUGCUUUCUCUCGAUUUUCUCCACUGCGACCCGCCAGCAGGUGCUCUCAACUUCCCGUCUUUCUUAUGGUCCUCUCUAUGCCAUCGCAUCAACUUGACAUGCUCUUUGUUUCUUAACAGAAGUUUCAACCGUGGUACUAUAGGAGCAUACCACAUCACCUUGGCAGGAACCCUCUUCCUAAAGUGCUUGCCGUCAACAUCACCAGGGUCAUGUCAUCUUGAUCUUAUACCACAAUGCACCGCAUACCGGGCAUGCAUUCAAAUCCUCAUACGCACCACGGUAGAGGAUGCAGUCAUUAGGGCAUGCAUGUAUCUUCUGCACCUCCAAUCCUAAAGGGCAUACAACCUGCUUUGAUGCAUACGUAUUGUCGGGCAAUUCGUUAUCCUUUGGAAGCUUCUUCUUUAAUAUUUUCAGUAGCUUCUCAAAUCCUUUGUCAGCUACACCAUUAUGUGCCUUCUACUGCAGCAAUUCCAGUGUGGUACCGAGCUUUGUGUUGCCAUCUUCACAAAUGGGGUACAACCCUUUUUUGUGAUCCUCUAACAAGCGAUCGAACUUCAGCUUCUCCUUUACAUUUCGCAGUGUCUCUUUGCAUCAACAAUGACCUGGCGAAUAUCAUCAUCGGGCACAUCGUAUGGUUCAUCUUGAUCUUCAGCUUCCCCCGCUGCAGCAUCACCGUAUUCAGGGGGCACAUAGUUGUCAUCACCCUCUUCUUCUUCUUCCUUGUCUUCCAUCAUAACCCCCGUUUCUCUGUGCUUGGUCCAAACAUUAUAGUGUGGCAUGAAACCCUUAUAAAGCAAGUGGUUGUGAAGGAUUUUCCAGUCAGAGUAAGACUUCGUAUUCCCACAUAUAGGGCAUGGACAACACAUAAAACCAUUCUGCUUGUUUGUCACAGCCAUUUCAAGAAAAUUAUGCACACCCUUAAUGUACUCGGAGGUGCGUCUGUCACUGUACAUCCAUUGCCGGUUCAUCUGCGUGCAUUAUAUAUAAUUAAGUGUGUCAAAAACCAUUAUGGAACAUUAUGAAUACAGAAGUGACCAAAUUAAUAGAAGUUCAUCAUCACAUUAAAACCAAAGUACAUACAUAGUUCUCAUUGAAUAAUAUAUAGCUCUCCAGAGCAUCUAACUAAACCAUACAUUGAAACUAUCUAAAACAUCUCAAUGCAACAACAAAUGUGAUCAUAAUUGCAACUAAGGUAACAAUUGAUCAAACGGCAUAAUGAUACCAAACCUCAGUAUGAAUGGCAUAUUUUCUAGUCUUUCUAAUCUUCAAGGGCAUUGCAUCCAUCUUGAUCUUGCGAUCAUCAACGACAUCCGCAACAUGCAACUCCAAUAUCAUCUUCUCCUCCUCAAUUUGUUUUCAAUUUUCCUUCAAGUAAUAGUUUUCUUCUUCAACUAAAUUUAACCUCCCGACAAUAGGGUCGGUUUGAAUUUCCGUUUGACAUACCUCCUAGAUAAAAAAAAAUCUAUGUCACAUUGCUCGGCAUAAUUGUCAUAAACACUAAAUGAAACAAAUAGUUAUAAAAAAUAAUAUAUAUACCACAUCCGAAUCAUAGACAGGACGAGGGCUGACGAAGGCGGAUACCAAAAUCAUCGCACUAUAUAAUAACAAACAAUAAAAGUAAGAAAAUUACACAAGUAUCUAUCUAAAUCAUACAAGUAAGAACGUUUUUCUUUUAGAAAGAAGAUAAGAAAAAGAGGCUCACCAUGAUGGUGCCGGCGGCGAGAUCAACGCAGGCGAUCGACAGCAGUGAGGACGGGGACGGGACAGGACCGACAGCCUAACCUAUACAAAUCUUGAGGAAAAUGGAGCUUGGACAAGGAGCUUCGAGAGGAGAAAGCUUAAGUGUGGCUCGGGCAUUUCAUCGAACACCUCAUGUGCAUAGGAGGUGAGCUAGAGCACAACAUACCUCUCCCAAAAAACAGAGCACUCCACUGCUCUGCUCGCGGGCGAGGGGUAUAUAUAGGCAUCUCAUUGGUCCCGGUUCGUGGCUGGAACCGAGACUAAAGGACAACCUUUGGUCCCGGUUCAAGCCACCAACCGGGACCAAUGGUCGUGUGCCAGGAGCGAGGUCCAUUGGUCACGGUUCGUGCCUGGAACUGGGACCAAAGGGGCCAGACGAACCGGGACCAAUUCCCCACGAGGCCCGGCCGGCCCCCUGGCUCUUGAACCAGGACCUAUGCCCCCAUAGGUCCUGGUUCGUGAGUGAACCGGGAUUAAUGGGCUUGCCCUGCUUAGACCAAAGCCCUGUUUUCUACUAGUGUACAUCGCUUAGGUGCUUGUCUCAGGCCAUAUAAAGAUUUCAACAACUUAUACACUUCUCCAUUCUGACCAUCUAUUACAAAGCCAUCUGGUUGUUCCAUGUAGAUUUUCUCGUCUAGCUUUCCGUUCAGAAAAGCCAUCUUAACCUCCAUCUAUUGAACGAGAAGACCAUGCGAGGUUGCCAAUGAUAGUAAUACUCGAAUAGUGGCCAGUCUGGCCACAGGUGAAUAAGUAUCGAAGAAAUCUUCUUCUUCUUUCUGGGCAUAACCCCUGGCCACAAGCCUAGCCUUGCACUUUUCAGUCGUACCAUUGGGCCUAAACUUCGUUAUGAUCACCCACUUACAUUCUAAUGGUUUGCAGCCAUAGGGGCAUUCAGUGAUUCCCAUGUCCCGUUAGCCAUGAUGGAAUCCAUCUCGCUACGGACAUCAUCUCUCUAGUAGUCAGCUUUUGGAGAUGUAUAUGCUUCUGAAAUAGAAGUGGGAGCAUGAAAAUACUCAAUGACAAUUGUGGCAGCACAAAUUUGGCAUGUGCUAGCUAUUCAUAAUCGUUACCUACAUUUGAAACCAUGGCUAGAGGGCUUAGUUGUAGGCUUGGAGGAUCAAACACGUGCAAAACAAACACUCAAGACAUUUGUUACUAGGAAGAUCACCUACAUUCCUCAAGCACCGCCUCAUUGAACAAACCAAGAUGGCCUAGCCUCAUCGGGCAACGAGGACCACAAACACCACACUCCUCAACACUAGCAGGAGGAAGGUCGCGACCAUGAGGAGGGAGACGGGAAGGUCUUAUUCGAAAUGGCUACACCACUGCCAUCAAAGCACAACUACGAGACAUUCCUCACCCAUAACCUAUCUACAAGUCGGGCACGAGGCACUCGGUUUCCUGCCCUACGGCUGCUCUAGCAGCAGGGGGGAGGGGAUCUCGUGGGCUCUCAGGUAAAUCCAAUCCAUUAGUCCUUGCAAUGAAUGCUCGCUCUAUCGCUCAAUAAUGGGUGUAUAAAUUUCUCUACAAAUAGUAGUCUACUAGAUUUUUACAUUUUAUUGUAUGUGAAUUAUACAUAGGCACUCAAGAGUCUUGUAAGAAUGAUGGAUGUACAUUGUUUUUACAUUCAUGUCCGCAUGUCGAGGCUUGACCCAUGAGGGACAUGACGUUCAAGCCGUCUUCCAUUAUGACACACAACUCUAGCUAUGUGUAGUAGAGGCGGCACUAUACAUCAUCGCCCUGGGGGAAGGAGUGUGACUAGUGGUUACGCCGCGCAUGCCUAUUUUUUUAUCCUUGCUACCUCUCAAUCCCAUUUUUUUCGAUAAAGGGUUUUUCAUUGAAUUGAAAUAUCGAGUUGAUACAACCGCAUCAAAGACCAUCCGGUUUCUGCAUAGCUAGAUGCACACAGCCAAAGUUCCAAAGUACUAGAAGCCAAAAUAAAAAGGCAAAAGACGCCAGCAGUAGCGAAAAAAGAUAAAAGAGGCCUAAGGUGAUGCCGGUCCAAUCCGAAGGUCACACCGCCAUCCAUGAGGAUAAAAAAUGUCCCUGGCCGAGCACUCCAACCGGGUAGAAGCCAUCAUAAAAAGGUCUCUGUCCUCCGGCCUCUGCAGGAUAGACCACAUACGGAGCCAUCGCGAGCAUAUAUGAAUUACCUGCAUAGGAGAUGAAACAUUUUUAUGAUUAAAAACAAUAUCAUUCCUGGUGAGCCACAACGCCCAACAUAAGGCAGCCGCCUCCGCAAGAAUGUGCUUAGACAAUUAUUUAUCUAUUCCCCUCAACCAAUUGCCGAACAUAUUCCGUACGCUGCGUGGAGGAUAUAGAUUCGAAGCAAUUUGGACUAUUGCCCAUACCAAUCUAGCAAACUUGCAAUCAAAAAAUAGGUGUUUAAUGGAUUCAUUAUGAUUGCAGAAAACACAUUUUUUGCAGCCUUGCCAGUUUCGUCGAGCUAGAUUGUCCCUAGUUAAGAUAACUCCUUUGUCGAGAAACCAUAGGAAAAUUUUCACUUUUAGAGGAAUCUUAAGCUUCCACAAUUUUCUAUUAUCAGAUGGAACCUCGUUAUGAACCAAUGCAUCAUACAUGGAUUUAACCGAAAAUCUUCCAUUCAGAUGCAGGUUCCAUUUAAAGAUGUCCGAUUCAGCCGACAAUUGGACAGCUCCCAAACGAGUCAGCAAAUCGUUCCAUGCAGUCAGACGAGGUCCAGAAAUCGUUCUGCGAAAAGAAAUAUCCGGGUGUUCUUGUCCCAAUACCUGCUUAAUCGUGACAAACUUAUGUCUAACUAUCCGAUAUAAGCUUGGGUAUUGCAUAUUUAGAGGAGUAGUCCCGAGCCAGGUGUCUUCCCAGAACCGAAUCUGGGAGCCGUCCCUAACCGAGAAAGUGCCAAAUUGGAAAAAGAAUUCUUUAGCUUUCAUAACCCCACUCCAAAAAUGAGAGUCACCUUGAUUUCCAGUAGACCUGGGAGAUUGCUUUGGACCCAACAUAUUUAUUACGAAUGAUCUCCUGCCAAACACCAUCCUCAGUGAGUAAUCUGUAUACCCAUUUGCUGAGCAAUGCAAUGUUUUUGAUCUCAAGAUCCUGGAUUCCGAGUCCCCCUUGGCUUUUAGGACGACAUAAUAUAUUCGACCUAGCCAAGCGAUAUUUCUUUUUUUCAUUGUCACUCUGCCAAAAAAAACCUUGAUCUAAAAUAAUCAAGGCGUUGGAGAACACCUUUUGGCAGAUGAAAAAAAGAUAGCAUGUAAAGGACCAUGUUGGUAAGAACCGAGUUGAUCAGAACUAGUCGGCCCCCAUAGGACAAGAGUUUGGCCUUCCAGCUCGCCAACCGUUUCUCCAGUCUCUCUUCAACAUGUUUCCAUUCAGCGAUUGUCAAACGCCGAUAAUGAAUAGGAAUACCUAAAUAUCGAAUCGGAAAUUGGCCUAGUUGGCAUCCAAAAAUAUCAGCAUAUUCUUGUGAAGUUUCUGCGGCUUCGCCAAAGCAGAAAAGUUCACUCUUAUGAAAGUUUAUCUUAAGGCCAGAAAGAUCCUCAAAAGCACAUAAUAACAAUUUGAGGUUUCUAGCCUUUUCUAGGUCGUGAUUCAAAAACAAAAUGGUGUCAUCCGCAUACUGUAAGAUUGACAGGCCUCCUUCUACUAGAUGAGGAAUGACCCGGUGAUUUGACCAGCUAGCUUGGCCCUCUCAAUGAGAGUAACUAGCAUAUCAGCCACGAUGUUGAAAAGGAUAGGUGAUGCGGGGUCGCCUUGGCAUAGCCCCUUCCUAGUCUGGAAAUAAUUGCCUACGUCAUCGUUCACCUUGAUAGCCACGCUACCUCCAGACACAAAGUUCUCAACCCAUCGGCACCAAGUAUCGGAAAACCCUUUCACACGAAGAAUUUGAAGCAAAAAAGGCCACUUCACCUUAUCAUAAGCUUUCUCGAAGUCAAUCUUAAAGAUGACCCCAUUCAACUUUUUACGGUGGAGCUCAUGAACAGUUUCAUGUAGGACAGCAACACCGUCUAAGAUGUUCCGUCCUUGCAUGAAAGUUGUUUGUGUUGGUUUGACUACAUGGUCUGCGACCCCAUUCAGCCGGUUAGUCGCGACCUUGGUGAAAAUUUUAAAGCUCACGUUUAAUAAGCAAAUCGAUCUAUAUUGUUGAAUCCGAUUGGCAUCCUUUAUCUUUGGUAAAAGGAUAAUUUCACCAAAAUUGAGUCUGGAGAUGUCUAGUCUAUGAGCAUGCAGUUCAUUAAACAAUUGAACCAGGUCAGACUUUAACAUAUCCCAAAAAAAUUGAUAAAACUCCGCUGGAAAACCAUCCGGUCCCGGAGAUUUGUUGUGUUUCAUUUGAAAAAUCGCAGUUCGUAUUUCCUCCUCAGUGAAAGCAGAGGUUAGGAAUUCAUUUUCUGCAGCGGAAACUUGCUGGAUGUCAUGAAAAAUAGACUCAUCCAUCUCCAGCGUAGUUUCCGAGGAAGGACCAAACAAGUCUUUAUAGUAUUUUGUAAUAAAGUCCUUGAGCGGAGCGUCCCCCUCAAUGCGACCCUCGUCCUGAUCAAGGGUGAAUAUUCGUUUCUUUCUAUGUCUGCCAUUGGCUAACAUUUGAAAGUACUUCGUGUUAUCAUCCCCAAGUACCAACGAGUCGCUCUUGCACCGUUGGUACCAUUUGAUUUCCUCUUCGCGUAAGAGACGGGCUAGCUGCUCAUUGAGAUGACUUUUUUGCUCAAUCUCAGCCGCAGAUAGAAGCCUCACCUCCGCGAUCUUAUCUAAGGAGUCGAUCAAGACAGAUAGUCGCAACUUCUCUUUCUUAUAAAUCUCAGCGGUGUGUUUAGCCCAUCCGCGGAGGAAUUGGCGCAAUGCACGAAUGCGAUUAUUCCAACAUUGAAUUGGUGUAUCACCCUGUGUUGGGCGUUGCCACACCUUUUUAACCAAUUCAGGGAAACCCUCUCUAGUGAGCCACCCCAGUUCAAAUUUAAACUGAUGGCGGUUCGAAGUGGGUGCUGCUUGACCAAAAUCAGUAAGCAAUGGAGCAUGAUCCGAUAAGGCCUCAAUUCUCUCCAAAGCCCGCACUGAUGCUAAUGGAUAUUUAAAUUCCCAGUCUGUGGUGACUCGCACCCGAUCAAGUUUUUCGAACGUCGGGAUAGAUCUAUUAUUGGCCCACGUAAAUUGGCGCCCGAGAGAGAGAGAGUUCCCGCAAAUCAAGACUGUCAAUGACAGCAUUAAAAAGAAACGGCCAUCGAGUGUCGAACCUAUCAUUGUUUUUAUCCUGCUGGUAUCGCAAAAUAUUAUUGAAGUCCCCCCCAAGUAGCAUGGGGUGAGGAUUUUCUCUGCAGGUAUUGACAAGUUCUUUGAGGAAGGCCGCUUUAAAUUCAUCUUGAGCAGCACCAUAUACGGCAACCAAGCUCCAAAUGAAAUUAUCGGAUUUGUUUCUAAGGUGGAAUUUAAUAUGAUACUCCCCUUUGAAGUAGAAAGAAGUUUCAAGUAAGUGGAGUGUAUUCCUAAAAGAAUACCUCCGGACCUCCCUGAAGGCGGCAGGAUAUGCCAUUCGUAAUCUUUGCCACAUGAAAAAUGGUCCAACUCACGGCGUUGGAAAGUCACGCUUACUACACUCAGAGAUUGCCACGAAGUCGAGGGCAUGAUCCCUAACACAAUCGGAAAUAUGUUUGUACUUAACCAAGUCACCAAGACCUCUGCUAUUCCAAAACAUUCCUUUCAUGGAGAAACUUUAUUACGUUUGGAUACUUUGGUCUUCUUCUUAGGGCGACCCUUUUUACUACCAGAGUUAGACUUGUUCUUACGUACCGAUGCAACGAGCUCACAAAGCAUCGUAUCACGCAUGGUAUCUUCAAAGUCUACCUCUGUAGUAUCAUUGACUAGAUGAGAGAGGAGUCUGCCUUCAUGGUUGGCAUCGGACUCCUCAUCCUCCUCAUCUGAUACUAGUGGAUCCACCGUCAGAAGCGUUCUAGGAGCAACCGUAAGCCGGUCGAACUCCAUUUGCUUAAGAGCUUUAACUGAGAAAUCAACUACUGCAUCAUUUCUACCUAAUGAAAUACCAAGGCUAGCAAUAUUUGAAGACAUUUUGGCUUUAUCAAAAGAUAGAAAUGAUUUGCAAGGAGACGUACCAUCAAAGUCGAGGUUCCGCGAUGCCGUUCUACGCAUGGCCCUCUGCAUGGAAUCCUCAUCAGUGGCAGAGGCCCCAUCAACCCCCACAACAUGGCGGCCGCUACGUCUAGGCGGUGAAGUAGUAAACUCCGAAGCAACCCGCAUCCCAGAGGGCCGGAAAGGUGGUGUAGACGGCUCUGGCGUAGCAGCGGGAGACCUAGAACGCUGCAGCUCAUCCUCCAUAACAGCGAUACAAGGAGCAGCCUCCUCAUCCCGCGGCGGCGACGCAGGAGACAACGCUGGCCCCGUCGACGCUGCGGGAGACCGUGAAAGCUGCAGCUCAUCCUCCAUGACAGCGUUCGUAGGAGCAGCCUCCUCGUACUGCGACGGCGGCGCAGGAGACAGCGCCCGAAGCGUCGCCAAGGCCAUGUCAUGAUCUGCACGCACCGCCGGGGAGAAAAUCACACCCCGACGACCAGAAGACCGAGAAGAAGCCGAUGUAGGUGUCGUCAGAUGCUCCAAAGCAGCCUCCGGCGGUGAUCCCAUCGCCAAGGGCGCCGCAGGCCCAUCAACCCAUGUCCGAAUAGCUGACAUGGGCAAAGCAUCCGGUUGAGGUGGUGGAGGCGGUGCAUAGCUGGCAAGCGAGGGAGGGUUCUGGGGCGGCACGAGCUCCGUUGCCGCUGGCGGGUCCCCCGACAAAGGCCGCGAUGCCAAGCAUGGAUGUGUACUGGCAGGAACGGUCAUGGAAGAGGUGAUUUGCAUCGGAACCACUCCUCCCAAGGAAGAUGAUGCCUCCGUGUUAGCUGACGACGAAGACGCUUUCGGCCUCUUGCUUUUGUCAUCAGCCCUUGAAGUGUCCUCUCGAUCAUGCGCCUUGUCCCCUUCCGUAUCAUCGCCAUGCUCCCAAACGCGAGGCACAAAAUCAGCGUCCACACAGAAAUCAUCAUCUUCCAGAGUGUACCGGAAUUUAUAGCCCUUCUUCUGAACAACCACAUCCGACGAGAGGGAGUUGACAUGGCUCAUCUUAAAAGCAUCAAGAUUAAGCACGCCAACCUGAAUCCUCACAAUACCACGACGGCGCAAGCAAAGGAGGUCGACGUCAAGAGUGGCGCCAAUAACAGAGCCAACUGCCCAGAGACCCAAGAAAUGCCGGAGAGCGUGAGGAACUCCGUGUACAUGCACCCAAACUGGAAUAAGCUCAAAACGAUUCGGAAUCUCCUCGGAAUGACAAGCCUUGAACUCCAAAGUGACAUUAUGCGAUUUGAUGAAGACCGUGAAACCAGUAACUCUCAGGAGCACCUCGUCACUGGGAAAAGACAUGAUAAAAGCAUUCUGGCCAUGACGGAUAGCCUCCCACGUCCACUGUUGCUAAGAUCCCUCUCAAUCCCAUGCAGCGCGAUUAUGUACUCACUCCAUUUUUAUUUACUUCGCAUAUUAGCUUUGCCUCGAGUCAAACUUUGUAAACUUUGACCAAGUUUACACACAAAAUUAUUAGCAUCUACAAUACCAAAUCAAUACCAUUAGAAUCAUCAUUCAAUAUAUUUUCAUACAUAUAUAUUUGUUAUUAUGAAAGUUUAGAUUGUUUUCGAUAAACUUGGUCAAAACUUUAUAAAGUUUGACUUAGGUCAAAACUAAUAUGCUGAGUAAAUAAAAACGGAGGAAGUAAUAAAAAUCUACUGUACUACUUAUCUGAAGCUUGUAGAGGCUUGAUCUCGUACAGUGAAGCUAUGAGAAACAACCACAACUACAUGUGCAGCUACCGGCUGAUAACAUAGACGAGCCCAUUUAUAAAGGCACUGAGUCCAGCUCGCGUGUGGGCAUGUAGUUAUGUGACGGUCUCCCGGCUGGGUGCAGUAUCUUUUAAGAUCAUCACAAAGCUUGUCCUUGGACCACCUACCUUUAUGUAGUACUCCUAUAUGUACCUAGCUUUUUUUUGCAGGGUAAAUGAGAGUUUUAUUUGGGCUCGGCAGUGGUGGUGCUUGCGUUCCUCUCAUGUGGGCGUUGCCGUGGAGGCUAGGUGUCCUAGGUCGUGUUGUAGCGUUGUAUUCCCGUCGUCCUGCAAAAAUAGAUCAGCCAUUGUUGAUGUGCAAGAAAAGAAAAGCCGAUCAGAACGCACCCACGUUUUGCACGGUUGACUGAAAAGAAAAGCCUGGCGAUAACAUGGCCCGUGUGGUAAUGUAGUGGCGUAAAUGGUCUCAAUUGAAGAAAAUAUAGAUGCACUACGUUAUGAGAGCAUUGCAAAGGUCGUCCUCGACUCACCUACCUUUUGCACGUAUGUGCCUGCCGUGGUUAACCUAUCUCUAUCAUGUGUAUUCCCAGCGAGCCAUGUUAUCGCCAGUCCUCCUUGUAAAAUUCUAGCUAAAUGCAUCAGGAUUCUAAUUCGAUUUAACAAAGAUAACUGAUCGGCCCAGCUAUAAAAACGGUGAGUGCAGCUGCCAUGAAAAACCAUAGGGAAGAAGAGCCCCUUGCCGUCAGAGAGAGCAUAUCAGCUCCAGAUCAUUGUAUAACUGGACUAGGCGAUGCACAUUAGAGACAUUAACAUCAUCACCCUAUCAUAAGGAGUGUCGCCACAAGCGGCUGCGCAACGCAGGACUGCUCGUCCAGAUUCGCGUUGCCUCCCAAUCCCAUGUUGUGCGGUCAUGUAAUGAACACCUCCUCAUAUAUAGCAUGGAUAGCCUUUCUCAUGGAGUAAAGGUAUGCCAAACAACCAGAAUCGCACCCGUGAAUAUAGCUAGCUAGCUCGGCCAAAGAAAAUACCUGCUGAUAACAUAAACGAGUUAAUUGAGAUACCUGCUGCUCGGCCAAACGAGUUAGCAGAGAGAGCCUUGGCUCAGUGGUUGGGUAUGUGGUUGUGCAACCCAACGACCCGAGUUCAAUUCCCAGAAUUGACCUGUGAUGUACAGGGGUUUCCUCCGUUUAUUGAGGAUCAAGUUUGAUGUGUGGUGGAAUCACUCAUCAAGAAAUAUCUUGAUACUCAUUUAAAAAAUACCUUAGUUGGUGCAGAGGCCGGGAAGUGAAAAUCUCCCCAUAUUUUAAGAGAUAUUCUUCACGAAAGCUCGCCCCUCGUGUCGCCCCGCGGGCAACCCGAGGGAGAAAACCCUAGCCGCCGCCCCUCGAGUCUCAUCCUCCUCUCCCCUUCCUCGCCGCCGUCCAUAGCGCCGCCGGGCGAAGCCUGGCCGGCUGGACGGCGGCGGGGCUUCUCCCCAUCCUCUCCGUCAUCCUCUCCGUCCUGGCUGGCGCGGGACAGCGGGAUUCAGAGGAACGCCGGGCGAACGUGGGGUCCGGCGGCGCGGCGGACGGGUCUCCCAUCAGCGUCGUGCGCGGCGCGUCGUGAGGUGGUGGCUGUGUUGGCCUGACCGGUGGUCGCGGGUGCCGCCGGAUUCAGAUCGGAUCCAUCUGGAUCCUUUCUUCGGACUCCGUCGGCCGUUGCGGGGUGGUGAUGAUCGUCGCUGGCCACGUCGGAUCGUUGGAUUCGGCGUCUGGAGAUCUACAAGGAGCUCUUCUCGAUCCUCCUUUCUAGUGGGUUGAGCCCCAUGGCUUUUUCAUCUUCGCGGGUUUCAGAUCGUGGCUUGCCGGAUCCGGAGUACACGGAGGUUUGGUGGCAUAGGAUGGGGACCGGAGGGAACUUUGGUCGGCUUGUUCGGCCUGGCGCUGUUACCCUUCCUAGAGGCGAAGACGAGGUCCCCCCUAUCCACCCCCGAACCCUUUCCGGACGAAAGUCCAAAAUUCAGUCUGGAUUGGGCGGCGGCGGCGUCCUGCGCGUCGUAUCCUCCAUGGAGGCGCCGUCUUGGGAGGAACUGCUGUUCAGGGGAGAGAUGUUGUGGAUGGUGGGCUCCGAGUAGCUCCAGCAGUGGCGAUGGUGUGGAGGUUGCCAGGUGGUGCGGCGUUGUAUCUACCGCGUCAUUGACGAUGAGUGGUGGCGGCAUGGUGCAGUUGCAUAUCGACGACGGAUGCGGCUGGAUGGACGAGCACAGGGUGGUCGAGCUGUCUGGCGCCAUGGUGGCGUCGACGGCAGGCCUAGCAAGGUCUGUGCGUCAGUACCUGCUCUGGAGAUGGAUCGGUGGAAGAAGGCGGCGGCAGCCUCGGUGAGUGCGCAGGACCGGCGUGUGACCCAGUCCCGGUAUGUGGCUAGGAUGGGGCAUCCGACAUUAGAUGUUAGGAUUUGGUGCAAUGUCUGUUUGGUAUUAGGCUCGGUCAUUCGGCACACUGCAUCAAGGGGGUAGGAGUAGCGACAGAUAUUGCCUAAAUGAUGGCUUCAGGCUUACUGAUGUACUAUUUUGUAAGGUCUUUUGUGCUUAAUAAUUAAUAAAAUGGCCGUAUGCAUCGUCCAGAUGUAGAGGCCGGGGGUGCUUCCUCCUUUUCUAAAAAAAACAUAAACGAGUUAAUUUAUAAAGGCACUCUUGGGACCAGCUGGUGUCUCGACAUGUAGUUAUGUGACAGUCUCCAAGCUAGGUGCAUGAAUGUGAGGUGCAGUGUAUAUGUUCGAAGAUCAUCACAAAGCUUGUCCCUAGACCACCUACCUUGUGUAUGUACCUAGCUUGAUUCACCUGCCUUUUUAUUUGCCAUUUAUGUUACACACUUUCAUCUUUGAUGUUGCUCGCCAUGAUGUAUAUAUACUAGGGGUUGGGGCACGCCGAUAUAUGUGCGCCUCCGGAAGCGGCCCUCUGCGGUGCUAGCUGGACGAGUGCCCAUUCCAGAACCUUUUCUCUAAUUAGUGGCAAAUAUGCACAAUUUACUCGUAUGCAUAGCUGCUUUGCUCCCUGAUUUCAGUCGUAUGCAUGAUCAUUCGUAUAUGCUAGUAGCUCAGACCUCAGAUCCAGCACGGAAGAACUUGAUUACGAUUCACUUGUACAAAAAUGGACAGAGUUUUUAUCACAAAGACAUAGCAACGAGAGACUUGUGCUUUACAAAUCAAAUGCUUUCAAACAUGUGGACAUGAGUUUCAAAGGAAAGUUGGACUCAUUUACAGAUGGAUUUCCCUUCAAUUACAAUUUACAUAGAAUUCUUCUCAAGUGUUAUGCUGGCUAGCUCGUUUCCAUCCAUCCAUAUGCUACUCUAUUGAGAGAAAUUGUGCUGGCAAUAUAACCACAUAUGAUUCGUUAGGUGAAAUCGUGCUGGCAGUAUAACGGUUGACUCUGGAGUACCUGACCAAACAAGACAAGACUGGGGGCUAGCAACAAAGAACCACCCAAAUAGGCCGAGGUUCAUGUUGCACAAAUUGUGGUGUUUGAGUGAAAAGCGAGGGACCGGGGAGCGAAGAAGCUUCUGCCGUGAGGGACAAGCGGAAAAUGUGUCUAGUAUAUAACCAAGUUUGGAUGACAGACUAGAUUCUAGUAUCAAGAUGAGACUUUCAUUAGACUCGUCUUCACGACUUCAAAUGAUCGUUUUUUUUUUCAAAAUUGCAGGAUUACUGCCUUCAUUAAGGAGAAAAGAGUUGCUCGGUUACUUAGAGAAAACCGAGCGAGCACAACCAAAGGAGCUUCUGCCGUGAGGGAGAAGCAGAAAAUGUGUCUAGUAUAACCAAGUUUGGAUGACGGACUAGGUUCUAAUAUCAAGAAGAUGAGACUUUCAUUAGAGUCUUCUUCAUGACUUCAAAUGAUCGUCCAGUUUUUUUCGAAAUUGUAGGAUUCCUACAUUCAUUAAGAAGAAAAGAGCUGCUCGGUUACUUAGAAAAAACCGAGCGAAAACCAGAUUGUCCAGUUAAUAAGGGAAAACUCGACGACAAAAUCAUCACAACUGCUAAGCGGCCCAUAUAAGAUACCCACUCACACCAUUCCCAAGAGUGCCUCGCCAAGACAGCGCGCAGGCUUCAUCGUUAUCACUCCUUACCUAGAGGUGUUAUCGACACCCCUAAACCCUGAGCAAAACGACUCUGACUUUGCCGUACACUACUAGGGAAAUGCUUAUGGAUAGAAGUUUACCAGUAGCGCGUUUUUAUGACCCCACACUACUAGUAUUUACCAGUAGCGCUGGGUAGAAAACACGCUACUACUAACAUAUAACAGCAGUAUUUGUUUGCUUGGGCCGCGCUACUGUUACAUGGGCCGCAGGGCAGAAACAGUAGCCCACUUAGCUGUAGCGUUUGUUCUGAAAGGGCACUACAACUGGUGGGCUUAGCAGUAGCGCGGUGCUCUAACCAGCGCUACUACUAUAUAUAGCAAAAGAAAACCGGCCCGAGUGCCCCCGCACCCCCUCACUCUCACAAUCGAUCCCCUCCGCCCGACGACGCCGCCGCGGUUAGGGUUCGUCCCCGGCCGCCUCACCCCCAUCGACGGUGACGUGUGCCGCCACCACGUGCGGUCGCCUCUCGCCUCCUCCGACGCUCCAGCCCCGUAAGUCCCCCUCUCGAUCUCCUCCUCCCUGUGCGCGCCACACUAGCUAGGCUCCAAUCGAUUUGCCGUGGCGGCUCGCCAUGUUUUGGGAUUUAGGGAUUGCACGGUGGCUCCGCGCUUCAAUGCAUGGCUCCAAUCGAUUUGCCGCGGCGGCUCGCCACUCCCCUUGCUGCCCCUACGCGGCGCUCCGCCCUCUCUGUUAAUUAGUAUCACAUAUGGAUUAAUAGGAUUAGUAUCACAUAUGCAUCUCUAGAUCCUACUGUUAAUUAGUAUCACAUAGGGGAGAGAGUAGAGAGAGGGGUUAGGUGAGAGAAGUAGAGGAUUUUGUUGCUCACCGAAACUUAGGAGAGAGUAGAGAGAAGUAGCUAGAGAAGUAGAGGCUUUUAGCACAUAUAAUUGAAACUUGGGUUUCAAUUCUUGGCUGCUGCCCCUGGAGGAGUGGUGGCUACGGCGGUGCCUAGUGUUCUAGGGUUUAGAGAGGGGGCGUCCAUGUCGUGCCUUUUCCGGAGAGGAGCCACGGGCGGCGUCGGUUGCCGUGUGCCGUUUCGUGAACGCCUCCACAUGCUCAAGUUUGUCGAUGGUGGUCGUAGGAUCGGCUCCCCUUCUGAAAUGGUGCCAUGGGAGCUUUCGAGAUACGCUCCUAGAGCCCUGGUGUCGUCUAGCUCUGAUAUGACGACAACAGUUGAGGGUUCACCAUAGUGCUCGACCGUAGAAUCGUGAGCAUUUUUUUAGCUCUGAUAUGACAGCAACGGUUGAGGGUUUCAAUUCUUGGCUACUGCCACUAGCUUCUUUGUUGGACUGAACUUUAUGUUUACUUUUUAGUUGUUAUUUUGCUUGCCAUGUGAACUCUAGCUAUGAAAACUUUAUGUUUACUUUUUGGAUCGUUAAUCCUUUAAUCAUAUUGCUUUAGGGAAAUGGCGCCACCACCACCACCACCAUGUCGACGGUGCAAGUCAAGGUGCGCCAGCAGCCUUGCAACUGGCACGCUGUUUGGCAUCUACUUCGAAUCUAGUUUUCUUCAUGCGGCGGUAAUAAAUUAUAUGAAACUAGUAACUACUAUUUUAUUUUUAGUGUUAUUGGCAUUAAUGCAUCGUGUAUAUAUCAUUUUGCUUUUUGUACACAAAUCGUCCCAUACAAUGUGAGGUCAGAAGUCAACAAUCUGACUAGAGACUUUGUGACCUUUGAGGCUCCUGGGGGCCCCUACACUAUGGAGAUCGAGAAAGGGCAAAAGAUGAUGCGGGUGGGAGGAGAUGGAUGGGUCCGUUUCAUCGACAACAUGCGUAGCACCGGUGGUGAGUUGAUCAGCUUCUCCUUCAGAGCUGAAAGACCCAAGCUGGCGGUGAUUUAUGUCAACAAAGCAGAAGAUUAUGAGGAUGAUGAGGAUGACGACGACCCACUCGAUGAUGCCAUCGUAGCUCAAAGAAUGAAGUUGAGCGAGGAGGAGGUGUGCAACCUAUGGGACAUCAUUCCGCCACGUGCUGACUUCGUCGGGGUGCCAUUCGUGACCCGCCUGACAAGUACCAUGGUUGAUCGGCAUAUCAAGGUAUGUUGCAUUUACUGUAGUUUUUAGAGUAAUUUGAUGAUAUGCUUUAUUGUUAUACUUAGUGUAGAGUCCGAUGAUAUAUAUGCUUAGUGAAUCUUAUAUGCUUUAUUGUUAUAAUUUAGUGUAGAGUCCGAUGAUAUAUAUGCUUAGUGAAUCUUAUAUGAUUUAUUGUUAUACUUAGUGUAGAGUCCGAUGAUAUAUAUGCUUAGUGAAUCUUAUAUGCUUAGUGAAUCUUAUAUGUUUAAUGAAUCUUAUAUGCUUUAUUGUUAUACUUAAUGUAGAGUCCGAUGAUAUAUAUACUUAGUGAAUCUUAUAUGCUUUAUUGUUAUACUUUAGUGUAGAGUCCGAUGAUAUAUUUGCUUAGUGAAUCUUAUAUGCUUUAUUGUUAUACUUAGUGUAGAGUCCGAUGAUAUAUAUACUUAGUGAAUCUUAUAUGCUUAGUGAAUCUUAUAUGCUUUAUUGUUAUACUUAGUGUAGAGUCCAAUGAUAUAUAUACUUAGUGUAGAGUCCGAUGAUAUAUAUGCUUCGUGUAGAAUGUGUGAGGCUACUUAUUAAUUAAUAUGUUUUUCUUAUUCAUAAAUUUCCAAAGAGUCUAUCUGAGAGUUGUGGUAUCAAGCCUGAUGAAGAAGGCUCUGCUGGAAUACGCCUUACCGCAAGGGGUUCCGUCACCACUUGUGCGUACGGCGUGGACACGGACGGUCGCACACACUUCAACUCGGUUGGGUGAAAGAGCUUCCUCGUCGACAAGAAUCUUCAUGUUGGACAGGCAAUCCUAAUUACUAUCAGGAACAACCACCGCCCAGGCUUGAGAAUGAUGGUCGUCAUCGACAUCAUCUAGAACUUCAUAUGCAUGCGUGUGGCUGUUGAACCAUAUAUAUGCUAGUAUGACUACCUAGUAGACUUAUCAACUAUGAUCUAUCCAUGCAUUGUUGACUACUAUAUGAGUUUGUGAGAUUGUGUGGUUAUAUUAAAUGUGGUACUGUCGUUCAUGUUUGUGAGAUGGUUCUGUGAACUUAGUUUAUUUGCACUGGACUUGUCUUGAUUUUCAUGAAUAUUGCACAUGACUGCUUUUUUUUAUUUUUUUUUCUAUUUGCCUAGUUGUAGCGUGGGAAGAAAAUAAGGCGCUACUACUACGUGAUGAUAGUAAUAGCGCUGGUGGAGGAAGCAGCGCUACUAAUAAGUAUUUUAGCUGCAGCGCUUGUUCAGAAACGCGCUACUGUUAAAUAAUAACAGUAGCACGGGUGCCCGCGCUACUGGUAUGUAAAAAACCAGCGCCACUAGUAAGCUUUUCUCUAGUAGUGGUAAGUGUCGUUGACUCAACCCACUCCGUAGAGGCCCAAUGGAGCUAUAUGAAGAUCCGCGCCAUUCGAGUUCCUCUAUGCAGCUAUGAUCGGGUCAGUGUGUCAUCAUUCAACUAUCAUUGAUAUGCUGUUAGACUUGUAGUUAUAUCAUCAUGACUUUUUCCAAUAACUAGUGUAGCUUGUUAAGAUGGUUACAUUCGACAUGGUAGAAGCUGCAAGCUGGACCUAACUUCAGCGAAGAAAACUGCUAUCAGCUUUCCUGAAUCAUCACAUCAGACAGAAGAAAUGAUACACAUUUUGUACCUCUUGCCAACAAGAUAUGUCUGCUUAAUUUCUUAUAAGGAGUGUUGCCACUAUCAUUGUUUUAAAUAGCGAGCUAUGCCAAAUAGUGGUGCUUCUCCAAGUCACUACAAGGAGGCUAUAGCCGGAUAUUACAAAACUUUUUCGCACAAUUGUAUAUGAACCCUAUGGCCUUUCGUUUAGCGGCACCCUGCUCAAAGCGCUAUAGAAGGGCUAUAGCCAGCUAUUUAAAACUUUGAUAUAUAUACCCAAGUUUUUCUUCUUUGGAGUUACAAAAGUUCACUAGUCGAGAAAUGCAAGGUAAUCUUCAUAAAUUUCCUUGUCCAAUCUACAACUUGCUAUUGUAUGUAUUCAUAUCAUGCAAUUAACAGAGCAGGGCUAAAUCUAGCUCCUCUACAGCUGCAUGCCAUUCUUCAGAAGCUAACAAACUGCUACUUGCUGGUUAAGCCCUACGCCCACCACACUGCCUUCAAAGCUGCACGGCCUCGCGACGGAGCUCGUGAAUGCCUUCACGACUUCCGUGGAGGCAUCUUUCCGGAGCAAGCACAGGGCGUACUCCAUGACCACGGCAUCACAGGGCAGCAUGAUUCUCCUGUCAUCGCCGCCUGCAAAGCCGAACUCCUCCUCGGACAUCGCUAGGAGCCCGCUGAAGACCGGCGUGCCGAGGUAUGCCAGUGGCACCUCAAACCGCACACUGUCGGCGGUGUACACCACACAGGGGCCCUUCAUUGCCACCGACGGCGAAGUUGCACAGAGCUCGUCAUUGGCUGCUCCUUUCGCCGCUGAUGUGGUCCGGGUGAGCCUCAUCCUCCCGAUGGCCACCAUCCUCUGCCACUUCUUUGCCAUCUGAGCAAGUCUCUUGGCACUAACCAUGUUUCUUUUCCUCCUCCUUGUAUUUCUUUCUUGGCUAGGUUUUAGUAAUGCUGUUUUGGUGCUUGAAUGAACUGAUGUGGUGGUGGUGGUGCUAAUCUGAUGGAUUUAUAGGGGUGAGGGAGAAAGUAAAGAGGGCAAUGCAGUUUAGGUGCAGCUAUCCUGACAGGUUGGCAAGGGACAUGACCAAGGGCUCAGAACAUGCAAUGCUGAAAGACUACAAGGUGAUCUUGAUUUGAUUUUUCUGGGGUCAUUGGUUUGCCACUUGUUGGAUAGAACUAGCAGUAUAGUCUUUGGGUAUGCUUGGACAUCAUAGUGUGCUACCAUACUGAUAUGUUUCAGUGGCAAAUAGUAUAAGCAGCAUAUGACUGAUAUGGAGAUCAUGUGUAAAUUGGGUCUAUUUCUUUUUGUGAUUGCACAACGAGAUAGCAAACCGAUUGUUUUUGGGUGCUUGAUUAAUCAUAUCUUUACGAAAUGAAAUAUAUAGAGUAGCCCCUGACGAGACGGAGAUGUUUUUAGUGUCAAAGUUGCUCCUUUAACAAGAUGAUAAAAUCUCUUUGAUGGUCCACACACCUAGCUCGCUACACCCUUUGUUCCUAAAUAUGAGAUGUUUUGGCAGUUCAAUUUAAACUGCCAAAAUGCCUUACCUUUAAAAACAGAGGUACUACAAGAUUACAAGUAGCUCAUGAUCGUUAUUUAGUGACAGAUUCUCUUCAGUGCUCAAGACACUUAGCUGUAAGAUUAAAAGUAAGCUCAUGUUUGGUAGCUGAACUAUUGUCUUUACAUGAUUUAUUUUCAAAAAGAAAAAAUGCGAGGAAAAUUUGUCCGAACAUAAUGAGAUCGGUGUCCUGUGGAAAAAUUCUAAUCAUUUUUGCACAUGCGGACUUUACUUGAUCACGUUUUCAGACUAUCAAUUUGCAAAUCUUGGUUGGUUGUGCCUGUGUCUUAAGUAAUCGGAGCAAAUCAAGUAGAUCAUGUGCUAGCUAGACCAGCACAGGCUUUCAGUUAAAUGUUCAGAGAGAAUUACUUAGUCCAGACAAUUGGACGAUUGCAUCUCAGUCCGGAUAUCUCCAUUUCAAGAGGGAGCACUCUGCAAAACUUCUUGUCAUUAGGAUAAGAUCAAAGUUUGUUAGCUUCUGAAGAAUGUCAGCAAGCUAGGAUCCUUGUUAUAGGCACUAUUUUUCGUUCAAUGAAAGAUGUCAAUAUGAAGUUAGAAGAUUAGAAAUGGAACAAAGUUUUGUGAUGGAAUUUGCAAAAUGUUCAGUUCAACUGUCUGCUUUGGAGUGUGUAUGCAGCAAUAAAGAUUCAGUAACACAAUUAUAGUUGUGCGUUAACAAACCGAGUAAAUGUGUACACUUUGAAACUACUAAAACUAAUGCAUGCUGCUAUUUUAGAAAAAACCUAACCAAGUCUCGCACAUGUUUUGUUUAAAGAAGAGCUAAUAUCACCAUCAGUACACGAACUUGCAUAGUGUUAACAGAUCCAUACACAAACUUGCAAAAAACAUAAAAGUGGUCACUGAACUCCCAAUAUGGUAACAAUCUGGUACAAAUGACUCGAACAACUGCAAGAUCGGACGCCACGUAGGUGAAUAGCACAUGCCAGCAUUGUGUUCUUUCUCAAGAAAACACACUGGGCAUUUAUGUAAAUGUGUUUAUAAGGUCCUCGCUUUCCGCAUUCCGCAAUUCUCGAUCCCGAGCCCAAAAUCCCUAACCCAUAUCCACACCCAUAUCCGCACUCCCACCGUCAAGGGCUCCCAGCGGCCGCACGCCGAUAUUGCAUGGCUCCCGGCGUCGCAAAAAUGGGUAGUGGUCUUGGUUUGGUGCAUCGCCUGUGAGAAGCAAAGGUUGUGUCCUAGGUGGCGGCAACUGCAUGAAGGUCUCCCGGACGGCAGAGGCAUUUGGGCGGUGGCGGUGGCUUGAGGAAGACGGCGACUACUGGGAUUUGACACCGAAUCAACCACUAUUGUGCACCUUUUGUGUAUUACUCAACGUAUGUUGCAUGAUUUUCAAUAAUGAGUACUCUGUUUUUGUCUGGUUGAAAUAUGCGUAUGAAAUUUGGUGGAAUUUUGUACUGUAAUGUUGACGGUGCUUUGUGUAAUUUUGUUGAAGGAUCCUUUCCUGCACAUACAACAACAACCUCUAUAUACAAACAUAUUCGGUUCUUUUUCAGUUUCUUUUUCUCUCUCAUUUUCUCUAGACUGAUAAAUUCUUUUAAAGAACACUAACAAUGCAUUCAUAUACCACACCGCACCGAAGCUCAAGCUGUAGCUACUUACAUAUAAAAUAUAAUAGGGAGUGGGUGAGUGUGAUCAGCAGAGCAACAAGAAUAGAGUUCAGAGGAGGAUAAACAGAGUUCAGAGGGAUGUUGGCAGGCUGCUCCUUCUCGUCCAGGUCGCUCAUUGACGAUGAACUAGCGGGUGGUGAGGACCAAGUUUUUUGCCAAAAGAAGAUACUAAACAGUUUUACUUCACAUAAAUUCUGAAAUAUGUGUCAUUUAAUCAGGGGUUUUUCUGAAAUAAGGAGCCUUGGCGCGUGCCACUCGCUGAUGUGGCGUCCGAUCUAGCAGCUGCUUGAGUCUUCUGUACCAAAUUGUUACCACAUCGUGAGUUUUGUUGCCACUUUUAUGGGUUUUUCAAGUUUGUGUAUGGAUUUGUUAAUGUUGUGCAAGUUCGUGUACUAAUGGUGAUAUUAACUUUUUAAAGAAUGAGGCAGAAGCUUUGACUUUACAAGCAAACGCUCAUACAUUCAGGUAUGCAUGCAUAUGAGUUAGCAGCUUAGAAUUACAUUUCAUUUAACAGAAAGUUCAGCUGAAUAUAAUGAACAUCUGCUGAUUUAGUAACACUAUGAUAACUAGUUAUCAAACACUUACAUAAGAACUAAGGUAACGAAAUAUACCUCUAAAAACAGAGUACCUUUUUUUAACCCUUUCUGACAUAAGUGAAAAUGGGAGAAGAAACAAUGAUAUGGAGACCACAUGAGAUGCUGGACUGGAGACUGGUCAUGCACAGACAAGACCAUGAUUUGAAGAAAUAACGACGUUGGUCAAACAAGUUGAUUCAGGCAGAAUUACAUCAUCUGAGAUCUGACUGAUCAACAACCAAUCUAAGACUGAAAGUUUAGCGGCGAUCGAUCACGGCCAUGAACGAGUUACUGAUCUCUUAGUCCUACAUGUUUUUUUCAUUUCAGCAAGACAGGAGUCAAAUCAGAGCUUCAGAUAGCAGCAUGAUCAUUGACACUGAUGAUAUCUAAAGCCAAUCCAUCCAUAACAGAGUCACCGAACAGAUCAUGGCAUUGUUCCUCACCAGCUUGCCAAAAUGAUGCUCCAAAUGUUUGGCCCCAUCACAAUCUAAUCAAAAUAAUCAUACUACAACACUGCAUGUGAUGAUCCCUUUGUCCCUGCCACUGCCAUCUUUUCUGAUGACAACUACACCUCACCUUCACAAUGUCCUUCCUAUAAAUUCAGCAAAUGGCUAAGCUCAGCAGCACCACUUCAUCAGCUCAUCCACCUCCAACAGAGCAAUACAAAAUCCAUAGCUCAUUUCUCCAAAUUCCCUGCUGAAAAAACAAGACCCUGAACCAACCAUGGUUAGCGCCAAGAGACUUGCUCAAUUGGAAAAGAAGUGGCAGAGGACGGCAACAAUUAAGAGGAAGAGGCUGACAACAACAGCCAAAGAAGAUGAAGAGUGCUGCACCUUAAUAGCAGUCAAGGGCCACUGUGUCAUGUACACAGCCAAUGGGAGGCUCUUCGAGGUACCAUUGGUGUACUAGGAGCUCCUGAGGAUGUCCCGGGAGGAGUUUGGCUUUGCAAGUGAUGACAAGAUCACACUGCCUUGUGAUGCCAGAGUGAUGGAGUAGGUCAUGUGCUUGCUCAGGAGAAAUGCCUCUGCCGAGGUUGAGAACGUGUGCUGAGCUCCAUGGUGAUAUCUUGUCACCACACUGGUUGUGCGCUGCCAAUUGUUGGAACCAAUAGACAAAUUUGCUGUUUGUAGUUCCUGAAGAGCAUGGAUUCAGAAUCUGUUCUUGUCCUUUGUUUUCUGUAGUUGACCUGGAUAGUGUAGAUAGUUAGAUAUAGGCAAUGCACGAAAUCUUGCACAGUGAAUAAAUAGCUGAUGGAGCAGCUCAUUUAGAUGCCAAUAAUUCAAUACUUCUUUCAUAAUAAUUCUGAAUGAAAAAUACACAAGUUUAAUACAUCUAUCAUAUAAGCCAGGUUAUUAGGAAAAACUUAGAGUUAAUUGCAGAAAACCACCACAUUUGGGGUUAGGUUUGAAGAAAAAUACCUACUCCCUAAUGAAUAAGUGACAUGGCCAGGUAAUACAAUAGCCAUUUUCAAUGUUGAAUCUUUGAGAGAAACUAAAAAGGGAGUUCAGGAUAAAAAUAAGCAAGUAAUAUGUAAACUACAAAAUAAAAGAUAAAAUAGUACUUAGCAGUAUAAGGAAGGUUUCUUCUUAAGAUAGAAAUUAUCAACGUUUACAUAGUACUGAAGAACACCCCUGAAUCCAUACAACUUUGAAUAAGGCAGUCGACAGCCUGAAAAUACUCGGAGACAAUUAUAAAAAACUCGACCCAAGGGGAGAGAUAUCCCGAAGGCAUUGCAUUCUAAGGUUGAGAAAAUGCCCCGAAACGCCAGCUUGCGUGGUGCAAGUAUGCGCAGCGAACACACUGGCUUGCACAACACAAGUAUACACAGCGAGGGACCUUUUUUUGUUAGAACCAAGAUUCGAGCCCUGGUUGGUAGCCCCACUCAGGACGUCAUUACCAACGCGCAUAGUUCUCCUCAAGGACAACUAUGACAGCACAGAUUUGGCAUGUGUUUGUUAUUCAUAAUCUUCAGCUUCAUCUGAAACCAUGGUUAGCAGGCUUGCUUGCAGGCUUGGAAGAUUAAACACUCAAGACAAUUGUUCAUCAAUGUGAAUUUGUUCAUUUCAGCGUGUCAACAUUCAUAUGUACCAUCAUCAGAAAAUAAAGGAGAGGAAAAGUAUAUAGAUACAUGGUGGAUGAAGUAAAAUAGAAGGCAGGUAAUGCAACACAAGAAAAGAAACAUAUAGACUAUUAAUAACAGAACUUGGUGCCAAACAAAUUCCAUUGCAUGAUGUGAAGCUUACAGGGCGCAGUUUGAUAGAACUAUUAGUACUACUUAAGACACACUGGAUCGCUGACAAGUAGCAUAAUACAUACAUAACUAGUUGUUUUUGUUCUUGGCACGAUAACGAGAUGCAGCAAACUACACCAGGAAGACGGCUAAGGAUCCAUCAAUGACCCUCCUGGCCCCUUCGUCUUACUUUCAGCUAGCUAGCUUAACUAUGGCAAUCAAGCUUUUACUUCGCUCGGCCAGUUGUUGCACGUGAGGUGGCAGCGGAGUCGGCGAGGUCAAUGUGCUCUUGCACGAACUUAUCCAAGGUUUUCCUGUGGUCCAUGAAGGCCAUGAGGUUGUACUCGUUGAUCGCCAUAGUGUCGCCCUGCCCCUGCAAGAUGGCCUCCUCAAAGAGGUGGAUGAAAAGGUCGAGCUGGUCAUGCGCCAUGAGGUUCUGCGCGGCGAGAGCGACCUCAAGGCAGAGCUCCGCAGGCGCGGUCACAGGCAGGUGCAGGGCCAUCAGUGCACGGAAUAGAUCAUUUCCAUGAAGGCCGGCGAGCUGGGCAGUGGGGGAGACACCUUGGCGGCGGCCUUUAUGGUGGCCUUUAUGGCUGCGCGUGGCCUGGAGGCGAGCGGUGAGGUUGUCCACCUUCCUGGUGUCAUUGCUGAAAUUGCCAACAAAGUCGUCCAACAUAUGUUUGAAAGAAUCGCCGAAGGUGGGGUCAGAGAUGCAAUGUGCCGCAGUGACGUCCAGCACCCGCCGGAGGCGUCCCAGAGCAUCCGGAUGUGGGUGGGUACCCCCGGCCAUCUCAAGGAGACGAUUGGCGCUCGCAAUAAUCGCCUCCAUGUCCAUGCCGGCCACACUGUUGACCUGAGCGAUCUCCCUCACUCGGUCUUGCUGCCAAGGUGGUAGAAAUAGAGUUAACAAUCACACACGGUUGUUCGUUCAACAAACAUCAACGUAGAAAUGAUGAUUCACAGGAAAAAGCAUGGCUAUUUCAGGCAUGAAUUUACAGAAAGAGGCCAAAGUUACAACUUCACAAAAGCAUGUCUAAUAGCCGACUUAUGGCGUCCAAAAUGAUGGGUAAUAGCCGACUCCCAAAGCUGUCCGUUGCUGUUUCAGAUUGGGAAUUAAUGGUUAACAGGUUCCACUAUGAACCUUACAGGAUGAACUAGCAUUAAUUGAACCCUUAAAAACAUCCCAAAACUAGUGUAGAUUGAGUUGAUAGCAUACUAGUACUAGGAAUAGGAAUUAAAAAAAUUGCCUGAAAGCUGCGCAAGAACAGAUCGAGCAAAUCACAUCUAGGCUUAGGGUUCAGCGGGGAUGGGGGCGGAGUUCGUGCAGUCGCCGUGAGAAGCAGGGCGGUGAGGCGUCGGACGGGUGGCGAGAGAGGCGGAUACAUACCUCGGUGAGGCAAAUGCGGGCGCGACGGGCGGCGGCGGCGGCCGGCACUCCGAUGACGCGGAGGUAGGCGCAGGCGGCGGACUGAAGACUGGGGUUUGAUUUGGGUGCGACUCGCCUUUUUUUGUCCUUUUUGUGGGGAAGGUUGCCACCUGCCAUUCAGCCAGUCGGCCAGAAAACACCAAAGACAAAACAACGGAAAAAAAAACCACGAACAAAAACAUACAGUCAAAGCCCUGGGGGGUCAUUGGGGCCUUCGCUUGCCGAUGUCCUCCACUGUUGACAAGAUCCGUUUGCCAAAGCAUCAUCACGGGCAAAGUUUUGCGAGUCAAAUAAAGCAUCUGUCAUGAAUGAAGGAGCAUGUAUAGAUGCGGUAUCUUGCUGAAGAAAUAUACAGAGGGAGCAUGAAAUUGUGGGACAUCAUUCAAAGCCUCUCAAGCACUCGCCGACACAAGAGGAGACAAGAUCCGUUUGUCAAAGAGUUGUCGCACCAUCACGAUGAAUCUUUGAGAGUCAAAUAAGUCCCUUGUCACAAAAUGAUAGAGCAUGUAUCCAUGUGGCGCACCGAUGAAUACCGCCAAAAACACAUGUCUGCAACCACCAACCUUACGCCAAACACUUUUGGCCAUCCUACGCCUUCACCGCUGCGAGAGAGCUAACACUUGAUGACUUCUACGCAACAAGACAUCACAUUCCUCACAACGACAUCGGAGUGCACACAACCCCCACAAUGUGAGGAAGCAAGAGAACACGCUUCUAUAGCCUGGUCUCGGUCGCAGUCACACUGAACGAAAACAUGCGGGUAUGGUGGUCUUCUAUAGAAGGCCUUUUAUUUUGAAACCGCUUCGCCGCCCUAAGCAUUACCGUGAGAAAACGCUAAGCAUAUCUAGGACUAGGGCACGGGGCACUUGGUUCCCUGCCCCUUCACCGCUGGAGUGACAGGUGGAUGAGGCAGGGGCAUGUGGCCUCAUCAUCAAUGGUGGACGACAUGGCAUAACUUGAGGGAACAACCCACAACUCGUCCCUCGCGUUGCCCGAGCCGGACGACUCGAGGGAACCCUAGCCACCGCCAGCCGGCCCUCGACCUCCCGUCCACCCCCGCGUCGCCGCUGCCGGAGGGCUGACCGACGAAGUCGCGUCGGGCCCCGGGAUGGUGGCCGAGGGGCCGUUUUUUUUUCUUCCCCAUCGCCCCCAUACCNNNNNNNNNNNNNNNNNNNNNNNNNNNNNNNNNNNNNNNNNNNNNNNNNNNNNNNNNNNNNNNNNNNNNNNNNNNNNNNNNNNNNNNNNNNNNNNNNNNNNNNNNNNNNNNNNNNNNNNNNNNNNNNNNNNNNNNNNNNNNNNNNNNNNNNNNNNNNNNNNNNNNNNNNNNNNNNNNNNNNNNNNNNNNNNNNNNNNNNNNNNNNNNNNNNNNNNNNNNNNNNNNNNNNNNNNNNNNNNNNNNNNNNNNNNNNNNNNNNNNNNNNNNNNNNNNNNNNNNNNNNNNNNNNNNNNNNNNNNNNNNNNNNNNNNNNNNNNNNNNNNNNNNNNNNNNNNNNNNNNNNNNNNNNNNNNNNNNNNNNNNNNNNNNNNNNNNNNNNNNNNNNNNNNNNNNNNNNNNNNNNNNNNNNNNNNNNNNNNNNNNNNNNNNNNNNNNNNNNNNNNNNNNNNNNNNNNNNNNNNNNNNNGCCUCCCCAGUGGUCUCUUCACCGGCACGAUCUUGGCGCAGGGGGCCUCCUCCGACCCAGAUGGGAUAUGGGUACCCCUCGCCCGGGCAUGGUGCUCACCGGUAGGUCUGCCAUGGCGGCCGGCGUGGCCUCCUCGCUACAUCCCUCUCCCCCCGGCCUCCACCACCCUCACCCCUACUCGGCUCCAGGUCUGCCUCCUGAUGAGGCGGCCGUGGAGGCAUGGGGUUAUGCCCAGCAGCACCUGCUUCCUGCAGUGCGCCGGCCGGGGAUUUUGGCUAUGCAUGAGCUUCACCACCCACCCUCCCCCAGCAAGGGAGGCUUCGGCCCGGCGGCAAUGGACCUGCGCUCCUUCCUGCGUCCAUGGUCGGUCGGCGCGGCUUCGGAUCCGGUGCACCACAAGGGUUGUGCUCUUUCCAGCACCUUUGGCUCGUUGGCUCCUCGCCAUCUCCACACCCAUCACCCUGCUAGUGUCCUUGGUUGGUCGUCCAUCCCUGUGCAUCUAUGUUCUUGGCACGCUUCAGGAGUUGCGUCCCCUUCCAGCUCCAUGGGCUCACCUGUGCUCUGCUGCUCCAGUCCCGGUGGCCUUGAUCUGCGCUCUUUCCAGAUCCCGGCUUGUCCAGGGCUCCGGCCAUCGUCACAUCCUGCCACCAUUCACUCCGCUCAGCCACACAACCUUACCCUCCUCCGGAGCUCGCAUGUCCGGCGGCACCCGGUGCCCCCUUUGACGUUGGGCGUGGUACCCCUUCCUACAGUCGCAGUUCUGGCCAAUACUUGAUUUCCUCUUCUCCGACUCGUGCUCCGACGGCUUGGGAUUUCUCAAAAUUUGGCCAGGGCAAAAUCCCGCUUCUAUGCUGCCAGCGGCGAUACUUGCAGGUGUCGUUCCCUUCUUGGAUGCGCUCUCAUGGCUGCGAUAUGUGCCCCUUUUCGAGCUUCAGGGGAAACACUAGGUCCAGUUUUCCGAAUCGUACAGCGGCGGCGGUGUCUUAGUGUCGUUCUCCUUCGUGACGGUAUUGUUUUGUUUGCUCGCGGUGUCCUCGAUGCUGACUUCGGAGAUGUCGGUCGUCUAGUUGUUGGUCAGAUUGUUUCUCUGGUCAGUGAGUUUAGCUGUGUUUUCUUUGCUUGGGUCGAGUUUCUCAUGUCUCUCUAUUUCGGGCAUCAUGUUCACGCCUCUUGCGUCCGUGCCAUGUGUUGUACCACCUCAUGUACUCAUUUUAACUUCUUCUAUCAAUGAAAUGAUACGCAAGCUUUGCGUAUUCGUGAAAAAGACGGCAUGGCGCUAGCUAAGCUUGUAAACAUGGAAAUCGGAGUAGCUACAUGCUCCGAUGCCAAAUUGGGUUGGACAAUAAAAACGUUUGAUUUGCAUUUCAAUCUCCUCAUGCAUGGGUGGAAUUGAUAAAAUAUUUAGGGAGGGGGUUGUUUAUACUAAUUUGUGUCAAAAUCAAGCCCAUGUUGCAAGAGAUCACAAAAUGGCUAUACUAGAGAGAAACAUGAAAUUCGACACAUAUGCCAUAUGUUGUUGUUGUGAGAGAUUUGGCUUUGGUCACAUUGUGGAUGCCCUAAAAGAGAUGUUGGUUUCUAUAUCUACCCCAACUUACUUUCAUGGGGUACUACUAUAUCUCCUCUAUUACGGAUCCACCUUUGAGCUCAGGCUCAGUUGCAUGCACCCGUCCCGACGAAAAAAAAUCAAAACAAAUACUAGAAAGAAUUUAAAAAAUCCAACUUUUUGUGUGGUAGAUAAUUUCAUGCGUGAGGUCCGCUCCAAAUUUUAAAUCAUUUGAUCAUCUGAGCAGCUCUUGGCAAAAAAGACAAAUUCAGGGUCUGUAAAAAUGUUAAUUGUUCACGCACUAUUCUUACCCGAUUUGACUUUUUUGCUAAGAGCUGCUCAGAUGUCCCAAUGAUCUAAAAAUUGGAGCGGACCUCUCGUGAUAAAUUUUCUACCAUGCAAACAAGGAAUUUUUUGAGUUUAUUUUUAUUUUUUAUGAUUUUUUUUCUGACCAGAUGCAGAUGAGCUCGGGCAUCGAAACGCCGCACUCCUUUAUUACGAGCAACAACAAGAGUUGUUGCUCACUAGCAUUGGCCGUAUGGGCCAGCCUCUUGAGGUGGCUUGUGCCUUCUAUUGUUUUCUUUUGUUGUAUAUUUUUUCUUUCCUUUAUUUCACUUUAUUGUUCGCAUUCUAUGUAUCUCUUAUUGUUACUUCCCUUUUAGUGAUUUAUUAUUGGCUUUAUUGUCCUUUUGUAAAUAACAAAAGAAUCUUAAAUAGAAAAACUUUUUAAAAACUGUGUUCUAAAUUCUAAGUCCUAUUUUUGUUUCAUUUUAUUAUCAUUAUUUUGAUAGUAUUUUCUUGGGUAAAUACAUGGCUAUUUCUAAGAGAUGCACAGACUGUAGAUAGAGACCUCUGAAUUGAAGCUAAGCAUUCUCCAUCCUACCUACCAUGUCGACCGAUGUCGCAGGUGGUUGCACCUGUCAUGAAAAAACAUAGCGAGGUAGAGCUCUCCUGCGACUAGGUGAUGCACAGUACAAACGUUAACAUCAUCUCACAACCAGAAGGAGCGUCGUAAGAGCAUUUCCAACAGCCGCGCUAAACUAGCGUCGCGCCGCAAAUUAGGCGGUUUUAGCGCGCGCGCAACGCGUCGGGUCGCUCCAGCGGGCGCGUAAAAACGGCGCGCGCGCUAUAACGAGUUGGGCGCGCGGUCGAAAACACUUAUCUGCGCGGUGUAUUUCGGGCGCCCGCUACAGCGUGCGGCACACUCGAGCGCUCGCGCCGCACUCUCUCCUCUCCUCCUACGCCCCGCGCGCGCCGGCACCGGCCCUGCCACCCACCCAUGGACGCGCACACCGGCACCCCGCUNNNNNNNNNNNNNNNNNNNNNNNNNNNNNNNNNNNNNNNNNNNNNNNNNNNNNNNNNNNNNNNNNNNNNNNNNNNNNNNNNNNNNNNNNNNNNNNNNNNNNNNNNNNNNNNNNNNNNNNNNNNNNNNNNNNNNNNNNNNNNNNNNNNNNNNNNNNNNNNNNNNNNNNNNNNNNNNNNNNNNNNNNNNNNNNNNNNNNNNNNNNNNNNNNNNNNNNNNNNNNNNNNNNNNNNNNNNNNNNNNNNNNNNNNNNNNNNNNNNNNNNNNNNNNNNNNNNNNNNNNNNNNNNNNNNNNNNNNNNNNNNNNNNNNNNNNNNNNNNNNNNNNNNNNNNUUUCUUAUUUUUUCAAUGCAUCAUCACAUAUAGAUAGCUUAUUUGCAUUGUUCAAAAAACUUUGUAGUCUCAACGAUGAUGCAUACAUGUCCACUAUGGGUGUUGGGUCCAACAAUUCGCAUUGGUCUCAAACCAAUGACGUCCAUUUCGAAGACCAUGAGUUUGAGGUGGAUGAGGAGGGUGAGGGAAUUGUCGAGACGCCGAAAGGAAGAGCGGGCAAUUACUCCACCAACGAUGACAAGUUACUAUGCUAUACUUAUUUGCAAGUGUCGAGGGAUCCAUCCAUUGGAGGUGAUCAAAGUAGAGACGCGUAUUGGGGGCGAAUGAAAAAACACUUUGAUGCUCACAACGUUAGUGGAAUUGACCGCUCCGAGAGAUCACUUCGGUCCCGAUGGUCGACAAUCAACUCGGAUUGCCAAAAGUGGGCGGCCGCACAAAAGUUAGUGGACAAGAUUAACCCAAGUGGCACAAAUGAGGAUGAUCGAGUAAGUGGCAUCUUAUAUAUGUUCAUCAUACUUGUUUUUGGUGACCGAAGUGCUAACUUAUUUUGUUUUUCUUGUAGUACAACAUUGCACAAAACUUGUUCAAAGAAGAGACAAGGAUAACCAAGAAGGGGGAGAUCAAGAAAGGCAGGAUCUUUACCUUGCCUCAUUGCUAUGAAGUGUUAAAGGAUGAUGAGAAAUGGAAGAAGCGUGAAGGUUUGGAGGAUUUGCAUUUGAGCAACAAACGGAAGCGAGCAAUUGAGAUGAAUGAUGAUGAGGAGGAGGAGGAUGCAUCAAGUGAUGACGGCAAGAGAAGCCCCACACCCAACUCGAUUUCAUACUCGAAGCCAAAACGACCGGAUGGGUGCAAGAAAGACAAAACCGAAAAGAAGAAUAGGAAAGGAGAUGAUGAGCUCAAAAAUGCUAUGGAAGCUAUUGUGAAGGCAAGGGUCGAAGCCAAUGAGGUGAGGAAAAUGGCAAGGAACCAAGAUGCCGUGGCCGAGGAGAGGAGGUUGGCGGCCGAGGAGAGAAGGGUGGCGGCCGAGGAGAGGAAGGUGGCUUUGGAGGAGAGGAAAGUGAGCAAUGAGGAGCGAGCUAAGUUGUUGGAAUGGGAGAAGCACUUGUUCUUCUUGGACACAUCUAACCUCAAUGCGGCGCAAAAGGAGUAUGUCAAUCUUGCCCAACAAGAAGUCUUGAUCCAAAAAAGAGCCAUGGUUCAUGCAAUGGGUGGCGGUGGCCUCGGCGCCAUGGGUGGCGGUGGCUUCGGCGCCAUGGGUGGCGGUGGCCUUGGCGCCAUAGGAGACAUGGGUGGAUUCGGAGUCAUGGGAGGCAUGGGUGGACCUCCGGCCGCCAUGGGAGGCAUGGGUGGACCUCCGGCCGCCAUGGGAGGCAUGGGUGCACCUCCGGCCACCAUGCGAGGCAUGGGUGGCUUUGGAUCACCCUCCGACGCUAUGGCCACCAUGGGAGGCAUGAGUUUUGCUUCUCUCAUGGGAGGCAUGGGUGCACCUCCGGCCGCCAUGGGUGGAAUGUCUUUCGAUGUGCCUUCUCACACAUAUUUCCAUGGAGAUGCCGUUGAAGAUCUUGCCAACACCGUCGGAGCUUCACGUGAUGCAGUGCGUGAUGAGGAGAGGGAGGAAGAUUCAUCUUCGGAGGCAGAAGAGUCGUCUUCGGAAGAUGAGGACGAAGACGAGAAAGAUGAAGAUUGAUGUGUCAUGUCUUGAACUUUAGUUUGCAUUUGAACUUGGUUGGAUGAACUUGUGGGCAUGAACUUUUAUUCAUCAUCAACUUGUUUGUGUCAAAUUUCACAUGUUCAUUGCAUUUUGAUGAAUGUUUCAAACUCACUUUAUGUCCAAAAAAUCAUAUAUGUUUGCCCGGCGAGUCGCGCGCGCUGUAUUUCUGCGCGCUGCUGGAGCGCGGCGCGCGUGCUGCAUUAAAGCGCGACUGCUGGAGCCAGCGCUGGCGGCCGCGCUAAACAUACCGAAGCGCGCGCGGCAAACAGGUUUUUUGCGUGUGGCGCUUUGCGCGGCUGUUGGAGAUGCUCUAACUAGAGGCUGCGCAACAGAGGCAUGUUUGUCCACAUUUCUGUCACCUCCUAAUCCCACACAGGGCACGGUGAUGUAAUGAACACGUGCUCAUCUAUAGCGACGACUCUUGCUCAUUUAACGAGUGUAUGAUAAACAAUGACAAACACACAAACACACGCGUCCUGAUGAAAGUAAGUAUACACUUGUUGAUUAACAUAAACGAGCCAAUUUAUAAAGGCAUCCUUUGGACCACCUACCUCAUGCAUGCGCCUUGCUUGAUUCACUUGCCUUUUUAUCCACCAUUUAUGAUACACAUAUUUUCCGUCUUUGAUGCAGCUCACCCUCGUAUUAUUUAAGUUGUAUGUAUAUAAGAGACAUGUUAUGCCUCGUGUUCAAGUUCGAUACGUACAACAGACAUGUGUUAUGCCUAGUAUUCAAGUGUCAAAUUGUCUGCAAUACUAAUAUGCUCCAUAAACUUAGGGAUCAUGUUUAUAAAAUUUCAAAUCAUAUGAAUAUUAAAAGUAAAGGAUUGGGGUGCUCUCUCCACUCGUGCUCUCUCCACUCUAAUCCUUAGAAAUUUUCCAUGAGGUCUCACCGAAUACUAAGAAUCCUUAAGAAUUAGGUCAACAUAUGGGCACAAUCCAAUGGAAUACAAUACCUUCGUUCUUGUGAAACCAACGUCAUGCAUAGGAAAGAUUCUAAAGUUCAAAAUCCUAUGUGAAUCCUCAAUAAACCCCACAAACCGAAGGAGACAUUAAGAUUUAGCCAUACAAAUUAAUGGUGCUCCCUUGAUUCCACAAAGCUUUUCAUUCUGGAGGUACCAGUCCAAAUUUCAAAUGGGGCUACGGUAUUGGGAAAAAAAAAUCACUACAUGUAUGUUUGAAAAGGCAUAAUAGAGAUUUGUGCUGGAAAUACUUCCAUGCAUGAUACAAUACAAUAGUUUAUAGAGAUUUUUUUCGCAAAAAGCAACAAGUGAGGUUGAUCAGUAUUGAUAUUUUUGUAGGCCGUUUCAUGUGUUUAUUCCUUCUAAUGAAAACCAUGACAAUAAAUGUUGGAGAAACAAUGACAAGUAAGUUUUCACAUGAUAUCGAUCUACCCAUGAAAACAAGCUCUAACAUAUUUCAAAAUGUGCAAAUAUAAAAUCAGAUAAAAUAUCCGUGAAAAUAGAACUACACUUUCUGGCCACGCAAACGUCACAUGCUAGUUCAAUUUGUAAAUAAACUAGUACCCAACUUCCAAUGUCCCUUGCUUUUCUCUUUUAGCCAUUCCAAACCUUUUUUUUCAUCGGUUGACGUGAUUUUUCAACAUCCAGAAUUUUAUCUACUCCAUGAAGAUGAUACUUGAUUUGAUUUGUCUGGGGCCAUGAGUUUGCCACUUAUCGGACAGAACCAGCAGUGUAGUCUUUGGGUAUGCUUGGACAUCAUAGUGUGCUGCCAUACUGAUAUGUUUCAGUAGCAAAUAGUAUAAGAAGCAUAUGAUAUUACUGAUAUGGAGACCAUGUGUAAAUUGGCUGGGGUCCAUUUCUGUUUGUGAUUGCACAGCCACAUAUCUUCAAUGGUUUACCAAAAAAGAAGAAUAAAAAAAACUUCAAUGGUCCAUAUAUACAUCUAAGCUACAGAUUACAAGUAGCUCAUGCUUGUUAUUAAGUUAGAAAGUGCCUUCAGAGGUCCAGACACCUUGCUACAUGAAUGAUUACAAGUCAUCGUUAUGCAAUGGAACUCAGCAGUCAACACAACACACAUCAGAGACAUCAGCACCAGCUUGAAAAUGUGACAUGCCACUUUUUCACAGGAAAAAUGCAAGAAGCAGAAAUCACCAUGUGAGAUGGCUCAUAUGUCUAACAGACGAGAAAUGCAAGAAGCAGAAGUCACCAUGUGAGAUGCCGAAAAUCAAACAGAUCAUGUGCUAGACCAGCACAAGCUUUCAACUCAAUGUUCAGAAAGAAAAGAUUGCUAGGAGCAUCUACAAUUGCGUGUCUCCAUCUCAGGGGCCGCCCUAUAUACUUAAAAUUAUUAGGAAUUUAGGAUAUCAUUACCACCCAGAAGAUCAAUUGGUAUCUCAUUGCGCAAUCACAGACGGAAAUGGGCCCACUUCCAGGUCAUGUAAGUCUAUUCUUGGCCACUACUUGAAACAAGUCAGUAUGCCAGCAAUUAGUCUCCAACAAGUGGCAAACUCAUGGCCCCAGAGGAAUCAAAUCAAGAUCACACAUUGCUUGCCCCCUGCACUCUUGCAGCAUUGCAUGUUCUGAGUUCAUGGCUCUGUCCCUUGCCAACUUGUCAUGAUAUUGAUAGCUACAACAGCACAUCAUGAUGCUUCUCUCCCCUCUCACAUAUAAAUCUAUCAGCUUACCACCACCAUCUCAUCAUCACUUCAUCCACAAGCCAACCACUACAGCACCUGUUACAAAAGUUUCUCUGAACUAUUAGCCAAGAAACAAGGAGAAUCAGCCAUGGAAAGUGCCAAAGAGGCUUGCCCUACUAGCAAAGAAAUGGCAGAGAAUUGCGGCCAUGGGGAGGAAGAGGAUCACCCAGACUGCAACGGCAAAAAGAGCAGCCGAGGAGUGCCGCGCGAUGACCCCAGUAGCAGUGAAGGGACACUGUGCGGUAUACACCGCUGAUGGGAGCCGGUUCGAGGUGCCACUGGUGUUCCUCAGCACGGCAGUCUUCAGCGAGCUCCUGAGGAUGUCUCAGGAGGUGUUUGGAUUCUCAGGCGGCAAUGAUGGCCGGAUCACGCUGCCCUGUGACGCUGUGGUCAUGGAGUACACCAUGCGCUUGCUCCGGAGAGAUGCCUCCGCCGAAGUAGUGAUGGCGUUCCUGAGCUCCAUCGCGAGGCCGUGCUGUUUUGACGGCAGUGUGGCGGCGCCAUGCAUAGGGCUUAGCCAGUAUGUAGCUGUUUGUUAGCUUCUAAAGAAUGGCAGGUAGCUAGGAUCCUUAUCCUAGGCGCCAUUUUUGCUCAAUAGAAGAUGUAAAUAUGAAGCUAGUAGAUUGGAAAUGGAAAACUAAUUUGAUGAAAUUUGCACGCUUUCUGAUCAGGCUAAGUGUUCAACUGUUUGUUUCAGACUCAGUACGUAACUGGCAAAGCUUCAGUAACACAGCUAUAUUUGUGUUUUAACAAACUGAGUCAAGGCAUACACUUUAAAACUACAACUAAUAUGCGCUGAUAUUUUAGAAACUAUAAAACUAACGAGUCCUGCACAUGUUUUCCUUGAAUAAUGACAUAGGAGCUUUGCCUGUCAUUGAACAGAAAAACAGAGGGUGUAGAUUCAAGUAUGCAUACCACAUGAGUUUAACAAAUGUUACCUGCCUAGAGUUAGAUGAAAGAAAACUUCCAUUAAACUGCUGAAUAACUAAUUGACACCUGCAGAUUGAGCAAAUGAGAACUAGUUACCAGACACUUGAAUAAUCCUAGAUAAAAACCUCAGCUUUGUGAAGAAUUAAGUAGUGAAAUAUACCUUUCAGAACAGAGUUUGUAUUUCUUUCUUUCUGACUUAGAAGUCAAAAUGGGGGAAAAAGAGUGAAAUGGAGACUACAUGAGAUGAUGGACGUGGAUCGGAUCACAAGCUGAAAAAACAGCGACAUCUGUUGAGCAAAUGGAUUCAGGAAGACGAACGCAUCUGACCGAUCAACAACCAAUCUGAGGCCAAAAGUUAAGAGGCGACCGAUCAUUGAAACUGAUGAUAUAUCAACCCGAUCCAUCUGUAUCCAAAUCACAGAAUAGAUCAUGGCCUUGUCUUCACCAGCUUGCCAAACUGACAAAUGAUAUGAGAGCAAACCAAUGGUUUAAUGCCACGGCUAUUGGAUCCAGCAUGUUCCAAACAUUUGGCCCCAUCACAAUCAAAUCCAAAUGAAUCAUACUACAACACUGCAUGUGUUGAUCCCAUGGCCAUGUCUCUUGCCAUCUUUUGUAACGACAACUACACUUCACCAUUACCAUGUCCUUCCUCUCGGAAGUAAAUUCAGUGAAUGGCUAUGCUCAACACCAUCAGCUCAUAUACCACCAACUAAGCAUUACAGCAUCCAUAGCUCACUUCUCUGGUUUCCAGCUGAAAAACAAGACCCGGAAACAACCAUGAUCAGCGCCAAGCGACUUGCUCAAUUGGCAAAGAAGUGGCAGAGGAUGGCAGCAUUUAAGAGGAAGAGGCUGACAACAACAGCCAAAGAAAAUGAGAAGUGCAGCAUCUCUGUAGCAGUCAAGGGCCACUGUGUCAUGUACACAGCCAAUGGGAGGCGCUUUGAGGUAGCAUUGGUGUACCUCAGCACGACGAUCUUCAGCCUGAGGAUGUCCCAGGAGGCGUUUGGCUUCGCAAGCGAUGGCAAGAUCACACUGCCUUGUGAUGCCAGAGUGAUGGGAGUAUGUCAUGUGCUUGCUCAGGCGAAAUGCCUCUGUCGAAGUCGAGAACGUGCUGCUGAUCUCCAUGGUGACAUCUUGUCACGACACUGGUUGCGCAAUUCCAGCUGUUGGAGCCAGCAAGCGAAUUGGUUGUUUGUAGCUCCUGAAGAACAUGCAUGCAGAGCCUGUUCUUGCUCUCUGUUUUCUGUAGUUUACCUGGAUAGUGUGCAUAGUUAGAUAUAAGCAAUGGAGAAGGAAAAUUGCUGUGUAAUGCACUAUAAUCUUGCAAGCAAUCAAGCAGCAACGCCAGUAACCGCAGUUGUUUUUCUCGUAGAUAUACAUUGCAUUCAGUGAAUAAAUAAUUGAUACAACCGUUCAUUUAGAUGCCAAUAGUUCCAUAGCCAGGUUAUUAGGGGGAAAAGAAUGAAUAAGUGCCAUGACCAGGUGAUACAAGAGCAUUUUUGAAUGAUGAAAUGAGAGAAGCUAUUAAAGGGCCAUCAGGACUUUGGGAUAAGAAAUAAGCAAGUAGUACAUAGAUCACAAAAUAAAAGAUAAAUUAGUAAUUAGCAGUGUAAGGAAGGUUUUCUUCUUAAAAUGGAAAUCAUCAACGUUUAAACGUUACUGAACAACUGGACACCCCUGAAUCCAAACAACUUCGCAUUAGGCAGUCGGCAGCCUGAAAAUACUCAAGGACAAUUACGCCAUUUGGCAUGUGUUUGUUACUCAUAAUCUUCAGCUUUAUUUGAAACCAUGGUUAGCAGGCUUGCUUGCAGGCUUGGAAGAUGAAACACUUGUGAAACAAAUACUCAAGACAUUUGUUAAUCAAUGUCAAUUUGUUCAUGUCAGCCUGUGAACAUUUGUAUGCAUCUUCAUCAAACUAAAGGACAGGCAAAAUAUAUAGAUGCAUGGUGCAUGAAUUAAAAUAACAGGCAUGUAAUACAGAACGACAAAAGUAACAUUCAUAUUAUUACUAACAGAACUUGGUGCCAAACAAAUUACGUUGUACAAAAUUAGUUAUAGCGAGCAAGCGCACAGGGCACAGCUUGAUAGCAACUAUUACUACUACUCAAGAGUUAAGACAGACUCGAUCGCUGACAAGUAGCGUAAUACACUAAUGCAUACAUAAGUAGUUGUUCUUGGCUCGACAAUGAUGAUGCAGCAAACUACAUAAGGAAGCCAAAUAGGAUACAUCAACAACCCUCCUUCGUCUUUGCAGCUAGCUAGGUUAAUAAUGGCAAUCGAGCUUUUAUUCUGCUCGGCCGGUAGGUGGAUGUGAAGUGGCAGCGGCAUUGGCGAGGUCAAUGUGCUCUUGAACGAACUUCUCCAAUGUUUUCCUGUGGUCCUUGAAGGCCAUGAUGUUGUACUCCCUGAUCGUCGUAGUGUCGGCCCCGAAGACAGUCUUCUCACAGAGGUUGAUGAAAAAGUCGAGCUGGUCAUGCACGAUGAGGCGCUGUGCAGCGAGGGCGACCUCCAGGCAGACCUCCGCAGGUGUGGCCACGGGCAGCUGCAUGCCC